RNAcentral lists this long non-coding RNA (346126 nucleotides) under Vitis vinifera (wine grape). RNAcentral describes it as "long non-coding RNA (VVIN_LNC006177)". Lineage: Eukaryota; Viridiplantae; Streptophyta; Magnoliopsida; Vitales; Vitaceae. The record is from RNAcentral.
UUGGCAUCCUGUGAGAUUGAGUAUACAAACAUAGGGCUAUUAUUACUUAAAAACAAUUUACAAAUCCAUUAAAAAAUGAUAGCAUGUGUAUAACAGGGGCAUUUCAAAUUUUCAUUAGUGUUUCUAUUCAGCCAUGACUUCGAAUUCAAAGGUUCAUAUAAAUUCUUAAAACAUUUCUAUCACUGCUGCACAAAAGGGAAAAGGCUCUAAACUGGGAAUCAAAACUAAAAUAAAAUAACAGAAGUGAUUGACACUGUACCAUGCCAAUAAACAUCUAUUUAUGGACAGAAGGAGAUUUGAGGCUAAGAGCUCUUUUAACAAAUGUUUUAAUGACAUCAACAAAGGCCUUGCCAAAGUUCAGUAAAUAAGUUACUAACCUGUCAAACUCAGUGAGGGCGGUGUGAGACUCCUGCUCAAUCUUGCCAAGCUUGUAAAUCUUCUUGUUCAUUUCAGUACGAUGGUGGUAUCCAUUCUGACCAGCCCUGGCAACUGUGAAUGAAACUCUAGCAGGAUGCCAAGCACCAAUACAUGCCACUUUCCUCAAACCCCUGUGAGUCUUACGGGGAAGGCGGGUGACACCCCAACGGGUGACAACACCUUCAUAACCCUUACCUUUAGUCACACCAAUGAUGUCAAUCAUCUCAUCCUUCUGGAAAAUGGCAUCCACAGGGACUUGUUUCUCAAAGAAACCAUAAGCAUAAUCCACUUUCUGAGCAAUGGUUCCACCAUUGACCUGGAUCUCCAUCAAGUGUGCUUUCUUCUGCUUCAAUCCCUUCAUCUUCCUAAUCUAUAACACCAUGACCAGAGAAAUUAGUUAGAGGAUAAGGAUCAUUUAGGGGAUAUGAGAGCUGGAACUAAAUUUUGAAGUAUUGACAAGCGUCAAAUAAGUCAUGUCCAAUGAUGAGCCAGAUCAGAGGCUGAACAGGUGAGAGAGAGAAAAUCAAUGUUCAUUCUCCUUUUAAACAUCACAGUUCAGUUGAGGAUGGAAACUUAUAUUGGUUUCAUUCCCCAUAUGGCUAGGACCAAAAUCCAAAUGAGCAAGUAUGUCAUAUGAGUAAUUGGUAUACAAAAAACUUUAGAGAAUUAGAAAAACUAAAUCAGAUUCAGCAGACAACAGUACAAGCAUCAAACAAAAGUUUCCCAGUUCUUGCCUCCAAAAAAAAAUUAACAUAAAUAUCAUGUUAUUAAAAAGGUCUAAUAACAUGAUAUUACAUCAUUGCCUAUCAAAAAAAGGAAUGGAAAACCUAUUUAAAUGAUACUAUUACUAAUUCCCACUACUUCGAUGGGAAACUGUAUUACUACUCAGCACAGAAGGAAAUGAGUCUUAUCAUUAAAAUAAAAAUAACAAGUGAACACGACAAGCAAUUGAAAGAAACUGAAUUAGCAUCAAAUAAUGAAAUAAUGUAGUACAUCUUAAAAAAUAGACUAUCAGUACCUGAGUGUGAGCCAAAACCCGAAUGACAGAAGCAUAUUUUUUCAUUUUCUCCAGUUGUGCUUGGAUGCUUUUCUUCCCUUCUUCAGUCUCAUACUGCUUGGAGUACUUGGUGAAAGCCUUCUUCUUGGAUUUGCACCAGUUCUUAUAGAACCUACGCUUCACCUCCUCACUCAGGUGCUGAGCCCAAACUGUGUUCAGAGAACGAAGGCCACGUGGAGUCUUAACAUAAGCCACCACUCCAACUAUGACCAUAGGAGGAGUCUCAACAAUUGUAACAGCUUCACAUGUCUCCUUCUUGUGAAGCUCUGUAGAAUAUUAGUAUUAUUAGAUACAGCACUAGAUUUAAAUUGUGCAAGUUGGAAAAAAAGUUUCAAGCACCGAUGUGAUACUAAGAUGUAUUUAAAAAGUCAAAGAAAAACCUAACCAAAACUGGCUACAUGAUCCAAAUAAACUACAAACAUAGAAGGAAAUAUUUUCAACGUCUUUAGUGCAAGAAAUAAUUUCUAACAAAAAGUUCGUUUUACCAUAGGACAACAAAUAUUUUCAUGACAUGUUAUAGAUAAACUGGUGGCAACAAAUAAAAUAAAAUUUAUUCAAAAGAACAAAGUCCAGGUCCACAAAAGAAGUAUUAUUUAAGUCACCAGUCGGUUGUUGGACAGAUGAAUAUAACAAUGAAAUCAGAUCAUAUUACAUGUCGAUUAAAUCUGUAUUAUGACUUUAAAUAUUCAAGCAUUCAACCGCUUCACAAGAUUUUCAACUAAUGCUUGCUUUACAAAGAAUAUUUUGCCCUGAUCAAAGAGUGAUCUACUCCAAACAAAAAGUCUGGUCUCCAGUGAGGAAAACAAAAGGAAAGAUUCUAAAAGACAAUAUAGUACAUCAAAUUCCAAGGAAAAUUUCCUUCAAUAAAACAAGGGCAAACAAGAAUAAAUUAACCAGAAAAGUUUCAUACUUGAUCCAGGUUUUUCAACCUCCCUGACAAUGUGGGUCAUCCCAGCUUUGUAACCCAAAAAGGCAGUCAGCCUGCAAGGCUUGCUUGGGUCAUCCUUAGGAAAAGCCUUCACUGCAUGAGUUCAAGAUAACAAUGGAUUAGGUUAAAAAGAUGUAAAAUUUCAUCGUAUUAAUGUCCACUUAAAUAUCAACACUGAAGAAUCUCAUUAGCAAGAUCUAAUUUCUGAAACAUUUCAUGUUUCUUUCACGCAACUCACAUAUAAUAAGUACAGUAAUAUCCCAAACUCAGAAGUGUAAUAAGGUUAAUGUACUACUUGGAGGCAGAAAAGUAAUUAUCAUAAUCAUCAACAACUCUGAAGAAAGAGCAUGUCAUUGCUAUAAACAAAAAAGUAAGCUCUCAUGAAAAAACAUUAUGAUUGAUAAUAUGUAAAGAAGCCAUGUAUACCUUUUCCCCUAUGACGAGCAGCCCGCUUCCUUGGCAAAAAUCCAAGAGAACCAUGCCUGGGAUGCUCAAACUUCCGGUGCGACAUUCUUCUCCUCCUUCACCAUGGGAAUAAAAAAAAUAUUAAUCCUCAAAUGUUCAUAUUUACAUGGAAAACUAUUACAUUUUCAUAACUUUAACACCUAGCAUUUUUCCAUUUUGUAACAGAAUAUUAGUGGAAUUCAUCAUAAAAAAAAAUUAGAGCACAUUUAGUAAUGGAAAUAAGAACCAUUUUACAUUAUCCAAAUGGAAAAAGGAAGAUUUCACAGAAUGUCUUCUUUGCUUUUCCUUUUUUUUCUUCAUUCUUUAUGAAAUCAAACUAUAAAAUAAUUUUUUUUUAAAAAAAAAGAAAAAAAAAAAGAGGAUUCUGAAGAUGUUUGAUUGUUCCUAUUAAAUAAUGACUCCUUUCAGCCAACUAUUUUCAGUUCCAUCACCCCCACAAGGUUUUUGAGUGUCUGGUAGACAUUUUUAACUUCUCAAAUUUUCAGAAAAGAGAAAAACAUUUUGAGAAUAUGAUUCUUCAUGAGCUUCUUAGAACCAAAAGGAAAUAAAAAUGGACAAACUUAUUUCAGAAACACUUAUUUAGAAAUUAACUCACAAGCAUGUUUUUGCCACUAUUUCCAUUUUCAGAUUCAUUGAAAGGGAAAAGGGCUUUAGAAAAUAACAAUGACCAGACACUUGAAAAACAACAUCAUAUCAACGUUGGAUUCACAAGCAUUGAACCUUAACAAAAUGAAUAAUAUGAACCAGUAUCCUUAACUAAAGAGAAAAAUUAAACGGGAAAAAAAAUCAUCAGAGAGCCAUCGUGUACAUCUAAAAGCAAGUUAUAAUAUAAUCUAUGACUAGUGCCCGUAAUUCCAAAAAUCAAAAACUAAACCAUACGAUGGAACUGAAUAUGAAUGCGUUUGACUAAUACACGAGAAUCCUAAUUCACAGGAAUCGCUCAGCUCCUGAAAUGCACACUACUUUCACAUAGAAACCAUUGAUCUAUUAAGAAACAAAAAAAAAAGGACCAUUUCUCUAAUAACCCCAUGGAUUGCGAGGAAAUGCAGGAAAAUGAAGAAACCGAAAUGUUUGAACCUAAGGUUUUCCAUUGGAUCAGAUCCAAGGAAACCAAAGACUCUAACUCGAACUGAAUAUAGGAUUACUACAUGGCUUUUCGAGUCCCGCUUCUACAACAAAACCAAACAAAACAUGGCUUGAAAUAUUGUUUUCUUUACUUCUCCUUGCAUUUUCUUGGGCGGCCAAACAUAGAAGAGAAAGCUAACCUGAGAACCGCGGUCGAGAGAGAGAGGCAGAAGCUCUUGCGGCUACUGAAGCGAGGACAAAACCCUAGGUUUUUUCGCUCUUAUAUAGUAUAUACUAAUUUAAAUUUACAAUGCUGCCCAAUACUCUUUUUUCAAAUUACAAAUUCGAGCUUUUGGAGUUCUUAGCUAAUGUUUGGGCCUGACCUGGUACAGUAAUUCUAGCCCAAAUUGGGUUUGGGCUUCAAAUGAAAAAUCUGGCCCAGCCAUAAGGUUUGCAAUGAGACUCUACCAAUCUAGAUGAGGUCAAUAAAUUUCAUACUAUGUUUUUUGAGGUUUAAUAUAAUUAAGAUCUAUUUUAUAUAUAUAUAAAAAAAUUAUUGUUGAUUUUUUAUUUUCUAAAAUAAUCCUCAUCGAAUACAUUUGUCGGGGAGUCAAAUUAGUUAGUUUUUUUAUCUAUAAUUUUAUUUAUUUUUUUAAAUCUUACUAGAUUUACUUUACAUAUUUCCUCUAAACUAUAUUAAUCAAUUCAACAUAUAUGGUAAGGAAAAAAAAACAAGUCUUGAUAUAUAUACCUUAACUUAAAGCAAUAUAUGUCAAUAUUAAGUAUUUAAAUAAAUAAUUAUGACAUAUACAACUUAGUUCAAAGCAAUGAUGACAUAUAUAAGAUUUGUUGUACUGUGUCAUGACUUAUGAUGAUGCAACCUUGAAAUCAAGUCAGGAAAGACUCGAGAUGAUGUUUUAAAUUUCUCAAAGGCUUCUUUGAUAUGUCUCUAAUUCCAAUGUAGAAUCCAUGGAGGAAGAUACAUAUAUUAGCAUAUGUUUAAAGGAGCCAUGACCUAUUUGAAUACGAACCUUUACAUAUUUAUGAGUGAUAAAAGGUAGCUAUAUUGAUAGGGGCAUAGUAGUAAGAGGGCACUUUCAUUGACAUUUUAUAUAUGUCUAGGUUGCUAAUGCCCAUACCUAAACACUAUGAUGGAUGACAUAUAAGAUCAAAAAAAUAUAAUGACAUAUAAUGUAUACAAUGACAAUUAGUAGUCAUUAAUGUAGGUCUUUUUUUUUUUUUUCCUUGCGUUGCAUAUAUGAUUUUCAAAUAAGUAAGAUUUGAGAGUGAUUGGUAAAGUUAAUGGAAAUGAAAGAAACCAUAAACCAAUUUGAUGUAGAAACAAAUCAAAAUGAGGCUAGAAAUUGGAAUUUUCAUGGGAGUGCUCUAGCAACUAAGUGUGAAUUCAAGUGUCGAGGCUAUUUUUGGAUAAUUCUCAUUUUAUUUUGUUUAAAAAUAUUUUUGAUUGAGUCCGACAAGCUAGGGUUUUCAUUAUACAAAUAUGUCUCCUCAAUUUGAAAAACAUGUGUACCCUAAUCUAAGAAUGUCAUUAUCUUAUCACAUAUUCCCAAGACUUUAAAAUGCAAAACUCAUAUUCGAAAUAAAGUUAGGGGUGGUUGACCACAUCCUCUCAAGGUAUUGCUUCAUAGACAUAAAACCAAGUGUCGAUGCGAGCUAAUAUAAGUUCGUGUUUUUUUAUAUUAUGAAACUACCUGGAGAAGGGAGUGAAUAUGUAGUCAAAUAAAUUUUUACUAAUUUUCAAUUUCACAUGUGAAAUUCUCAAGGUCAAUAAUGUUAAUCAUUAAGGAGGAUUAAAAAAAACAACCACACAUAAAGACACCAUAUAUACAUAGAAAAAUCAUUUAUAUAGUCAUCUAGAAACUUUGUUCGUGUAUAAAACUAACAAUCACACGACCACAAAUAAAUUCAUUAACAGUGCGUUUGAUAGUGAUUUUAAGAAAUGUUUCUAACAUUUUUAAUAAUUGAAAGAUAAAAAAUUUCAAAUGUUAUAAAUACUAAUAACAAUUCUUAAAAUCACUGUCAAACACACUUUAAAUAUAACAAGAAAAUGCAUAGUUUUACCUUAUUGAAAUGCACCUACUCUUAGGGUCUUAUAGUAAUCGACUCCUAUACUCUUUUUCCACAUCCACAACACAACACAUCGUACUCCUUUGUAGAUCACCUCAACUCCAUGCAUAAGCUAGUAGAUCAAUGCAUCUUGUCUUUCCAACGAAAAGACCUACAAGAAAGUUCUUGAAAGAUUUGGGAGUUGAAGGUUUAGGAAGAAGUAGUGGUUAUUCAUGUGCACAAUUUUCUAGUCUUAAAAUUUUAGGUUUUUAUAGCAAAAUCCUAGGAGGAUAUUUAGAAUAGGUUAUCAAAAAUGAGAUUUAUCAAGAAGUCCUCAAAAAUUUGAAAGAUGGGUUUGAAAAACAAAAUGAAAGGAUCAACAUUUGAAUGCCCUAUGGAAACAUUUGAAUGCAAACAUAUGUUUGAAUGUUCCCUUGGAAGAUGUCCAUCAAUACAACGUUUGAAUGUUUCUUGUGUGAUUUUCGAAUGACCAUACUUUGAUUUGUAUGUUUAACUUCAUUUUUCAAUAUUCUCUCUAACAUUUCACCUAGUACAUAUGUAAUAGUCAUUUCUCAUAUCUUAAUACAUAUAAUGUAUAUAUGUCUAAAAUAUGAAUCUUGCUCUAAAGUAGUUCAAACUUGAUUCUAACCGAUAAGGCCAUUGGAAGUAUGGUACAUUAGACUCAAUGCAAUAAUGAAAUAAAAUUGUCAACCUAAUAUUUUACAUCAACAAUCUCCUUAUUUGGUAAAUUGUGAUAAAUAUUAUAAUGAAACCCUUGAUUUCUCAAAUAAUCUCAUGGAUCCUAAUCUAAAGCAUAUCUUAACCAUCAGACACCCCACUACAACACUCUUAUCAAUAGACUUGUAAUAUGCACACUUAAAUAACACACUUGUAAAAAAUAAUAUGUGACAAAAAAAGUAAAUAAAUUACAUUACUACUCCUUUUUGUUACAAAAAUAAAACGACAAAGUAGGAAGAAAGCAACAAUAAAAAACCCAUAGAAAUAAGAGAAUAAAUAAGAAAAAAACAGUAUGUAUAUAUAUACCUAUCUAUGAAUGAUAAUCCAUAAAAAAAAAUAAAAAUUAUAGUAAUUCAAACUAAGCAUUUAACUAACUACCUAUCCAAAAUCAACUUUCUAUUUACACAACCUCAAUAUUAAAAAAAAAUAUCAUUCUCACCCAAAAUCUAAUAUAUUGAAGCCUAAUAUCGUACAUUGGAAGCAUCUAUAAUGAUGAAAAAUGUCCUAAGGAAAAAUGACUUUUUGUCUUUUAAAAAAUACUUAGAUAUUUAAAAAGAAUAAUUGAUCUAGGUUUUUGGUAUCCUAAGUGCACUAAUUUUGUUCUACUUGGUUAUUUUGAUAUAGAUUUUCUUAGUUGUAAAAUCAAUAACAAAAACUAGUGACACUUAUCACUUCUAUGUCAUUCAUUAAUGUAUUGGCAUAAUAAAAAGCAAAAUUUUCAUUACAUUAUCAAUGACACAAGUCAAAUAUAUUAUUGUCUAUUUGUGUUAUACUCAAAUCUUAUGAAUGAAACAAACCUUGCAUGACUUUGAAUUAACUUAUAAUCAUGCACCAAUUAAAUGUGAUAACAUUACUAUCAUAAGCAUAUUUAAAAACCUGGUUCAACGUUCUAAGAAUAAGCAUAUUAAGGUGGCGUUUGUUUUUUUGGCUUUUUGCUGAAAGUAAUUUAGUUUUAGAAUUUAGGUUGUUUGUUUUUUUACUUUUUUAUGACUUAUCAUAAACUUUUUACUAAAUAGAAAAAACCAAAAUAUGUAGCUUUUUUUAAAUAGAAAAAAUAACAUAUUGGUUUUUUUUACUUUUUAAUACUUUUUAAUACUUAAUAGAAAUAAAAUACUACAAAAACAAACAACCUAAUAUUUAACACUAUUAAGCAUUAAGGUUUUAUUUAGAAUUAAGUAAAAAAACAAACACCACCUAAGAUAAAAUAUCAUUUUCUUAUAGACCAUGUAUAAAAGGUCAUAUUCACUUGAAUUUGUAAGCAUUAACUAUCAAUUAAUAAAUAUUUUUACAAAACCCUUAAAUGAAGAUUGAUUUGUUGAAAUUAGAAGGAAACUAAGGUGGCGUUUGUGUUUUUUGAUUUUUUGAAACCUCCCCAAAUACGAUUUUCAACCCGACCGUUGUUCUACGGCAACGUCGUUUGGUGUGAGGAAGGCAGCCCUGAGAUUGGGUGGCGGUGCGACGGUGAUAGAGUGUUCGUCGCGGUCACAAAAGAAGGCAACGUCUCACCACAUGAAAACUUGCCCGCGUAAAACCCAGCCAUGGGAUAUUAAGUGUCGCCCCACAGUGUAUGCUCCGCUGCCUCCUUUGCCUCCCGAGUGGACUGUCGUUUCAUCUGAUGCUGACGCAUCCGAUGCAGCUGUUCCUCCUCUAACACCCUAACCUGCAACUGAGUAGUGUUGGUUUCUAUCCUACGGAUCCAACAUGUACGUUUUCAAAUUUUCUUUCUAUAGUUUUGUUUGUCAUCCUCUCUGGUUGUUUGUUUGAUUAAUCGUAGGAUAUAUGUUGAAUUAAGGAAAUGUCUACAACCUGUUUGAUGAAAUGAUUCUAAUGUCUAAAAGAGAUGGUGAACUAAUCACAUGUCUACAACCUGUUUGAUUUAAAUCCUAAUAAAACCAAAAGUGCAUUCUUGAGGCGAAGUUUGAGUUGGGCUGGGUUGAGUUAGUUGUCCAAAAGCCCAUUAACUCAAUAUGUCAACUUUGAGAAUUUAGUACAUCUACGAGUUUACAAAGCCCCAGAAAUAACUCAGUUUUUGAAACCUCCCCAAAUAGAAAAAGCCAGUUCAUAUUAUUAAGUUUAAAUAUUUUAUUUUAAUUAUAUAAAAAAUAAAUAUAUUAAUUAUUUUUUGUAAGAAUGAUAAUGAUAAAUUAUUUAUUAUAAUAAUUUUAUUAUUUUGAACAGAAAUACAUUAAAUUAUAUUUUUUUUAAUACAUUAAAAUAUUAAGAUAUUGGUUUUUAGUAUAUAAAAAAACAAACAGUUUAAUACUUAAUAGAAAUAAAAUAUUAAAAAAACAAACAACUCAAUACUUAAUACUAUUAAUCAUUAUUUAAUAUUAAGUUAAAAAUAAGUUCUAUUUAGAAUUAAGCCAAAAAAACAAACGUCAUCUAAGACAUAUAAAAAUUUAAAACUAUUGCAUGCUUUGCACCAUUUUGAUAUUUGUAUUUCAAAUGCUUCUUGCCUAGUCAAAGUUUGUUUGUGUACUAUUUGAUUGAAUUUGAUGGAUUUUAUGCAUAAUUUUCUUAUCAUAUUGCACAUUCAUAAUAUUUUAGUUGCAAAAAAGUCGUACAAACCUAAAUAGAUAUCCUUCAAGUUCUUAAAGUAUCAAUAAGAAGGCAAUAUAUGAGUAAAAUCAAUAAAAAGAGGGGAGUUGGUUAACUAAGUAGUCAUUCGCUUAAAGGUUGAUUGAUGUUAAGCUAAACAACCAAGUGAUACUGUUAGGUAUGAAAAUUUUAAAAGCCUUGGACACUUAAUUUCUCAAAUUAUUCACUUUCUGACAUUUCCCUAUUCCCUCCAAAUUACUUAGGUUAAACCUGAUCUAAUCUUCAAAUCCUCUAAUCCUCUAAAACCUUCGCAAAUCCCCAUUCUUCUACUCUUUCCACACUUCCUUAUUGAAUUAAAAACCACCUAAAACCCAUUCUACUCCUCAAAUAUGCAAAAAGACACUUACAAAUAUCAUUGGAGACAAAGGGAAGGGAAAAAAAAGUUGUUGAGAAGACUUCUCUAGAGGUUAGGACUAAGGCUUAGUUUGACCCAUUUCUCUUUCACCUCCUUAGAACAACAAGAUAGGCUCUCCUAAAUCUUCUCUCAUAGGCCUAUUAUUUUGGGUAAGAAUACCAAUUUCAUAAAGUUUAAUAUUUUAACUUUGUCAAAUUAUUUACAAAGACGGUGAAUGAUUGUCAUUAGUUGGUUUACUUGAAACAAUAUAAUUGCAAUUGGUUUGAUGUUUUAAUUUGAAUGUACAGUAUGAAUAUGGUGUCCCAUACAGACUAUGGUAAAAAAAGUGAACAUAAAAUUAUCUAUGGAAAAUUUGAAUGAGAUUUUCGAAGUCCUAAAUGAAAGGGUAUGUAUAUAUAUGAAACAAAAAAUUAAUGAAAAAUUAAAAGAUUGUCCUCCAUUAAUGAGGUAUUGAAGAGGAUGUACAAUUUGCCUUUCAAAUAGUACUAGUUUAAGUCCUUGUCCAAUUAACUCACUCUUCAAAGCUAAACGGUUGCAUCACAUGAUGGGGUAUGAUGUGCACCACAAUGAUGUUUCAUUUCAAGAGGCAUUUUUGAUAAAUAGUAUUAUUGUGGGAGGGUCCAUGAGUAUAAGUUAUAUUAUUUUAGCAGCAUAUGACAGUUUAAUAUAAGAACAAAAGCUUUGUAUUGUCAUAUGAGACAUUCAUCACCAAGAUUCUAAAGACUAUAUAAGUAGUUUUUUCAAUGUCGUCAGUUGAACAACUUGUCAUUUAUGAUGCCUACAACCAAUAGAUUUUUAUUUGUAGGCAUUUAAGGAACUACAUAGUGGAUCAUAUGUUUCGAAAGGAAAACGAAAGAAAGUUGGGGAAAAAAAAAAGACCAAUUGUUUAUUACAAUUGAGAAGAUGUAUUGAGAGAUCGUUGGUAAGAAAGAGAACUUUGUUCUAAUAGACUAAACUACAAAGCUUCGAGUAUUACUUCCCCUACCUAAAGCCCAAUGCUACGUUUAAAGAGAUUUCACCUCGCAUUACACUUACGAAUUUGCUCCAUCUAACAAUGACAUUCAUAAAUAAUUACAAAUUUUAUCCAUGUCCAUUGAGUCCUUAGGCAAUAGGAGGAAAGACUUUUAACUUUCAACAUAACAAUUGCUUACAGGAGAUGAAUAGAAGAAUGGCAGUAUUAGAUGCUUAGACGGGAGAGAUUUGAGCUAAUUUUGGUGUCACCAUUACUUAGUUUGAACCAUAUCACAUGUAUAUACUUGACGUGCUCCACCUUCCACUCAAACCUUCUCUAGAGUGUCGAUCCUAUUCGACUAUUACACUAUAUUUUUUAGUGUCCCCUAAAAAGGGAAGACAUGAUCAAUAAGGGAGCUAAGGAAGGGUUAGGGGAGCCCCCUUCUUGGCCUAAAAUUUCCAAUAAAACAAAGGGCUCCUUAAAUAUAUACAUAUAUAUUGAAAAAAAAAAAGAAAAAAAAAUGGAAGUCUACCCUCACUAAAAAAAUUGAUUUUUCAAAAGCUAAGAAUAUUUAUAAUCAAAUGUUAUUGACAAGAUUAAUGAUACUUAUCUUUAAUGUUAACUAUAUAUUAGGAUUUCAAAUAAAAAAAAUAGAAUAUUGUGAGAAUUUAUUUAAUAUUUGUAAAUUUUUAAUUUUAUUUUCGUUCUUUUUCCUCUUAUUUAAUAUUAGGAUUACCUUAAUUUAUUUUUUAUUCAUUUUUCAUAAUUUUUAUUUAACGUUUUAUUAAAAUAAGUUUCUUAAUGUAUUGGCUUCAAAAUGAAAAUUCUAAAUUAUUUAUUUUUUAAAUAAAAACUAAUUUACAACUACAUUAUAUAAUUAUAUUAAAUUAUAUGCUAUUUAAUUGGAUAAAAUUUUAUCUAAUUAUUCAUAUUAAGAGAAGUUGUGUUUAAUUUAAAUUAUAGAAGACAACACAUAUAAAUUUUUUAAUAAAAGAUUUCGUCAUUUUCAAUUAAUUUGUAUUUUUAUUUAAAAAAAUAAAAAAUUCAGAUUCUUUUUACCAAAAAAGAAAUAUUAAAAUCAUUGAAAAGGAUUUUAAAAAAAUUAUUAAAGAAAUUGUAAAUUAAGUUUUGAUCAAUUUAAAUUUCAGAGAUAAAUUUAGAUAAUAAAAACAAUAAAUUGUGGAAAAAAUUGAAGGGGGUGGACUGAGGAAGCCAUGUAACGGUACACCGUUCGGCACCAAAUGGAUCCUCCGAUUAGGGCACACGUCACUAUCUUCUAUAAAUAGCCCCUUCCCAUUUCUUAAGACUAUUCCGAUCCCCAACCGUAGCCGCAUCUCUCUGUUCUUCCCUUUUUCUUUUUCUUUUUGGUUGAAUUAAGAUUAUUGUUAUUUAGUUUUGAAUGAUGAAAUCUUUGUGCAAACGCAGCUCCUUCAAUUGGGCGCAAUGAGCGGCACAUUCCACACGAGAUUUCUGACUCAUUUUCCCAUAUUUUUCUUCUUUAUUCUCUGUUUGGCUGCUGAGAAUUUGUAGGAUAAUAAAGGAAACUACGAACCUGAUUUUUCUUUUUCCUUUUUUUUUUGUCAUUAUAUAUUGAUGAACUCCGCGACCGAAACAUCGUUGUUCAAUUUUUAUGUUUACAUAUCUAGUGGUGGUUUCAGAUCUGUGGAUGGCUUCUUUUAUUUGACGGAAACGUGGGAAAAAAUGAAUAAUAGGGCAUAGUAGCUCUGUGCUCCGUUUGGAUGGAGAGAAAAUUUUCGGAAAAAGAGAUUAACGUUUCCUAAAAUCAUCAUUGGUUGCAACCUUGGGAAAAUGAAACCUUUCACUUAACUCUGCGUCGGGCAAUCAUUAGGCUGAGUUGAAUUUGAAGCUUUUGUUGUCCAUGAACCAAAACAGUGUUUGGAAAGUAAUUACUUCUAUGUUUCUUUCAGAAAAGCUUUCUCGCCAAGCAAACAGCGGGUUAAGUAAGAUUUUCUUGAUUAGAAAAUUGAGGUAUUUAAAUUGUUGAUCUUUGUUAUUUGUUAUAGAUGGUUUAGGGGUUUGUACGCUUAUUUUCCUUUAGGAAGUGGGAGCAUAAACGCAUGCCAAGCUUUUUCUCGGGUACAAUUUUCCAUACCUUUGCUGAUUCCAGAGGAAUGAAAGAAUGUGUCCACUGGGAAUUAUGGUUUUAUUUGAUAUUAUAUUUCCUUUUCCUCUCUUUUAGUGGCCCUCUGCAAGGACGAAAAUAUCGGACCUAUAUCAGUGAUAUAUCGGCUGAGGUGAUACAAGCAAAAUAUAAGCCCUAAAUGAAAAAUAAUCUUUGAAAUUUUGGACGCUGAAAUUUUCUCCUAAAUAAAUAAGUUAAUUUUAAUUAUGUUAUAAUUUAUUUUGUAUACUAAUUAAAUAUAAAAUAAAUAUAAAAUCAUAAAUAAAAUUAUCAAUAUUUUUAAAUAAAAAUAUUUUGUAUCAAAAUAUACCAAUAUUUUUAAAUAAAAUUCAUAAAUAUAUUUAAAUAACAUAAUUAGUAUAUUUGUAAUAAUUUGGUUUUAAAUUAAUAAUUUUAUUUUAUUUUGAUAUUCAAGAAUAAAUUAACUUAGUACAUUUUUAAAUCAAUAUAACAUUGAAUUUAAAUUAGUAUAUUUUUACAAUUAAUUAAAAUAUUUUUAAUAAAGGUAAGUAAAUUAACUUAAAAUAUUUAAAUCACAUAAUUAUUAUAUUUGUAAUAAUUUAACUUUAUAAUGAAUCAGUCUAUACUUACAAAAUUCACAUUUCUUAUCAGUUGACAUUAUAUAAUUAAAUUUAAUUUCGCAAAUUAUAUCAUACAUAUAUUAAUUUUUUCAAUAAAACAACUUUAAAAUGUCUAUUAUACUUAUAAUUUUAUUUUUAAAAGUUUUUUCUUACAUUUUCAUAAGUUUUGAUGAAUAUUUGGUUUAUCUAUAUUUUGUGUCAAAAUAUCCGUCGAUAUAUCUCCAAUAUAUCCGUUAUUACUAAUAUAUUCAUACUUGCUUGUAGCUAUAACAACACUGCAUGAGUUGAUACACAUAAUACCUAAUAUCCAUUGUUUACAGCUAGGACAGUGGGAUAUCUAAUCUCAUUUGCUCCCCAAACUUUUGUCUCUCGUUGUCAUUGUUGGCCAAUAGAGAUCUUUUCAAUCUCUACACAUUUCACCGCUCCACCAGAAAUUCCUUCUGCCUCUAUCGUACUCCACCUUGGCAAUUUCCACACCUUGUUUAUCUUCAAAUUGAUAAAUGGUAGUUUUUUCCAUUCAUGUAUAGAGUAUAUAUAGAGGGUAAUCACCAUUCUAAGAAUGAGAAGAAAUGAUACAAGGAAAGAAUGAUAUAAGGAAAUAACAACUAAUAUCCUAAUAUCUCAAUAUUCUUAAUAUCUCAACUUUCCUAAUAUUUAAACAUUCCUAAUAUCCCAACAUUAAAUAAUAUAAGGAAAGAAUGAUAUACGGAAAACAUUCUUAAUAUCUCAACACUCCCCCUCAAGUUGGUGCAUAGAUGUCACACAUGCCCAACUUGUCUAAAAAUUUUGAGAACACUUGACUUGAGACAGCUUUGGUGAGGAUAUCGGCCAAUUGAUCUUCUGAUCGAAUCUUAGGCAAUUCCACAAUCUUAUCAUCCAACUUUUCCUUAAUGAAGAAUCUAUCCACAUCGACAUGCUUUGUACGAUCAUGUUGUACUAGAUUAUGAGCAAUGUCACAUGCGGCUUUAUUGUCACAAAACAAUCGGAUUGGUUGCCUAGAUAGGUAACCUAAAUCCUGUAAGAGAAGUCUUAGCCAUAAUGCCUCACAAAGUCCUAGAGCCAUACCUCUAAAUUCUGCUUUUGCACUUGAACGAGCGACGACAUUCUGCUUCUUACUUUUCCAUGUCACAAGAUUACCACCUACAAAAGUAAAGUAACCAGAUGUAGAUCGCCUAUCAUCCACUGCACCGGCCCAAUCAGCAUUAGUAUAUACUUCUAUACUCUGAUGAUUAACAUUUUUAGCAAACAAAAUUCCCUUCACAUGAGCAUUCUUCAAAUACCUCAAAAUACGCAUAACUGCAUUCAUAUGUUGCUCUCCAGGAUUAUGCAUGUAUUGACUCACUACACUCAAUGCAUAAGCAAGAUCUGGUCUUGUAUGAGCUAAGUACAUUAAUCUCCCCACAAGUCUCUGGUAUCUUCCCUUAUCGGUUGAUACUUGAUUAGAUUCAACACACAAUUUUAGACCUUCUUCUAUUGGUGUAUUAACAGGUUGACAUCCCGACAUUCCAGUCUCCUAUAAAAGAUCUAAGACAUACUUUCUUUGAGACAGAAAAAUUCCUUCAUUUGAUCGAGAAAAUUCAAUCCCAAGAAAGUAUUUCAGAUGACCUAGAUCUUUCAUUUCGAAUUCUUUAGAUAGAUAAUUUUGCAGAACUUUUCUUUCUUCAGGAUCAUUUCCUGUAACUACCAUGUCAUCCACAUAUACGAUGAGUGCGAUAAUCUUAUCAUGUUGCUUUUUCAGGAACAAAGUGUGAUCUGAAUUACUUUGACGAUAGCCAAAAGCUCUCAUUGACUUUGUGAACCUUCCAAACCAUGCUCUCGGGGAUUGUUUCAACCCAUACAAUGACUUUUUCAAUUUGCACACCCUUUGACAUUGCUUUUCUGACAUCAUGCAUCCUGGUGGAAGAUCCAUAUAUAUUUCUUCAGAUAACUCACCAUGCAAAAAGACAUUUUUCACAUCGAACUGUUGUAAUGGCCAAUCUAGGUUUGCAGCUAAAGACAGUAAUACUCAAACUGUGUUGAUCUUAGCUACAGGUGCAAAUGUCUCUGUGUAGUCAAUUCCAUAAGUUUGAGUGUACCCUUUUGCUACCAAUCUUGCUUUAAAUCAUUCAAUACUACCAUCUGUCUUGUACUUCACAGUAUAGAUCCAACGACACCCAACUGGCUUUUUUCCUGGUGGACAUUCUACGAGUUCCCAUGUUUCAUUCUUCUGCAAUGAUUUCAUCUCUUCAUUCAUAGCUGCUUUCCACCUUGGGUCAGCUAAGGCUUCCUGCACACUAUUAGGAAUAGCUACAGUAGAUAAUUGAUUUACAAAUGACUUAUUUGAUUCAGACAAACGAUGGUUAGACACAUAAUUGCUCAUGAGAUAUUUGACUUUGGUAGACAAUUCAGGUUCAUAUGUGGGUUUAGGAAUACCUCUAUUAUGACGGUGUGGUAACCGUUUCAUGAAUGAAUCAGGUUCCAAAUUAAGAACACCUUCAACAAACAAUGAUUGGUUUGGUAUUUUAGUGAAGACAUCUUCAGACCCAAAUUGUUGACCACUCAUAUCCAACUCACCCGCUUCUUGGUUCACUAGUUCAGAUUGUCCAGAUUCAUUAACUUCAGGGGGAGUACCAUAAGGAAAUUCAGACUCAGAUGAAAAAUACAUUGAAUCUUCAUGAAACACCACAUCCAUUGUAAUAUACAUUUGUUGAGUUGGAGGAUGGUAACAUCGAUAUCCCUUUUUGUGCAAUGCAUAUCCAACAAACACACAUUGCAAUGCAUGGGAAGUUAACUUGGUGCGUUGGUGUUUGUGUAGAUGCACAAAUGCCACACAACCAAAAACACGAGGAGGUAGAUUUGGGACAGUUGGGGUAACUACGGCAUUAGUAAGAGCUUGGAGAGGUGUUUGGAAGUUAAUUGAGCUGGAAGGCACCCGAUUGAUCAAGUAUGCGGUAGAUGUGAUUGCUUCUCCCCAAUAAGAUAUCGGUGUUUUUGCUGCUAUCAAGGAAGCACGAACAACCUCUAACAAGUGCCGAUUUUUCCGUUCAACGACUCCAUUUUGCUGGGGUGUAUUGGAACAAGUAGUCUGAUGAAUGAUGUCAUGUCCUUCCAAAUACUUUUGAAGAUCAGAACUUUGAUAUUCUCCACCAUUAUCACUACGCAGAACCCGAACCUUUGCAUUGUACUGAGUUUCAAUCAUUUUAUGAAAAUUUUAAAACAACAAGUUCACUUCAUCUUUGGUCUUCAUCAAGCGUAACCAUGUCAUUCUGGUACAAUCAUCAAUAAAAGUAACAAACCAACGUGAGCCACUCAAAGUUGGGACUUUGGAUGGGCCCCAAACAUCGGAAUGUAUAACCAUAAAAGGAAACGGACUUUUGUUCAAAAUUAACGGAAACGAAACACGAUGGCUUUUAGCCAAUUCACAAAUAUCACAACGGAAACCAAAAAUAUCACUCUUUGCAAACAAACUAGGAAACAAUUUUUUUAAAUAACCAAAGGAAGCAUGUGCCAGACAUCGAUGCCACAACCAAAUUUCAGACUUUUUAUUCUCCCCCUCAGAUCCAUCUGCCAUCAAGGCUUGUUGCAACUUAUUUGAAUCCUUUGACUGCAAGUCCAAGUAAUAGAGUUUUCCCCGCUUAAUACCACAACCAAUCGUCUGUCUUGUUUGGAUGUCCUUAAUCACACAAAAUUCAGGCCAAAAAAUGACAAUACAAGAUAAGGCUGCGGUGAUUUGAGAAACUAACAAAAGAUUGUAAUCUAAAGAUGGAACAACUAAAACAAAAUCCAAAUUCAAAGUAUCAGUAAAAGUUAAGGAUCCUUCCCCAAUGACUAGGGUUGUGUUACCAUUGGUUGUGGAAACAAUUUUUUGUGAGGAAGGUCUAAAGGGUGAAACCUGUCUAGAAUCAAAAGUCAUAUGAUCUGUAGCACCAGAAUCAAUUAUCCAUGCACUAUUAAUAACAGGUGUAAAAGUAUUUAAAAACUUACCACCAUGAUCUGUAGCGGCUACCAAUGCAGAGGCUUUCUCAACAACAUUAACCUCUGUUUUUAUUUCGGCAACAGUUGCAAUCGAGGUUUUCUUGGAAUCCUUCUUUUGUUAAUCACGAUUAUUAUCAUUAAUAACAAAGUGUUGAUAGCCUAAACAUGAUCUAAAGGUCCAUGAUUCAAACCCUCGGUUCCUCAUUGUUUUCCUGGUCAUACCAAGAGUUGUUGCUUUGAAAUUGUGGGAUAUCCAGAUUGGUGGGAUCAAUCUUAUUGCAGUGAGUGCAUUUGAAGGUUGACUUAUCAAUAUUAGGGCUUGUCUUAGGAUGGAUGAUCGCUGUCGGACUACCAUAGCGACAAAAUAUCCAGGAUUUCAGUUCUCUGGCUCUGAUACCAUCUUCAAAUUGAUAAAUGAUAGUUUUUUCCAUUCAUACUUUCAUUCGUUCAUGUACAGAGUAUAUAUAGAGAGUAAUCACCAUUCUAAGAAUGAGAAGGAAUGAUACAAGGAAAAAAUGAUAUAAGGAAAUAACAACUAAUAUCCUAAUAUCUCAACUUUCCUAAUAUCUCAAUAUUCCUAAUAUCUCAAUAUUCUUAAUAUCUCAACUUUCCUAAUAUUUAAACAUUCCUAAUAUCCCAACACUAAAUAAUAUAAGGAAAGAAUGAUAUACGAAAAGCAUUCCUAAUAUCUCAACAAUCUAGGGUUGAGCGCUGGGAUUUGACGACAGAUUUAACAUGACUUAAAGUAACUUAAUGAUUUAAUUUAAGUUAUUAAAUGAAUUAAGCAUGUUUGUUAAAAUAACUUAAUAUUACAACUUAAAGUUAAAAAUGAUUUUAAAUAUUAAAUCAUAAUAGUUAAUUUAUUUUUACUUAUAUCUAAAAUCAUUUUUAUAAAAAAAUCAAAAUUAAUAUAAAUUAAGUCAAUAAGUCACUAAAUUGAUUUAACAAAUAACAUGUACUUACUUUUGAAUGAACCUUUUAUUCAAAAAGUAUAUAAAUUAGGAUUAAAACUAUAAACUAUAAUAUUCAUUUCAGACCAACACUUCCAUGAAAACUUAAACAAAAUCUAUUGACCCAAUAAUUCCAGUUGUGAUCACAACAACGCUCUCAUGUGAUAAUAAUGUCAUUGCGUUUCUUUUACUCAUAUGUCAAUCCUUCUUUUUUAGGUGCCUUUUUAUGUUUUUUUAUUUUUAAAAAUAAAUAAUAAUAAUAACUUUUAUAUAAAGUCCAAGAAUUAUAAAAGAUCAAUAUUAAAAAUCCAAUGAUUUUUAAAAACUGAUUAAUAGCCCGUUUGGCAGUGAUUUUUAAAAGUGUUUCUACCCUUAAAAACACUUAAAGUGUUUUUGGGAUGAAAAUAAAGUGUUUGGCAAUUUUUAAAAAACACUUUUGAAAAUCUGGAAAAACACUUGAAGUGAUUUUUAGAGAAUCACUUGACAGGUGUUUUUUUAAAAAAAACACUUCAAUUUUUUUGAAAUAUUCCAAAAAUGCCCCCAGUGAUUCCCGAUAUCUUUCUUCUCUUUCGUUCAUACCUCUCUCCUUUAUUCUCCUCCUCCAUCGCUCUCCAUCUGAGACAACAUAGUAAACCUCUAUUUUCAUUCGAGAUCGUGGAUCGAAGGUAACCCUCUAUUCUUUUUUUGUUUUCCUUUUCCAUAUUUUUUUUAAUGUCUGAUUGCCUUGAAAUGUUAGUUAGGGUUUUGGGUUUUAGGAUUGUUUGGUUAGGAGGAAAGUAUGAGAAAAUGAAAUCUGUAAAUCCUCAAAUGUUUUUAUAAAUUCUCAAUCAGCAGUAGCUUCAGAAGGCCACUCUACUGCCACUACUCCCCAAUCUCUGUUUCUCCUCGGAUUCUCUCUUCUGUACGUUUAUUAUUUAUUUUUAUUUCUGUUUUGUUUAUUCAAUUCUUGUUUUUAUUGUUCAAUUUCUCUCCGUUUAAUUACAAUUUCUUUUUAUGUUUUUCUUUUUUAUGUGAAAGAUGUUAAAAAGAAAUAUCAAACUAUGCAUGUUUUUCUCUGUUUUUCUUGAUGAGUGGUGGGGAAACUGUGCUAUAGAUUAUGUAUAUGCCCUUUUGCCUGUUUGGUUGUUGAGAAAAUGUGAUAGAGCAAUUUGAGAAUUGAAAUUGUGAGCGGGUUUUUUUUUUAAAAAAAAAAAUUAAUUAGUUUUUUUAUUUUUUGAGAUCCCAAGAAAGUAAACCUCACUUGGAAGAGAUUCAACCAAUCAUUUAGGUUAGUUGAGUUGAUUCUUUGUUUUCAGUGUUUCCUUUCUUUUCUGUCAUUUUCUGGGCUACCAAGCAGAGGGGUUUGGGGUUUUUUAUCCCCUUAUAAAAGUUGCAAUUUUGAAGUAAGACACAAUGGUAUGUAAUUAGAGUACAUUUAACAUUCUCUCUCUCUCUCUCUUUUGUUACUCUUUUUGAUUGAGGAUUGUGUUGAUAGUGAUAGAAAGAAACUUGAUACUGAACUUGUUUCAUGAAUUCCCUUUUGUAAUUUUCUUUUAAUUUAAUUUGGAAUAUACCCUUGUUAAAAUAGAAUAAAUUGAACUGCAUUUUAUUACAUAUGGGCAAUGUUACCAAAAAAAAAAAUUCAAGGAAAAAAAUAAGCGUUUCCAGUUGAUCCCAAUCAGCCACACAACUCAUUCCAUCAUCUCAAAAACCUAAAUAGUUAAAAACAUUACUGAAAAUGAUACCCGGGAUAUAACCCAAACCCAAUCAAUCAAUUUUUGAUCGGGUUGUAUUCAGGGUUAUGAAAAAACCUUUUGUUUGGCUCAAUGCCAGGCUCAACCUAAGAAUUCUUGUAAGUGCAAUAGAGGGAUUAAUGAGACUACAGUUUUGAUACAAUUAGGUUGCCCCAGUUGGAUGGAAGAGGGAAAGGAUAAGCCAAGUCCAGUUCUCGGUAGGUCAGCUACUAGGAAACCUUUAGUCGAUUAUAAUUGGACCUUUUUCAAUCUUUACUAGUGUGUUUGAUGUCAUAGAAACUGUGGUUACACUGAUCUGGCGGAGCCACAGAAUGGCACCAUGUCAUUAAAGAUUCUAUGACAUCACUUUCAGUCUUUUCUCAAAAUUUUAUUUUAUAGUAAUAUAAUUAAAAUAUAUUUUUUUUAUGUACAGACCAGUGUUCCAUAUGUAAGUUAAUCGUCCCUUCAUCAUCUGCAUAGUAAUUGUGCAGGUGAUGUAUUCAUCAAUUGUCAUGAUUGCUUCACUUUAUUAGUAGAGACCCGACUUUAGGGACUUAGAGGGGUGCUACGGUCUUUACCGUACCUUCCCGAUAAGUAACCUGACCCUCGAACCCGAUCCGGUUUUUUACAGACCACCUUUUCCAAAACAAGGAGUCAUACUUAGGGUUUUUCUUUCUUAUUUUGUUUACCCUUUAAAAAUAAAACAAAAAGAGACAAAACAGCAGGGUUAGCCAAUGAAGUAAUUGAUGUUUGGUUCGAUAUGAAGAGUGGGUUAUAUUCAGAACAUUAAUCCAUUCUGCAUUACCUAUUCUAGAUUAAAGCAUGGUCCACACUAGCAAAUUAUGGAAAUUCUAAACUUUGCACUGAUUGUUUAUCAAUUAAUGGACCACAUAUAUUCUUGAUGUUUUGUUCCUUAAUUCUUUCUUUAUUCUUCAUUUUAAUUGUGUGAUUCUUUGUUUGAAAAUUAUUAUUUCUCUAAAAUAUAUAUAUUUUUAAAUAGAGAAUGUCUAGCAAUAUUGUUCAACCAUUUCAACAACCAAGUGGUGGAGAAAGUGAAAAACAAAGCAACGCUUAUUGGGAUGAUAUUACAAUGGAUGCUUUUAUCAAAGUUUGUGUGACUGAGACUUUGGCUGGAAAUAGACCAAAUAGUCACUUUAACAAGUUGGGAUGGAAAAAUGUGAUAAAAGCCUUCAACAAUUUGACUGGAAGAAACUAUCAAUAUAGGCAACUUAAGAAUAAAUGGAGUUCUCUUAAAAAGGAUUGGCAACUUUGGAAUACCUUGAUUGGGAAAGAGACUGGCCUUGGGUGGGAUCCUAUGAGACAAACCAUCAAUGCAAGCAAUGAAUAGUGGGAUAAGAAAUUGAAGGUAUGUUUUGUUUAUUCAUUAAAUUUAUUUGAUUAAUUUAUAUAUUGGUUAUGAAAUAUGAUAAAUUAAAUACUCUUGUAGGAGAAUCCUGAAGCAAUAAAGUUUAAAACAAAAGGCUUGAAAAAUGUUGAGCAAUUAGACAUACUUUUCAAAGAUAUUAUUGCUACUGGUGAAGGAGCCUGGGCACCAUCACAAGGCUUUGUAGGACAAGAGGUUGAUGAUUCAUCUAAUGUGGGGGAACACGAAGAUAAUAUAAUAGAAGACCAAGAUGACUCUAGUUGCAAUCCGCCACUUGAUACUAUCUUCAAUGGUUUUGAAGCUACUACUCAACCUUCUAUGGCAAAAAAGAAUAAAGGAAGAAGAAAGAGGAAAAUAAAUGAAACCAAAUCUGAGCUUGUGGCUAUCCAGUUAGAGCGCAUUUGUAGUGCUGUGGAGAAUAGGUCUUCUAUCUCAUCUAAAGGAGAUAAGCCAGGUUGUAGCAUUUCUGAAGUGAUGAAAAUCAUACGUGGGAUGCCUGAAGUGAAGAAUGACUUUGAGUUAUAUAUGAAAGCCACAGAUAUCAUGGUUGUCAAGGAAAAUAGAGAUAUGUUUGUUGCAUUAGAAGACCCAAUUGAUCAGAUGGCAUGGCUUAAACAUAAACAUGUUUGAGUUUUAGAGUUGUUUCUUGUUUUUAUAUGGAAACAUAUUUUUGUUACCUAAUAUUGUUUAGUUGUUAGGUUGAGGGGAGGAAAGAGAUGUUGGUUUGCUUUAUGUUAGUUGUUAUUUUAUAUUUCAUCUUAGUCAUUUAACUUUUUUUUUUAGGUUUAUUAUUUCUAUAAGAUAUUUUUUUUAAUACAAAAUGUCUAGUAAUGGUAGGAAUUCUAAACUUCAAUUGUGUACUUUCUAAUUUUUUAAAAUAACUAUAGUAAUUGAAAAUAUACAUUAUUGUUGUUUAUUAACAUAUUUCCUUUUUUAUUUGUGUAGAUGCCUUCUAAUAAUAAUGAUCAAAAUUUUGAUGAUGAAAGCGAUGAUGAACAUGAUUUUUAUCAGUUGGUGGUUGCGGGUUGUGCUGCAGCUGCAACAUUUACUAGUUUCAAAGAAAAAAAACCUUGUAGAACUUCUUCCCACACAUGAUACAAGUUUGUAAUGGAUGUCUUAAAUGGCCAUGAAAUUAGGUGUUUUGAGCAAUUUAGAAUGGAAAAACAUGUGUUUAUGAAUUUAUUAGAAACACUUACUAAAAGGUAUGGCCUAAAAGAAGGUUUUGAUAUGCCCUUAAUAGAGGUUUUAACAUUGUUUCUCACUACAAUAGGUCAUGGACUAAGCAAUAGGAUGAUUCAAGAAAGAUUUCAACACUCUGGUGAAUCUGUAUCUAGAUGGUUUGAGAUUGUAUUAGAUGUUGUUUGUCUUAUGGCUGUAGAUAUUAUAAAACCAAGUGAUCCACAGUUUAAGGAAGUCCCUGAUAAAAUAAGAAAUGAUGAUCGGUAUUGGCCAUAUUUUAAGAAUUGUAUUGGGGUAAUUGAUGGAACUCAUAUACCUGUUGUGGUUCCUAGAGAUAGAAAAAUACGAUAUAUUGGUAGAAAAGGUGUGACUACCCAAAAUGUUAUGGCAGUAUGUGAUUUCAAUAUGUGUUUCACAUUUGCAUGGGCCGGAUGGGAAGGUGCUGCUCAUGAUGCACGAGUCUUUUUAGAGGCAUUAAGAAGGCCAGAAUUGGGUUUUCCUCAUCCACCUAGAGGUUUGUGAAUGAUAAUAUCAAACUUGUUUUUGUGAUCAAAUUUUUAUUAUCUAAUAUAUAUAUUUUUUUUUUUGUUUUAUAGGUAAAUAUUAUUUGGUCGAUGCUAGUUAUCCUCAAAUGAGUGGAUAUUUAGGCCCUUAUAAAGGCAAGCGUUACCAUCUUCCAGAUUUUCGACGAGGUAGUUCACCUAAAGGUAAAAAGGAAAUAUUUAAUCAUAGGCAUUCAUCCUUGAGGUGCACAAUUGAGAGAACGUUUGCCGUUUUGAAGAAUAGAUGGAGAAUGCUACGAGAAAUGCAUAGUUUUCCUCUUGAGAAACAAGUAAAGAUCAUUAUUGCUUCAAUGGCUCUUCACAACUUCAUAAGGAUUAAUGCUAGAAUGGAUAUGGAAUUUAAACCUUAUGAUGAUGAUCAAGGGUUGCUUCCACUUAAUGAAGAAGAGAGUAGAGUGGAUUCACUUGUUGAGGAAGAUGAUUCACAUCAUACAAGAGAGAUGGAAGAACAACGUGAUCGAAUUGCAAAUCUUCUCAUAUCUCAUUGAUGUUUGAUUAUGACUCUAAUAUGUAAGAAUAUAAUUUCCCCCAAUUUUUUUGCUAUGAAAACACUUGUCUUCUUAUUUACUUUUAAUUAUAAUUUUUUUUUUUGGGAAACUAAUAGGUAAUCAUAUAUUGUUUUACUUUGAAAUUUAUCUUUUAUUCAAUGUUCUUUUUUAUUGAUUUAGAUAUUUUUUGUAAAUAUUUUUAAAAAUUUUAGUAUAUUGAUAAAAAAAAUUAUUAUUUUUAAUUAGAAAAAUCUUUUUUUUUUUUAGAAAUUAAUAGGUGGUCAUAUAUUGUUUUACUUUUAAAAUUAUCUUUUAUUCAAUGUUCUUUUUUUUUUAUUGAUUUAGAUGUUUUUUGUAAAUAUUUUUUAAAAUUUUAGUAUAGUGAUAAAAAAAUUAUUAUUUUUAAUUAGAAAAGUUUUUUUUUUUUAUAGAAAUUAAUAGGUAAUCAUAUAUUGUUUUAAUUCUAAAAUUAUCUUUUAUUCAAUGUUAUUUUUUUAGUGAUUUAGAUGUUUUUUCAUUAAUAAAAAGUUUUUUUGUUUAUCAUACCAUUUUUUUUAAUUAAAAUUGUAUGUCCUUUUUGGUAAUUUAUUAAUAUUAAAAGUGUUUUUAUAUUUAUACAAUAUAUUAUCAAAAACACUUUAGAAUCAUUUUUUCUGAUUAUCAUAAAAGUGUUUUUCACAGAAACACUAUAGCAGAAAAUACUUCAAAUAAAAACACUUUCACUAAAAUCACUACCAAACAGGCUCUAAGAAAAUUGAAGUUUUUAAAAAAAUUUACCUCAAAUUUUAAAAUUUUCUUAAAGCAAUUUUUGAGAAUAUAAGGUAAUUUUAUAUUUUUUAUAUCAAAAUAUUUAUUUUUAUCAUAUUGUGAUUGUAAUUAUAAUAAUUUUUAAGGGUGAAUUUCAUUAACCUUUCCUAAAAUUUUAAUUAAAUAUAUUUAAUUUUCAAUAAUUUGAAAUUUCAUCAAAUAUCCUUUCUAUUUUUUGCCCUUUAGAGGAUAAUCAUGACCCAUGUCGAGCCUAGUGGAUUGAUGCUUGACUACUAAAAGGACUUUCAAGACAAGUUUUUGAAAGGUUUGGUAGUUUAGGGUUUACCAUUACUAUAUAUUCAAUGUAUGCAUCAUGUCAUUCUUAAAUUUAGACAAUAGGAUUUGUUUGAGAAUUAUUUUUUGUAAAAAUAAUUUUUUUGUUCUUAAAAAUAAAAAAUUAUUUUCCAAAUUUAAAAAAAAAAACAUUUGGUGAUUUUUCUUAUGUUAUUUUGAAAAAUGGAGUGUCUUUUAAAAUAUAUUUUAAUUAAUUUCAACUAUUUUCAUAUGUUUUCUAGGGAUUAUUUUAUAAAAUAAUUAUAAAAUAUAAAGAAUGAUUGACAAUAAAAUAAUAUGAAUAAAAUUUAUUUUUAAGAAAUAUUUAAAAACACAUAAAAUAGGAUGAUAAUAUUCAAAGUAGCCAAAUAAAUUUUUAUUCUAAAAAAAAUAUUAUAAAACUAUUUUUCAAUACUAUUUUUUUAUCAUUGUUUUCACAAACAUUCCCCAAAAAAGCCUUAUAGAUUUUUAUAAAGAAACCCUAUAUAACUUAACUCAAAGUUUAAAUAAUUCUUUUUUAUGUAAGUAAAUUACAAAGUAGAGUAUCUACAAAUUCAAUUAAAAGAUGAGUCUCGGCAAUCUUCAAAACCAAACUUUAUAAUAUUUCUUGAAAAUUUUGAUCUCCAAUUGAUAAACUCUAUAUUACAAAUACCUUUAUUACCUAAACAAUCUAUUGUUCUAUUUGUUUCUUAGUAAAUUUCAUGACAAUUAUAAAUAUUUAGAUCAUGAGUUCAUUUUCAAACAUCCUUCAUUAAUAAUAUAAUAUAAUUAAGAAUAAUGCUCUUUUUUUUUAUAAUAAUUUAUUUUUACUUUUAAGUAACAUUCAAUCUCUAAGUUUAAGAAGUCAUUAUUCUUAGCAGCCAACACGCCAUCUAUUAAAACCAUAGAUUUCACAAUAAUUAUUGAUACAUUACCCAUAUACCUACUUACAUACGAAUCAUGAUGUAAGACUAUCAGGUUGUCAUUAGUAUACGGUUACACAUUAAAUAAGACUUACAAUGAAUUAUAAAUAAGACAAUCGAGUUUGUCAUAAUUCACUGAGCUACUAUAUUGCAUAGACUUUCAACAUUAAAAAGAUAUUAGGCCUAUGUUGAAAUCAACAAGAAGAUUUGACUUAUGGGGGUGACUCUUAAAUAGUUAUAUAUUUCCUUUGAAUUAAGUCACUAUUAAUAAAGGUUGACGACAACAAAUAUUCUCAAUAGAGACAUCAUGAUAUCUCAUGGGAUUGAGAUAAUGUAUUCCUUUAAGAGAUCCAAAUGACAUGUAAUUAUGAAAUUUGUGGUCAUAGUAAUUCCUUAAGUGGAAUUUGACAUAUAUUCUUUACGAAUUAGAGUAUGUCAGUUGAUAACAUAAUCGAAGAAUUUAUAAUUUGUUUUAUAAGUUAGAGAAAGUACACAAUUUUACUUAAUUCACACGUAUUUAUUCUCCAUAGUUUUACUUGAUGCCUUGUGCUCCCUAAUAGAUGACCUUAACCCCCUAUUGAAGCUAACGAAUCAAUACACCUCCAUGCCUUUCUAUUGAAAAGACUUCUAAGUUCUUAAAAUGUUAGAGAUUUUAGAGUUUUAGGAUAGAGCUAUGAUUGUGUAUUUAAUAUGUACAUCCUCUUUUUCGAGUUUAAAGACUAGAUUUUUAUAGAGAAACCCCAUAUAACUUAUUCAAAAUAGGUUUUAAAAGUGCAAAAUUACUAAAAGGUAUAGUUUAAAGAAUUAAAAAUCAUUGAUUUUUUUAAAAAUAUUAUUGGAUAUUCAAACCACUCAUAUAGGAGUGUUUGAAUGUUGUGAGGCAUUUGAACUUUCCAUGAGGUAGCAUGCAAACAAUGUAGGAUGUUUGAAUGCCCUAAAAAGGGCGUUCAAAGGUCCUUUUGUGUUUUCCCACCUUAUUUUAUUUUUCGUCAUAAAUUUACUUUGAAUUUCAAUUCAAUUCCAAAUUUAAUAUUUAUUGUAAUAUCAUAACACUCCAAAUAUAUAUUUACCUCAAUCAAAUUUCAAGUUUAAGUAUAUUAAACUUACUCAUGAUGGUAAAUGACAAAAUCAAUGCAUAAAUGAAAUACAAAUUGUCAAACUAAUCUAAAACAUCAUCACGUAGUUGUGAUAUGACUUUAUUUUAUUUUUCACUUUUUGAGUCUAUGCAAUUGAAAUAGACAUCUUUCUUCUCCUUCUUCAUUUUGACAUUAAUAUCCGUGUAAUCGCGAACACACACAUAUCUUAAAAUUACACAUACAUAUAUCUUAAAAUGAGAGUCAUUGAGAGCUUGGAAUGGUUGACAUUUCUUGAUGUUUGUUAGAAAGUAACAUCAUCUCUUAUAAGCUAAUUUUAGUUUCUAAUACGUUGCCUUCUUUAUUGUGAUUUGAAGUAUUAUUAUUAUUAUAAGAAAGUGAUUAUUAUAGGCAAUCGCUUUUAUAUCGUGAUUAUUAUAUACAAUCAACUUUAUACCGUGAUUAUUAUAUACAAUCAACUUUAUACCAUAAACACUCGAACGUAAUAAAAUUUGUCAAUGACAGAUUCAUCAACUUGUUUUGGAUAACGAUCUGAAAGACAAUUUUUUUCCUUUUUAUUUUUAUAACUAAUUUUAAUUACACAUUGAUUUUUAAUAAAAAUGUCUUUAUCAUCUUCCGAUCUAACUUCUAUUGCUACACAUGGUAAGAAACCUACGAAGACCUUAAGUGAUGACGACAAAAGAUAUUCUGUCUCCAACUCUAAGUCUUAUUGAGGUUUUGUACGGAGAUGCCUCCUAUUAACGAAGAGUGAACUGAUAAUCAAGUGUAAACAGCGACUGAAACUUGGGAUCAUUCUAAAUUUUUGUGCUAAGGACUAUACUUUAAAUGGUCUGAACAACAUGAAUAACAUCCAAUAAUGUCAUGAAGGGCUUAUGAAUUGCAGGAAGACAACCCUACUUACCUGAAAGAUAAAAGGCAUGUUUGGGCCCUCCAUUUUAUUGUACCACUCGAGACCCAUUUAAUUUGAAAUAUAAAAAUUUAGGAGAUGGCCCUUGUGAUCUCAAAUUUUGAAAUUUGAAGCUAUACAACCAAAGGAAUAGAGAGUAGUAAUUAAAAUAUUUUUUAUAUUUUUAAUUAUUUUUUAACCAAAUUAAAAUAAAAUCAAACACUAGAAAAAGGUUAUAAAUUUCUUCUAAAAAAUGGUUUCAAAAUAGACCUCAUAAUGUUUUAUAAUUAUGGAUAUAAGUAUCCAUUUUGAUACAUUUUUAUUUUUUUGUUUUCAAAAUAUAAAUAAUAAUAAUUUUUAUAUAAGAUAUAAGAAAUUUUAGAUAUUUUCAUCGAACAUGUAAUAAUUUUAAAAAAUUAAGGCAUUUAAAUUUUAAAAAUUUUGCAAGUGAUUUUAAAGAUAUAAGGUAAGUUUAUAAUUUUUUGUGGUCAAAGUUUCUAAUUAUAAAUAAAAAAAUUUAUUCUAAUUAUUUUUUAAUAAAGUAAUAUUUUAAUAUUUAAGAAAUUUAAUUUAAACAAAAGAGAAUGAAAUGAAUUUGAGGAUAUCACUUUCCUUUAUUGGGAAUCGUGUUUUUCAAAACAUUUUUCUUUAGAACCCGACAGGACCACGCAACUUAAACCUCAAGCGGGUCUAUCCACGUGGCGACCACUCUAAGGUUCUCAUUCUGAAAAAUACCGAAACACCCCCAAAAGGAGCACGUGCAUGCGCGUCGCUCCACAUGUCCAGAUCCGUUAAAGAGCGGGAAAAGCCAUUCAUUUCAAAUUCAAAAAUUUCAAACGGUUCUAAGCCAAAGCACAGUAAACACCGAUACCAAAAGCUCUUCUCUCUCUACAGUUUCAUCGCCUGCGAUUUCUACCAGUAUGAGGUAUUUCCAUUUGCAUAGAUCCGUUUCUUUUCUUCUUCUUUUUUUGCAUUUUUUAUUGUAUUUUCUAUCAUUUUUGUUCUCCGCAGAGAUGGAUUUUCGCGGUAUGAAGAGGAAACAACUACAAGCGCUGUGCAAGCAGCAUGGUGUUCCAGCGAAUUCGACGAAUCUUGAGAUGGCUGAUAGGCUCUCCUUGUUUUUUAAGGUUUGGAGUUUACCUUAGCCUUGUUUCCUUUGAUUUUUCUUCUUUUCUGAGAAUGUUCAGGAAAACACAAGAAAUUAGAAUUUUGUAAUUUUGUUUUUUCUCAACUGUUUUCCGUGUCACUAAAUAAGAAUCUUCAAUGAAAUGUGUCCGAUACAACUAUAUGUGGAAUAGAACUUAUAAUUUAGGAAAAGACAAGGAACCAAAAAAUUUAGUGAUUAAAUUUUUUUAUUGUUUUGGAAUAAAGCAAUGAAAAUCUUUACUAUAAUGAGUCCAAAUUCAAGUGUAUGGAACUGAAAUAAGGAAUAUGUCUCUUUUUGGUUGUGAGAAAAUUCAGGAAAAAAUAUGAAGUAAAAUAUUUAGGUAAUUCAGCUUUUCCAUUGUUUGAGGUUUGGGAAACAAGAGUUUUCACUGAAAUGAGUCCUUUAAAACUAUAUGGAAACUGAAAUAACAAGGAUUAAGUUCAGGGAAAGAAAAGGGACUAAAUUUUUUUGUACUUUUGCUUCUCAUCGAGUGGAACCUGGGAAAUAAUUCACUGAAAUGGGUGAAAUUCAAUUAUAUGCAAGCUAAAAUAAAAGGCAAUAUGAGAGUUAGAAGUUUGUUUUGUUUUCUUAAUUUACUUGGUCUCCCUGGCAACCUAACUGAGGUUGAACUUUAAUUGGGAAAUAGAUGCAUGAUUUUUUUCUGUAAUUCUUUGUUGCAGGAAAAGGAAAAACCAGUGACGCAAGGUCGGUCUUGCUUGAAGAAUCUGGAUGGGAUAGAUAGCCUAAAUGAUUCUAAUGCUGUCACCUGCGAUCCCAAGAGAGUUAGGUUUAGUCCUGAAAAUGAGACGUUUGAAUUUGAGGAUUCUGAGAUAGACAGGGAAAACACCCCAGCAAGAACAAGGGCGGCAAGGGCGGCAAGGAGGUCUAGGGUGAGACUGGCUAAAGAGAAAGUGAGUCCUGUUGGUGCAAAUGCUGGAAAUAGUGAGUCCUGUGAGGAAACUAAAGGUACUCUGAACAGAAUCACGAGGCACCAAGGACAAAAAAUCAUAGAGGGGCAUGCAGUGAAGUCUUCAUCACCUCUUGUUAAGGAAAAGGGGGCGAAAAAAGGCACAAAGAUCAAAAGUACAGUUUCAGAAAUUGUUGAUAAAAGUGCUAAGUUAUCCCCAGUAUUAGAAAUGGAUGACAAUGCACGUGGUAAAGAAAACGGAAGACCGAUAAGAAGGCAAUUGAGGAGUAGGGAGGUGGUAGUUGAGAAUGCCAGUGAACUAGGAAAUGAAGAUUCUAUCAUUCCAAAGAAGAAUCCAGUGCAGACAAGAUCAAAGAGGAGGAAUCCGAAAGAUAGUAAUGAGGUUCUUACCACAGAUGAAAUUUCCGAAGACAUUAUUAGUGAAGGAGAAGGUGAAAAAAUUGAAACUGGAAAGGUCUUUAGGCAAUCUAAACGGAAGGCGAUAGAAGAUGGCGAGUGUGAACUGUUUGGUGGGGAAUUGGGGAAAAGGAAAACGGUUGGAAGGAUCACAAGGUUCCGGGCCCAGUUGGUGGGGCGAGAAGCAUCUGCUGUUGAAGGUGAAAAUGAGACUGGAGAUGAAUCUGAAGUCCAGGUUUCAAAAGACUCUGAAGCUGUUCUUCAACUCAAAGAGCCUGCUAAGUUAGGUAGAAACACUUUGAGGCAGAAAUCUGCAAUUUCUCAAUCAGAUCCAUCUGUGAGAACAGAGACCAGAAAACAAUGGAAGGGCACAAGUUUGGAAGGAGGAGCCUCUGAGACUGAAGUGAGUAUGAAAGAGAAGGAAAAGGUUUCUCUACCUAAUGGCCCUCUAAGGAGGUCCAGACGCAACACUUUAGCAUUUAAGUCUACUGUUUCUCCUGAUGGAGGGUUGGUAACUCAUGAAGCUGUUGGAAGGAAUCAGCAAUUGAAGCACUUGGGAGAACCAAUUACAGAAAAAGAAGCCUCUAAACCUGAGGCAACUGCUGAAAUUUUGAAAGAAAAUGAGAAGGUUUCUCUACACAAUGGCCGUCUGAGGAGAUCCAGACGCAACACUUCAACAUUUAAGUCUAGUGCCCCUGCUGCUGAUGGAAAUUUGGUGACUGGCGAAACUGUUGGAAGGAAUGAGCAGUCAAAGUGCUUGAGAGAAUCAACUCCAGAAAAAGAAGCUUCUGUAACUGAAGCACCUUUGAGAAGGUCCAAGCGGAAUGCUUCUAGGCAUGAUUCAAUAUCUGCAUCCACAGGAAUGGAUGGCAUUCCUAAUGCCAUUGGAAAGAAUAAGCCACAGAAGAGAAGUCUGCAGCCAAUUCUCGAAGAAGAAACUUCUGUGAUUGAGAAGGAGCCUCUAAUUGAAGAACUUCCAAGACAAUCUAAAUAUAAUGCUUCCAAAUGUAACAUAGUUGGACCUGCUAGAGUAGCUGGUGAAGUUAAGGGAAAGAAGAAGCAGCGGAGGAGAUCAAAAUUUCCAAGCUCAAAAGGGGAAGCUCCAUUAACUGAAAGCAUGUUGGAUAUUGAAGAAACACCAGGCAUAGAUGUUGAAUUGUCAGAGCCAGAAGCUGCAGGAAGCAAAAGUUCAGUUUUGAUCCACCAAGAAGGAACUCCUAAAGAUAAAGAUACUAGUAAGAAGAGGAAGAGCUCCAGGAAGAUAUCUAGUGCAAAGAAGCAGCAACAUGGGUCAGUGGAGGUUUGCCCUGUAAUUUCUGACUUAGAGGAAGUUGAGGAUCGCACAACAGUGAAUUUCAAGGAUAUUCCAUCCCAAUCUGCAGCUGCCAUAGAGGAGGAUAUUGUUGAGGAUCUCACAACAGUGAACUUGGAGGACAUUCCAUCUCAAUCUGCAGUUUCUGUAGAAGAGGAUAUUUCAAUGGAAAAUGAUAAGGAAAAUUUGGUUCAAGAUAAAGUUAAUGAAGGUAACAAGGUUGAUAAAGAAUCUCAGUUCCACAACAUGAGAAGUGAUCUUGAUUAUGAUAAUUCAGUUGAACCACAAGGAAAUCAAUAUUCAAGUAGAGUUAGCAAGGAACUGGUCUCUCCAGUCUUUGACUUCUCAUCUGUCCAGCAACCAGAUUACACUGGUAAGUGUCUGUUGGCUUUUGGGACCAUAAUCGGUUUAGUAUUUUUUUCAUAUAAUUGAUUACUCAGUGAUCAACAAUUUUCAGGAUCAUCUGCUAAUCAUGUGAAGUUGCAGAGAGAACUGGAAACUGAAGAAGAGCUAUCUGCAGGCAAGCAUAUAGAUCCAGCAAGUGAUAUUUUUGUUGAUCUUGCAGCUGAAGAUGACAAAACUUCAGUUGAAAAGGAGCAGAAGUUAGGACUAGGAGAGAUGAAUGGUUGUGCUGAACCAGUCAUGCAUGAGUUAGAGGAGAAUGUAACUGAAUCUAAUGAAAGUGGCAGCUCAAAAAGGAACUUCGAAACUUUCAGUGAGGAAUCUGGAGAUAUUGCUUUGCUUAACCCCUCCAAUGGAGAACGGGCCACUCCAAAUAUAUCAGGGAGGAGAGAUAUUGAUGAUGCUGAAGAUCCUGAGGCUGCUGUUGAAUUUCCAGAAAAUGCUGUAGCUUCCCCUGUGGCAGAAAUUGUUGCAGAACAGGUUACAGAAAUCCAGCUUGCCUCAAGUGGUCAAUGGUCUACAGAGGAGACUCCUGUAAAGAUUGUUAUCACACCAGAAUGUCAAAGUAAGUGUGUACUGUAUCCUUUCUUUGUCAAUCAUUAGCCAUCAAAUGGUCUGAUGAUGUUAAAGUUAUACAUAAUUCAAGAAAUUCAUUUGGCCAUUUUCUUCUUUAUUGCAUCUGCUGUUAUAGAUGACAAAGUGGUUGGUUCUUGUUUGCACACUGUCUCAGCAGAUGAUGGUUCUCAAGAAGGUUAGUUCCAUUUAUACAGGGCACUGCAAUCUCCAGUGAGUUUUCUUGCUAAUUUUCUUUUAUUAAACAUGCAGAAGGGUAUCAACUCAAUGCUCAACUUGCUGCACAGUCCCCUGUGCUUGGAAGAAGCAAUCCAAAUCAUGGUGAAGGAGAAAAAUCUUAUAGUUAUGGGAAUGUUAUCAUGGAUGGAACAAUGUGCGGAGGUGAAUUGUCUGUUAGUGAUGCCAGGGAGCGAAGAGAGCAUCCUGUUUUAGACGAGUUAGAUGGUCAAAUUUCCGAGAAGAAGGAAAGUGUAAUGUCAAAGGGAAUCACAAGCGUUUCUAAGGAAAUAAAAGAGACAGGUAAACAUAUACUUUCCCAUAGAGAAGGAAUCUGUCCAAUUACCUCAGCAAAGAGUGAUUGAACUAUUCCUAUGUUAUUGCUCUUCAAUGACAGGCCAUGGGACACCCUCAUGCUCACUGUUAUUGCUUUAGUAACCGUAAAUUGUAAGAAAAGCCUAAUACCAUUCUUGUUCUUGGUUUCAGAUGUUUCCCACUUGGAUUUUCUAUUUGGAACAGCUUCUGGUAUUGUUGAAAGAAGUUUGCCAUCUUGUGAGCACACUCACUUGAAAGACAAAGGUGAAGAGGACCAAGGUUAGUUCCAUAGUUACUUGCUCAGCAUAGGUUACCCUUCAGCAAUUAUUUAAUUAACUCUUUUCUAUUUGAUGUGCCAAAGAUCAACUUAAAAUUCUGUUUGGCAUACUGGUUGACAAUACAGAUCCUAUGGAGCAAGAUGAAGAGUCUACGCAUGUAACUGAAAUGGCGAGCACAACAAUAUCUGCAGGCAAAACUUCCAGUAAUAAUUUGGGAUCUGGAAGGUUCCAUCAUGAGAAGUAUCAAGAAGAUGCAGGAGUAGGGGAAAGUGAUCAUGAGGGAAUAUCUAAUAUGGGCAAUCAAUCACCAGAUGUUAAUGAAGAUAUUUAUAAUGAGGCUUCCAAAGGGAACUUGGAAGUGGAAAUUACAGGACUGGAUGGCUGUGCCUAUCCCUUUCCAAACAAGUUCUCUAAAGAUGAUCAUGCUACAGUCGACAAAGAAAGUGGAGGCUCACAUGUUUACUCCAGAAAUGCUUCAGGAGAGGGCAGAGGUACAAAUGUGGUUGAACUUUCAGUUGGUGAAGGAAUGCCUCCAGGUGUCUCUAUUAUGGAUAAAACUGGAAAUGCUUCUGGGGAGGUUGAAGGGACAAAUGUGGAUGAACCAUCUUUUGAAGGAAUCACUCCAGCUAUCUUAGAAGAGAGAGUUAUUGCUGAAACCAGAGAUUUUGAAGAGGCUGAUAAGCUACUUGAAUUUAAUGCAGAAUCCCAUGUAACACCUGGAAGCACUGCUGGAGAUAUGGAGAAAGAAAUCUAUUUUGCCGAAAUUACUCAAUGUUCUGGUGGAAGUGGAUUUGAUCUUCCUCUCUCACAUGUCUAUGCCCUCGAGCACCAAGGUUUGGAACAAGCUAAUGCCUUCCAUUUUUUGGUUUUUAUUUUAUUUUUCAUUUUACUCUCUGGAAAUCCUUUCUCAUCAUGUUUUUUUUUAAGUACUUUCUCAUGUAACAUUCACAUUUUUAUUCUCAGCCUCUGGUAACGUCCACAAAGAAAUGUCUUUGAGCACACAGAGUCCUCACGUCCAAAAACAAGGUUUGUUCCAUUCUCCAGUGUCUUUUCAGGAUUGAAUGACCAGGCCAAGGUUUAAAAUAUUCUAUGUUUCAAUGUGCAGAAGGGAAUCAACUUGAAACAUUCUGUGUCAAUGAGGUUUUGAGCCAACAAACUAGUGGGGUUAAAAGUUUCACUCUGGAGGCACUUGCAAUGAGUAGUCCACCGUUGUUUUUAGAGAAGCUGUAUGGUCAUGAAGAGGAGGAUUCAGAGAUGAACUGUAAUGCUAAUACUGUUGUAGAUGAGCCUUUUAGCAAACAUAGUGUAGUAACUCUUGAUGGGAUUGAUGGCAAAGGCAUUGAAGAACACAUUUGUGUGACUAGUAGCAAUCUUGUCACAAAGAAAGAAAGUGCAGAGGUUUUGCCUGAAAUUGAGGUUGGUAAUGUUCAUGAUGAUCACCAUGUGGUGGUUGAACAAAUGAAUUACAAUGUUGAUGCAAGUUCGGCAGAGAGAAAUUGUAAAGAUAACAAGAUGUCUGAUGAAGCCAUUGCAGGGUUUUCUAGUGUUGGGUAUGUCACUCUUGUUCCUGGGGAGAAAAUUUCUGAGUUUGAGCCAGGAACUGAGCUUGGUGACAGCCAGGAGGUGACUGCACAGGCAAAUAUCAUCUUUGAUGCAAGUUUGGAUGAGAUCAUUUGUAAAGAAAGUGAAGCACUGGAGAAGACAACAGCUGGAAUUAAGAAAAGCACUUUGGAAGGCAUUGAGGAAAUCACUAUGCUGGAGGAAGAAAAUGGAGAGAUUUCAGCACCAAUUACUCAAACAAAGCUUGAUAGGGAGGUCUUAGAUCAAGGAGUUGAAUUUAUAAAGAUUAAUGGCAGUGCUCAGGUUACUUUGGUUGAGACUGUACAUGAAAAUGAUGAAGUUCCAGAAGAGAUUUUAGAUGAAGUUACCAGUGAAAAAAUGAUUUUGCUCCCUAUGGAAGCAGAUUUUGACUGUAAUGAAUUGAAUAUUGUGGGGGUAAAGAAUGAAAUCUCACUGCAACGUGAUGAAUUGAAGUCUAUUGAUCUUGAUAUUCAUGAUGCAAAGGAUAAAAGCAUCUUCAUCAAUUCAGACCAAUGUAGCUCUGCAGAUAGAGAAACUAUAGAUGAAAGAGAACAUUCAAGAAUCUUGGAAUGCAAAUUCAAUUUUGAAGGUAAUUGUUCUGACACAAAGCACACAGAUGUUGGUGCUUCACCACUGAUCAGUCUAAAAGAUUUUGAUGAUCAGAUAGAGGACGAGGAAGUUGCACACAUGCAUGAUAGUGAUCAUUGUCUUUCAUUGGAUCUUUUGAGCAACAACAGUAGAAUUGCAGCAACGAAAACACAUAAAACCAUUGCAGAAUCGGUUAUGCUGGAGGCAGAAAAUGGAGAGGCUUUUACCCCGUUUGGUUCAGAGGGGCUUGGUCAGGAGGUUUCAGAUCAUGGAGUUGAAUUUCCAAAUUCUGCAGCUUCAGACGUGAGUCAAGCUGUACAUGAAGCUGAUGAAAAUCUGGAUACAAAAUCAGGUGGGGGUGUAGAGAUGAUUUGGAAAGGGGAUGAAGUGAAGUUUGGUGAGCUUGAUGAUUCUAGAGAAGAGGUUCUCCCAGAGACUGACAAGAGUUCUUUAAUUGUUCCACAUGAACUCACUUCCACAGAUGGUGAAGCUGUGAAUGGAACCAUGAAAGAGAAUAGUCACUUUGAGGAUGUCAAUUUUGAUUCCAUGAAGGAAGAAGAUGUUAGCAAUUCACCUAAAGUAAAUGCUGGGAAUUGUGAUGAUCUCUUGGAAGAGGAGUCUGCAGAUGUGAAACACAAUGGUCGUGAUGUUCAGAUAGAUCUUAACUGCAGAGACAUUGGAGGUGCAGCAGACCUAGUUGUUGAAGAUGGCAUGGUUUGUGAAAUUGGUUCUGAUGAUAGGAAUGGUGACAAUAUGUGGGUUCAGAAAGCACAGACUUCGCCAUGUAAAGUUGAUGAUGGUAAUAUAUCUUCUUCCGAGCCUGAAGGGGAUUCAAUUAGUGCCAGUGUCUCACUGCUGAAUGUUUCAUCAUGUCAAGGUGAGCAUCUUCACCCUUUCUUUUUGAUAUGCUUAUAUAUAUAGUCAAAAUGAUAAUCUUCAUCAACUAUCUCUGAAAGCCUCAAAAUCUUUAUCUGCAAAUUACCAGACAUUCAAUAUGUAGAAGCUCUGUAAGUUUAAUAAAUCAUUCUACCAGUUAGGCGGUGGGGAAUUAAUCUAUUUGAGACCAAAUGCAGCAGGUGAAUAUGAAUCUCAUGUAAAAUGUGCAGGAAGCAGUAGCAAAACAGAAAUCAAAGAAUUGAUUGAAGUUGUUCCAAAUGAUGAGAUUAAUGAUACCAAUGAGGCUGCAGUUUGCUCUCCUGCACCGGUUGAUUUUUAUGAGGAUAAAGGUAUUUAGAAACUUAGCUUGUAAACUACAUAACACAGUUACAAGAAUGUAUUUCUAUCUAACAUCUAUUGGCCCAUUCACAAACAAAUAUGAUAUAACACCUAGUUACUUUCAUAAUUUCUUAGGUGAUACUCUUAACUUUGUGGGUAAAUCCUCAGAAGUUAUUAAUAUUACAAAGGAGAGAGGCAUAGCAGAAGAGAGCAGUGCUGGGAAGGCUGAGGAAGUACGUGGUUCAUCACAUAAGUUUGAUGAUGAGAUGGUCUCUUCUGGUGAUUCUAAGGAGCCUCCAAAAUUUGAAAAGUUUGUCGAGGUUUCUUUAUUGGAAGCUGAAAAGGUGGACUGUUGCUCUGUUGUUUCACCAGUCAAUGAUUCUGUUGAUCAUGGUAAGUGCUUAAUCCACUAGUCUUAAAAAGUUUCAGCUGUUUCAAAUUCUUAGAUAAUCAUUUUCUCCUUGACAGAAUGUUAUUCCUAGUUUUUCAUUACUAAUGAUUUUACAGCAGAAGUUGCUUCAAGGAAGCACUUGACAAGAUUAGAAGAUACCACUGAUGAUUCCUCUCUGACCCAUCAGAUUGGUGUGAAUUCCAGUCUUGCCUCAUCGGAGACAGCAUCCUAUGAGUUCACUGACUGGGAAAUAGAUUUAUUUUCUCAUAAUCAUUUCAGUAUGGAAGCAGUUUGUGGAACGAGUUUAAGGAUUAUAGAUCAAUUCCCUGCAGUCACUGAUUCAGCUCUGUAUAAAGGUAUAGAUCAUAUUUAAUUGGUCUGUUCUCAGAAAAGGUUAUCUAUAUAUAUUUAUGGGGAAUAAUUCUUUAGACUUUCUCUAAUUAUUUCUCAGCCUUUGCAGCCGAAGAUGUCCGCACUGAGAAUCUGAAGUUGGAAACAGUUCAGAAGAAAAGUUUAGAUGUAGAAGUGGAAGAAAUCAACCAUUUAUCAUCUCAGCAAUUCAAUUCUUCUAUGAAAAUGAAAAAUAACUUGAAAAGCAGCAUGACCCAGAGAACUCCCAACAAGUUCUUUAAGGCAUUCGAUAUGAAAGAGAACACCCCAAGCAUCAAGAUGGAGCAGAUGGGUAAUUUCUCAGCAAUGAAAUCAGGGACAAGGAGGAAAGCCUUGGAGGACCUUCAAAAAACUAGAGAGCGGAACAGCACUGCUCGCUGACCUUUUUUCAAGGAUUGGAUGUUGUAAAUAUGGGGCCCCAAAAGAGUGGCCCCUCAGUUGACGACCCUGAGCAUACCUCAUGCAAACAUUUGUGGAUGAAAACCCCACUAGUGGGUUAUUGUUAAAUGAGUACUUUGUUGUGUCUCCUUUAUUGUAUUUGUAGCAAAUGAAACUCCAGAAUCAGUGUCACUUCUGCUUGAUUUGCAGUUUGACAGACAUUAUCAGAGAAAAUCUACCUUCUUUAUCCAUGAGAAGCACUACAUUGGAAGAGCUGGUUUAUUGCUUGAUAGAGCAUUGAGAUAAGAGUUUAAGUUUACAUGUGCUAUUAAUUUCAUCAGAUUGAUCAUAAUAGUCUGAGCAUAAGACUGGGAAGAAUGAGAUCUUCAGUAUGUAAUUGUAAGCUGAAGAGUCCCUCGAGAAAAAUUCAAGGACAUUUAUCACAUUAGGCUCUCAUUCUGCAGGAGAAUAUCCUUGAAAUUUUCUUCUCUAACCAUGGAAAUGAUGCAAAUGGCUAUAGAAGAUCAUUUCCCCCUGCUUUCUCACAACAGAAAAUUUUCCUUCAUCAUACUAUAUAAGAACAAAUUUGAACAAAGUGAAGUAUUCCAACGAGGCAAUACACAACGGACCAACAAUUUUUUAGCACUAAUUCAUCAAAACCCAAGUACCAAAAGAGGAGAAAAAUCAUUUGAAGGAGCCCAUAUAUAUGAAGAAGUCCCUUAUUGAGAAGGGGAUAUAUUUAUGAUUAAAUCUAACGUAUAUUCCUUUUGGGAUUACAGAAUGAUCCAACCCCAUCCAACCACAAAACCAACGUGUAUAAAAAAAGAAAAAAAGAAUGAAUGGAAAUUCUGCAAAACAAAUAACCAAGUCAUAUCUCAGUCCUUUUUAUCUACACAACCCCCCGGCCCCCCCCACCUCCAUUUCCUUCACAUCUCAACUCAUCUGAUGAUUCUCAUUCACAACCAUGCGAGUGUUGAGAGAUAGCUUCGUCUUCGAUCAAAAACACAUCCCUCUUCUGCAAUUCCCAGACAGCCUUUCUAUAUAUAGUUCAAACCAUCUAAAAUUUAAAUUUCAUGUAAUCCUAGUCACAAUCCAAUCCACAGACUUCUAAUACAAUACCACCUUUUGAUACAAAUGGGUUGACUCUGACCCAUAGAAGUGAGAAGAUUGAGGCUAGAAGAAUUGACCACACAACAAUAAUGGUGGGAAGCCUAUCUUGUUUCCCCAUUAACCCCUUGAGGAAGGGGUACAGGUGAACAAUGACCCAUAAGGCAAAGAACAGCUUACCAAAUAGAGGGCCCCAUUCUUCAUAACCGUUAUUGAUGGCAUCUGAAAUCCCAACCAUGACCCCAAUUAUAUUCAGGAUCAGUAACGUCAGGGGAGGGAUCAACAAAGAUGUCCACUUAAAAAGGUAGAGCUCCGAAAACUCUCCAUCAUCUCCUCCUUUGGAUGUAACAGUGAAGUUUGUGUUAACACCUGCCAAAACCUUAAGCAGACCUUGGAAGAGAGCAAACAGAUGUGAUGAAGCACCACCAAUCACCCAGAACUGCUCAUUUCUCCACCAGUCAUCUAUGGCAACCCGUCCCCACUGCAUCUCAAGGACACCAGUUGCAGCUAUAGAUAUGAAGAGGGCCAUGAAAAUAAUACUGGCAUAGUUGCUAAUCUGCACAUCAUGCAAAAAAUUAGGAUUAGCUGAAACCAUCACAACCCACAACUAAUGAAAACUAUGCUAAGCACAGGAUCCUUGUUUUGGCCUAUGGAGAUGAAUGAAUAUUCAGGUUUAUGAAAAGCUAUAGAAUCCAGCUACCAUCUUAAAUGAAAACACCAUGAUGUUGACUUCAACAAAUAUCUAGUAGAUAGGAAACAAAGUUUGAUUUCAUGGAUAUCAACUGAAGACUAGUAUGAUCAAGUGAAACUUCUGAAAUUUCAAGGAGGAAAGGAAAUUUCAAGGCUAAUGAAAACUAGAAAAGCAACCUGGAGAUUGAACUUGACACGAGAUGUCAAAAGUUCCAUUCUCCAAUGGAAAACCUUGCCUGAAUAUUAGUAGAAAUGUUUUGAUGCUUGUGGUUACAAGUAUUCUAUCAUGAACCUACAACUAUAUAAUCUUGUGGUUCUUCCAAGGAAAAGAAAAGAAGAUCUCAAAAUGGACAUUACAGAGAUUGAUAUUUAAGAAUGAAAUAGAGCUAGAGGUUACCUCGGGGACAAUGAACUUCCCAGUGAGGAGACAGAAAGCCGGCAAGGUACAGUAGGCAAUCAAGGGAAUGGACGUCCACGGAUAAACAACUGAGUUGAUAUAAGAGAAGCGCUCCAACCAUUUCAAACCACCUCCAUAGCCAUACCAUAUAGGGCAAUACCUACUGAAGAAAAUCUCAACAGAUCCAAGUGCCCAACGUAGAACCUGGUGUAAACGAUCUGACAGGUUAAUGGGAGCUGACCCCUUAAAUGCCGGCCUCUUGGGUAUGCAGUACACUGAUCGCCAACCAUGGCAUUGCAUCUUGAAUCCUGUUAAUAUAUCCUCUGUAACAGAGCCAUAUAUCCACCCAACCUGAUUCAUAAUUCAAAAUCUGGAAUUUAGAUACAGAUGAAAAAAAGUUUACACCUUGUUUGGAAGGGACUGGAAAAGCUAGAAGCUUUUAAAUUUUAGACAGAUGCUUCUUACCUCUUUCCCCCAUUCUGUUUUAUCUUCAUAACCACAGCUAAUGACAUGGAUGGCUUCUUUCAAAAGUGAAGCAGUGGUUGCUCCUUUUGGAACACCACCUUCUUCUAAAAGCGUGGAAGCUAUAAAAACCGGAGACUGUCCAAAUUUUUUCUCAAAUUUCACUUGGGGCAUGAGCAAUGAUCUGUCAUUAUCUAUUCCUGCAAUAUAAAUUCCACAGUAAUAUUACUACUUUGGCUUUAAAAGCAGUAGACCUGAAGCAAGAAAACCAGUGUCCCCCCAAUAAUUACUACCUUGAAUACACAUAUUGAGUUAACUAAAAAAACAAUAAUAGAAAAUUCAAAAAAUCAACUUCACAUGGGAAAAGUUAUACACAACAUUGUUGCCAAUUAAUUAAGAUAAAUUAGGAAUUUUGAAGGUCAUUUAAGAAUUACUUGAAAUAUCUAGAAUACAACAAAAAAAAUGCAGAUAAUAAGACAAUAUGAUUGCGGUUAAUGAUUAAAAAUUGGGAAUUUUUCAUAUUAUUAAGAAUUACUUGAAAUAUCUAGACUACUUGCAAAAGUAAAUAACAAUUGCAUAUAUUAGAAUAAGACCCAUAUUUCCUUCAAAGCCACCCUUACCUUCAAUUCCCUCUUCAAUAUUUUCGAGUGCAUGUAUUUGCUUUGAAGCUUCCCUGUUUUUCAUCUUCUUCUUUUUGUCAGUUGACUUCACUUUCUUGUUUUUCUUCCUUGAUCCACAACACAAGCAGCACCAUUUUGGCCAACAAUUACACGUCUUUCCUGGGGGUUUCUUAUUGACAGGGGCAUCAUAUCCAUAGAGUGCCUGCCGUCUGAAGACACAGCCAGUUCCAACAUAAAUUGGUCCCUGGAUCCCAUCCAAACCUUUCAUAUUGAUCUGUUUUUAAUUGAAAACAAAAAAUUAGCUUUCCUCAAUCAAAAUUUUACAAAUUCACAUCUGUGCAUCAUUGUAUCAAAUUCACACUGGAGUGCCUUACGUACAUCAAAGAAUACAACGUUGCGAUUUGAGUAUCUAUCAUUGCGAUCAAUCCCAUCAAACCUUUGAGGAAACUGUACAUAACAGAUUUUCUUUCCUGAUGUGGGGUCCAUCAUGAAGCACAUGGCUUCACGAAGGGCCUUACUGUUGUUUAUAUAGUGAUCACAGUCCACGUUCAGUAGGUAAGGAGCAUUAGAGAUGAUUGCUGAGACUCGCAUCUUGAAUAAACAGUCAAAACAAUAGCCCCCAAUCAGGAAAUGGGAAAACAAAAAAUGGGAUCCCAAAGAAAAAGAAUGAGAGAGAGAGAGAGAGCUCUACCAAAGCAUUCAUUGCCCCAGCUUUUUUGUGGUGAUCAAAUCCCGGUCUCUUCUCACGAGACACAUAAACUAGACGAGGCAACUCAUUUCCUUCAACAUCACGAACACCAUUAUGACCAAGAAAAACCUGUGCAAGGCAAAAAUAGAGAAAAAAAUCUUUUAAUGUCUCAAAUCUCAGUAUGUAGAAGGUCCAGCAAGAUGCAUGCUGCUCAGGCACAAAAAUCCAUGAAUGCACUCGAAGAAAGAAAUCACCCCCUCACCUGGAUCAUUCCAGGAUGGUCCCUGACAUUGUUCCCAGGCCAUGGAGUCCCAUCCUGCAUUGUCCAACCUUCCUCGGGGACCUUCUGGGCCAUAGAAACCAAUGCAUUUAUCCGAAUUUUGAACUCUUCAUACUCCCUCUGCACCAAUCAGGAACCAAAUAUUAUUGUUUUGAAAUCAACUUAUUGCUCUCAGCAAUGGUUAUCAUGGCAAUACUUUGUCAAAGAUAAAAAAUCAUCACAACAGGACAUCUUUUAUCACUAAAUUCUAAAACUUGUCCUCCACAAGCCAUUUUAAUGAUGCAUAUUUAAUGCCACUCUAUAUGGUUUAAGAUGGCAUUUUGUUUAACCCGCAUGCAGCUUAUAUAGAAUGCACAUUCAUUGGACCAAAAUAUGAACAGAUAAAGAUACAAGGUGUUAACCUUCAUUGCACGACGUUCCCUAACAAACUCCGGAUGCACUUUGUCUUUCAGAUAGUCAACCUUCUGAGCAAAGUACCAUUCUGGGGCCCUCGGCUCAAUGCUGAACUUCUUACAGAAUGGGACCCACCUCCUAGCAAACUCAGAUGUCUCAGAAAGGGCUUCAAAAGUAAGCAUGGCAGCACCAUCAUCUGAGACAUAGCAUGCAACUUUCUCGACUGGAUAAUCUACUGCAAGGAUUGACAGAACUGUGUUUGCUGUGAUAAGUGGAGGUUCUUUCAUGGGAUCAACUGUACUUACGAAUAUGUCUAUAUCAGCUAAUUCAGAUGGCUUCCCUUCUUUUUCAUACCUGAGAACAAGGUUUAAGACGCAUAGCUAAGAAAACAGUACCAUGCAUACAACCAAACAAGAGAGAGAGAGGGAGAGAGAGCACCCCAAAUACCUCAGUGAUAGCCUAUCAAGGUAUGUUUCCCGCUCGAUUGGGUACCACUUUGGGAACUGAUCCAGUAUCCAUGAUACAGCAAACCAUAUUUCACAAAUAACUGAUGUUAACCAUAAUGCAUAUGCAUCAUUAACCGGGUGGAGGAUUCUAUAAUGAAAGAAGAAGCCAAGAAUCACAAGCCGGAGUAUAAUUAUGAUUCUGUAUGGAUUUAUCUUGCUUGAAGGAAUUGGUAUUUUUCUAGAUAGAGGUUGCCUGCCUUCAUCCAUCCUACAUAAAAAAACAAAAAUAAAUAAUAAGUCCUUCACAUUCAAAUAAGAGAAAUGGGGAAAACACAAAUAAUGGAAAGAGGAAUGUGAUGUUCAGUUCCUAAUUAAAUUGAGAUAAUGCUUUCUAUACCACCUCUACUCAGACUAACACAAGGAAAUUUUAUUUCAUAAGAUAUUGUUACUGUUCCCAAUAGGUGAAGACUUCUAACUGUCAGCAAUGAGCAUGUCAGACAUUCAUCAACUUGACAAACAGUUCUGAUACCUGUUUACACACUGACAAAUGCGUCCACAUUCAUUUUUUGAAGAAACAUGGAGACAAACAUGUUUGUAGUGCAUUUUUGUUGCAAACACAUGAAAGCAUUUGCAAAACUAUAGAUGUAGCUAUCUCCCAAUAGCUAUGCUUCAGGAGUUUCAUACAAAAAUGUGCAUGUAGCUGUUUCCAAUGUGCAUUUAGCUUUUCUGAUUCUAAUGAUAAUUGUUUUCUAAAUGGAUUGUUAAUUGACUCACACCUACAUCCCUUCCAAGUUCAAGUUAACCACUUUCAUGCCUCUAACAUGUAUGAACAACAAUUAAUAUAUUCAGCUCACUAGCAAGUAGCAACCCCAAGUUCAAUCACAUGUUAGUUAACAAAUGUUUAACAUCAUAAAUUUCAUCACCCAAUAAUUUUGUUAUACAUUGAUCCAUAAGCGACCUAUUUCUCAUUCAAAUUCUGCCAAAAUUUUAACUUAUGGGCCAUGCCCAUAAAGGUGGUGCUCCACUGCUCACGUCCCUUCAACUUUCAAUGAACAGCAUCUAAGCAGUUUUAUUUUUUUUUCCUUUUUAAGCUUUUACCAUGUAAUACUAAAGUGGGCUUUCACGUCCAUGACAUGUUAGAUCUUCAUAGUAGUAGCGUUGAAUUUCUCAUUAACACAUGUUUACUUUGUUCACAUGCAUUGCAUGUGCCAUGGUCCCCUAAUGAACGAAUACGACCAAUUUACGGUUUUGAUAAAUGACAAAAAAUAUCUAGCAAAUGACCUCAUUUCAAUCUUGUCAAGGUUAAAAAGUUGAUGCUUCAUAUUGCUCCAAUAACUUGCACUCUUGUAUUACAUUUAAUCUUAACACAAAGCCACCGACAAUGCUCUAUUUGAGGCAAUUUCUUUCACCCAAGAAAAGAACAAAAAUAGAAAUGAUAAACUCGCAGGUGAAUAACAAUGCUGUUAGCCUGAGAGCUUAAGUUACCAAAAAACAGUUUGAUGCAUGAAAAGAAUUCAAGAAAUAGUACUUUAAAAUCCCAAAUUAUACUAAGCUACGAAGAAAAAAGUUACAGGAGAAGAUGCAACAAAUAGAAUAUGGUGAAGCAGUGAUUGAAAAAAUGCACCUACUUGGGCAAAUCAGGAUCAUCCAGUUCAUCUUCAUCAAAGUUUCCACCAUCAUUUCCUCCUUGGUGCUUAACAACCUGAAGUUUAUCAUUCUGCUUUUUCUUCCACUCUUCCAUUCGGUCCUUCCACGCAACACUUCCAUACCCAUAUACUGCCAGGUCUUUCUUAGGAUCCAUUGGUCUGGGUGGCACUGCAACAACAAAACCAGAAGGCACAAUAAAUAUGAUGAAGUAAAUGUGAAUAGACAUAACAGUGAGAAAAGGGUUCAAUUCCACAUAAAAACUAAUGAGGAAUAACAAGACUUACAGGACAUAGAAGAAUCAGGAAAUGGCAUAGGAUGGACUCGUUUUCCACGCCCCAUGAAUGGAGGAAUGAUAAGGGCGUGCUUAUCAGAGGAAAUCCCGACAUCCUUCAUUGAAAACAAGCAAACAACUAUUAUCAUAAAACAGGAAUCAUUAAUUAUAUGAACAUAGAAAUGGAACGAUGAAUAAAAAAUGCGAGUGUUAAAUCAACUUACAUAUUGGCCAUAGGUCAGAAGAGGGAUUCCUGAAGGGACUGAUGAAGAAUCCAGAUCCAAAGGCGUACUAAUCCCUGAAGUAUGGGCAUGGCUGCCGAUGUUCAGGUGAGCAGAGAGCAUAGCCUCUGCAACCUGAUGAGGAUCCCUACUGUAAUUGCUUCUGAAAUCAAACUCAUUCUCCAAAUCAUCAAUGUCAUCUUCCUCUUCAUCCCCUUCAACUCUGGGACUACCUGAUGUUUUAAGUGUGCUAUUAGUGGAAUCAUCACCAAGUAGAGUGGAGUUUGGGAUGAAAAAACACAGAGUAAUAGAAAAGAGACAGAGUCAACCAAGAAAUUAUAGAAACCCUUUACCUUUGAUGCGUUUGUAUCUGGUUUUGCAUUGAGGGCAAGCUUGAUUACCCUCCCUUCUUUCAUACUCGUAGCAGGGUCUGCAUACAGGGAAUGCACAUUCAUUACAGGCAACGAAUGGCUCCCCAUCCACAGUAAUCUCUAUCUCAUCCCCACAAAUCUGACAAAUCUGCCCACUCAAUUCUUUCACGGAAGUCACCUGUAUGUCACAGCAAAGUCAAUCGGCAUUAGGUCAUGAAAACUGGAUUUUUUGCUCAACAACCCCAGAUAGAAUAUUGAAGCAGCAUAUGAUUUUUAAACUACUCAUUCACACAUACAAAAACACACACACACACAUAUGCAGAAAUAAAGUAUAAAAUUUUGGUGCAGACCUGUAUGAAACAUAGAAAAUAAGGGGAAAGGUAUGGAUUUGUGAAAGUACAGAGUUCCAGAACAAGCAUGAGCAAAAGAGCUAAAAGAGUCAUGAAAAUGAAAAGGGAAGUAAAAGCCAUCCCAUUCAAGAAUCACACCUUUAAAAACAGGAACUUGGAUCAGAGGGAAAAAAAUUAAUGGAAGAUAGUGUCACUAACCCAAGAAGGAAAUGGCAGAACCCACAAAAGCUAAAUACAGAAAAUAAUGGAAAAAAAAUGUUAUGAGAACAAAAUAAAAUCACUGUAACAGAAAAUGAGCAAAUGGAUGUCUUCAAAAUCAAGAAAUGGGGCUGACAAAAAGUUUCAUAGACAAGAAGAACGUCGGAAGAAAAAAUAGAGAAAGCACAUUUUUAGAUAUUUUUCUUAAAAUCCAGAAAUGGAGUCGAUCAACGAGUUGAAAUAAAAAAAUAGAAUUAAAAAAAGGAGAGAUUUUGAAGGAACUUACUCGUCCAAUCUCAUCAGCAUUGAUCAGAACAAACUCGUUCCGGUUGUGUGAACCCGCCACGAGUCUUCCUUUGGUAUCCAUGAAAGCCCUCAAGAAUCAGACCCAGAUAGAACCCCAAAUGCUCGAAAUCAAGAAGACCCACCUCACGAUAUCAAUCUCCCAACCCCUCUCAUGCGCAAGAAGCAGACUUUUUUUUUUUUCUCUCCGCCUCUCCCUUUCAGCUCACUUUCUCACAAAAUAACCCAACCCCACAUCACACAAUGAACAAAUUCACACCCUAGAUAGAGAGAGGGAGAUGCAAACAAUAAAAAAGAAGAGUGGGGAAAACAACAAAAUGAGAAAAAAGUAUCACUGUUUUUGUUUGAUUGUUCCUCAAAGAAAACCCAAUGUUUUUAAACGUAACAGAUGGGUGGGUCUCUCAGAACUCAGAAGUGGGUAGAGCCGAUCCGUGACACGGGGUUGCAGAUGAUGUUAGAGAGAGAGAGAGAGAAAGAAAGGAAUCUAUUGGGGCGUUGAAAUUUCAACGCGUAUUGCACAAGAGCGCCCUCCUAAUUCAUGGCUUUAUCAUCAACAUUGGGGUGGGGCUCAGAUUUUGAUGGCAGUGGUGCCUCUGCUGGUGGUGGGUGGUGGUGGCCCACCUGAGCUACGGUGGCACACGGUGGGCGACGACUAGGGCACUCUCGUAAUUCUAUCCCUUUUGCCUCCCCCUUUUUUCUUUUUUUCUUUUUCCUAAUUUAUUUACUCAUUUCCAUUAAAACAAAAUAAAUAAUAAAUAAAAUAAAAAAUAAAAAAUUAGGUGUUUCCUUUUCUUAGAUGUUGAUGUGAUGUAUCUCCCUCACGGCUUUUGUGUGUCCUGUUGUGCAAUAAAAUUAAAAAUAAAACCCCCAAAAAAAAAAAAAAAAAGUAGAGCUAGAGAGAGAAUGAGAGUGGAGUUUUUACUUUUUAGAGAGAGAAGGUGGAGGGUUUAGAGAGAGAGAGAGAGGGACAGGAUUUUACAAUGGGAGGAAAAAAAGGGGCAAGUGACAAACAGCGGGGAGGAGUUUAUGAGUUGUAAAGGCUCCACGUGCGGCACGUGUGGAGGAACCCGAGAUCUGGGCGAUUUAUCGCGAUAAAUUGAAGAGGAAAUAGACAAAGUGACGGUGAUUGAUUCUUUCUUUGCAUUUUUGGAACGCCUUCACUUUUACGUGCAUUAAAAGACAAGGAAAGUCUUGGGUGUGAGUGCUCACUGCUCACGCCCCUUCCCCUUGGACCACCACACCCCCACCCCAUCAUCCUACAAAUUUUAAUCAUCCCAUAAUGUAGCAGUGACGCACCAUCGUUGUUAAUUAUUUUACCUAUCUUACGUAACGUCAAAAGGAUAUUUGAUAAAAAUAAAAAAAAAAUUAAAAAAAAAAAGUCCAAGGGACAUGAAAGAUCAUGGUAAAGGUUUUUCCAUACAAGAAGGCCAAGUAACCGUUGGCAAUACCUUUUGAUUUUCAGCAACGGUGGGCUCUUCAGAGUAAAGCUUUUAUACUGACUUUAUACCUAACACAGCACAUUCCAGCCCUUUACUUGACCUUUUCAAACAGCUUACAUACAAAAUAUGCAAUUUUCUACACUGGGUUGUUCUACAAAGUCCGAAAAGGAUUGAGCAGCUGAUUUGCAUUCGGGUUGUUCUUUAGACCGAGACAGAUAGUAUUUUCCAAGGCAAAAAGGCUUUACUGUGAAGAGACGGUGACAAGUAUUUAAAUAGUAGGCAAGUGGGGUGGUUUUUGGAUGGCCUUUUUUCCAUUAAUAUUUUGUAUUGAAUGGAGGGUCUGUGUGUCUAUUCAUAAGUCGGUGAAUAAACCGUACCAUGGUGUGGUGAGUGGUCUCAUGCCUCAGUGACAUCAAUGCACUCUCUCAUGCCCCCUGCAGAGGUUAAUAACUGUACUGAAUCCGUCCAUAUCCACCAUCUGAUCUAUAUACUAUGGGUUUCCACUGAUUGGAUGGGAAUGGGGGGUGGGGGGUGGUCUAUUGUUGUUUUCAGUGGUCCUGACUCCACCUGAUGGUGUGGAGUGGGUACAUUGAUGGUAACAAACUAGGGAAGGGCAUUAUCAGUUUGAUUGAAACCAAUCACAUUUGUAGUCUGUGGUCUACCUGCCUUUUGGGGUAUGGACUCUCAUUGAAUCUGAUGAAGUAGUUGGAGACUUUAUGUCUAUUAUCUUAAUGGCACUAAUUAAUUGGCAUCUGGGGUUGGUAAAAUUGUAACUUUUUGGGGCAUGGCUGUAUGAUAGAAACCAUAGAAUCAUUGUGUGAUGGGGUGGUAACAUUUAUUUUAAUGUUUUUUGACAUGCAUUAAAGUAAAUUAGCAAAAAACAAUUCAUGGGUUUUUGAAUUCUCACCCGAUGAGAUAUUGGGCAUAUUCCCAUUUUUGUCCCAAUUAGAAUCCUCACAUUGGAUUACAGUUGUUUACAAAAAUCAGACUUAUUUUUGUUCUCAGAGGUAGAUUUUUCAACCACAUAUUUCUUCAAAUUGGGAAAAUCUAAAACAGAAUUAUAGCUCAUUUUUUUCCAAAAAUAAAAAAAUAAAAUAUCAUUAUUAUACAAAAACCAGUUUAGGAAUAAUCUAAGUUUUCAAAAAAACAAAUUAUUUUUGUAAACCUUUCCAAAUUAAUAACUAUUUUUUAAAAUAAUUAUAAAAAAUAGUUUUUGGAAACAAUUUUUUAAAACUGUUAUUAAAAUAUGUUUGAAAACUUAAAAUGUUUUUAACUUAUUUUUAAUCAUUUUAAAUAUUUAUAUAUUUAUUUUUUAAAAUACCUCUAAAAAAAAGGUAAAAAUAACUAAAGUGUAUUAUUUAAAAAUAUUGUAUUUUUUAUUUUUAAGAAUAAAAAAUAAAACAUAAUUUUUAAUUAUUAAACAAAUUUUUCAUAUUGUUAUUUUAAAGAAUAGAAAACUGUUUUAAAUAUCGAGGUUGUUGUGAUUGCAUGACUGCUUGGUUAAAUUGUGGCUGCUAAAUUUGCAAAUGAUCAUGAUUAAUAUCUUAAUCGUGUGUAGGAAGCUGUCGCCUGUACAAGAGGUGAGAGUGAGACAGUGAUGAAAAUACGAGUUUUAGUUUUGAUGAAUGACAAAUCCCUCCCAUUUUCAUCACUGCCCUUCACCUUUUUCUAUGCAAACACUUGGUCCAAUAGAAAAGGUGAAAUCAAUAAUAAAAGGGUUGAAAAAGCAAAAGCAGAAGGAGAUCAAUAAUUGCCAGCAAGGUGGAUUGGGCAUCAGAUCUCUUAUAUGCAACUCAACCUCUACUUCUCCAAUUGCCCCCCUCCUUUUCAAGGGCAUGGUCCUAUCACCUAUGUGGGUCACUCUCCCUUUACUUCCAUCAUGCCCAAAAUCCUUUCCCUCUAGGCUCUAUGAUGCCCAAUAACUUAAGUAGAAGUUCACCUUUAUUAUUUUUGGGCAUUAUUGGUACUAACUAUAUGUUGUAGUUACAAGCCAUUCUAUUUAUGGUAACAUUCUUUUUUAUCACCCUUCCAUCUUAAUCCAACUCAAAUUAACCUAUCAAUUAUUUUGUGGUUUCAUUUUAUCUUAUUUUUGAGAAAUCUAAAACUUAUUCUUACGUUUUAUGCAGAUUUUUAUAUCCGUUUAACUAAUCUUAUUUAAAUUAAUUUACGAUUUAAGUCAAAAUCCGAAACUAUCCCAAAUGAGACGUGAGUAUUAUUUUAUUAUUCUAUAUUACGGGAUAAUUAAUUUUGCGGGUUUUAAUAAAAUUUUAAAUUGUUUACAAAUGAAAUUUAGUUGAACGAAAGGCAUGUGAAGAGCAUCCUUGGAUGUUAAUAGUAUACAAAGAAGGAGUUGAUUGACUGCUAAUACCAAUGAUCUUAACUUGCCUUUUGCAUUGGGCGGUCGGCUGCCAUCAUUAACUAAUGAUCUAUGAUUGAGUAUAUUCCAAUACUGUACACGUGUCCUCCAUCCGCUGCACUUCUACAAAAGUGGACGGUUCUCAAGUACCCAGGAGCAAUUUUUUAAUUAGCACUCGCUUUACCAAAUCUGCCGCAUCUUUUCCCAAACACCAGGGUUUGGCUUCGUAAACAAGACUCAGCAACCAAAUUAAAAAUAAGUGAGUGAAACCCUGAAGUACGACGACACGUGGGAUCACAGCUGGAGUAGCAAUCAUGCCUUCCACUGGGUAGUGUGAUAUGCCACGUUGGCAAAAAGUGGGUGUCCCAGAAAACGUGUAAUGAUGGUGGAUUAUAUUGGAAAAGCAACUUUUCCACGUGGCAUGGCACGCCACGUCGAUAGCGUAGAGGGCUUUAUUACAACUGGAAGACAUCUGGCACGCGUUUUUGUUGUAAAUUGUCUGGCAGAAGUGGGCCACGUGGUGCCAGAGUAGGUCCACAGACAGCUCAGCGACUGGGAUUGUCGGUCGCUUUCGCUAGCUGUAAAUCAUCAUAAGCGGAGAAGCGUCCGUAUGCGGAUGACGUCAUUAUUAGAAACGAUUUUAUAGAAAUGAAAGUAAUUUUUGUUGGGUGGUGGGUGAGAUUUUUGAAUGAAAGUUCGAGAAAGUAGGGAGGGAGAGAGAAAGGAAAAAAAAAGUUUAAAAAAAGGCGGGACAGCGUGGCGGGCAUUUUGUGGAGGAGGUGGUGUUUGGGGAGUAAUAGAAUAUGGGGCUGUUUGGCUAAUAGGAUAGGAGUUCGGCUACGUGUAUGGAUCUGAUUGGCUAAUCCUGACAGAGAAAAUUUUGCCUAGUGAGAGAUGAUCUCGGGAAAGCAAAUAUAUUUGUUCGAGAAAUAUUAAAUUUUUAAUUCAUUUGCAAUAAAUUCAAUAGCAUAUGAUAUGAAAUAUUUACAUUCCAUAAACAAAUUUUCCCUUAUUUUGAUUUAGAUUUUUUUUUUAAGGUAUGGUAUCGGUAUAUUAAUACUAGAUUUUCUCAUAUAGAAAUAGAAUAAUAUGAAUAACUAUGAUAUCCCUCAUAGUUUCAACGGGAAAGUUCUCAAAAUUGUUUUUUAAAACUGUGAUAAUUUUGGAUUAAAAGUAAAUAAUAUCUAUACGAUUGGAUGUGAGUUACGAUAUUAUAUUUUUAUUUUUUGAUACGUGGAUUAUACACACGUUUUAAAAUAGCAAAGCCAUAUAGUCGGUGUAUUAUUUAAUAUUUGGAUAUUUUAUAAUUGUUAAUAAUUUUAUAGUUUUCACAUACGUGUUCCCAAUUUUAAAUAUUAAAACUCGUUUUAGGAAAAAAAAAUUUAAUUUCUAUAUCACAAAUAAUAAAAAUUAAUUUAAUUUACCAUGUUUGAGUUUUUACAUAAGCCCGUCUAAUUCCAUUAAUUCAUUUGUUUGAAAUUUUAUUAAAUACAUUUUAUGUCAUUAUUUUCUUUAGUUAGUUUUAUCGCUCAAGAUACAUGAGUUAUUUUAUAAAAUUUUAACGGAUGAGGAUUAAAUGUAUUUAACAAAAUCUUGAAAAUAAAUGAAUGAAAUUAAUCAUAAAUAAUAAUGCCUCCCUUUUCCAUACAUUUUUUUAGAAAAUCACUUAAUUAAAAAAAUACAUCUAUAUUAAUUAUCAAAUAAUCUUUAAUGUAAAAGUGAAUUUAGGUGAGAUUACUCAAUAUAAAUGUUUAUAGUAUGAUAUACAUAUUUGAACUCAAAUCCUAUAAAUUUUAAGUUUUUCGAAAAAUUGAUAAUUCAAUAUGAUAUCAGAGUUUUGUAUGAUAUGAGAUUGUAAACUCAAGCCCCUUCUCCACAAUUUGUAUGUUCGCUUCCCAGUCUAUUCCUCCUCUCCCCCCUACCUAAUUUGCAAUUCCGUGGUAUAACUCAACUCAGAGAUAAUGGAGAAAAUCUAUCACUACUGUGGCUAUUCAUAUUCAUCAGUCCAAUAUAACUCCAAAAGAGGUCAUUUUCAAUGUCUAUAUAAUACCAUGUUGCAUGUAGAUAUGAAGAUGAAUUGGUAACUGCUAGAAUCCAAUGUGUUGCAAAUUGCACUUCAAUUAUUGUUUCUGGAUUUGCUAAUUGCAAAGCUGUCUUCAUUUAUUUGAUGCUUAUCAUUAUUUUUUAACCUAUUGGUAAAAUAUAGGUGGCAAAUUUGUUAGGACGGUGGAAUUUGUACAUUAUGAUUUGAUUAUUAAUGUAAAAUAAGAUUUUUGGGUUGUCUUCUACUAUGGUCAAAAAUCUUGAUUAGUUAUUUUGCAUAUCAAUUUUUUCAACUUAAGUCGUAAAUGAAAUUAUGAAUAUGAAAACCAUUUUUUUUUUUACAGCAAAAGAACUUUGACCUUCAUUUUAACGAAGAAAAAAAAAACUAAGAGAAAUGUUUUUCUAUUGUCUUAUGGAGAGAGAUAAAAAAAAUAAGAAAAAACAUGGUUUUUUUUUUUUUUUUGGUCUUUAGAGAGAUUUUUUCACAGAAAAAGAAAAAGAAAAACUUUUCUUUUAAUAGUAUCAUGCUCUUUGAAAGUUUUAAACUUCAAAACACAGCUCCCUCGUUUUUUCAUUUUCUUAUUUAUUGGGUUAAAUCAGGUCAACCCAUUUGGGUGCCUAAUCCUAACUCCAACCGUUAUCAUAAAUAAGUGUUUCAAUUAUUCAUUUAUCAUUAAUUUACUUUUCUAACGAAUGAUAAAACUUCUUUAAACUUUCAAUAACCUGACUAAAAUGGCAUCGGACAACUUACAUUUAAUCUAUAUCAUGGAACGGUUUCGUACAAAAAUUACUUGGCAUUAAUGCUUAAUCACAUUGGAGGGCUAACCUAUUUUGUUUGAUACAUUGGACACACUUCAAUUAUUUAUACAGGCAAAUAAAACAAAAUUGUUCAUAAUUUUAUUCCUACUUGCAAAAAUGAGACAACCAAGUAGCCCUUAAAAUACUAACAAGCAUAAUUUGUAGAUUCUUAAGAAUGUAGGAGGCAUACUGAAUAUUGAAUACAUCUUUCAUAUUUUCAAUCAAUUGACUACCUUGUCUUAUAUCCAUAUCUCACAUUCAUAGGGUGGAUUAGAUUUAGUCCACUGAAAAUGAUGAUCACAAAAGUUUAUUAAAACAAAUGUGAGAUUGUGAUGUGAUUGAUACAAUUAUUUUUAUUAAAAAAAAGGGUCAAUUGUAUGAUUCAAAACAUCCAUACAUAUAUUUAAUUAAUUAAUUAUUAUUAUUUAUAAUUCAUGACCUCGAUUUUCCACUAAAGGAGUGGGUGGAAUUCUUGACAACCACUAAAAUAUGUGGGCAAGUUGUACUUUUUAUAUUUAUUUAUUAUUGUUAUUCAUUUUGUCAAUCCUUGAAUUGAUUAAGUCUAUGUUAUGGGAAAGUGCCAAUUUCUCUCUCCACGUGCAUAGCAUAUGACUAAUUUAUUAAAUUAGUGAAGCUUGAGAUCAACCUGCAGCUGCAUAAGGUAGGGAGAUUACAACUUUUGGUUCGAGGAAAUCAAGGAAACCUUUGAAGGAUUGAUAGAAAAGGGUUUGGUAUUAAUCAUUUGUGUAGCUUCUAUGCUUGAUGCUACUACUCCUAUUCAACCAUUAAUAUAUGGUUUUAAUUUUUUGUACUUAAAAUAGUAUUAAUUUGAGAAUGAAAGCUACUUUAUUGGUAUAAUUUGUAAGGAUUUGCGAUUAAUUUAAACAUAGCCGCUCGUAACCCACCAUAGAACCCUUUUUUAUUUUUUUUUCAAAUUCUUUAUUUGUGAAACUAUUUCAUUGAAAACAAGUUUUAUAAAAUUCAAUAUGGUUUUUGGGAUUUCUCAUCUGAUCGCUCCCGUUAAGCCAAGUUUGAGUAGGUGAUUAUGUUAUUAGAAUUCUUAGGUUUAGGACCGACAAGAGAUCCUCGUGAGUCAAGCUAAAAGCGGUAAGAUGUUAUUUAAAUUGACUUUUGAGAAUUAAAAAUUAUUUUUUAAAUUUAAUAAGAAUUUUUAUGUUUAUUUUGUUAUUUUUAUUUAAAACACUUAGUAGAAACUUAAUUUUAGGUUAUAAAAAAAGCCCUUCUAUAUUUGAUAAAAUCUUUAUAAUACCAAUACCAAAAUUUCAAAAUUAUCUUUUACCUUGUGAUGAAAGCCCAAAAAAAAAAAAGGAGUAAUGCCAUGUGAGGCAUAAGAGGCCUUAGCCCACACCCCACCAUUUACAAAGACAACAAAACCUUGGACCUGGGCCUCGGAGCACAGGCCCAAUGGGAGAAGAAUGGGUGGUCCUCUAUGAAUUUGUACGUUACAAUACUUCAUAUAUGGACUUGAAUGAUGUUCUUAAUUGCUGGAUUUUUUUAAAGAUAAAUGGGAUGGGAUAGUCUCAACAUCAUCAACUUCAAAUCAAUAUUUGUUGAUUCAUUUUCCUUUUUCAGCCUCUUGAAUCCCCAUGCACGUAACGGAUGUUGCUCUCACGAUUUCUCACUAUAUAUACAAACCACAGCAUACAUGCUUCCGCACUCGAUCGACAUGGCUCUGAUGCUGAAGCUCUUUCUUUUCACUCUUCUCUCUGCAUGGAGCCUGGGAUCCAUGGCUUCCGCACGGUACCUGGACAAGAGCUUCAGCCUUGCUGCUCGAUUACAUGCGGACGACGACUCAUCAUCCAAGUGCUGGGAGUCUUUGCUUGAGCUUCAGGCAUGCACUGGAGAGGUUGUCCUGUUCUUCCUCAAUGGUGAGACUCACCUUGGGGCCGGCUGUUGCCAAGCCAUUCAGACCAUUGAGCACCAAUGCUGGCCUGCCAUGCUUACUUCCAUUGGUUUCACUGCCGAGGAGGGCGACAUCCUCCAAGGUUACUGUGAUGCAACCACAUCCUCUUCGGCUCCCCCACCACCACCACCACCACCAUCCAUGGAGCCUAAUGACGUGGUUACCUUGGGUGGCUUUUUCCUCGAUCCUUAGUAGAACGCGUUCUUACUAGCAGUUAUGUCUUUUACAUAUAUCUGAUCCGCUAGUCUAAAUAUAUACAGAAAAGGGUGUUUGGAAUUAAUGAAUGAUUUCCUAUAUAUUGCCCCAUAUUUGUUGCAAUUAAAUUCCAUUUCUUGCUUGAAAAAAAGGUAUAAUAAUUUCCCAUCAUUGAUAGCACUAGUAGUUGUCUUUUAUGGGCUGGACGAGACACACAGAUCGACCCACAAUUCUGCUUACCCAGCCCAUGCUCAGUGGUUUGGACUAACAUAAUUGGAGGCCCAAAAGGGAUAUCAAUAAUAAGAUAAUGUUUGGAAGAUGAGUCUAUUUUUGUAUCUAGAUAAGACCAACUCAUCCCCCUCUAAUUAAUGGAGAGGUAACGGCGUGAAGGGCAAGAUUCUCAAGGACUCAAAAGCCUUUUUGCUUUGAUUUUCCAUCAAGGCAUCAGUGCCAUACACAUAAGUCCAUAAGGUAAUGAAUAAGGAGCGUCAAAUCAGGGUGGGAUGCGAAUAUGCGGAUUGAAAGCCAAGUAUUGAUUUUAGUGGUAUGAGGUGGGUCGUGUAUGGAUGGUGACAUCUAACUAUAAGUCUCUCAAAAGACUUCAAACUUCCCCCCAUCUCCGCCUUCUUUCAUGCUCUUUCCACUCUUCUUUUAACGUAGUAAUUUUUUUUCCCUUUGGGUAAUUAGGAUCUAAGCAUGGAAGAAGAGAAUAUUCGGAUGAGUGUUUCAAGAGUUCUUGGCUUUCUACACAUUGUUACUUCAUUUUCAAGCUGAGGAAUCAAUUGGUCAUUUGUUAUGUGCUUGUUUGUGAUCAUUGGGAAGCAGAUUUAGGGUUUUGAAAGGUCAAAUGCUAAUCAACAGAAGAAGAAAUUUACACCCCAUGCCAACAUAAAGAGAUAAUUGUGGUUAGGAUAGAUUUCAUAUAAUUAACUUCAACUAACUUCUCAUGACCUGCCAUUCCUAGUCAUCAUUCAGUUAGUUAUUUCCUUGCUAUGCCCAUGAUCGAUGCAUCGACCGUUUGCCACUUGUUUUCAUCCAAAAACCUGUCAUUUUCUCUCCGAUCUCGAUCCACUAGAAUGGAUCAAACUGGAUUCUUUCUUCCUCUGGAAUAAUGUAAAGCUAGACUAAAAUUUUAUACAUUCCUCUAUUGGUUGAUGGUUUAUUAAUGGUGAGAUAUCUUGUACAAAUUGAAUCAUCAAGGUCAUUGGAGUGGUGUCCUUGUUGACUAAUUAAUGGGUCCAUGUUUCAUGAUCAUAAGGCCAUCUUGCAUGAUUCAAAUAUACCCUAUUGAAAUGGUAUACAUACACAUGCACAUUGUUCAAAAACGCCCUAGAAAAAGGAAAGGAGGAUAAAAAGAAAUACAAGUCGUCCACUAGUGCCAUAUGUGGAAAAGUAGUGAGCAUACAGAUCUCAACUCCCCUAGAGAAAAUUGUCCUCGUAUGGAACCUCAACAAUGAAUUCUAGAGAAAGCUGUCAAGUGAUCACAGUCCAGAUGAAUCUUGAUUUAGAAGUUAGAAAAAUGAAGGGUUGUUAGGUUAGGGUAGUUAGUCAAUGGCACAAAGAUGUUAUCUUAAAAGUUGUGGAGGAGAGGAGAGGAGAGGAGAGAGUCAGAAAAAAGAAUGAACCUAUCAGAAGAAAGUAAGAAACAUCAAACUAUAAUCUUAUUAACAUGGAACGAUAAUCAUGAUAAAGCCACACAACAAGGGUUUCACAAGGACACACAGAGAGACCCAGGAAACAAGACACAAACUCAUCCAACAUAGCUCAGACAUAGAAAUUAUUUAGCAUAGUUGCUCACUGGCAAUUGUAAAUCUAAUUACACAACAAGCACACAUGCAUGCGUCUAGAAAAGAUGGUGAUGCUUCUUUCCAUGAGCCUCUUCAUCUUCUUCCUUGGCUUCUUUCUUCUCGUGAUGCUCGUGGAACGCGAACCCGCCAGCUCCCACUGCAGCAGCCGCGGCAAUCUCUUCUUCUAUCUUGUGCUUGUGGGCAUGCUCAGGGUCUUUCUCCGACUUGUGCUUCUCAUGCUAUAAUUCAAGCAUCAUCAAGACGAUAAGAAAUAGUUCCUUUGUAUAAAAUUAAUUAAAACAAAAAUAUUUUCAAACUUCAUGACACACGGGGCAUUACCAAGGCGUAAGCGCCAGCAGCAGCGACGCCGAGCUCGCCGAGGUGCUCGAGAUGCUUGUGGUGCUUCUCCUCCUUCCUGUAGUCAGGGCCUGGGUCAUCUGCUAACACUUCGGUGGUUUCGGCAGCGUAGCCGCUGACACCAUCGGUAGCAUAGCUGGUGUCGGAGUAGGUGGUGUCGGAGUAGGGAACGGCGUCGUCAACAGGCUUGUCCUUGUGGUGGAAGAGGUGGUGGUGAUGCUUCUCCUCCGACAUGGUGGUGGUGAUCAAAUUAGCUGCAGAAACGAGAGAGGAAGAUGGUUUGUGAACUGUGAAGGUGUGAUGUGGGAGAGUGCAGUGGUGGGUGGUGGGGUAUUUAUAAAUGCUGGUUGCGAAGGUGUCCAAAGAUCGUGGGAGAGAUGAAUGGGUAUUGGGAAUGGCCCGAAUGGGUGGGGCCUCACCAUUCACCAUUCUUAUCUACAUUUUUCAAAUCUCGAUGGCUCCUACUCUGUCGAUACUUUGUUUUUGUGUCGGCAAUUUCAUUGGAUCUUUAACCACGACAUUUUUUAACCACAUUUUUAGAUUUCCGUGAUAUUAUCAUAAUUGUUUUUGUUAGUCAUUCGUUGGAUUUAUUUCAAAAGUAGGAAAAUGUUUGAAAAAUAUACAUCAUCAUUUGCGUCUUUGAUCCACUCUCAAUAGGAAAUAAAUAAAUAAGAAAAGAAAACCACAAAGUCUCAGGUAGCAAAGAGUCCAUAUCAAAGUAUCAAACCUUUUUAUCGAUGAAUAUUUUUAGGAAGAACAAUCUAUUAUUUGUAAAAUAAUUUUUAUAUAUUGAGUGAUAACCCUUCAAUUCGAUAUCGUUAGAUCAUUAAGGUCGGCUUUUGUCCCUAUUCGACGGGUGGAUCUUGUAGUCAAACUCCCUUUUACCUUUGCACUCAAGGUCCAUCUUUGUUUUGCUUGAGAAAACCUUUGUUAAUUUCCAUUACCUUUUGAGAGACUUACGCUCUAUAAAAAUUAUUUAUCUAUUCCUUGACGAGGAAAUUCAAAUUCUUUUACUUAAAUUUAUUUUAUAAAACAUUAAAAAAGGUUAAAUAUAAUAAAAUUAUUAAAAAUUUGAAUUUAAGAAAUCAUUUAUUUUUUAAAUUUUGACAUGAACAUAUAUGGGUAAAAAACAAAAAGAGACAAAAACAAAAUAUGUUUUUUUGUGCAGUAAUCAAUUAAAAAAUCACUUUCAAUUUAAUAAAAGAUGUAAUUUUUAAUAUUAAAGCUUAGAGAAAAAAGAAUUGACUUGAUUGGAAUGAAUUACAAAAAUCACACCCCAAUGAAGAGGAACCCCAUACAGCACCUCCUUUCCUUUUCAUAAAGCAAAGACCUUUCAUCAGUAGGCAUGUGAAGGAGGGAAAUGAACUUGGCAGAUUCCACCUUAAAGUGCUAAAACAUGGCACUUGCCCCUCUUUCUAAUCAAACUUAACCCCACCUACAUUAUCUACAUUAUUUAUUGUACAUUAUCUUUCUCCAACUAAUACUAGUAUUUCACAUCUCACAAUUUUUUUAUUCUAUUGGAUGUGAGUCUAUUAUUGCAGUUAGGUCAGCUAAUCAGGAUCCCAUGGAUAAGGUGCCACAUAUUAAUAUUUUAGCCUUUUAGGUGUUGCUAUUCAUCCUCCUUUAUGACUUGGGCUCCAUUUCUUUGCUUGAACCUCACUUUUAGGGUAAUUUCUUUUCUUGGACUAUUAGUUUAUUUGUUGCACAUAAAAAGGCCACUUUAAUGGCCGUCAAACUUUGAUAAAAUAUGUCUUAUUUUGUACUUUAAGGUGGUGUUUAUUUUUUAAUUGAAUAAAAAAAAAAUAAAAAUAUUUGAUUUUUUCUAUUUAAUUAAAAGUAAUUUGUUGAGAUCGUUCAAUGUAACUAAAAUGAACUUGUUAUCAAUAAAUUUACUUUAGUUAUGUUAGACAAUAUUAAUAGGUUACUUUUAAUUGAAUAGAAAUAAAAGUCAUUUUAAUUAUAUUGGACAAUAUUAACAAGUUAUUUUUAGUUGAAUAGAAAAAACUAAAUAUUUUAAUUUUUUUUAUUCAGUCAAAAAACAAACAUCACCUAUAAAAAUUGAUAACUUUUAUAUAUUUGUACUAUGGUAGAUGGGCUUGGCCCACUUGGGCGUAGGGUAGAUAUUUGAAUUUUGAACAGAAAAAAAAAAAAGGGAAAAAAGGAAAAAAGGAAAGGGGAAAGAGAAGGAGAAGAUAAAUCAAUAAAUCAUAAAAGCAGGAAGGAGAGGUGGAAAAUGGUCCUCUGGUCUGGACCAGGAGAAAGUGGCCGGUGAUGGGGCCCAUUGGGUCUGUGUCGGCAAGGCCCCAUUUAUUUCGGCAUCAAUAUACCUGCCUGAUUGGUUCCAUGCCUGCCAUAUGUUUACGCUUUUGUCAAUUAUUAUAAAAAACAACUUCUUUGUCAAUAAACUCUUUAAUUUUUACUUCUCUAUCGUCUUUAAUGGGUGUGAAAAAAGUCAUACAUGCCUAUUGUAUUCUUCUCCUUUUUAGUAGGUAAAAACCUACAGGCUAUCCCUAAACUGAAUUUUAUAAUAUUUCAGAAAAUAUGAAAUUUAUUUUUAAUUAAUAAAAAUUUGGAUUAAAUAUCAAUCAUAAUUUCAUAACUGAUAUGGCCGGUGAUAAAGAACGAGUGAGUCACGCUAGGGCCACGGAUGUAUCACAUUCAUGGUGUGCCUGGGCUUAGUGGUUGAUGUGAAAUAGAUAUAGGUGUAGCGCAUAGUGUAAACGGGCCCAGGGAAAUUCAAAAUCGCGUUGCCACGUUCCAUAGAAAGGACAAGAAAUUAGAAGCUGGGAGUGGUCCACGUCUUCCAGGUAACCCCCACGCUGCUAACGAUUAUUCAAUGCCUUCCUACUCCAAAUCAAACCUAAUGUUCAACAUCGACAUGUCUCAUAUGACACAUCCUUAUAGAUGAAGUUGGUGAACUGUGGAGAAGAGAGAGUAAGGGCGUGUGAGCGGAGAUAAUUCACAAUUGAUUGGCAGGUUUCGGAUAUUUUCUUCGGCUUUGUCCUGGGUUUUUGGAAAGGUUUGAUUGGCCCGACCCAAUCCUACAACCCAUACUAAACCACACAAUCGAAUCCUACGAGAGACCAAACCCAACCUUAAAUCAAGUUCCUCAUUAUGGGCUUCAUAGCCCAACUUAGCACUCCAGCCCAUCCUAACAUUGGGAAAAAUAAAUUAAUGAAAAUUAAGACUAGAUAUGAAUAAUUUCUUUUAUUAUCUUAAACUGCUGAAAGGGAUUAGUUAUCCUACACAGCUUGAACAGAAAAAGAGCCCUCUAAAACUCACCUACUUGAGAUUUAAGGCAUAAAAAAGUCCUUACCUUAAUAAUUGUAAGAGAUCGUUGGAUCAAAUGAUUCAAAUCUGGGACUUGCUCACACAAUCAAUCCAUUUCAUGAGACGAAUUACCAGUGAGGCUCUCUUCACCAUCUACAAGAUUUCGGAUGUAGCGAGUCAAGUAAGAACUUGGACCAUAGCAAAUGCUUGAUAAAAACCCUCCAUACAGUAAGCAAUGGAUGCCAAGCUUAAACAGAUUUUUCCUCUCUUGGUUGGUGUCUCUCUGUGCUUCAUACCCACCAGUACUUUCUUCAUCCCAACUCGAAGAAUCCAUGGCAGUGCAGCCUGAAUGAGCCUGAAAACCCCAGAUCUUGGAAGUUUCCAUCUUUUGCAGCCAGUUGGAAUCAAUGGGAUCUUUAAAUUUUUUACAAAGAUGGUGUCCCUGGAUCAGAAAACUCCAAACUUUUGGUGUAAUACUUGAGACACAGUUAAGGAACUGCUUAGAUAUGUUCUCCAAUCCUCCAUUAUGAGCUUGACUCCCAAAAAAAUUGGCCUCGAAUUCAUCUGCUAGUGAGCACUCAUUGCAUUUAUGACUCUGAAGAGACGAAAGAUUUAGAACAGGCAACCUCCCUUUCACAAAGGAAUUCAAUAGUGAGCUUCUAGCAAGACUUAAAAGGGACUCCCCAGCAUUCAUCCAGAAGUUUGCAAUUGAUGCGAUCAAAGAAGAGUCAGAGAGGAAAAUACGGUGGGUUGCACCUGCAAGCAACAAGGAGUAUGCUGCACUGGUCUUGAUCAAGCUCAAGGCUUCCAGCUCAUCUCCGUCCAUUUCAGAAUGCAGAUCCAGUAAUUGACUAGCACGGACUCUGUAUGCAGAAGCCAGUGUUGUGUAGGCGGCCAAAGAGAGAUGGUGCAGGGGGUGCAACUUGAAAUUUGCUUGUGAUUUUCCCUCAAUUGGUUCUAACUGCUCAUCUGGAAGACCUUGAGCAAUAACAUUCUCAAGCUUCUCACAGCAAGCUUCAGGGUUGCCAACUGACAAAUAGUCAGCUAUAGCAUCAUCUACAUAAUCAGUCAACUUUCUGAUUUCCUCCUCUCUACACAUGUUAUCAUCUAUGUAAUUGAGACUAUGAGCCAAAGUUUCCUAUAGGGAAGAACAGAGAAAUGUCAAUCCUUGUUUUAUGACAGUACUAGAAUUCAGGCACUUCAAUUGCAGAUUAAAAAAUGCUUGUGAAGUUCAGACUUCAGAGUUGAUACAGAAAUAUUGUGAGUACUUCACCGUACAAAGUGGCCCCCGAAAAAUAACCAGAGUGGACAAGGGAAAGGAUAAAACAGGAUGAGAAAAGCUACUAUGAAUUACUCAAUAGCUUUUCCUAGUUCCAAUUGAUAUGGAGAAAAAGACUCCAACUGUCUGUCAGCCUUUUGAGAAGGAAAAAGCAGAUGUAACUAAGGGAGACAACUUGAAGAAACAAAAGAUAUGAAAGGCAAAGAAGAAAAUAAAUAGCACACAUACAGAUUCUGGAUGCAGCUCUAAUUGCAAAUGACGCAGCUGACUCAAGGGAGAGAAGCUCUAGGGCUGGUUUAGUUUGCAAGUUGGACAUAUGUACUUUGGUGUGCCCCUUUUGGCAUUUUAAUACAAUUUGCACUUACCUAUCAAAAAAAAAAAAAAGUUUGCAAUUUGGACAUAGAAAAGGCUUAUGACCAUGUUGAUUGGAAUUUUCUCCUCCCAGUAACGAAAAAGAUGGAGUUUGGUCUAAAAUCGAGAAAGUGGAUUCAUUUUUCCAUUGUAAGGAUGUCAAUCUUAGUCAAUGUUUCUCCUUCAGAUUUCUUUCAGACAUCUAGAGGAUUGUGGCAGGGUGAUCCUCUCUCACCCUAUCUCUUCAUGAUUGUCAUGGAAGCUCUACAUUGUAUACUCUCAAGGGCUGACUAGGGAGUGUUCAUUCAUGGCUUCAAGGUCAGGGGCAGAAGGGGUGAAGGUUUCCAAGUAUUCCAUCUCCUGUUUAAGGAUGAUAGAAAAAUUUGGAUCAACUAAGAUACUGGAGGUGGAUUGUAAUAGGCUUCAAGGUUGUGUUAGGUCUGAAAAUAAACCUGUAAAAAAGUAACUCAUUCUAAUGGGGAAAGUGGAGGAUGUGGUGAGAUCAUCAUCUUUGCUUGGGUGUAAGAUUGGAAGGCUUCCCACUUCUUAUCAUGGUUUGCCCUUUGGAGUGCUUCAUAAGUAUUGCGUUGUAUGGGAUGCUGUCAAGGAAAUGUUUGGUAAAAGAUUGGCUUCUUGGAAGGUGUGGUAUUUGUCAAAAAGAGGAAGAUUAGUUCUUUCAAAGAGCACUUUCUCAAGCUUAUCAAUCUAUUUUAUGGCCUUUUUUUCUAUUUCCAGGAAAGUGAGGAUCAAAUCAUAAAGGAUUCAGAGAGACUUUUUGUAAGGAAAUCUUUGGUAAACCAAUAAGAUGCAUUNNNNNNNNNNNNNNNNNNNNNNNNNNNNNNNNNNNNNNNNNNNNNNNNNNNNNNNNNNNNNNNNNNNNNNNNNNNNNNNNNNNNNNNNNNNNNNNNNNNNAGGAAGAACAUCCAAAGAAAGUGCAGGGAACUGGUCAAGGGGUGGAACAUUUGUGAGGUGAGGGAGACUUCUGGUAUAAGCCUAUGGAAAGACUUAAGAAAAGGUUGGGAGGAAUUCAACCACAGGAUAGCUAUCCAAAUUAAAAAUGGUAGCCAGACAAAAUUUUAGAGGGAUGGGUGGGUGGGUGGGGGGGAACUGUUUGAAAGAAGCAUUUCCUCUAUUGUUUAGUCUAGCUUCUCAAAAGAAUGCCAUUGUUGCAAACAUGUGGGAUGGGAGAGGUAGUGGAGGCCAGUGGGUGCAUUUCAAAAGGCCAUUCCAAGAUUGGGAAAUGGAGGGGGUGUCCUAAUUUUUAGAACUUAUUUAUUCAUACAGCAAAAGUGCAAGAAGAAGGGAAAGAUAUCUUAGUUUGGAAGGAGGAUAGGAAGAGAAUCUUCAGUACUAAGUUGUACUACAGUUCAUUGUGUGCCGAAUUUAGAGUGGACUUCCCAACCAAAGAAAUUUGGGGGCUCCCAAGCUCUUACGAGAUCAUGUUUUCUCACUUGGGAAACAGUAUGGGAGAAGAUCUCAACCAUAGAUUUGUUAAUGAAGAGGGAUGGACAAUGUUAAUAGAUAUAGUCUUUGCAAAGAGAGUGAUGAGUCUGCUGAUCAAAUUUUCAUUCACUGUGCAAUGACAAAGGUAUUAUAGAUGUUUGUUUUAUCAAUUUUUAGUUAGAAAUAAGUUUCUAGCUACAGUGAGGAAUAUGCUUCUCAAGUGGAAGUUUUUAAGGUAUUGGACAAGAAGAGUCACCAUCUUUGACAAAUGACACCCCUCUGCUUAUUCUGGUGUAUAUGGAAAGAGGGAAACCAUAAAAUCUUUAAUGGGGAAGAGCUUGCAUAUUAGAGAUUAAAAGAGAGCUUUAUUAAAUCCCUCUUUGAUUGGUCCAAAGUUCUGUUAGAAAUGGGCAAUUCUGAAUGAUGGCUUUCGUAAAUGGUCUUAGUUGUGGAUAGUUUGGUUUUGAGUUGAGGUUGUUUUUUUAUUCGUUGUUUUGUUUUUUUUGUGUUUACUCCCAGUAUAUGUAAGGUAUGCCCCCUUUCAUUGGCAUGCUCUUUUAAUAUAUUAUCCUUUUGCUUAUCAAAAGAAAAAAAGAAAAAAGAAAAAAGAAAAAUAAAGAGAACACAUAAAUCAGGGGAAGGAUGAAGGAAUUAAACCAAUAGGAAUGAGAAACAGUUGGGUAUAUUUUUUCGACAGAUACUUCAUGCAGCAGGGGCAAGAUGGGGGAAAACCUUACCACUCCUGGUGCCAUAAAUGUGGCAUAUAUGCAUCGUGUUCUAACUCCACACCUAGUACUAUAAUUUUCACAGAAGACGAUCACCCUUCCCCACCCAGCAAAUCUAAAAUCAAGUUGCAAAAUGAAUCUUCUAGACUGCUUUCGGAUUUCUCCUAAACAUCAAAAUAAACAAAUGAUAGGCAUACUGUUCCAUAGAAGUCUUACUUGCAAAACAAGAUCCACAUAAGUAGGGGGCGAUGCAUUACAACGGUUACAGCAACAGGAAAACCAAUACUUCACCCAUAACUCUGCAUGUCUAAUUUCCUGGAAAAUCAAAUCAGUGCAAAUAAAAGCGUAUAACGUGAACUCAAAAAACUAAAAAAAAAACAGAGUAUAGAAGGAUGAGUUGGAACACAUUUUAGCACAAUGCCACUGAGUUCACUUACACUAUGGUGAUUAUGCAAGUAAUAUAAAAUCAUGCAACUUCUCAUUAGGUCGACUCCUUGUCAUUUUUCGCAAUCACUUCAAACAUAAGGCACAAUGCAAUAAUCUAAAAGCUUAAAAGUAAUAGCAGAUAUGCCAAAUUUACAAGCACAUUUUGCACAUUCAAUCUCUUAACAGUGGAACUGUAGAUACUGAAAAUGAAGAUUACCUUAGGCUGCAACAGGUCUAUGUAUGCAACCCACACCUCCUCACCCUUUUUAAUUGCCUUGAUGCUCCGAACGAUGAUUCUUGGCCCGUGUAUGUUGCAUCCUUUACUAGAGAAAAUCAAUUACAAGUAGAUAAUCAAAAUAUCCAAUAAAUUCACAACUGAUUUUUUUGAGAAACCAAAUUGAAAAAAACAUAAAAUAAUUAAAAUAAAAAAGAUUCAAUCACCUUCUAUUGAUUCACUUUUGCUACGAACAGCAUUCUGUAUCUGAAAAACAUUUCGGUUUCAUAAUUUUCAAAUCCUUUGAAUAUGGUUAAAAUUAAAGAAACAAUUCAGAAUUUAGGAAUAGUGAUCUAUUUUUCUUUACUUCAAUUUCAUCAUUGCCUCCAGGGAUAAUCUGGAGCCUCGACUCGCCAGAAAACUGGGGCGUCUCAGGUGAACGGAGCAAGAAACGGUAACAAGCAUUGGGAGAACAGCUGUGAUUGAUCCAAGAGAAGCACCAAUCGUAGACGGCUAUCCCUAGGGCGGACCCUCCAUUAACCUGCACUUCAACUGCAUUGGUGAGGACCAGGCAGAGCAGGGCCUCCUCCAGUUUGGAGUCCCCGGAGAAUUCCGUACCAUCUCGCAUACAUCGGGCAACGGCCAUGGCCUUGCCGCCGUCUCGGAUUCUCGUCAGAGUCUCAUCACUUUCCGAGUUGUGGGAGGGUGAGAUGAGGUGGUGGAGGUUGGUGAGUAGGCCGCAGAUUCGAUGGAGCGGUUGGGUAUGGAGGGGAGGGAGGUGGAGGAUGUGGAGGAGGCGGAGGGCAGCACGGAGGUCGGAGGAGUGAGCGGUGGAGGGGUGGGAAUGGCGGAGGAGGAGGAAGAGGUGGUGCUCGGCGCUGGAGAAGUGGAGGGGGGAGUCGGAGGCGGAGCAUGGUGGAGAGCAGUAGCAGAGAAAGGAGGAACUAGGGUUGGUAUUGACGAGAACAGUGGGCGGUAGAGGUGAGAAACAGGCGGAGCAGUGAGAGCGAAGGUGAGAGUCGUGGAGAGAGGAGGCUAGGGGUGGGAGUGGAUGGGUCAGGUCUAACCCCAUUUCUGUGUCCUCUCUCAUUCUCAUCUCCAUUCUUUACCAUACGGAUUGCAGGCAUUCUCAAUUCUAGUUCUUAAUACUGCUGCUCCCUUCUCCCCCUUCCUAAACCAUCCAUUUAGGAAAGCAGAAAUAUAACCACAGUUUAUUUACUUAUUUAUGAUGUUUCUAAUACACAACACCUGCAAAAAUUAAUGACAAAAUCUGUCCCAAUGGAAGGUAGACAAGAGCACAGACAUCUGAGCACAUAUUUACCAGCCUUAUCAUAUCAACAAACAAUAGUUGAAAUGCCAUUCUUCCUGAGAGUUUGGCCCCUUGAUCAAGACUGCCAUGAAGCAAACCCAUAAUUCAUUAGAGGAGGAUACCAUGUUUACUCUCAUUGGCAGUGGGCGGACCUGGGAAUGAGUCAAGUGACAGAACUCUGAAAACUUGCCUUGAGGAAAUCCCUCAACAAAUCCAAACAUUACUGGGUUGCCUUCAUAAUAAUUAUAAAGAAAACAAAUUCUUCCCAUUGAAUUUCCAGGACAAGUGCAACAGCUGUGCCAAUUUCCAACAGCUUAAACAAUUGAGUAAUCAAAAUUGUUUGUCUCUACAUCAACUGAUGGAGUCCACCGGACCAUGAUCAAAUUUCAUCAUAUUUUACAGAUAAAAUACCAGUUAUUUAGAAAAGCAUGGAUUGUGAUCUUCCUGUGCAGUUUUCCUUCAUCACAUCCCGUAUGCGACUUCAGUUGCUUCAUUACAUCAGUUUCUGAUUUCUAACUUGAACAACUGUAUUAACACCCAAAAGGAAAAAAAGGAACUAAGGGACUAUUUAACAGUUAAGACUAGAAGGGUUUUAGAAUUGAACUGGAAAGGGUUCAAAUAGAGGAAGAAGGAAGAAACUCACCAAAAGAACUAUUGUUUCACUUUUAGUGUGGUCUCAAUGCGCUGGAUGAGCUGAUCUGCAGUCAAAGCACCUUCCUGGAAUUCAUCAGACAGGAAUAGUAACAAAGAAAUUAGAACAUAAAAAAUAAAUAAACUAGUGGCAAUAUAACAACCAAAAGAAAAAUACAAUCAAAAGUACAGUGAAAACCAAGAUAAACAAUUGACUAAGGUGCCACUGUACAACCAGAGGCCCAACCAUGCAUUGUAUAAAUGCGGAAGAAAAUUCUGUAGACAUCAUCUCCUAUGCCAAGGAGAAAACCUUCAUUGGCUAAUCCCAUGAAAAAGUAUAAUUCAAUAGAGUCAAAGUGUGUGAAAACCAAGCCAGUGCUACAAGCAGGAAGCCUAAGAACUGAGUCAUUGCCAGUGUAAGCUUUGCCUGUAAGUAAAGAAGGCAGUUAACAAUCAUGUUACAGGGGCUGCCCAUUCACAGGCACGUGCAAGAUGAAAAUCAUGUGGGCAAUUCAUGACAAUUUCCCAAAAAGGUUUUUUUGUACAAGUGCAUACUAGAUACGAAUUCCACUUACAAAGCGAUCAUAUGGCUUCCCAUCUUUAAAUAUGAUGAAAGUAGGCAAUGCCUCUAUUCUGUACUUAUCAGCAAUGCUCGGGUAUUUCUCAGUAUCAAUUUUCACCACCUGGAUCUUGUCUUUCAGAGAAGCACCGACUUCGUUGAGGAUAGGAACCAUGAACUGACAAGGGCCACACCUGGAAACCAGUACUUCGUUACUUCUAGUUUUAUUUAGUUCCCUCAAUAUCUCAUAGAAAUAGAGACUCCUUAGAACAGCACACCCUCAAGGAAACACUUUAAUGAGGGACUGCCCUACUGAGUAGCAUGUCUUAUUGAUGGAAUAUAAUUUGGCUUAAAAACUCACAUUUUGCUGCCAAGACAGCUAAUUCAGGUUAUCAUCUAGCUUACAACAAAAUAACAAACCAUCUCAUAUCAUUUUCCUUCUAUUUAAAGAGCAAAGAAACGGUGGCAAGUAUGGGAUUUAUUUUAUUUCAUUUUUUUUUUUUAAAAAAAAAAAACUCACCAAGUUGCAUAGAAGUCUACCAGAACAGGUUUUUCAGAAUUUGCUAGCAAUUCAUCCAAGGAAGAAAAUGUUUGCUUCUUUGCUUCAACCUAAAGAAAUCACAACAAUGUGGAAGUUACCCAUUAAUUUAUAGACACAUUCAGAAUUUGGUAGUCCAACCAUGCUUAUCUAAAUAUGCCAAUAUAACAGAGUCAAUUAGGAAAAUGUCCCAAACUCCUAAGAUAUAAUAUUAACAUAAAAUGUUUGUUCAGAAUGCAGAGAAACAAAAACCAAGAUACCUGUAAUCUGACAUUACAAAAAAAUGAGUCAAUUUACUCUGAGUCAAUUUAAAUUGGAAUUUAUGAACAUUCCAAUAUACUUUACUCUGGGUAACAGGCAGUUAGUAAGCAUGUCAAAUCAAAUAUUUAAGCACCAGUUAGAUAUCUAGAUUACAACUUUUCAUGACUCUUUAACUUUGAAAUCAUAGCUUCCAACUUGGAAGGUUAACAGGCAAAGCAGUGCACAAUUAUAUGGUCACUAUGACACCUUGUUUCUAGAUUAACUACUAGUCUAUCAGAUGACAAUUGAGUGCUCGUAUGCAGCGAACAAUGGUAUAGAGCUAAAUAGCAGAUGAAGUACAUUAGCUGGUUUACAUUGUCAAAUUGGAAACUAUGGGUAUGUUUGGAAUUUGCUUUCAAAAACAGUUUUAUGUUUUUAAGAACAAAAAUAAAAUAAAAUAAAGGAAAACAUGUUUGACAAUCAGGAAACAAGAUGUUUUAUGAGAAUAUAUUUUAAUUGUUUUCAGUCGUUUUCACUUAAUUUUAAAUAUGUUUUAAAGGAUAAUCCUACAAAUAUGGAGAAUGAUUGAAAAUAAAGCACUACAACAAAAGUUAUUUUAAAAAACAUAGAAAUUAGGUUGACAACAUUUCAAGUUCCAAUGAAAUGUUUUCAAACAGACUUCCAUUCUAGAAAACAUUAAAAAACAAUUUUCAAAAACCAUUUUUCAAAACUGUUUUUGAAAACACUUCCAAAUAGAGUCUAUAUAACUCUAUUAUUUCCUUUUAUUUUUCUCUAUUAAGAAAACCAUGUGUUGUCUGUCUCUCAUUUACAUGACCUAACAUUUCUCCUCAACUCAAGCGUUCACACCCUCAAUUAAGCAACCCAAACGCACUUAAUCCCAAAGGUUGUGUUUGUGUUUGGCCCUCGCAACCAACAAAUGCAACGACAUGAAAAUGCUGAAAUUAACUUCAUUCUCACUAACCAAUCUUAAUUUUUCCAGGAAUGACUAUCCUCUAAACAAACAUAUGCGCAAUCAACAAGAAAAACGCACGAGAAAAUAAAAGGCGAAUCCUUGCAUCUAGCACAAAAUGUCUCCACCAACUGAUCCAACACACCACAACACAUUCCCAAAGCAGAAUAUACAAACACCGUUCACAAGAAUUCGGAAAAUUCCAAUAAAAAAAAUCCACAACAUUCUGAAUUUUAAUAAUAAUAAUAAUAAUCAUAAAAAAGGCACCGAAGCAAAACAAAUUACCACAGGAAGGGUUCGAGGCCUAGACGGGGAUGAAAUUCCGUUGUUGCCGAUUCGAAUAGGGCGGAGCUGCCUAGGAAACUGCAAGGGGGACGAUGAGAAGAGCUUGGAAGAAGGGGAGGAAGAAGAAAAGGCUAAAGGAGUGGGGCGUUGAGAAUUCAACGCACGAACUGUAGAGAAAGUGAGCGAGGUGGCCAUUGGAGAGAAACCCUAGAACCAGAUGUUUUGGAUAAAAAUGGAACUGGACCAGAAAAAUCUGCUGGGAAGGGAGGAGAAAAAGAAGUGCGGAGACGAAGAGAACAAGAAGAGAGAUGUUAAGGUGCGGAGGUAUAGUAGAAUAAUAAAUAGGAGGACCAGAUCCGCGGGUGUGGGAGUUUCACAGCUAUGAUCCGACGGCCAGCAUACAUUAUCACACUUGGAGAUCCCAGCAGCCAGAUGCGUGUACUCUCCAUUUUUUUAUUUUAUUUUCACGUGAACCCCAAGGGAAAAUGACUACUCCAAUAAUUUACAUUUUCUUUUACCAAAAAGAUUAAAAAUCGGAUUCAGUAUCCAGAAAGGAUAAAAGAUUUUAAAUAAUUCAAUAUAAAACAUAAUGAGAAAAUCUUUAUAGAAUCAAUCCAACCACGUUCUAGUAAGAAACACCAGUGGGGGCAAGAAGUGGAACUACCGGUAAGCCAACAAGAUCCUCUUCAAAUUCAUGCUACAUUUUAUUAGACCAAUGUCUAAGGCCAAAAAUGAAGACUACAUGUGAGGAAAACGGUUGAGUCUAAAUCCUACAAACUUAAGUUUUUUUAAAAAUCGAUUAUUCAAUGGAAUGAAGAUGUAAAUAAUAAAACAAUGAGACCGGACAUGGUAUAAAACAAUAGGAUCUAAAUGCAUGUAUGAUACGACCUGAUUGAUCAUGCUUUUUGAUAUCGAUUUGGUAAUGUAAGGGGACCUUUUUUAACAUUACGUGAGUUUGGUAAAGGAGGCUGACUUUAUGGGCUGGAUGAACACGUAUGACUGGAGAUGAGAGGAGCAGCAAUACAAUGUUGAUCAUCACUUUACGUAGGCUCCUGCAUGCCACAAUGUUGAUCGUCACUUUCCAGAACACUAAAACCAUUUCAGGGUUCAGAGAAAAUUCGUAAGAGUCCGCACUCAAAACAGCUCUCUUAACAAUAAACUUGAAACAUCAAAUAAUGUUAAAUUACAACGUGGAAGGUUGAUGUCGUGGCAGUAAGUUAUGGCCAAACCUCAUCCAUCACUAGUCAAUGUGAGUGCCAGAAAAACUACUGUAAGUGCAGAGAAUAUGGUUGCACAGGCAAAUACCCACAUCGCCCUGCUCCUCACCCUGCCACUACUAUGGCUUGCCGGGCUGCCCAUCUCGACCUCUUUUAGAAGCUCCCUCACCUCAUCCAUAUUUGAGUCUUUUGCAGCUUGGGUUAGUCUACCAUGAAUUUUAUCAAGCCUACUCAGCCUUUUACUUCGGGAUGCAUCCUUGGCUGACCAGAUAAAACCCGUCAUCUUCCACAGAAGAAUGCCCACAUAGAUGGCCACAACACAGUCCACAGUGUAAUGGUGGCGUUCCCGUAUUUCCCUUUGGGCACUGUGCAAUACAAACAGCCAUAUGACAGCCGAGCUGAAACCUCCAUAAGCUUCCUGCAAACAUUUUUUUUGACACAGAGAAAGACACAAAAUUUAGUAUUAUGCAUUUUAAGCCUCAGUGCUACUGAUCAAUAAAUGUCAAGAGGAGGGAUUGCAAGUGUUUAAUAAAUAUACCGUCCAAGCCAUAGCAGUCAGUACUGCUACAAGAAUGUGGCCACUGUAUAUGAGGUCAUUGCAUCCUCCUCCAGCUUUCUUUAGCAGAUUGUACCAUGACCCGUCAGUAGUAGUUGGUCGCAGGAAGUCUAUAAGGAAGCUCAUUGAACCCCAAUCAGGACGAAAGUCACCAAGGUAAUUUCCAACAUCAGCUGAGAAAGAGGAAGAGAAUUAUUAAACCCACCUCCCUGUAAAACAGGAACCCAUCUGUAGUAGUUCUUAGGGUAGAUCUAAUAAUGGAGAACAUAGAACUCAUGAAGGUUACAGAAUUUAACCCUUUUUCCAACAUUGAAAACUAAAGAAAACUCUCUCAGGGCUUCUGUACAUGUCAACAAUGAAUUUAGAUUUCCAGGAGAUUGGAUGUUGAUUGAAUUGAAGAUUCACUAAAAUCUUGUAAGCACCUUAGUUAUUCCAAACCCAAUAGGCAAGUAGAAGAUGCGAACCUAAGAAUUAAUAGGACUUAUAAAGAAAUUUCAUAGAGAAAAUUGAGAUGAAACAGUGAAUCUGGACAAUAUGAUUUUUGCCAUGGGUACUCUAGCAGUAAUCAAGCGAAUAUAGAGCUUAAAAUCCCUUUUUCUCGCCUCAAGGCUCCACUACAAAACCCCUUCAAAUGCAUUAAACCCAUAAAAUGAGAGGAAAUUAGUUGGGUACAAAACACAUACCAUAGGCUAUAUCACGUUCUAUUACUUGACGAAUAGCAGCUGGAUCCGAAGCAUAAGGGACAUAAUAUUUUUGAGCCCAAUGAUGUGGGUGUGCAGGAACUCUGAAGCGGGCAAAAGCACACCAAGGCCGGGCCGAUGGCAGAAUUGUAGAUACAAAAGUUAUGGCCCGAAGAAAUCGCCCUAUUGCCAUGGUGAACAUGUACCUAGCACCUAGCCCAAGGCCAGGAGCUUUUACAGAGUCGAAUAAUACUGAGAAAGCCAGCAUCAUGAACAGCAUCAAAAAAUGGUGCAAUCCAAUAAUAUGCGCUCUAAGUAUCUCAACCACCGUAGGAGGAAGUUUCUCAUUCAACGCCAGGAGAAACCACUGGCCAGUGUCAGGAAGGGGAGGAGUAUCACUGCCAGACAUGAAUAAGCCAAUUGAUUGUCUCAUUGCUCAACAUACAGUAAACACAAAGUUGAACUAGUGUUGAAAGAUUAUGAUAUUAUCUUGGUAGAAAUAUUCCUGAAAAUGGACUCAGCUGUUGAUAAAUAUCCAUGAAGCAUUCUGGAGGAUCAGAUCCACUAACAGAAACUAUCACGUCUAAUAGAUGUUUUCUGAUCCAGUUGCAAUGAGUUGAUAGCAUUUUCAGGUUAUAUCAAAUGAUUCUUUAAAGAAGAAAUUGCAGCAUCUGCAAUAAUUAAAUCUCUGUCUCUCUAUAGGGAUUUUCAGAUUCAGCUUGAAUAAUGAUCCUGAAAAAGAGGAAUCAUUGCAUCUGUAUGUAUUUAAAUCUCUCAGUCUCCUGAGAUGUUUUCAUAUCUAGUUCAAAUGACGCGUGACUUUAUUUUCAUGUUAUAUCAAAUAAUACUUUAAAAAAGGACCUUUUUUAUGGGCAAAAAGUGAUAUUAUCAACAGCGCAUAAUCAGAAGAGGGCACACCAAAGCUUCAAAAAAGGACUUGUUGCAUCCUAUGUAUUUAAAUCUCUCUUUCUGUGAGUGCGUGCAUCAACAUAUAAAGCAUUACCUAUGUUAAGGAAUCAACAUGAUACGAAUAAAAGUGUCCUUGUUAGGGAUGUUUGAAUAUAAUAACACUUAUGUACAUACAGCACAGUUAUAAAUUCUCUCCUUCUCUCUCUGUGUGUAUGUGAAAAUUUUCAAUCUUACCUACAUGCAACCUGACACCAAUACAAGUAUCCUCAUUGCUGAGUGGUUUGCAUAUGAUAAGAACAUUUAUGUGUGUGUAUAUAGUUAAGGGUUGGGCCCCAAUUUUAAUGAUGAUUUUUAGCAAGAAGACUUGAAAAUCAAUUUGAAACCCUUAGUUAGUGUAAUCGGUAGUCUUUUUGCAUAUAAGCAAAGUGAGGGCAUACUAUAUAAGAAUGAAAGACCUUACUUUAACUUAGGAGACCACAUUGAACCUUAAUUUUUACAUGAAAAUCUCUAAAGGUUUUCUAAAAAGUUUAGUGACUUAACUGACAUUUUUCUGUACUUGAAAAAUACUCAAAAGCAUUGGUUAAAAUAUUUUAACAGUUUUCUAAUGUCUUAAAGUCCCUUAAAGGAUGGUUAAAGCCCUCGAUAAGAGUUAUCGGAGCAUCAAAAUGCAAUGGGGUAUGUAUGUGGUCAUCUAGGCGAUCGUCCAUAUGUGCUUUUUACCAUGCUGAUGUCCGGUUCUAGGGGACUUUUGUGUUUAAUAGGUAGUUUGAUUUCAAAAAGGAAUAAAUGCAUUGCCUUAGACACAUAUAACAUAGGCCUAACAAAUGCAAAUCAUUACUAUUCCAUUGAAACCUUUCUUUAAGACAUUCAAGUAUGCUUUAAACUUAUACUUGCUAACCCUCAUUUAAGAUGCUUAAACUUGAACAUUAAAUUACCUAUCUACUCUUUGUUAGAGUGUUCAUUGUAUUUUUUCUUUCAAUUGCAAUUUAGUGAGAUUGUAAGAAAUGUGUAUGAAUAACAUCUUGAAGUUAUAAAGAACCUGAUGGCCUCCUAUACGUAAUGUGUAUACUAGAAAGGGGAAGAGGAGUGUACUGCCACCUGGCAGCUAGUUGUAAUAGUCUUAGUACAGGUUGGAAGGAGUGUACUGCCAGGUGCAAUUAGCCAUAACGGUCUUAGUACAGGCUGGAAUAACUUUAGGAAAAAGAUGGAAUUUGUGGAGCAGCUGGCUGUUGUGUGAGUCUGGUGGGAGAGUGAUAGCCUCUCGAAUAGCCAUCUUUGUAUCUGUUUGGCCCUUUUCUUGAAAUUUUGGAAAUUCAAUAAUAUUGCUAGUAAUUUUUUCUUCAUUAGAUACCUAUCAAUUUGGUAUCAGAGCAUUGAUCCAGAUGACUCAGAAGAAGAAUGAUGGCCGGGUGGAUUCUCUGGAGAAGGAAGUUGGAGAAAUCAAAGAGGAGAUGCAGCGCCUACUGGGAAUGGAAAAGACCGUGAUGGACCUUGCCUAGAACAUGAUGUGAGUUCUGCAGUUGCUGAAAUUGACACAGAAGGCAGUGGGGGUGUUGUCAUCAGGGCGGGUCACGACGAUUCCUCAUUGUGAGGGAGGCAGGGUGGAUCGAUGCAUGGGAGUAUGAUUGCUACUCAAUGAGAAGACCAUGCGGAAUGGAUCCCUGGAGUUGGGGAAACCAAUGGGGGGUUGGAUAGUGAUGGAUGAGAUGAGGCGAGGCAGAAACGGGGAAUGGCAUGGAGAUGGCACUUGGAGAUGCCUGUGUUUAUGGGAGACAACCCGAACGACUCGAUCUUUCGAGGUAAUCAAUACUUCAUAAUGAAUGGACUCACGAAAGAGGAGAAAUUAGUUGCCCCUACGAUGAGUCUUGAUGGGGACACACUUUCUUGGUACCAGUGGAUUGAUUCGAGAGAGGCAUUUGGGAGCUGGGAAAAUUUGAAGAGGCGACUGCUGCUCCGCUUUCGUCUGACUCAAGAAGGGAGCCUUUGUGAGCAGUUUCUUGCAGUGCGUCAGGAAGGGAUAGUGGCGGCUUACUAGCAGGAGUUUGAGAUUCUAGUUGCUCCCUUGAAGGGGAUUUCUGAGGAGGUAAUAGAAAGCACAUUUGUGAGCGGACUGCUUCUUGAGAUUUGGGUUGAGAUACAUUUUCUGCAACCAUGUGGGCUAGGCCACUUGAUGGAAAUGGCUCAACAGGUCGAAGACAGAAAUUUAAUCUUGUGGGCGGCCCAUGAACCAAGGGACCCAAAGAACACCAAAAUAUUGUCGUUCGCAAAUCGGGGGGAUUGGAAGACUAGGGAAACUUUUCAAACUAGGGCAAUGACUACUAGUGAUGUGAGAUUCUGAGUCUCUGACAAAGAGAUUGACGGAGUAUGAGCUCCAAGCCCGUAGAGAGAAGGGACUUUGUUUUUAGUGUGAUGAGAAGUUCUCACUUGGCCAUCGUUGUAAGAAGGAAUUAAGGGUUUUGCUGGUGCACGAAGAUGAGGAGGAGGAUAAUCAGUUUGAUGGUGAAGCAACUGUGGAACCUCCACUGAUUGAGCUGAAAGAUGUUGUGAAGUUAUCUCUAAAUUCUGUGGUCAGUUUAACAACAUCGGGGACUAUGAAAAUCAAGGGGACGAUCAAGCUGAAUGAGGUAAUCAAUCUUGUGGACGGUGGGGCUACCCACAAUUUUUACCCCUUGAUUUAGUUCAAUGAUUAGCACUUCCAUUAACUACAACAACCAAUUACGAGGUGGUGAUGGGAAUUGGGAUAUCCGUGAAAGAGAAGGGCAUUUGUAGGGGAGUUUGUAUUUCGAUGCAGGGGCUCACUGUAGUGUAAGAUUUUCUUCCACUUGAAUUAGGCAACACUGAUGUAAUUUUGGGAAUGCCUUGGUUGGGGACUUUAGGAUACAUGGAGGUAAAUUGGAAGAUGCUAAUGAUGAAGAUCAAAAUGGGGAAGUGGUGAUAUUGUUAAAGGGAGACCCAAGCCUCAGUAAGACCAAGGUGUCUCUUAAGGCAAUGGCUAGAGCAUUGCAGCACCGUGGCUAGAGGGUGUGGGUGGAACUCUAUCAAAUUUCCACCGAUUCAAGUUCAAGUGAAGGAGUAUAGGAGGUCCCAAAAGCAGUCAAAGAAGGACUAGCUCAACAUCAACAAGUCUUUGGGCAAAUGACGGAGUUACCACCGAAUCGUAAUAUUGACCAUGCCAUCCGAUUGAUUUUGAGAGCGCCACCAGUUAAUGUUCGUACCUAUCGAUACCCACAUAUUCUAAAGAAUAAAAUAGAGAGAUUGGUACAAGACAUGAUUGAGGCAGGAAUUAUUUGGCCUAGCUUAAGUCCAUUUUCUAGUCCAAUGUUGCUGGUUAAAAAAAAAAAGAUGGAGGAUGGAGGUUUUGCAUAGAUUAUUGUGCACUCAACAAAGUUACAAUUCUGGAUCGGUUCCUUAUUCCAGUAAUCAAUGAGUUACUUGACGAACUUCAUGGCAUAACCAUUUUUUCCAAGCUAUACCUCAAAUAUGAUUACCACCAUAUUUGAGUUCGAUAACAAGAUAUCCAUAAAACAGCGUUCCGCAUCCAUGAAGGUCACUACGAGUUCUUGGUGAUGCUUUUUGGGCUAACCAAUGCAUUGACGACCUUCCAAUCGUUAAUGAACCGUAUAUUUCGACUACAUCUUUGGAAAUUCGUGCUUGUAUUUUUUUAUGACGUACUAAUUUAUAGCAAGGACUUGAAGGAGCAUUGUGAUCACUUGCAAAGGGUGUUGUUCAUUCUGGCUAACCACUAGUUGCACGCCAAUGAGAAGAAGUGUCUCUUUGCUAAACCGCAGCUAGAAUACUUGGGUCGUUUGGUUUCUACUGAGGGGGUUGCUGUUGACCCCAACAAGUUUCAACCAUGAUAGAGUGACCCACACCCAAAUCCCUCAAAGAAUUGCGAGGGUUUCUUGAAUUGACCAGGUACUACCGUCAAUUUGUCAAGGGAUAUGGAGAUAUUUCUUGGCCCCUCAGUUAGCAACUCAAAAAGGAUGCUUUUAAUUGGAACCCAGAGGUUGAGAUUGCCUUCCAAAAGUUGAAAACAGUUAUGACAACAGUUCCUAUUUAGGCCUUGCCCGAUUUCACUCAGCUCUUCAUUGUGGAGACGGAUGUCUCGAGGUAUGGUUUAGGCGCUAUUUUGAUGUAAGGUCAAUGACCGAUGGCUUAUUUUAGCCAAGUCCUCUCGGUAAGGGUGUGACAAAAGUCCAUAUAUGAAAGGGAGUUAAUGACUAUUGUCUUAGCAGUUUAGAAGUGGCGUCACUACUUGCUUGGUCACCACUUUAUUGUGCGAACGGACCAAAGUAGUUUGAAGUUUUUGUAGAGCAAAGGGUGGUGAAUGAGUCGUACCAAAAGUGGGUCACAAAGUUGUUCGAGUACAAUUUUGAAAUUCAGUUUCGGCCUAGAUUGGAGAAUAAGGCAGCUGACGCCCUAUCUCGCAUCCCCAUAUCUAUUGAGUUAGGUACCCUCAUGGUUCCCAAUCGCUUGGACACUUCGGUGGUUUAUUCACAGGUUGAAGCUAACCCUCACCUUGCUAAGAUUUGACUAGGGUUGUUGGUUAAUCUAGAUGCUUAUCCUUGAUAUUCUUUGGACCAUGGCCUUCUUGUCUACAAGGGGUGCCUAGUUCUUCCCAAGGCCUCACCCCUUAUUUUGACACUUCUUCAAGAGGGCAUGCUAGCGUGGUUGGAGGUCAUUCUGGGUUCUUGCGGACUUACAAAUGGCUCACAUGGGACUUUUUUUGGGUUGGCAUGAAGAAUGACAUCAAAGGGUUUGUGGAAAAGUGUUCAAUGUGUCAACAAAAUAAAGUCUUUACUUUGUCACUGGUUGGGUUAAUAAAAACCAUUGCCUACUCCAGAAAAAAUAUGGGUUGAUGUGAUGAUGGACUUUAUUGAGGGGCUCCCUAAGUCAAAGGGUUAUGAUUCCAUCUUAGUUAUUGUUAGAUUGAGCAAUUAUGCUCACUUCUCCUUGCUUAAGCAUCCUUUCACAGCCUAAAUGGUGGUUGCUGUUUUUGUUUGUGAUAUUGUCAAAUUGCAUGGAAUUCCCUAUUCCAUUAUUCCGAUCAUGACAAAGUAUUUCCUAGUCGAUUUUGGAUGGACCUAUUCCGAUUGCAAGGUACCUCCUCUGUCGUGGUACUGCUUACAUCCUCAAAUAGAUGGAUAAACGGAGGUGGUCAACUGUUGUGUGAAGGCAUACCUUUGAUGCUUUUCAUAUGACAAGCCUCGAUGUUAGUCUACAUGGCUUCCGUGGGCGGAGUACUAGUAUCAUAACAUGUUCCACGCAUCCACUAAUAUGACAUUGUUUUGAGCGAUUUAUGAGUAGGAAGCCCCAUCAUUGCUACGUUAUGGAUCAGAUUCUACAUUUGUUUUGCCAGUGGAUCAGUUGCAGUAAGAGCAUGAUCGAAUUUUAAAUGAACUGAAGGACCAUCUCAGUUGUGCCCAGUCCAAAAUGAAGUCAUCUGCAAUGUCCAUCGUCGUGCAAUGCAAUUUGAAGUUGGGGAUUUUGUCUAUCUCAAUCUUCGUCAUUACCGUCUUCGUUCCCUUGCAAGGCGACCCAAUGAAAAGCUCUCUCCAUGGUAUUUUAGCCCUUACAAGGUGGUGCAGCAAAUUGGUCUAGUGGUGUACAAGUUAGAGCUCCCUUCUUCCACAACUAUUCAUCCAGUGUUUCAUGUUUCACAGCUCAAGUGGGCUCUUGGUUCAGCUGAUUUAUGUCAGCCACUUUCCCCUAGUCUUGUUGAUGAUUUCGAGUGGCUUGUGGAGCUUGAUCAAGUCUUAGGUGUUCGACAGUCUCCCAAUAUCAAUCCUCCUAUUAGUGAAGUACUUAUCCAAUGGAAAGGACUUCCGCAGUUUGAGGCUUCAUGGGAAUCACUCGACAUGAUUAAGGAGCACUUUCUUGGCUUCCACCUUAAGGACAAGAUGUCUUGCAUUGGGGGGAGGGGGAGGGGGGUUGUCGAUGAUAGGCUUCCUAUACGUUAUGUGUAUCCUAGAAAGGGGAAGAGGAGUGUAUUGCCACCCAUGGUUUGAAAUAUUGGUAAACAGGGAUAUAUCAGCACUUGAAUUUUACAGAUAUAUCGGAAAUAUCAGAGAAAUAUCAAUGGAUAUUUUGACAAAAAUAUUGGUAAGGGGAAAAUUAUUCAAAAAUCAUGGAAAUAUUUGGAAAAACUCCAAAAAAUGAUAAAAUAAAUAAAAUAUACAUGUUAAAAUUAUUUCCUAAGUGUAAUUGACAUACAUAUGGUUAAAGAGAAAAAUAUCAAUAAGUAAAGAUAAAUCAAUAUUAAUAAUUUAUUAUUUAUUAUUUAUCUAAUCAAAUUAAUUUUAAUUUAUAAAAAAUUAAAACUUCAUUAUUAUUAUUAUUAUUAUUAUUAUUAUUUUAGUAUUUUUUGAAAAAAUUUAUAUUUUUAAUAUUUUAAAAUAAAAGCAUUCAAAAUUAAAUAAAAUUAAAAUGAUAAAUAUAAAAAAUUUAAAAGUGAAUUGAUAAUAAUUUUUUAAAAUAGGAUUAAUGAGAUAAAUGAUGAUACAUUUAAUAUUAAAACUAUAAUUUAUUUAAUUCAAAUGCAUUCAAUAAUGUAAAAUAAAUGAUGAUGCAUAUAUGAUUUUUUAAUAUUUAUAUUUUUUAUAUUUAAUUAUCACAUAAACGAUAUUAAAAAAUAUUUGUUGAAAAAAUUAUAAUGAUGGAUUUUAUACAUUUAUUAAUUAAUUAAAUAAAAUUUAAAGUAAAAUAAUUAUAAUUAAUUAAUUAAUUUUUUAAUAAUAAACUUUAACAAAUUUAUUAUCAACAUAUAUUAUUAAGUGUGAACUUGGCCCAGUGGUAAUUAGGCUUAAACCCAAGCUUUUUGGCUUGAGUUCGAAUCCCCUAAGCCGCAGCAGCAACGUAAACAUUUCAAAAAAGUUUUGACCACCAAAAAUAUUGAGAAAUAUCCUGAUAAAUCAGAAAAAACAUUUCACCGCAAAAAUUGACGAAAAGUCGGCCGAUCGAUUAUCGAUGAAGAAUAUUAUGUCAGUCAGCUCCGAUAACUGAAAUAUUUUUGCCAAAAAAAUCCAACAUUUCAAACCAUUCUGCCACCUAACAGUUAGUUGUAACAGUCUUGUAUCUGUUUGACCCUUUUCUUGAAAUUCUGGAAAUUCAAUAAUAUUGCUAGUAAUUUUUUCUUCAAUAGAUACCUAUCAGAACCAUCUAGAACCUAGGGAAUCUAAAUGUAAAUAAGAUUUAAAAGAGUCUUUGUUGAGAAGAUUCUUGGUUUGGUCGAACACUUUAAGGCUUGUGAAGGAGCUCAAAGACGUAGACAUAGGGGUGUUACUAAACCACAAUAAAAUCACAAUGUUUGUAAUCUUUCUUCUCUUAAUUCUCUUUAAUUUCAGUACUUUACUUUUAUUAUUUGCAUCAUAUAUUGUUUGUAUUUAAAUUUGGAUAAAAAGUUCAAAAAGAGACCACCCAAUUCACCCCACCAAUCCCCACUCUCCUGGGUGAUUACCUACAUUUGCUUAGCAAGACUACUUAAAUAUACACAACUGUGAUGGCAAAUCAAGACUAGCAUUGUUGUUGGUCAUAAGAAUUAAAUUGCCAUUCUAAGUAGAUACAUUAUAACAGCUCUGGACAGUCUAUAUGUCUAAUUAUUAGAAAUCACAACUAGCCCUAUAGUUCCAAUAAACUGAACAUAUAUUUGAAAAAAAAAAUCUGGAAAUUCACAAAAAGUUCCAUUAUCUCUCUCCAUCUAUUUGGAAUUGAUAUCACCAGCCAAGGUCAAUGAUUCCAAUUCAUAUACAGUCAGAACGCCCAGAGUAGAGUGUGAUUCCAAUAUUUUCUCCUUACCAGGUAAACUUUUCAGGCAUCCCCAUAAUUUUAGAGAAAUAUAAUUGGUUUUGUCCAAAAAACCUAUUCUUGUUUACUCUAUUUAUCCUAAAUUACUUCAUUUGAUCUCAAAUAUAAUUUGGUUUUUCCUUAAGCUUUUCAUUGAUGCUCAAUGCUCACUCCACACACUUAAUUUCUUAAAUUGCUAAUGUUAUCCUCAGUGGCCAUACAAUAUUCUUUCUUUUUUUUUUUCUUUUUUUUAGACAGAUAAAACCAAUUGCAUUAAAAAUAAAAAUGCCACAAGGACACAUCAAUGUACAUAGGAUGUAUACAAAUAGCACCUAACAGCACAAAAACAUGAAAAGAACCCAAGCAACAACCCCCACCCUUAACCAGAACCCAACCACUCAAUGAAAUAAAGUAAAGACUAAGAAUCUAUCUCUAUGUACUUCUUUACCUAAGUGAACAAAUUCCUAAGAAAGAACAUCUUCAAAAACUAAGCAAAAUGCUCCUCAUUAUCAUACAACCUGAGAUUUCUUAUUACACCAUACAAGAUUCUUAUUACACCAUAAAGGCCCCUAUAUUUGACAGAUAUGCCUGGUUAAGUAGAAGAUUAUGCAUGGAAAACCUAUUCUAAUUCUAUGAUAAAUGUCCUACUUCAUGCCAUCUUCCUUUUGAAUAAUUGGAAUGAAAUGGCCUGUUCGGGAUAUCUACUAAUCAAUGAUUUUUUAAUUUACCAAAAUUUCUCUUCAAGUCAACCUCCAACACUGAGAAGUUCAUUUCUACAAAUUUCUUUGCUAUGUUGCUCCCCUGGUUCCAAGCCAAGAAAAACCACUAAAAUCAAGAUCCCCAACAAACAACCAUCAGUUGAGGUUCAUACACACAGAUACUGGGAAAUGGGACAUAGGCCUUCAAUCCUAUAUUCAAUUAUGACUAUCUUUUGCUAAAUGCCGAUUAAACCAUACUGGAUUCCCUGCCUAAUUGAUAAAAAUAUUGUCAAAAAAAUGCAUAUACAUGAGUUACAGUGUUGAAGGGGAAUAACAACAUAUGGAUUUUAUCACUUCUAUGUAAAACAUUUCGAAUAUUACACUAGAAGAACUUAGAAGUUAUCCAGCAAGCAUACAUUUCACUAAAGAAAGCAUACGCUGUGAACAUGAUUGAUUAGUUCACCAACUUCAACACUUCAUAUCAGCCAUAUCUCCUUGGCCAAAUCAAGGAUGGAACAAGACUCCACAAAAUGUUCUGAAACAUGUGUGCAUAUGGAUAGUUCAAAUAAGCUAUAAAAUUACUUGCACAAAUUUUCCAGCAAAAAAAAUGCAAAAAAUAUUCAAUUGAAGACUUUAUUUUAAUUGCAACUAAUCAUAAUGAAUACCAAAUGCAUAUUGUGAAAGUCUCAAGUGCAGAGUUUGAUACACUGUUCUGCAAGCUUACUGUUAGGCCUUUGGUUCACCAACUACAAAUGGAAGGUUGAAACAAUCAAACCUUGGGCAGCUGGACCACCCUGAAACCUACACAUAUUUUUUUUGAUAAGUCCCUGGAGUCUAGACUAAUUUCGAUUAGUUCUUGCUGCUACAUGCCUAUUUGAUGGGAGGCAGUUUUUUUUUGGGUGAUUAUUAACCAACAUUUUGAUUAAUUAACACUAAAGCUAAACCUCUUUUGAGUUACAAUUAAUCAACAUUUGGAUCCAAGAAAAUUUUAAAGUCAAAGUCAUCAAUAAGGAGCAAACCCUAAAUCUGCUUUGAGUUACAAUGAAUCAACAUUUAGAUCAAAGAGCAUUUUAAAGUCAGACUCAUCACUUAGGGAACAAACCCUAAAUCUGGCAUUUUGAUUCCAGCCACUUUCCAAAUUUAUAUGAAUCAGAAAAACCCGCAAAAUAACACACCGAUUAGUCAACAAUUGAACAAGAAAUCAAAUCUAAAACCUUAGUCAUGUCUUUCAACAAAAUACCUCAAAAUGAAGACAAAUCGAACUCCAUACACAAAGAAAUUAAAGCAAACGCAACGCAAAUCAAACACGACCCACAUAAGAUUAACCCAAAAUGAGAACGUAACACUCAAUACACUUCAAUUUUCAUUUGAUUCGCCAUCUGGCUCCCCCCAUUUUCCAUCCAAAAACCCAUAACCCCAGGGUCCCCAACCAACAGAAAAUGCAACACAACAGUCCAAUUACCUGUGCCAAUCGAGACCGAGAACGGCGGUCACGGAGCGAACAGAGAGAACUUCAAAGAGACAGGUGGAGAGCAUGAAGAUCAUCGAAGCAACAAAGGGCAAAACAGAACGGAACUCCAUGGACCAGUGCUUGUAGAAGGGGACGCGAGCGACGGCUACUAGAGCGAGCACUGACCAGAGAGCAGGCAUUAGCCAGGAGUGCCAUGCCGGAGCCAGGUACCGGAGGUAAUCAACAGCCACGUAGGCUAUGGCGGCCACACCUAGUCCCCCGGCCCUCGCCCUCGCAGUCACCGGAGGUCGCCACUUCAUAGCUGUGGAGAAGAGAGGGAGCAGUGAUCCAAGCAAAAUUAUUUUUCAAAACAUCGUUCCAUUAAUAUUCGUUAAAGAGAAUAGUAACGGAAGCUAUCUGGAAAGCCGGGUUCACAUUCCCAGAAACAUGCAUCCAAAAUAAGAAAGAAAUUUUUUACUUUCUCUAAUUCUUUUUAUCUUUCAUUCUCUCAAUUUUCUCAAUUCUUUUUUAUGAUUUUUUUCCCUAUAAAUAUUAUUAUUAAAAUAAUAUAUAAUUUAUUUCUAUUACUUUAUUUGCAUUGCAUUUAUUCUUGUUUCACAACGAUUUAUCAACACAAAUUGCUUUGAAGGUAAUUAUCAUAUCUUAAACUUGAAGUUAUUUAUAUAGAAUAAAAUUUUACAUAUUUAUAUUAUUGUUGAUUUGUUUUGUCAUAUAUUGUUAAAAGUUAUAAACAAAUUAUUUAACUUUGUUUAUAAUCAAAGUUAUACCAAUGCUAUCAAUUUAUUAUAACUGAUUCAAAUAAUAUUGUUUUGUCAUAUAUAUAUGAAGUUAUUUGACAAUAUCGAAUCUCACAAAACUCGAAUUUGUAGCACUUGAUAUUUCAGGAAAGAACUAUCUAUCUUGGAUCUUGAUGCUGAAAUACAUCUUGAUGUAAUGAAUUUUGGAGCUAUGAUCAAAGAAAGAAAUAAAGCAUCCUUGGAGGAUCGUGUAAAAACAUUGAUUUUCCUUUGUCAUAAUCUCCAUGAAGGUUUAAAAAAUAUAAAAAUAAAUAAUGAGCUUUUGAUGAUAAAUCACCAGUCUCGUCUAACUAGAUUUGAACCAUUCCUUGAAAUGAAUACUUCCUUGAAAUGAAUACAAUAUCGUCAUAAACUCGUGGACGAGGACGUGGUCGUGGUUGUGGAAGAAAUCUCCGAUACCAUGGUUCUUAUAGUAAUAAUUCAUCAAAUUCUCAAAAAAUGAAAGCCUCAUUGCACCAUCAGAAGUGGAACAAUAUUGAGGUAUAACAAAAAAAUGGGAAGUGUUUAUAAGAUAAAUCUCCUAAAAACCAUAAGAAUAAUUGUUAUAGAUAUGGCAUGAAGGGACAUUAGUCGCGUACAUGUCGUACGCCCAAACGUUUGGUUGACCUUUACCAAGCAUUAAUAAAAGCAAAAGGAAAAGAGAUAGAGAUGAACUUUAUCGAUAAUAAUGGAUUGGACCUAACCUACUAUGACAUAGAUUUCUUUGGAGGUCCCAGUAAAAAACAGACCAUUUAAUAAAUGAUGAGAAGAUUAACAUUGAUUGAUGUUAAUUUAUAUAUCAAAUAAUAUAGUAUUAUGUUUUAUAUUUACAUCUGAUUUUUUUUUUUUUGUUAUUUACAUUAUGCCUUGUUUUUUUAGUUAUAUCUGAAAUCCAUGUGUUAUUUGGUCUCAAGAUGAAUGAGGAUGAUGUAUGUCUCACAGACUAUGCAACCACGCACACAAUUCUUUGAGAUAAAAGAUAUUUUUUCGAAUUGACAUUAAUAAAAGCUAAUGUAAGUACCAUAUUUAGUACUACAAACUUAGUUGAAGGCUCUAGAAGAGCAAACAUAACACUACCAAAUGGAACUAGAUUCCAUAUAAAUGACACUUUAUAUUCUAGCAAAUCUAGAAUAAAUUUGCUCAAUUUUAAAGAUAUCCGCAGAAAUGGAUAUCAUAUUGAAACUAUGAAUGAAGAUAAUGUAGAAUAUCUUUACAUUACUUCUAUUAUAUAUGGCAAGAAGCUUAUAAUGGAAAAACUCACGAAUUUCUUUUCUAGGUUGUAUCAUACAACUAUAAAGCCUAUUGAAUCAUAUGUUGUCGUGAACCAGAAGUUCAACAACCCAAAAGUUUUUUUCCUUUGGCAUGACAGACUAGGUCACCCGAGGUCUUCAAUGAUGUGUCGAAUAAUCAAACACUCACAUGGGCAUCCACUAAGGAACCAGAAGAUUCUUUUGCCCAAUGAAUACUCAUGUGCUGCCUGCUCACAAGGUAAAUUGAUAGUCAGACCAUCUUUUACUAAAGUCAUAUAUGAGUCACUAGUCUUUUUAGAAAGAAUACAUGGAGACAUAUGUGGGCCUAUUCAUCCACCAUGUGGACUAUUCCAUUAUUUUAUGAUCUUAAUAGAUGCUUCUACUAGGUGGUCACAUGUUUGUCUCUUUUCUACACGUAAGGUUGCCUUUUCUAGACUCCUUGCACAAAUAAUCAGAUUACGAGUACAAUUUCCAGAUUAUCCAAUUAAGACAAUACAUCUUGAUAAUGCUGGUGAAUUUACUUCUCAAACAUUCAUUGACUAUUGCAUAUUAGUAUGGAUAAAUAUUGAGCAUCCUGUUGCUCAUACUCAUACCCAAAAUGGUUUAGCAGAAUCCUUCAUCAAACAUCUCCAAUUAAUAGCUCGACCAUUACUAAUGAAAACUAAACUACCUACUUCUGCCUAGGGACAUGCUAUUAUGCAUGGUGCAACUUUAGUUCGUAUUCGACUUACAACUUACUAUGAAUACUCUCCUUCACAACUUGUGCUUGGAAAACAACCAAACAUCUCUCACUUGCGAAUCUUUGGUUGUGCAGUAUACGUACCAAUUGCACCUACACAACGCACCAAAAUCGGUCUCCAAUGAAGACUUGGGAUUUAUGUAGGUUUUGAUUCUCUAUCUAUCAUAAGAUAUCUUGAGCCUUUGACAGACGAUGUUUUUACAGCCUGCUUUGCGGAUUGUCAUUUUAAUGAUAGUGUUUUCCCAUCAUUAGGGGGAGAAAAGUCGAUUCCUGAAGAACAACGAGAAAUUAGUUGGAAGACAUCUACUACUAUGACUCAUCUUGAUCUUCGUACAAAUCAAUGUGAACUAGAAGUUCAAAGGAUCAUUCAUUUGAAAAGUCUUGCAAAUCAAUUACCAGACGCAUUCAUUGAUACAAAGAAAGUGACAAAGUCUUAUAUUCUGACUGCAAAUACUCCAACACAGAUUGAUGUCCUUGUAGAACAGUUAACAAAUGAAUCUAAGAUAUGCUUGAAGCGUGGUAGACCUAUUGGCUCAAAGGAUGUAACUUCCCGAAAGAGGAGAACCCAAGAAAAACUUGGCACUAUAAAAUAGGCCAUCAAAAUGACUGAUCAAUUUAAAAUUGAUAAAUCUAUAGCCCCUGAAGAGGCACAUAUUGAACAAGAAGCCCUUGAAGAGGCACAUGUACCUGAAAAUUGUGAGAUCUCAGUAAGUUAUGUACACACGGGAAAAAAAUGGGAUCAAAAUAAUAUUGUUAUUGAGAAAAUAAAGGUUAUGCUUAAAUAAGAAAAACACCCAAAAGGGGAGUGAAUUAGGUUUUUCAAAAACUUUUUCAACACAAAAAAUUUAAGUACAAUAUAAUAAAAAAUAAAGAGAUAGAGUUAUAGAAUUCAAACUUGGAUUUUAUAGUGGUUCAACACUUCUUUACCUAUGUCCACUCUUUUCAAUCUCCUAACUGAGUGAGGUUUCUACUAACUUAAAGCUUCAACCAAGCUUUCAAUUUUCUUACACUUGGAUUCCGACUCCAAUGGGCUCUUACACAAUUUCUUCAAGAUUCAAACCUCUUGAACAUUUUAACACUCAAUUUUUACAAGAAUGAAUCCCUCAACCUAGCUCAAAGAUAACUCAAAUACAAAACAAAGUUAGGAUGACUAACAAGGAUGCAUUAAAAGAUAUGCAAGUGAGGAUUUAAUGCACUAAAAAAGAAAUGAGAGCUUUUAAGCCAAGAACAAGUGGGUAGACAAUUGAUUGCAAGUGUUCUCAAUUUAUAAGUUUCUAAACUCGGGAGCCAAGAAAAGCAAAAGGUAGUCUCGACCGGUCGAGUUGGGGGUUGACCGGUUCACUAGCCAUUGGAGCAUUUAAUGUUUUGACAGGUUACCAUUGCCUAGACCGGGAAGAAGGAAACCUCAAUUGGGAAAAGGAAGCUACUGGAUGAGAAAGAGUGUUUUUGGUACUCCUCGAUUGGACCUCGACCGAACAAGGGCAACCGGUUGAGCCGGUUGGCCAGAACCUCGACCAGUUUAGCAUUUUGGCCCCGAAAACCUAUCUUUUUCAAUUCCUUUCUUUUCUAACACUUAGGCAAGGUCUUUAGGUAAAUUAAUAUGCCAAUUUUAAAACGUUUUGCCUAAGGUACAUUUGAUAAAACUCGAGUUUUAAUGAAAUCAAAAUUUUAAAGAAUAAACUGAGUUUUCAAAGAUGCAUGAAAAUGUAUGAAAAACCUAAAUGCACCCAUGCAUUCAUCUUACAUUCGUUUCCUAUGAUCAAAAGUCUUCCAAAAGUCUCGAUCUUGUAUCCAUUUGGUCAUUUGAUGAAUUUCCGAAUUUAUACCUGAGAUUCUUUUACCAUUCAAAUCAAUUAGUCACUUAACCAUGAUUGGUUAUCAUCAAAACCUGAUUAGGAGAACCCUUGGGCUAACAGUUAUUAACAAUAUUUUCGCUUUCCAAGUAGCCUCUGAUAUCAUAAGAAAUGAUGAAGAUCUUGAACCAAAAAAUAUGGAAGAAUACUGACAUAGAAAUGAUUGGCCAAAAUGGAAAGAAGCUAUACAGGCAAAGUUAAACUCAUUAACAAAAUGAGAAGUUUUUGGACCUAUAGUCCAAACACCUGAAGAUGUAAAGCCUGUUGGGUACAAAUGGUAUUUGUAUGAAAGCGUAAUGAGAAUAAUGAGAUUAUAAGAUAUAAAGUGCAAUUAGUAGCAUAAGGUUUCUCGUAGAGACCUGGUAUUGACUACGAGGAAACAUAUUCUCCCAUCAUGGACGCAAUCACAUUUCGUUUCUUAAUUAGUUUGACAUUCUCAGAAGGACUGGAUGUGUGUCUCAUGAAUGUUAUUACAACAUAUUUAUACAGAUCCAUGGAUAAUGAUAUAUACAUAAAAAUCCCUAAAGGAUUUAAAUUGCUUGAAGUAAAUAGUACAAAGCCUCACAACAUGUACUAAAUCAAGUUACAAUGAUCGUUGUAUGGAUUAAAGCAAUUUGGACGCAUGUGGUACAAUCAUCUUAGUGAAUACUUGCUAAAAUAAGGGUGUGUGAAUAAACCUAUAUGCUCAUGCAUCUUCAUUAAGAAAUCAAAAACCGGAUUUGCAAUUAUUGUAAUGUAUGUUGAUGACUUAAAUCUUGUUGGAACUCUUGAAGAGCUCACAAGAACAACAAAUUACUUGAAAAAUGAAUUUGAAAUGAAAGAUCUUGAAAUUUUUUUUUUCUCGGCCUAUAAGUCGAGUAUUUUCCAAAUAGAGUUUUAGUACAUCAAUCAACAUACAUUAAUAAAGUUUUGAAACAUUUUUAUAUGGAUAAAACGCAUCUUUUAAGUUCUCCAAUGGUUGUCCAAUCAUUUGAUGCGAAAAAGGACCCAUUUUGUCCUUGUGAAAAAGAUGAAGAAUUACUUGGUCCUGAAAUACCAUAUCUUAGUGCUAUUGGUGCACUUAUGUAUCUUGCCAAUUGUACACGUCUAGACAUUGUUUUUUUUUUUUGUCAAUUUAUUAGCAAGAUACAGUUCCGCUCCCACUUGAAGACAUUGGAAUGGUAUUAAACAUAUAUUGCGUUAUCUUUGCGGAACUACUGAUACGAGUCUAUUUUACUCAAGGGAAUCAAAGCAACAAUUGCUUGGAUAUGCAGAUGCAUGAUAUCUUUCAGAUCCACAUAAAGGUAGGUCACAAUUAGGGUAUGUGUUUAAUUGCAAUGGUACUGCUAUUUCAUGGAGAUUUGUCAAACAAACAAUAGUGACCACAUCGUCAAAUCAUUCAAAAAUACUGACAAUUCAUAAAGCAAGUUGUGAAUGUAUAUGACUAAGAUUUAUGAUCCAGCAUAUUCGGGAAUCAUGUGGACUCUCCUUUAUCAAAGGUGACCCGACAAUAUUAUUUGAAGAUAAUGUUGCAUGCAUUACACAAAUAACAGGGAGUUAUGUUAAAGGGGAUAGAACUAAACACAUUUCACCAAAAUUAUUUUAUACACAUGAAUUCUAGAAGAGUGGUGAAAUUGAUGUGCAAAAAAUAUGCUCAAGUGUUAAUCUAGUAGAUUUAUUCACAAAAUCAUUGUCAACCUCAACAUUCAAGAAGUUAAUACACAAGAUUGGAAUACGUCAACUCAAGGAUAUUGACAUGAGGAGGAGUAUGCUUGUAAAAGGGUGUUAGUGUACUAUACUCUUUUUUCCUUCGUCCAGGUUUUGUCCUACUGGGUUUUACUAGCAAGGUUUUUAACGAGGCAAUCCUAACAUACCAAGAGCAACUUAAAGAAUUAUAAGAAUAUUGUACUAUUUUUCCUUCGCUAGGUUUUUCCCAUAAUGUUUUUUACUAGCAAGGUUUUAAUGAGACAUAUUCUUUAAUGUGGUGGACAUCCAAGGGGGAGUAUUAUAACUGAAGUAAUAAAUGUCACCACAUUAAUUACAAUAAAUGUUAAUUAAGUAUUAUUUAUGAUUUCCAUUAAUAUUCAUUAAUGGAAACUAUUAAUGUUAUUUAUGAGUCUCAUUAAUGGAAACCAUUAAUGUUAUUUAUGAGUUCCAUUAAUAUUCAUUAAUGGGAAUAUUAAUGGAAGCCAUUUGGAAAGCCCAUAAAAAGGGCUUCCCAUCCUCUGUCAUAUGCAUCCAAAACAAGAAAGAAAUUUCUUACUUUCUCUCAUUCUCUCUAUAUUUCAUUCUCUCAACUUUCUCAAUUCUCUUUUGUGAUUUUUUUCCCUAUUAUAUAUUAUUAUCAAAGUAAUAUAUAAUUUAUUUCUACUAAUUUAUUUGCGUUACAUUUAUCCUUGUUUUACAACAAAAAAGUAUUUUUAAAUACGCCAUUUGACCCAAAAAAAAGAAAAGAAAAGAAUUUAAGAAAAUGCAAUAUGAUAUUAAAUCUGAAUUUAUAUAACAUUUUCUUUCAUAGUAUAUGCCACCUCAUUUUUCAAAAAAUUUCUUUCCAUCCCUUUAAUAAAUAAAUAAAUAAAAUAAAAUUUUCUUUAUUUUUUAUUUUAAUAAAUAAAUAAUUUUAUUUAAAAUUCAAUGGUGAUUUGAGGGGAGCAUAAAGAAAUUAACGUAAAUGUGAUACAAAUAUUUUAAUCUUUUUAUUUAUUUUUUCAUAUUAUAGUGCUUAUAACCAAAUUUUUAUUACAAGUAUGAAGGAUUCAAUAAAUAUUUAUAAAUUUCAAUCAAAUGGUAAUUUGCCUGAAAUUUCAUUUAUGCAUUAUUAAUAUCUCAUAUUAGUCAUUAAACAUCAUUUGUAAAAUAUUUAGAGAGUGUUUCUAUUUGAAGUGUUUUUAGUAAAAGUGCUUUUUUUGACAGUGUUUUUAAGAGAAUCAUCUAUCAAGAGCCCGUUUGGCAGUGAUUUUCAAAACUGUUUCUACCCUUAAAAACACUUUUCAGUGUUUUUGGGAUAAAAAUAAAGUGUUUAACAAAUUUUUAAAAACACUUUUGAAAAUCUGGGAAAACACUUAAAGUGAUUUUUAGAUAAUCACUUGACAAGUGUUUUUUAAAAAAAACACUUCAAAAAAUUUGAAAUAUUCCAAAAAUGCCCCCAAGUGAUUCCUGAUAUCUUCCUUCCUUUUCGCUCAUACCUCUCUCCUUCAUUCUCCUCCUCCAUCGCUCUCCAUCCGAGACUACACAGUAGGAAAGACACUCCACUUUUAUUCAACAUCGUUGAUCGGAUCGAAGGUAACCCUCUGUUCUUUUGUUGUUUUUCUUUUCUAUUUUUUUUUUAAUGUCUGAUUGUCUUGAAAUGUUAGUUAGGGUUUUAGGUUUUAGGAUUGUUUAGUUAAGAGAAAAAUAUGAGAAAAUGAAACUUGUAAAUCCUCAAAUGUUUUUAUAGGAAUUACUUCCAAGCCUUAACAAUUUUAGAUCUAUUUUUCAAUAGAGCAGUCGAGUCUCAUUUCCCAGUACUUCUCUCUCUAAAACUCUCAUUCUCUAUUUUGGUUCACAUAUGAAAUUGCUCUAUUUAGGGUUUUUGAGUUCACAUAGUCUCGACAAUUCAAAAAAGCAACAUUUCAGUUCCCUAAAAUUCAACUACAUUUGAACCUAAACACAUGCAAUCUUUUAGAAAUCAAUUGCAGAUCAACACAUAUCAUAAUUCUCAACUCGAUAUCAGAAAUUAAACAUAGCCAAUUCAAUUAAAAGGAAUAUAAAAACUAUUGAUUCAACUUAUAAAUAAAACAUCAAAUCAUAAAAUUUAAAACUGAAAGACUAACCAUGCAUUGCUGAACACUGAACUGGAAAUCCCAUAAAAUCUGAAUGUUGAUGUUAUUCGAAAUCUUGUUGUUGCCUGCAACCGCUGCAUUUCAGGUAUGAUUAAAAAAAAGGAAUAAAAGAUAGAAAUCAGGAUCUUAACUGACGAAAUGGAGAAACUUACCGGUGAAGAGAGAAUAUUGAAUGCCAAAAAUGAAAAGAAAGAAGAAGAGGGCAGCGUAGAUAAGAUGGAAAAUAGUGAAUCUCAUCUUGUUGGAAGAGAACCUACUUAGAGGAUGAAGAGGUCUCAUGAUUGAGAUUCGUAGACUGAUUUCAAAUCAAUUUUCGUGUAGAUCUCUGCUAUAGCUAAUAGGGGGACUAUGGAUUGUUUACAGUUCCUGCUUCUUGGAGUUGUACCUUCUAGGUUGAGAAUGCCUUCUAUGUGUUUUCAAUAAGUUAUAGAACCACUCCUUUUUCCCAGUUUGAUCUUAGGUUUUCUAUGUCAUAUUGGGUUGUCCAUCUUCUGAACAUGGGCUAAAACAUCAUCUUUGCAUUCUCAAUGAGCCAAAUUCUAGAGUCAUAAUUAAGCUGCUCAGUGACACCUGCAAGGGAGAAAUGAGCUGGUUUCAGGCAAGUCAUAGAACUCAUUGCGAAGAGGUGGAAUUGACUUCCUCCUAUAUGUGAAACAUUCCAACUAGUUUUCAGAUGGUCAAGACUUGAUUACAUUGCAAUACAUGUCUAAAUGUAGAGAGGCGGUUAGAGUAUGACUUGCAAUAGAAACAAAGAAAAUGUAGACCCAUUAAAUCAAUAUCCUGAUGCAAAGAAAAAAAAUUUAUGAGAGAAGCGGAACUAAAAAAUUUAGUUUCUACCAAAUUUAGGAUUUGUAGGCUUUGUAUGUAUCUUCAGUUUCUACCAAUGAGGAUUUCUUUUCAACCAAGAUUAUUGCACUUGAGGAUUUCUUUUUCUUAUUUGUUUAUUAUGCUUUACAGAAUUUGCCUAUAUGAUGUUCAAUACCGAGUUUACAUUUUAAAAUUUUAAUCAUACCAAGCAUUGUCUACACUAGAUAACCAUAUAUUCUUGAUGUUUUGUUCCUUAAUUCUUUUUUUAUUCUUCAUUUUAAUUGUGUGAUUCUUUGUUUGAAAAUUAUUAUUUCUCUAAAAUAUAUAUAUUUUUAAAUAGAGAAUGUCUAGCAACAUUGUUUAACCAUUACAACAACCAAGUGGUGGAGAAAGUAAAAAACAAAGCAAGGCUUAUUGGGAUGAUAUUACAAUGGAUGCUUUUAUCAAAGUUUGUGUGAUUGAGACCUUGAUUGGAAAUAGACCAAAUAAUCACUUUAACAAGUUGGGAUGGAAAAAUGUGAUAAAAGCCUUCAACAAUUUGUUUGGAAGAAACUAUCAAUAUAGGCAACUUAAGAAUAAAUGGAGUUCUCUUAAAAAGGAUUGGGAACUUUGGAAUACCUUGAUUGGGAAAGAGACUGGCCUUGGGUGGGAUCCUAUGAGACAAACCAUCAAUGCAAGCAAUGAAUGGUGGGAUAAGAAAUUGAAGGUAUGUUUUGUUUAUUCAUUAAAUUUAUUUGAUUAAUUUAUAUAUUGGUUAUGAAAUAUGAUAAAUUAAAUACUCUUGUAGGAGAAUCCUGAAGCAAUAAAGUUUAAAACAAAAGGCUUGAAAAAUGUUGAGUAAUUAGACAUACUUUUCAAAUAUAUUAUUGCUACUGGUGAAGGAGACUGGGCACUAUCACAAGGCUUUGUAGGACAAGAUGUUGAUGAUUCAUCUAAGGUGGGGGAACACGAAGAUAAUAUAAUAGAAGACCAAGAUGACUCUAGUUGCAAUCUGCCACUUAAUACUAUCUCCAAUAGUUUUGAAGCUACUACUCAACCUUCUAUGGCAAAAAAGAAUGAAGGAAGAAGAAAGAGGAAAAGAAAUGAAACCAAAUAUGAGCUUGUGGCUAUCCAGUUAGAGCGCAUUUGUAGUGCUGUGGAGAAUAGGUCUUCUAUCUCAUCUAAAGGAGAUAAACCAGGUUGUAGCAUUGCUGAAGUGAUGAAAAUCAUACGUGGGAUGCCUGAAGUGAAGAAUGACUUUGAGUUAUAUAUGAAAGCCACAAAUAUCAUGGUUGUCAAGGAAAAUAGAGAUAUGUUUGUUGCAUUAGAAGACCCAAUUGAUCAGAUUGCAUGGCUUAAACAUAAACAUGUUUGAGUGUUGGAGUUGUUUCUUGUUUUUAUAUGGAAACAUAUUUUUNNNNNNNNNNNNNNNNNNNNNNNNNNNNNNNNNNNNNNNNNNNNNNNNNNNNNNNNNNNNNNNNNNNNNNNNNNNNNNNNNNNNNNNNNNNNNNNNNNNNAAUUGAUCAGAUUGCAUGGCUUUAAACAUAAACAUGUUUGAGUGUUGGAGUUGUUUCUUGUUUUUAUAUGGAAACAUAUUUUUGUUACCUAAUAUUGUUUAGUUGUUAGGUUGAGGGGAGGAAAGAGAUGUUGGUUUGCUUUAUGUGUGAAUUGCAAAAGUCAUUAUGCCCUUAUUUGAUACUUUUUAUUAUUUCUUUCUCUAAAAAUUGUGACUAUUAGAUGAGCUUUGGUGGUAAACUUCUUAUAAAAUUUGGUAUUGUUUUUCAUUUUAUUAAUGUGUAGUUCCUCUGUUCUUUUUUUAUAUUUCAUCUUAGUCAUUUAACAUUUUUUUUUGGGUUUAUUUUUUCUAUAAGAUAUAUUUUUUUAAUAUAGAAUGUCUAGCAAUGGUAGGAAUUCUAAACUUCAAUUGUGUACUUUCUAAUUUUUAAAAAUAACUAUAGUAAUUGAAAAUAUACAUUAUUGUUGUUUAUUAACGUAUUUCUUUUUUUAUUUUUAUUUGUGUAGAUGUCUUCUAAUAACAAUGAUCAAAAUUUUGAUGAUGAAAGCGAUGAUGAACAUGAUUUUUAUCAAUUGGUGCUUGGGGGUUGUGUUGUAGCUGCAACACAUACUAGUUUCAAAGGAAAAAAAACCUUGUAGAACUUCUUCCCACACAAGAUACAAGUUUGUAAUGGAUGUCUUAAAUGGCUAUGAAAUUAGGUGUUUUGAGCAAUUUAGAAUGGAAAAACAUGUGUUUAUGAAUUUCUUAGAAACACUUACUAAAAGGUAUGGCCUAAAAGAAGGUUUUGAUAUGCCCUUAAUAGAGGUCUUAGCAAUGUUUCUCACUACAAUAGGUCAUAGACUAAGCAAUAGGAUGAUUCAAGAAAGAUUUCAACACUCUGGUGAAUCUGUAUCUAGAUGGUUUGAGAUUGUAUUAGAUGUUGUUUGUCUUAUGGCUAUAGAUAUUAUAAAACCAAGUGAUCCACAAUUUAAGGAUGUCCUUGAUAAAAUAAGAAAUGAUGAUCGGUAUUGGCCAUAUUUUCAGAAUUGUAUUGGGGUAAUUGAUGAAACUCAUAUACCUAUUGUGGUUUCCAGAGAUAGAAAAAUACCAUAUAUGGGUAGAAAAGGUAUGGCUACCCAAAAUGUUAUGGCGGUAUGUGAUUUCAAUAUGUGUUUCACAUUUGCAUGGGUCAGAUGGGAAGGCACUGCUCAUGAUGCACGGGUCUUUUUAGAGGCAUUAAGAAGGCCAAAAUUGGGUUUUCCUCAUCCACCUAGAGAUUUGUGAAUGAUAAUAUCAAACUUGUUUUUGUGAUCAAAUUUUUAUUAUCUAAUAUAUAUUUUUUGUUUUUGUUUUGUAGGUAAAUAUUAUUUGGUCGAUGUUGGUUAUCCUCAAAUGAGUGGAUAUUUAGGCCCUUAUAAAGGCGAGCAUUACCAUCUUCCAGAUUUUCGACGAAGUAGUUCACCUAAAGGUAAAAAGGAAAUAUUUAAUCAUAGGCAUUCAUUCUUGAGGUGCACAAUUGAGAGAACGUUUGCCGUUUUGAAGAAUAGAUGGAGAAUGCUACGAGAAAUGCACAAUUUUCCUCUUUAAAAACAAGUAAAGAUUGUUAUUACUUCAAUGGCUCUUCACAACUUCAUAAGGAUUAAUGCUAGAAUGGAUAUGGAAUUUAAACCUUAUGAUGAUGAUCAAGGGUUGCUUCCACUUAAUGAAGAAGAGAGUAGAGUGGAUUCACUUGUUGAGGAAGAUGGUUCACAUCAUACAAGAGAGAUGGAAGAACAUCGUGAUCGAAUUACAAAUCUUCUUAUAUCUCAUUAAUGUUUGAUUAUGACUCUAAUAUCCCUCCCCCCCUCUCCCCCCUUUUUUUUUGCUAUGAAAACAUUUGUUUUCUUAUUUGCUUUUAAUUAUAAUUUUUUUUUGAGAAAUUAAUAGAUAAUCAUAUAUUGUUUUAAUUUGAAAUUUAUCUUUUAUUCAAUCUUUUUUAUAUUGAUUUAGAUGUUUUUUGUAAAUAUUUUUAAAAAUUUUAGUAUAGUGAUAAAAAAUUAUUAAUUUUAAUUAGAAAAGUCUUUUUUUUUAUAGAAAUUAAUAGGUAAUCAUAUAUUGAUUUAGAUGUUUUUUGUAAAUAUUUUUUAAAAUUUUAUUAUAGUGAUAAAAAAAUUAUUAAUUUUAAACUAAUAUAUGAUAUUUAUUAUUUAUUAAUGCAAUUAUUUUUGUAAACAUUUUUCAAAAUUUUAUUUAAAUCAUAAAAAAAAUAUUUUUAGUUUUUUUAACAAUAAUAUAUAUAUAUAUAUAUAUAUAUAUAUAUAUAUAUAUAUAUAUAUAUAUAUAUAUUCUUUUAAGAUACAUGUUUAUAUAUUUUGUUGUAAUGAAAAGUUUUUUGUUUAUCAUACUAUUUUUUUUAAUUAAAAUUGUAUGUCAUUUUUGGUAAUUUAUUAAUAUUAAAAGUGUUUUUUUAUACUUAUACAACAUAUUAUCAAAAACACUAUUAAAAUCAUUUUUUUGAUUCUCAUAAAAGUAUUUUUCAUAGAAACACUACAGAAGAAAACACUUCAAAUAAAAACACUUCCACUAGAAUCACUGCCAAAUAGGCUCCAAGUGUUUCUUCAGAAAAGAUAACAAGUUAUUUUUCAUAUUUUUAAAAGUGCUUCUUAAAAUUUGUCAAAUACUUAAUUUUUUUUUUCAAAAACACUUUUUAGGCUAAAAACGUUUCUUAAAAUCACUCUAAAUGAAUUCAAAGAUUGUAUUUGAUAGUAUUUCCAUUUAAAGUGAUUUUUCAGAUUUUUAAAAAUGUUUUAUAAAUCUUACCAAACAUUUAAUUUUUUUUUAAAAAAAUACUUUUAAGCUAAAAACGAUUUCUAAAAUUGUUGUCAAAUGGAUUUUAAAAAUACAUUCGAUAGUAUUUUUACUAGAAAUGUUUGUAGUGAAAACAUUUUUAGAAAAAUCACCAAUCAAAUAUUUCUCAAAAAACAUUAUAAGUGAUUUUCUAGUAUCACAAGUAAUUCUUCAAAAUUUUAAAAGUAUUUCCUAAAUUUUGUUAGACAACCUUUUUUUUCUUUUUCAAAAACACUUUUUAAUUUAAAAAUGCUUCCUAAAGUUACUAUCAAGCAAACUCUAAUAAACAUAAACUACUUAUAGUUUGAAAAUAUUAUCUAAUUUUUUAAAAGCCAAGUUGAGGCGAAAAAAAAAUUAAUGCAAUUUAAUUAGAUAUAAUUUAUUUAAUUCCUAGAAAAUCAUAGAACUAGUAAAAUAGUACUCCGUUCUCGCUUGUUGGAGAGCUUUGUCAUCUUAAGAUGGGGUGGUGGUAAAAUGAUAACAAAAAUGAAAAUAAAAAUUUAAGAUAUAUUUCUUGAAAAUAAAAUUACAAACAUGCUUAUUUAUUUUUAAUGAUAACAAAAAUGAAAAUAAAAAUUUAAGAUGUAUCUAUUAAAAAUUAAAUUAUAAACAUGUUUAUUUUUAUUUAUUUUUUAAAUCAUUUGUAAUAUUUUUCAAAGAAAUAUGAUUUUGUAAAGAUAAUUUUAAGCAAAUAGUUCCUAAAAAAACCCUAAUAAACACUCUUUUAUGAAUGUGUUUGACAAUAUUUCUAUUUGAAAUAUUUUUAAUCUAAAUAUUUUUAAGAUAAUCACCAAUUAAAGGUUUUUCUAAAAAAACAUUAUAAAUUAUUUUUUAAUACCAUAAGUAGUUUUUCAGAUUUUUAGAAGCGUUUACUAAAUUUUGUUAAAUACUUAUACUUUAUUUAAUAAUUGUUUUUUAAAACAGUUUUGCAGAAUGGUUUUUAAUAACAAUUUUUAAAAAUUAUUGAAAUGUUUUAUAAAAUAAAAGUCUGUUUGGAAAAUUGAAAUGUUUUUAACUUAUUUUUAAUAUUUUUAAAUAUAUUUUAAAAAUAAUUUUAUAUCCCAUACUUUAUUUUUAAUAAUUCUACUUGCUUAAAACAAGUGAAAACAAUAAAAAGCAACUAAAAAAAUAUUCUCCGAAAGCAUGUUUUUUGUUCUUAAAAACAUAAAACAAAAAACAAUUUCUAGUUACCAAACAUGUUAUCUUAUUUUUUGUUCUAAAGAAUAAAAAACUGUUCUCAAAAAGAGUUACUAAACAUACCUUUAGGCCUUAUUUGAUAAUUGCUUUUGAAACUAAUUCUAAAAAAUAGUUUUUAAGAUUAAUUUUUGAAAACCGUUCUCCAAUAUUUUGUUGAAUAAAAAUAUGAUUAGGAACUAAAAUAUUUUUAAUCUGUUUUUAAUAUUUUUAAAAAUACUUUUUAUGUCUACAACUUUAUUUUAAUUAUUAUAUAUGUUUGUAUAAUUAUUUUUUUAAAACAACACUAAAAUAAUAGUGAAAACAACUAAAAGAUGUUCUCUAAAAAUAUUCUAUAUUUUAUUUUUGAGAAAAAAAACAAUUUUUGAUUGCCAAACGUAUUUUCCAGUUUUUUUCCUCUCUAAAAAACAGAAAACUGUUUUUGAAAACAGCUAUCAAACAUACCCUUAAUUUUUUUCAAAAAUACUUUUUAAGUCAUGAUUCCUAAAAUCAAUGUAUAACCUCUAGUUAAAAUUGCUUCUCAAAUAUGAAUUUGAUGACUGUACCGUCCAUGGUGAUCAGUUACCUUACAGCCCAGUCGACCAGGCUAAAUAAUCCAAAAAUAAUAAUAAUAAUAACUUCCAACUACAACUCAUGCCAAAGAAACUUCCUAAAUAUCAACACACAUUCACCACCCAGUCCUAAAUCCUAUAUGGAAUCAAACUGCAUACUGUUAUUUAGAGAUGAUAUUCUGAACCAAACAAACCCAGACAAGAAGCUCCAACCAUGGCUGCUCUGCAUUCAGAAUGGAACCUCCACCGGAGUUACCCCCAUUUUUUCAAGUGCAGAUUGGAACAUCAUACCCACCAUUCAAUCGGUACACCUUACUCUUUUAUAUGGUCUUUGUCUAUAUAUUUGUCUGGAGUGUGGCAUGUGGAUGGUCUAAAUUUGAUAAUCCUUAGCCAUGACCUUUAACAAAGCUACAAAUAUAAUGACCCUCACAGUGAAUCAUCAAAUGUGAAAUAUCAUAAUCAUCCUAUACAUAUAUAAUAUCCUCGUUGUGGCCUUCACGGGUCUAAAACAAACCCCCACACAUGCAAAAGAGGCCAAUUCAUCCACAAGUGGGAGUUUAUAUAUAACCCACUAUAAAUAUGCCCUCAAACAUGGCCUCAUGCAUCCUUAGGGCUUAGAGUCAUCUCCCAGCUUAGGACACUGCAUAAAAAUGAAGAUUUCUCAUUACUACUGCAUCACUAGUCUCCUGCUUCUGAUUCUCUUCUGCUUUUCAGAGGGCUGGCGCGCUGAUCCCACAUAUGGGUUCACUGUUGUGCCCUUGACAGAAUGGAAUUUUGAACUGCAAAAGCCAUAUGAUGUGCCGCUGGAGGAGCGCUACAGCUAUGAAAAUGGAGUAAGGAAGCUGUGGGUGUAUGCUGAUGAUAAGCCCCAUGACCCUAACAGUCUCACUCAGCCACGGACCGAAGUCCGCAUUCGGGUACUCUUCCUCUCUCUUCCUCUGCCUAUACACCAUGCUUAAACACAGUACUCUCAUUGUGAUCUUCUUGCAGGGACUUGACUACUCAUCUGGGGUUUGGCAGUUUGAAGGGUAUGGCUUUGUGCCAAAUGGAACCUCUGGUGUGACUGUCUCCCAGAUACAUGGUGCAGCUCAGGCCGCUACAACUUUGAUUCUGAGGAUCUACAAUGGUGAUAUGAGGUACUAUAGUGCUGAUCUGAUAGCCACUGGUAUGUAUGAUAGGUGGUUCAGGCUUAAUGUCAUCCACGACGUCGAUGGGGGGAAGGUGACAGUGUUCAUCGAUGGCGUUCAGAAAUUUCAAGUGAAGGAUAAAGGGCCAGGAGACUUGUAUUUCAAGUGUGGAGUUUAUGCUGCCCCGGGUAAUAUCAGCUACUGCAUGGAAUCAAGGUGGAGAGACAUCAAGAUUUACAAAAAGUAAUGGUGAAGGAUUGAGAUCUUUGUAGUCUGUAUUGAGAAAACUCUUGAUUAGCUAUUAUGCAGAUGGACUUUUUCUCUCAAAUGAUUUUGGGAAGGACUGAAUGAUCAAGCUUAGUAAGUCAUGGACUCAUUUUCCAAUCAUGAAUCCAAUUUGAGGUCAUUGAAUCAUUAAAAAAUUGGUCCAAAAUCAACACACCAGUUAGGUUCCAAGUAAUAAUAAAAAACUAAGAAACAUCCAAGGAGCAUAGUCCAAUCUAAGUCACAAAAUGUGUAUAAACUAUAUCCUGAUUUUGAUUUGGAAUCAAAUACGCCAUUGUUUCUACUUUAGAAUCGGUGAGCUGGGCCAACUGCUCGACUCUGAGAAGUUGACAAGGAAUAACUGCAACAAGUUUCAGCCAACAGUUGUGUGCAAUGAAUCUUAUGUUCCAAAAUUUCCAGGAUGCUGGAACAGAUGACUGAAACAUCAUCAUGGUUUCAGCCUAAGUGGGCUAUUCCCAGAAAAAGAGAAGCCACAUCUAGAAGGUUAAUGCUAUUAGUUUUUGAAUCAUUCUUCUUAUAAUGAGAAUGCUUUAAUGCCAAAGUUUUUGCAAUGAGAAGCAGUUUUUAGAACCCCACAGAACUUAAAAGAGAGGAAAGCAAAAGGGAUCCAAAACUGUUUUCAUAAAACAGUUUCUGAAAUGUUUCUGUCUUGUAUAACAACCAUGGUUAAAUUAGAUUGUCCAGCUGCAAUCUUGUGCAAGUCCUCUUCCAUGAAUGCGAAGGCGGGCUUGGACCUUCUGUCUUAGAGCCAUGGCUUGCAGAUUCAGCUUAUUAACAGUUGGAAAACAAGUAGACCAGGAUAAGACUAGCUGAGCUGCACUCUUAUAAUACAGCAAAAGAUUAUGUAUCCCUUUUAUGUUGCCUAGCAAAUUUUACCUCUGUUUAUGGUAUUUUUCUUUCUUUUCAAGUUCUCAACUAGAAUCAGUCCAUUAAAACCUAUCUUUUCAACUGUAUUUCAAUUUUCACCAGAUGGUGGAGAUUAUGGCCCUAGAGAUUCAUGUAUUGGCUGGCCCCCAAUUAGCUCCUCAACAAACUUGACUGCUUCUCCUUCAGGCUUUGCUAUUGUUUAAUGUGAGGAUCUGCAUCCUCCAUGAAAAAAACAAAACAAAACAAAGUAGUCUUCUUCAUAGACCCCCUCAAUGAAGUCAAUAAUUUAAUCAUGUAGUACCUAUAAUUUUGAGCAGUAGACUCUAUACUCCCAAUGCUUCCAAGACUACGACAAAAAUAAAAGUUUUAGUACUAAAAAAUUUCUUUCUUUAAGUGUUCUAAAGAAUAUUUGAUCACAAAAUUCAGAUGGAUACUCUCUCCAACUAUAAAUUGAAAUGUCAAUGGAGACUAGGAAAAUUAAUAAGAAAGUUGAUAGUGGGGGGCACUUUCAAGUGACCUUCAUGAAAGGAGAGGAAAUGUUAAACAUAAACAGCCUUGUGUAAUCUUUGGAGCUGAUUAUAAACUUCAAACAAGGCUCUCACAUAGGGAAUAGAUGAUUAAGAAGAUGGUCAAAUACUCAUCUACAUGGUUCUGCCUAUUUUACUCAUCUCUUCUUUGGAAAUUUCACAAGUACUGCCAUGUUGACUGAUGCUGACCUUUUUAACAUGAGCUAUCAGUUUUAAGAAACAUAUGCUGUAACACCCUUUAGACGAAGUAAACUAGAUCGAUUAGGUAUAACAAAGCUCCAAAUUACUAGGCAAAGAUAUGACUGCACCUGGGGACCUGUAUUUCAAAUGUGGGGUUUAUGCAGCACCAGCUAAUUCAAGCAACUACAUGGAAUCAAGAUGGAAGGGAUCAAGAUAUUCAAAAAAUCAAGUCGGGAAUUGCAGUAACUAUGGCUAGAGUCAUGUAAACUUUGUUAUGUUGUUAUCCUAUAGAACUAUAGAAGCUUGUAUACUCUCAUGUGAAAGAAAGCAGCAGUGUAGAACAUGUCAUUUCCAUCUUUAAAAUCAGAAAUCACAGACUUCAGGCUUGUACUAGAGAAAAGAUGACAAAUUAAACAAAACAUAACAAAACAACAUGGGUUGAUGCCUCAUGGUAAGUGGCAACCUCAGCCACUUACAUUCCAGUUUUCAGUCCAUUAACCAUAGAGCCUAAAGCUUGAACAACAGCAUAAGAAAUCCAAAAUUGGGCUCUCUAUCUUGAGCAGUAACAUUUUGCCCAUCUGGGUAUGCCAGCAAGAAGAAGAAAGUUCACAAAAACUACAGUUCUCUCUGGCAUCUUACAGUUCAUUUGGCUUUACAUCAGAAACUUCCUUGGUAGGCAAAUUGCAAAAGAAAUGCAUUCAAGCAACAGCAAAAUUGAAGGGAAGGGAAAUUUUUUUGAAGAAAUCUUAAUUUGUCGUUUGAUAGUGUUAUUGAAAUAGAAAGAAAAUAUGGUGGAAAUCCAAAGGGGUUUGUAGCAUUUGAAACUCUUUAUUCUAAUUUUUCAAAAAAAGAAUCAGUGUGGGAAAAGGAAGAAUAGGCAAGUACCAGUAGAAGCAAAACUACUACGUCAAUAGGAAUUCAAGCAAAUGAUGAUAACUGAUAUCAGCAACACAAAUUAAAUUGAGUAAACAAGCGCGAUCCAUUAAUUCCACAUCCUCAAUUAGGUACUCUAAUCAACAAGAAGGAAGACAAAAGAAACCUAAUCCUCUUCUUAUACAAGCUCAGAAAGGAAAUCUAUGGUAAUAUCUUGACUAUUAUUAUCAAUCACCUUGAACCGAUCUAGAAGGCCAUGAAUGAAAUGAAUGAAAUGCUGAAGUGAAUAUAUUUUUUCUCUCUUUGUUUUUUUUUUUUUUGCUAAAUGGCACAUUUGUACAGCAUUAUGAGGUAAGCGAGAAGCCUAGGAACCACAGGGAAGGCAACACCAUUUCUCAAUCAGAGAAAAGAACCACUGUAGAGGGUUGGGAUCUGUGUCUUCUGAUGAAGAUGCAGUAGGCAGUGGUAGAUGUGGAGGUAAAUGCCGAUGAAAUGCAUCAACUGCAGCUGCUACCCCAUCUUCAUUCUCUAUCAAUUUUGCUAAUUCCAUUGCUUGAGAUUUAACCUGGGAGAAUCAAAACAUGCCCCAUUGGUUUAUCAAUUCAGCAUAUGCAGGCUACCAUGUGACCUCUCCUUGCAUGAAAGUGGAAAACCAAGUGCCUGUUUGGAUAUACUUCCUGUUUUUCUGUUUUUAAAAUCAAAAUAUAGUAGCAACUUUUAUAUAAGACAUAAGAAUUCUUAAAAGCUUACAUUGAAAAAGUAAUGGUUUUAAAAAAUGUUUAAAAACAUUGAGGCAGAAAAAAAAUAAAAUUUAGACCUCAAAGUUGAAAGUUUUAGAAAGUGGUUUUUAAAAAUAAAAGGCAAAUUUAUUACUACAUUCCAAUUUUAAAAAUAAAAGAUGAGAAGUGUAUCCAAACGGACACUAAACAACUAUACUAAAAUGACGUACCAUUCAUGUGCUGAAACUUUGUGACAAACAUAACAAUUCAUUCUAACACAAUAUGCUCAAUUAAGAUGACCAAAACCCUUUUUCCGUUUUUUUUCCUUUUUCUUUGGUGAAUCCCCAGGAUUGUGCUUCAGGAAUAGAAUUCUCACUUUUUUGUAAAUGGUAAAUGUCAUGCAGUAUAAAAUUACUUGCAAGUCUUUAAAUGCUACUUUUAUGUCCCUCAAUCUACAUUGAUUUAAUAGCUAAAUAAACAUGGUUGUCUCAUGAGAAAAAUAAUUUAAACCAGUUUUGCAAGGAUUUUGUUUCUACAGAAGAGGGAAUUAGGCUGAAGACAGUACACAGUUGUAAGUUGUGAGAGCUUCCAAAGAUGACUUAAAUGAUGAAUUUAUAAAGACCUGAGAAAAUAGAAUUGCCUCAUAAUUCUAGAUGGUAGAAUUUCAUUGUUUUCACUACUUAUCUGUAGGUUAAUGCAUUGAUAUGGCUUUGUGGGACCCAUUAAAUAUGUGACAUUUUCAGAUGAUCUUUUCAUGAGCAAUGGAGGAUAUAAUCAUAAUUACCUCUGGCUGGAGCAUGAAUCGUAUGGCAUCAGUAAGGGUCUCAACACUGAGCUGCGAUAUAGGUAUAGGUGCAGGCCCAAGUCCUCUUUGAUGAAUUCUAUCACCCCAGAAGAACUGAUCUCCAAAGAACGGCACUAUGGUUGUUGGACACUGAAAUUCAAAAUUUGGACGUCAAAAAAGACCAAAAAGUGGAAUUAUAUGCAGAUUGCAUGGUGCUAUGAAUGCAUACAAUCAAAAUCACUUAACAGGGAUUUUUCCCAUCAUUAACAUAAAAAUCUUUCAAAACCUUAAAGGCAGAAGUAUCUCAAACAAAUUGAAAAUUUUAAAUGAAUGUCAUUCUCAUAAUCAAGAAUAUCAAAAUUUGCAACAUUCAAUGAGAGAAUAUUACCCCAGCCUUGAGUCCUGUAGCUGUGGUUCCAGCACCACCAUGAUGAACCUGCAUAUUUGUGGCAAUACAGCUUCCAGUUAAUGGUCUGCUUUACAGACAGCAAAUUUACCAUGUUCAGCAAAAGUGCAUACAAAGAAGUCAUGGUUCUUGUCCCUAGAUUUGGAUGGCAUGACCAUAUUUCUCUGAACAAUACCAACUAGCAAUCAUCUGUUUUUAAUUUAAUUUAAUUUAAUUUAAUUUAAUUAAUUAAUUUAUUUUUGGACAAGUAGAGCAGGCCAAAAAGUGGAACUACAUUAAGUAGAGCCUGUCAAAUUCUUAAUUGCUUUAUCAACUAGCAAUCAUCUGUUUUUAAUUUUAUUAUUUUAUUUUUAAUAUUAUUUUAUUUAUUUAUUUUUGGACAAGUAGAGCAGGCUGAAAAGUGGAACUACAUUAAGUAGAGGCUGUGAAAUUCUUAAUUUCUGUACAACUCACCAAGGCAAGAUAAAAUACAACUCACCACAGCAGAACACCGAGGAAACAGCCAAUCAUGGGGACAUUCCUCCAGAAGAAAAACAUAAUCAGGAACUUCCGGAACUGUAGAAUAGAGGCUGAAGUAAGUGAAUUACCUAUUAAAAGGAGAUACAAGUUUGGAAUUCAAAACAACACCAUCUGUAUUUGAUUUUUGAAUAACACAUCAGGUAUAAUUGACAAUGUUCUUAGGUUUUUUUUUGUUUUUUUUUAUUUUUUAUGUUGAACACUUCUAGAGGAUCUUCAGAAACCUCUAUAUGACAAAGAAAAACAAAUCUCAAUAAGAACCUAAGGUAUUAUGAAAAACAUGAUGUAGAUUUUUUAUGAUGAUGAACUGUUCAAAUAAAACAAAAGUUGAGGGAGAGAGAGAAGUGAGGUCCCAAAACAUAACGAAAAAACAAGAAAUUUCAUUAAAAACUCAAAACAUUAUGAAAGAAGAAUCUGUAUCCUUUUUAUUAUGAUCAACUGUUCAAAUAGAACAAAGAGUUGAGAGAGAGACAGAGAGAAAACAAAUGUGAACACUAGGUUUAGAGAGAUGUGAAAUGGAAUAAGGGUAAAAUCAGAAGUAUUUUGAAGUUUUUUUAGAAUUCUGAUACAUCCACUCCAUAGAGAAGAUGGCCUUUGAUAUAGUCAAACCCAAGUAUUUCCAAUUAUUACAAAAAGAUCUUCAGAUCAAAUAGAUGAAAAGAAUGAAUCAUUGUUUUUGGCUUUUUCUUCAAACUUCACAAUGAAUCAUUGUUUCAUCCCCUUUUCUUCAACAAGUCAAUCUUGUAUUCCAAUGUUCAGGAUCACUUCAGAAAGAAUCAACUAAAAUGAUUCUACGUAGAACUCAACCAAGUCCAAGUGGUUUUUGGCCACAAUUCAACACGGGGACAUCAGAAGAUGAAAAGAAUAUCUUUGUGAAACGUUUGAGAAUUAACCUAACAAACUCAAAUGCAAUCUAGUUAAAAGUCUCUUUCCUUAACAUUUGGUUUCUGAGUGAAACAGUUUGAACAACAAAAAUGAGCCCCUUAAAAAGUAACUUCCUUGAAUCAGGCAAAUAUCACUGAGGCUUCAUUUUGAGAAGUACCAAAUUGUGAAAAUGCAGUUACAUGCACAAUAAGAAUAUGAGCAAUAAAGCAGAAGCCUCUUGCAGUUAUUAUGUCUUGAUUCAAGCACAAUACAAGCUUUAUCAAUGUUUAACACAAAAACACCUAGAUUGAUAAGACACAGGAAAAACUGAAAAUUAUUCUUAUUAGUGGAGAGCAAAGCAGGCAACUGACCCUAAGUUGACAAAGGCAUAGAGUCCAUGAAGGAAUGCACAUCAAACCAGAAGCUAUUACCAAGCAAUAUGUAAUUUUGCCAAACACUCAGAAUUUAAGAUAUAAAGUGAGAAAAAGUGCAACAGCUUAGCACCAAUAAGAAGACACUCACGAAUUCCAAGGCCUCCCCAACCUCGGUCAAUUACUCCCCUCUGACCUGUAUCUUUCAAUGCCUUUAAUAUGAUAUCCGUAGUUUUCUUGGGAUCUUCAAGAGGCUUAACAAGAAACAAAGUAAUCUUUUCAAUUAUAAGCUUUUCAAAAAUAUCAGCAGAAACAGCAUGUUCUACAUGCCAGCAAAAUGAAUCAUGAAUAGAAUAGAAAGUUUAUAUAGAAUCCUUACACCUGUAGAGUAUAUGAAGACAAACAAUGAACUCCACCCAUCACAACAACAAAAUUUUAAAAUUUUGAAGGAAGAAAUUUGACUUAGUAGGUUCAAUAGUACAAGUUAGAAGAAGACUGUUUCUACCGACAUUAUGAUUGCCUAGACUGUCUGAUAGAGGAUUAAGUUAAUUAGUCAUCAAGAUUUUAACUAGGAUACCAUGGCGUGGUUCUGGUCAAUGAAACCCAAGCGAUACAAUGUUGUGGCCAAUAGAAAGACAAAUGAAAGAAAGAAAAAAAUGCUAUAACACAAUCUAGAGAAAAAAAAAUUUAGCAAUUUAAUUUACCUAAAAUAUAUAAGUUAACAGGUUUACUUGAUCAUCAUACCCAGGGUGAAAACCCUCUGUUGCAUAGGAACCAACAAGAAGCACAAAUCAUAAAUCCUUUUACCAAUAGUUUGAAGUAAGAUCACCAUACCAUGCUCCCAAAACCUAUAUAUAUAGGUUUGUCUCCUUUUUGGAUCCACUGAACAAACUCUUCUUGAGGUUGAUACCUGGACCCAAGGUUUAAGAAACAAUAGCCAACAACAUCAACUAAGGAGCCCCAAUCUGCAUUGAAGAAGUUUGGGAGGUAUAAGUGCAAAGUGCCCACAUGAAUAAAGCUGGAUAACGCUUCAAUUUGAUUAAAGUUAACACAGAACCAUGGCCUAGAAUUACUUUUAGGUGCCUCACCAUGUCGCAUUUUAAUUUGGUGAGGGAGAAGAGGAUUAGAAAAGCAGUAGUUAGUUACUGAACAAUCUCCCAGUUUAACUAAAAACAAAACAUCAGAUAAAAUACAAAAAGAAGUAUUGGCUACCUUCUAACAGAAAUAAUUGGCCCUUCAUUUUAGCAUUGGAAGCCCUAAAGUCAAAAAAUAUUGGCAAUACUUCCCCAAUAAUUUUUUAUAUUCUUGUUCUUAUUAACAAUCACCUAAGACGAGGUAAAGGGAACCCAAACAACAUGUAACAUAGGUGAUGUCAAAAAGAAGAAGAAUAACUACAUGACAUACAGCAGAUUGAAGGACAAAAAGGCUGUCCAGGCAUCAAUUUUUUUUGUACGGGCCAAAAAUAAAGUAUGAAAUCUAAGAGACCGUGUAGUUCAGUCAUUAUCAACAAAAGAAACAUAAAAUGGCUAAAUAUAAAUCUCAUAUUAUAGCAUGUUAGUUUGCACUUUGUAUAAACAAAGCCAUUUUCACCUUUUGGUUUUGACACAACAUGGGGACUCCACAUGUAGCCUGUUGGCAGAUGAGAUAUUGACCCAUGGUAAGUACUGAAGUAUGCAAUAGGAGGAAGCUUCAACUUCUUUUUCCUGAAGUCAUUAAUAUAUCCUCUUAUGCCCCACCAUAUCAGCAAAUCCACAACUAUAUAUGAAAGCUGGAUCCAGCAAACAGAAAAUAAGGAAGAGAUAUUUGUAAGCACAUCCAACAAGGGAAAAUGAAAGAAAAGAAAGAAAAGAAAGAAAGACACCAAAAAAAAAAAAAAAAAAAAAAAAAACAAAUGCAGAAGAAUCUGGCAGUAAAGAAAAUACCCAAUAACCAGCACUUCGAGGUACACGAGCCAAUGGAUGAGAAAAUUCAUAUGUUGGCCUGCCUAUUGAAAGCAGAUGUAAGAAGGCAUUGCCUCGUAUAAUGUUCUCCGCAAAAUAAAUAAAAUUUUAAAACAAUGCCUUUGUAGUACACAACUAAAAUUUAGCUCCAUUUGCAUUAUUGGCUAAUUCCCUAAGACCUUAGGCAUUAGGGCACAUGAUAGUCUAAUAAAAAAAAUGUCUCUUCAUAUAAACACUUCCUUUUUUUUUUUAAUGUUACUUUGAAAAUACGAACAGCAACUUAUCUUAACAGAAAGAUCCAGAUUAUUUGUGCACUCAUUUUUUUUUUUCUUUCCAAUGAAUGUUUAAAGAGCAUGCCUUUGGCACACAAGUGUAUUUGCUUGAUUGGCAUUAUUGGCUCAUUCCCUAAUACCUUAGGCUUUGGAUAAGCAAUAGUCUAAUAGAACAGACUUCACUUCAGUUAAACAAUUUGAUUCAUGUUGCUUUGAAAAUAUCAACAGCGAUGUAUUUUCAGAGAUAGAUACUUCCAGAUGAUGAGUUCACUUGUUUUAUCUUCUUUCCAGUGAGUCUCUGUUGAGUGUGGAUGAGAAGAUGAGAAGCAUGUCUUUCUCACUAAGAAUAAACAGACAGGGCCAAAACAUCCUACUGCUAAGAUAACAGACAUUAGGUAAAUGAGACAAUAUUCCAGCCUCUCAGCCCCAAGCCAUAUUGCAAACUAGUUGGUUUUGAGGUUGCAAUACCUGAAAACUACAUCUAUUUUAUAGGUUCUUGGCAGUGGUGGAGCCAGAAAGCUUGGUUGGGGGGGCAAAAUUGUUCACAAAUUUGAAAAAUAUGAUAUCCUUCUUAUCCUUUUAAGGAACUAAGUAGUUUAUGUAUUUAUAAAAGUAUACAAAAAUAUUACAUUAAAUCUGCAACUUUUCAAUAAUGUUGGCAAAAAAACAAAUAUUAAAAGAAUUAAAAAAUGAUUAGAAAUAUAAUUAGAAAAUUUUCAAUAUUUUUUCAUUAAAAAAUCCUUCAAAUUUUUUUUCAAUAAAUUUCAUAAUUUUUUUUAAUAAAAUUUGAGAUUUUUUUUUCUUGAAUAAGUAUAAAAUCAAUUGAAAGUGAUGAAAUCUUUUACUUAAAAAUUACCGAUUAUUUAGUAAGAUCCCUAACAUUCAAUAUCUUGAUAUUUAAACCUUUAAUAAAUUCAUAUAUCAACUUAAAUAAAGUAUAAAUAGUUACAAAGAAUUUGAUACUUAUCAUUGUGUACUGUUCAAAGUAUUUUAUUGGUUAUAUUAUCUUCAAUGGCUAAGACUAAAUAUUGAUCCAAUUAAUGUGAAUAAAUUUAAAAUUUUUAAAUGAUGGAAGAGAAUAUACCAUGAAAAAAAUUAUUUAAUAAAACAUAAGGUACAAAAUGAUAAAAAAACUUAAUUUUAUUCAAAAAAAAAUUAUAAGAUGGAAAAAAAAUUAAGAUAAUGUUAGCAUAUGAGAAAAUAAUGAUAAAGAUAGAACAAAAGGAAACGAUAAGUAGGGAUAUUAAAUAUAUUUUAUAAAAUAUUUUAUUUUUUAAAUUUUAUUUAACUUAAUAAAGUAAGGGUUAAUUUCACUCAUUUAGAUUAAAUAUACUAAGCUCAAUGAGAUCUAGAUUAAACACUUAGCCAUUAUUGACUUGAAAUUUUAUUAAAUAACUCCUUUAUUUUAAGGUGAAAGGAAAACAAAUGAAUAGGAUAAGGGAGGAUAUUUAAUGAAAUUUCAAACUAAUGGUGGCUAAAUAUAUUCAACACAAACCUCAAGGGAGAUGAGUGAAAUUAAGAGUGCGUUUGAUAGCGUUUUUACUUAAAGUGUUUUUAGUGGAAGUGUUUUCUUUGUAAGUGUUUUUAGGAGAAUCACCUAUCAAGUGUUUCUCCAAAAAACAUUGUAAGUGAUUACUCAAUACAAGAAGUGAUUUUUCAAAUUUUUAAAAGUGUUUCGUAAAUUUUGUCAAACACCUAAUUUUUUUUUUUCAAAAACAUUUUUUAGGCUAAAGGAACUUCUUAAAAUCACCAUCAAACAGACUCCAACUCUACAAAGUAAAUUUACUUUUUAGUUUUAUUUAAAAUUUAUAAUAUUAUUUUUAUUUAAACUUUUUGUGGUAUUUGAAAUGUAAUUAUUAUUUUAUAUUUUAAACAUUCAAAAUUAAAUUUAUAUUUAUAGGGUUCAUUUCUAUUUUUUUUUUAAAUCUCUAGUUAUAUAUAAGAUUUUUUUUUUUUUUUUUUGGAAUUUGAUGGGAUAAUACAUAAGAUUUUUUUCGUCCUUUUUUUUUGGGGCGGAUGCCCCAUCGGGCCUUUACUAGAUCCGCCUCUAGUCCUUGGCACAUAGACUGCACAUUUCUAAUAUUUAAACAAAAAAUAUAUGUGUUAGCCUAAUGAUAUCGAGGGCCUAAAUCAUAACAGCUUAAGCUUUUAGAAAAGUCAGUAACCUAACAAUAUGCAACAUAUGUUUCACAAGUGAAGGAGGCACCUAUCACAUAUUAAGCAUAAGGCAGUGCCAGAGUUGUUAACAUGGUUCUUAGUAGCAUAUUUCUGAAUGAGCGGUUCCACAUUCAAAUUAAGAUGCAAGGAAAGUCUAGUUGAAACUCACGUCCAAGGCAUUGUGAAGAAGAUAUGGAGGGGUAUACCAAGAGCUUCAGCAACAUGUGCAUGUCCUACAACUCAAAAAUAUUUUAGAAUUCCAACGUACAUAGUUCAGAAAAAGCAAUGACAAAAGAAAAUAUAAUUAUUUAUCGAAAGUAGAGGAUACAGAGUUAUAAACGCAUCCUUAAGAACUAUAAUGAAUUGAUAACCAAGCAUCAGUUCACAUAACAUUACAACUAAGUUUCUCCAUAAUAACAUGAACAAAAUGAAUUGUCAAAGAGAGUUACAAUAGGACAACAAAAGAUAGGAGACCUAUCCUGACAAGGCCAAUAAAAUUUUUUUAUGGUAGCCCAAUUGUCAACCUAAUGCAAUUUGUGUGAAAUCAAGGUUUGGUUAAUCUCAGUUUUGAUAAUAACAAAACAAGGUUUGGAAGUAAAAAUUAUAUUUCAAGUGUGAUUAGGCAAAAAAAUUUCCAAAGUGGCAAUCACAAAAACAAAAUCAAGCUAAGAGUAAUCAAUAAGAAGAAAAGAUCUCAAAGAGAAGUGUUUUUCAAGAUCUAAGCUUUAUAGGAUCUCUUUGUAAGGUUGUUGGUGUGCUAGGUCUUUCAUGCAUUACAUUAUUAAUUUACGCACCAAAAUCAUUCAAAAGUAAUUUUGUUUUAAAAUUGGACGAUUUCAUGUUUUCAACUAAAACCUUACGUUAAAUGUUUUCCAAACUUGUUUAAAAGGUUUUAAGUUGAAAAUGAUGAUUGUUGAGUCAAAAAUGGCUUAACCGGUUAAAUUGGAUGAGGAACCGGUCGACCUAUUUAACUCAACCGAUCGAAGGGUGCAAAAACCUUCUCUCUCUUCCAGAACGCUUAUUCAACAUGUCAAGGUUGAACCUCAACCAGUUGAGGUCCGGUCAAGGGGCAGUCAAGUUCCAACGGUCACCUGCCAAACAUUAAAUACUAACGGCUAGUCAACCGAUCGACCUUCAACUUGACCGGUCGAACCCCCAAUGGCUAGUUUGGUCAUUUUCCUCUAUAAAAAAAGCUUUAAUCUUCAUUGUUUCAAGAGCUUAACCUUUCUAAACUUUUCCCGAAUAUAUUUGAGUCUUGGGAAAGUGUUUUUGAGUGCACUAUUAUUCUAAAACUUGCAUAUCAUUAGUGCACCUUUCAAUAUUAGUUUUUCUUGUACAUUUGAGCCUAAAGUUUUGUACUAGGAUUUUGUGAUAAUAUUUCCUAUCUUCAUUUGUAAAUCUUUGAGAAGAAAAGUCUAAAUGUGUGAUAUCACUUAGGGAUUCUCAAGUGUGGGGUAUCACUUGAGGUGUUGUUCAAGAGUGGGGUAUCUCUUGAGGAUUGUAAAGGGUGCUUGGAGCCAAAAGUCCAAGAGGGUGAAUUGGAAUCAUAAUCCAAUUGUAUUGCUUGAAGGCUUGGUUUGGAAACCUUGAAAUAGUGGAACCUCAAGCUUAGGAUUGAAGCUAGAGGAGAGUGGACGUAGGCCAAAUUGUGUCGAACCACUAUAAAAAUUUUGUAUUUGCAUUCUCUCUUCCACACUUUUUUACUUAUCUUUAUAUUGUUUUAUUAUAUAUUUGCAUAUAAUUGUCUCUUGUAUUCAUAUAAUUUAAAUUUGCGAAAAGAGACCAUCACUCUAUUCACCCCCACACCUCCCUCUAGGGUGAUUACCUUAGGUUAGAUUAGCCUAAUUUUUCUAACAAUUUGGUAUUAGGGAAAUUGGGGACAAUGGCUAUGGGAAUAGAGCAGGAAAGAACACUUGAGUACCUAGUAGUGCAGAAAGAGUUUUACAGGUGUCCAGAAGAAUGGAUCAUAACAACACAAGCUAUAGACAACUAUAAAUAUUUAUUCUUCUAAUAUUAAUGAUGCAAUCAUGAUAUGGUUGAUUUCCAAUCCAAGAUGGACUUUAUGACUUAGCCUAACAAGGGUUGAAGUCCCUUUCAUGUGCUUUAAUUAUCUCCCUUACUUUUUUUUUCCUAGCGGCUUUAUAUUUUUACUAAGUAGGAAUAUCUCUGUCACACUUUACCAAAAAGUGACAUGCUUGCUUAAGGGUGAGUCUGCCUGGACACCUUAAUUAAGGAGAAUGAAGGCUAAGAUAUGAUUUCAUUAGGAUUUCCCUAAGCAGAUUGUAGGAUUGUCUUGUAGCCCUUUGUGCCACUGUUUUCAAAGAGAAAAAGAAGAACUUCUAAAGUUCUCAAGGUUAGGACAUUCAGCUCUGUUCUAAAGAAAAUUAUAAGCCUUUCAUUUUCUUCUUUCUUUAUCAGCAUUUAACCAUGACCUUGUGAUGUAUGGUAUAUACUGUGCUCAUGUACAUAAAUACAAUCAAUAGAAAAAUAAAAAACAGAAGGGCUAGAAGACGAAAAUAAAGGUAUAACUUCAAUGAACUCACCAUAAGCAGGAGGGUUUGCAAUAAUUGCCUGAGCUCUAAAAGGCACACCAGUUUCUAUAUCUGGUUCUAUGCAUGCUGGAAGAAGAGAUUCAAUAAUGGCCUUUAGCUGCUUUCUUUGUACAGAUAGUUCUCCUGGUCCAGCUGGAAUGAAACCUUUAUUUCUGGCCAUAUCUAAAAAUUAUAAAAACCCGUACUUACUAAUUGAAAAAAACAAAAAAAACAAAAACAAAAACAAAAACAAAGAGAAACCAAGCUGAUAAUAUCAACCAUAUUUCUGAAAUAGUUAAAACAGAGCUUGGGAAUUGAAGGCCUUUGUCUCAAGAGAUUGAAAUCUUGAUCUGUAUCUCACUUCUCACCAAAACAAAAUUUGUACAUUGUUUCUAGAGGUAACCUUAAUAGCAGGGCACCGAUUUGCAUAAAGCCCUAGUUAAAACAUUAAUUUGUCCAUUACAUAAAACUGUUAUGUCUUGCUUGGCAAUUGUUUUCAAGAACAAUAUUUUAUUCUCCAAAAUAAAAAAUAAAAAAUAAAAAAGAAAAACAGGAAAACAUGUUUAAUAAUCAGAAAACUGUUUUUCUUUUAUGUUCUUAAAAACAAAAAACAUGUUUGUUUUCAGAGAACAUUUUUUAAUUGUUUUCACUUGUUUCCUGAGGUAUUUUAAAAAAUAAUUGUAUAAAUAUGAAAAAUGAUUAAAAAUAAAGCCCCAUAUAUAAAAAUUAUUUUUAAAACAUAUUUCAAACCAUUAAAAAUAGGUUAAAAACAUUUCAAAUUUCUAAAUAACCUUUUUUUAUACAAAACAUUAGAGGACAACUUUAAAAAAGUAUUCUCAAAAAUUGUUUUUCAGAAUUGUUUUCAAAAACAGUUGCCAAACAGGCCCUUAUCGUUCCAUCUAAUAAAAAGAAAUCAUAUACAUGUAUUAAAUUGCAGUCUGCCAAGGGUCCGUAAAGGCCAUGGCAAAACAGGUAACAGAAAGGGAUAAUUGUGAAAAGGAGGGUCUAAUAUAAAGUGAUCUACUAAUAAAUCAUCAUGAUAAAGCAAAUCAAAUUUUGUUGGAAAAAAAUAUAAAAUUCCAAAACUAAGAGCCUCUUACAUCCUGCCAAAACCCGAGGAUCACCACCCAAAGGAUAGAAGUCCACACCAGCUGACUUUACAAAAGUACAGAAGUUACUAUGAGUUGCCAACCUAACAUAAUGACCAAAUUCCUGCAGGUACACACAGAAUCAGUUUCAACAAAGGAAAAAAGUGAAUAACAAGGUCUGCUCAUCCCAAAAACUAGAAACAUUGGGCUACACAAUAUUGAUGUAAGUAACUUAUUCUGUCCAGCACAAAAUAAUAGCACAGGUAGGUUACUGACGCUUAAGAUCAACAAGAUUGAUAUUUUGUAAACCACAGCCAACCUACCACUCCAUGAGCCCUAAAAUUCAUAAAAAGAUGAAAGAAGGUUUUGAUGCAUAAAGCAUUACUGGAAUCAAGCUAUAGGCUGCAAUCAUGCACAGCAAUGGAUAGACUCGUCUUGUCAUGCUCAUUAACCAUAUCCACACUACACCACAACUAUUUGAGGCUCUCCAAAAGAGGUGCAACUGGAUUACCCAUGCAAUAAGUAAAAUGCAAAAAAUUGAGUGAUUCAUCCCAUGGUGCUGCAUCUUUAGAAAAAGGAAGAAGUGAGAAGCUAAAAGAUAUCAAUACUUUGAAGGCUUCCAUGAAAAACCACAAAGAAGGGAUGCAAGAGGAAAGGCUUCAAAAACAUUCAACCCACUCUUCAUGAUUAAACAAGAAGCUCUUAGAUAUCAUUCUUGCAGCAUGAUCAUUCAAUCUGAAACCAGCAAUUGGUUUAGAUACCAUUUCAAAAAACUAAAAUUACUAUUUCUUCUUCCAUAGAGCUAUUUCCAAUACUUUAAUAGCUCUUUCAAAGAACCAGAAGUAUUAUUUCUUCCAUAUUGCUAAAACUCCAGUUUUUAGGCAUCAUAAGAUUGUGACAAUGUUUUCAAUAUGUGGGAUUCAAAGGUAGUUUCAGCAUUAGCAUAUUCCAACUCCCUUCAUCCAUUGUUCUUUUUAUCAGAUAAAGCAACAGAUCAAUAUUGUCCCAGUUGAACAACCAAUUUUCAUAAAAGUUUAAGCUUGUAUGAUUUAUGUUCAUAGAGUAUAUCAUGCUCUUUAACACCAUCCCACAUGUGAAGUCUCAUACCCACAUGUGGAGAGAGACAUAGGCUUGUAGGCAAAUAACCACAGUUAGCCUCUUUUGGGCCUACACAAUAAAUUAGGGAAAUGAAUAUGAGAUAAGCUUUGAAUACAUGACUUCCUGCCAAACGAGGCUUUGACAUCAUGUUGAACUAACAAUUUCCUAGAAUUUUGAACUUGUAAGGUUUGAGUUCACAAUGCAUAUCACGCUCUUUAACAAUCCCCUUACCUGGAUCAGUGCCAUGAUAGCUAAAGCUGUGCAAAUUGACAUCUAUGUUGCAUGGAUUUGGGCAGGGGUGUUGGUUGUAGGUGUAUGUUGUAGGAUACGGGAACUCAUCAGCAAAAUGAUCUUGAAUGGUACUUAGACAUGACAUGAUACAGGAAAAAAAAACAUAUCCUUAAUAAAUAAAUAAAAUUCUCUUUUAUUGCCUAUUUUUAAAAAAAAGAAAAAAAUCAUUAUAGAUUAACCUUGAAUCCAGAAUUGCCUUUCCUUUAUAACUUUAUUUGAAGCAAAAUAGGAGGUUUCCAACGAGAAUCCCACACCUACACCCUUGUCAUGUCAUGUCGACAUAGGUUAGUUGAAUGAAGUUGAAGGGUUUGGGUAUCAUAGAUUAACCUUGAAUCCAGAAUUGCCUUUCCUUCAUAACUUUAUUUGUAUCAGUGAUGAUAUUAAUGGCUUGCUCCCUUAGCACAAUUGUUGAAGGUGGAUGCUAUCAGGGGCCAGGUUCUAAGGUAGUCAAUGGUCUUUUGUUUCCUCCCAUAAAUCAUCAUAUUUUUCCAUAAUGUCCCAAAAUAGGGAAACACCACUCAUGAUGCACACAUUAGGCAAGAUUAGGAUUUGAUGUAGGUUCCUUAUAUUAAUUUAGGAGCUUUUAGGAUUAAAGCUUAAGAAUAUUAUAUUUCAAGGUUGUCAAUAUUGAGAUUUAUAUGGGAUCAAUAAAGAAUCUAUCAGAUUGCUUUUCUAUAUUCGAAACAGAAUUGUGAAAUAGUCGAUAUUUUUUUUUUUUUUUGAUAGGAAACGACAACGGGAUAUAUUGAUAAAAAGAAGUUACAACUAGAAGGAUGAGAAAUCCUCCCACCAAAGAAAAACAAGACUACAAGAUCAAAUAAAAGAAAUACAACUAGAGAAUAAGCAAACGGUCUAUUUACACACCGCUAACCAAUCAAGUUGUAACAUGUUAAGAGGAAUCCCUUUAAAAACCUUAGAACAAAAAGCCCAUAGAGAAGCCAAAAAACGAAUAGAAUCCCAAAGACACCCUGAAUUCCUUGCUUUAUCCUCAAAAAUCCUUGCAUUUCUUUCCCGCCACACCACCCACAUUAACGCGAUGCACGCGUCUUGCCAUAACACAACCCCUCUCUUAGAAGAACCGAAACCAUUAAAAUUAGUAAAGAACAUGUCAGAGAUGCUCCUUGGGGAAACCCAAUCCAUCUUUGCUAACUGAAAUAAUCUGUGCCACAACCCCUUGGUCAACGAGCAAUGGAGGAAAAGGUGAUCUACUGUUUCUCCAUGCUUCAUGCACAACUUACAUAUGUUGGGACUAAGUGCUUUGUGGGGUCUUCUCAAUUGUAGCAAGUCAUUAGUCGAUAUGAAAUACAUGUGAGCCAUAACUAGCUCAAAAGUGUCCACAUAUGAGGUUAUGCCUCAUUAAGGCCUUAUACUUUUGAGGCAAUGACUGGGACUCAGGCCUCAAGGCACUCGUUCAACCCAUAAUUCCAAAAAUUCCCCUCAAGAGAAAACUUUGUCUUUUAAAAACUGCUAGCCAACUUUACAAUGAAUAUUGAAGAUUAAACAAGGAUAGACAAUCCCACCCCAAAUUCAUGAAUAACAAUCACACACAAUAAUACACACACAUAUCACAAACUAAAUUUUGGGCAAGAUAUUUUAUAGUAAACUGACAAAGUUCUUUGUCAGCUUAUGAAGGAAAUUCCACAAACAUAUGGAAAAUAUGUUUCCUUUGGAAUCAGAAAACAAAUGAGAGAUCACUUGUUAUUCCAUCAGCAUAGUAACAAAUAAUAUUAAACCUAAGGUCUCAACACUAAACUUUUGGGUUUUGGGAGAAGCUGAUGUAUUGAACACACCUGAAGUCUCUUUGCCACUGCCAGAAAUGGUUGUACAUCUCCUCUUGUUCCAACCACAAGCAUCACAAUUUUCAACUUUGGAACUGAUUUAUUGAAUUCAAAAUAAGAUUCAUCAAUAUGAAUGGAUGAUAUCCCUUCAAUAGCACGGAGCUCUAACAACUCUGAAGCCACAGGUGCACUAUUAUCUAAAUCAACCUCCACCGUCCCAUCACUUUGGAUCUUCACUAGGUUUGCUAUUAAUUUUUGCUGAGAACAAGAACAUAUUGGUAUUAAUGGAUGCAAAGUAAUACAAGAAGGAUACAGACAUAUAGGGAAAAGAAAAAAGGAUAAGCAUUUCUCAUUAGUUUCUAAACAGAGAACCCAACAGAAAAGCAGGCUUCUCGAAUGGCAGCAGAAAUUAGUAAGUUCAUGACAAAGCAUACAAAACAUAUUGUAAUUUAACGUUAGAUCAAUAAUGGAGAAAACAUUAUUAUCUGGCAGCUUCAGGUGUGAGCUGUCAGAUUAUGAGGGGGGUGAUAUCAAUAAAUGUGCAUGGUGCCAUCACUCUUACUCAAGCACAAGAUGUAGACUAUGGUAUAGUAUAGAAUGAUACAAUUACACAUAUAUAGCCACCCCAGAUAUGCAUUUGUAAUAUAACACAUGUUCUGGUUGUGUACUUGACUAAUUGUAUAGUAACACCGAUAAAAAAUAUGGGGCAAGAUUUGCAAGAAUGAGUGUUGAAACUUGCAGUGUGUGAUUCUGAUAUUCACCUUUGCACGUUCUGACAGUCUAUCUAAUUUUAAGUCAUGCCGUGGACCCUCCUUCUUCUCAGUCAUAGAUCUAAAUAAUCCAAUCUCAUUGCCGUCAAUUAGCAAAUUUUUGUGUGUGCCAGCAGGAGCAGUGAUGCAAUGAUCCAAGCCUUCAAGAAAGAUGCCUUGAUGUCCGUUAACAUUUCAAUAAAAUUUAACAAAGGCAAAAUAAAAAAAAAAGGAACACAUUUCUAAACAAUAUAGCUAUAAAUUCAAGAUAACAUAACAAGAACCAAGUUUGACUCUACAGUUUGACUCCAUGAGUUCCACAAGAGGUGAGCACUAUAAUUCAUUACAUCUCAUUGUAAGACUAUAACUGGCAAGGAAGUAUUCUAAAUCUCAAUAUAUAAUAACUUUCAAAAUCAUUAUUUUUUUUUUAUUAGACUUUCAAAAUCAUUAUUGGAAAUUGUAAAGUAAUAAAAUAAACAGUAUGGUGCUAUAAAAAAGCUAUAAACGACUUUGUUAUGCAGUAAAUGCAUAUCAAAUCAAAUCAACAGAUGCAUAUGUGAUCAACAUAGCUCAACUCAAGAAGACCCCAUUACAUACUAAAAGGAGAUGCUGUGAACAUGUGCAUAGUCAAAGGUCUAACUAAAAUGGGAGACUUUAACCCAAUACUAAACAAAAAUAACAAAAAAAAAAAAACAACAAAACAAAAGCCCACAUACAAAACAAAACAAGCAAAUAAACAAACCUUAAUGGGACUUGUGGAUAAGGAGCUUGCUAGUGCUGCAUAAGAUUCUCAGUGAAGUUCAAAAGAGCCUUUUAACUUUAUCCUGGUUUCAAGGCCUACCAAGGACCUCACCCUACACGUUCAAGCUUAUUAAGGAUAUUCUAAAUGUAUCAGAAAGUGAUCUUAGUGAUCCACUUGUACAUAAAUUCCAUGAUAAGCAAUGAAAAAUAUUUUAUUGUAUUGAUGAUGAUAAAUCUCCAAGAUCCACUUAAGAAAUGAAUGAAAGGAAAUAAAGAAACCCUAAAUUACCCUAUUAAGGGUAUUUAGGUAAUUUUGCAUAUAAUUGGUUAAUAAUUGCUAUUUAAGUUGCAUUUAAAAUUUGGGGAUUUUUUUGCUACAUGAGUUAGGUUUACUUUUUCAUAGUUUUAUUCAAUUUUAGGGUUUUCUAAAGCCUAUAAAUUAGGAUGAAUGAUUAAUGAUGAAUAAUAUUAAGUUUUCUUACAUACCUUGCAAUUUCCAAUAGUCAGACUUUAUUGCCCUUCUUCUAGCUAAGACUCCUAAAAUGCCUUAUUAAAAAUCCAAGAAUACCUUAUCUUUUCUAUCUUUACUUCCCCCCAUUGUUAUAAUUUUAUUCUCUUUCUUCUCCUUAAACCCUAAAUGAUUAAAGUUCUAAGCCACUUAUUUGAUUGUAAACAAUCAUCUUAGGGUUGCCCUACAUCAAUUGUCUUACAUAUUGCUAGUCUCACAUUGCUAUGGACUAUUUAACGAGAAAGAAAUGCGAGGAUUUUUUAUAAUAGAUGGAGGUGUUUGGAGCCAAUUCAGGACUUGCUUUAUUUCUCAUCUUCUCUUUCUGAUUCAACUCAGAAAACCUUUGCAAGCACACCUUUGAGACUUACAUCAAUAGAAUGAAACCUAAUGUGCAAGUCCACAAGAUUGACUAGGGAGACAAUUUCUGUAAGGUCACUACCUUCUGUGGGUUUUAUCAGUUGAAUUUUGAUGGGUAUUUUGUUGGGUAACUCAAGACAUCUAAGGAUUGAAGGAUUGCAUAAAAAUCAUUUUUGGUACAGUGGAAAGAGCUCCCUCUAAACCUCUUGGAGAUGGUUUAGCCAUUGAGGCUGUAGUUUUAGCCCUGUUGAAGGUGUGGCCCAAGGCAAUGCUUUUGGCCUUUCCAAUCUUUUAGUACGGGAAUAUUCUGCUUGUCAUAUCAUGAGUAACAAAAAAAGAAAGGACUAUGGAGGCUUGAUGAGCAGCUUAACUAAAUUUUUUAUAUUGCUUCAAAGUUGGGUUGUUCCUUUGAUGGAUUCCUUAAUUAGCUAAUUAUUCAUGAACUUUUUAGUAAAGAAUGGAGCUAAACAUUUGGAGUCUUUCACUGGGGAUUCUUAAACUUCCUAGGUAUACCCAAUGAUCUUUUGGUUUUAAAUGUGCAGCCAUCAUUAUGUGUUCAGUUAGCCUUGAUUUUGAAGCAGUGUAGGCUUACUUUUCUUCUUUUUAUCAGAUAUUGUACAGUUGAUUGUAUAUUUGGUGAAAGGAUUCCAUAAUUGUAUUUAUUACUUUACAACAAUGAAAUGGCUAUUUUGGUUUAAUAAAUAAAAAAUAAAAAAGAAUUCUAUUUCAGGGAUUUUCAUUCACAAGUUUUCUGUCAGAGUGGAUCUUAUGUGCAUGCCUAAACCAAACAAUUAAAUGGAAACAUGAAUGGUAAAUCGUACUAAUAAUAUCAUCCAUCUUAAAAGCUACAAGAGCAAGCAGCCAUAAAAUGGGUUAUUCCUCUAUGAAGAUGUGUCAUUUCAGAGAGAGAAAAUAAUUUCAAAUCUUAUUACAAUUGUGUCCAUCCACAAUCCAUUUCUGAUGGGUGCAUAUUGAUUUCUUCACAGGCAUGAACUCUUUAAGUACAUAGUGUUGAGAGGGCACACCCCAUAUUAUUAUUAUUAUUAUUAUUAGUAGUAGUAGUAGUAGUAGUAGUGACAGACUUCCUUUUUGCUACAAUGUAUAUACACCAUGCCCUAUAAUCCAGCUAUCAGACCUAGAAAUAAAAGCAAUAUAUGAUUUUGCAGCAACCAAUCAUGAAACAAAAAUGAAGGGUCAAGUAUAUGCACAUGUAGCAAUCAUUUUACCAUAUAUACAUCUAUUGUAUAAACAACAGUGGCUCUAAGUAUUCAUUAGAAGUAAAAGAAAUAAAAUCCCCACAAACUAGGCCAAUGUAAAUAUAGAUCUAAUAAUACAAUGUUCAGCUAUUAAGAAAUAUCACACUUCAAGAAAUCAACUGUGAUAGAAUAGUUUGACUACAUGGUGAUCAAUGUUUCAUUCCUCUCAGUUCACAUGUCACCGUAUACUACUCAGCUUUGAUUUUAUUCAUUACCAGAAUAACGCAUCCAUCUCCUUAUGUUUUCUCUUGAUAGGAUUUGAAUGACCUACUUUGAAUAAGCAUUUGAAAAGGCCAAAGUUGGGUGGAAAUUCUAUUUAGUUAAGACUUCAGAUUGAGUAUUCAGAAGAGAAACUUUUGAGGAAUCCAUGAAAGCUAUUUAGGAAAGUGAUUUAAAGGAAUAGUAUUGUCUUCUCUCCAACUUUUGGUGUAAGCCCAGAGGACCUAAUUGCCUUCUAGUUAAGCUCAUUUCGUAAAAACUCCAGGUUGAAUAGCCCAUAUCUGCCAUUAAGAGUAAACCAUGUAAAUCUUUUGAUUUUAUUGUUAUUUUGGUUGUUUUUAUCUGUUUUCUCCACUUCUCUUGGUUAGUAACCGAACAAGAUCCUUGUUUCUAGCACAUUCAGGACACAAGAAAGUGGAUAGUUUGGCAAGUUUCAUGUCAUCUAUCGGAUUUGUGACAUUUGUCAGCAAAGCAACUACAAUGUUCAGUAGAGAAUGUAAAUUAAAAGAAAGGGUGCAAUGCUUGAGCUGUUAAUUUUACACUUUCAGAAUUCAGUCAACAUCAAGUACAACUCCUACAAUAACCACAUGGAGGAUAAGGACAAGAUGAAAGAGUAUUAGACAACAUAGUAUGCGUCCGUUUGGAUACACUUCCUUUUUUUAUUUUUAAAAUCGGAAAUUUCUAUAUAAUAGUAUAACAUCUUGUACAAAAAGUAUAAACUUACCUUAUGUCUUUAAAAAAUCACUUUCAGAAAUUAUAAAAUUUGAGGUUGUAAAAAUUUUUGAUACCUCAACUAUUUUAAAAACCAUUAUUUGUUCAAUGUAAACUUCUAAGAGUUCUUAUAUCUCAUAUAAAAGUUAAUAUUAUUUUCUGAUUUUAAAAACAGAAAAUAGUAAGAGUGUAUCCAAAUGGACACUAAGUGAUUGAAACACAAUUCUCAACUAGUAUCAUCCCCUGGAGUAUCUUAUUCUACCAAACAGCCCAUUUCUAAAAAACAGAUCCACGAUGGGAAUCUUAGAUUAAACUAAAGCCUUGUGAGUGAAUUUUAAAUCCAACCUGGCAAUACAAAUGUUGAGCCAACAUGACUCUCAUUCUAAGAGCUAACCACCUGUGAUAGUUCGCAAUGCAUAAACUACAUGGGGAAAACUAUCCUGCAGUAUCGCUCACAAACUAAUUAAGCAACAAUACGGCUAGAAUUUUAAAAGUAUAACCCGUGCUUCUGAAGGCUUAUUGUAUUGUUUAGCACUUACAAUCAAGGCUAGAACCUCCAAAUGCUGACUUAAUUGUAUCUAGAACACUAGAUUUUCAAUGCAACAACAGACCCAUUCUAACUUUCUUCCACAAAGUUCAAUUGCAGGUUUCAAGAUACAGAAUUAACAGAGAAAGAUAGUAGAAGAUAUCAAAACAAAAGCUGGAGAACUAACCCCUCCUUAGUGAAAAACUAUCAUUCAAAUCUUUCAGUUGCGAAAUCUCCAAAACGGAUGUCCUCCGGCCCGACCCCGCCUUCACAUCCUCUGCCCCAAGACCUCCCUCGGAAUACUUGUUUUCCACAACGGCUGACCCGUUAGACACACCUACUUCGUCUGAACUUUUGAGCGAGCUCUCAAUCCCAUCAAUCCCAUUGGUCCCCAUUUCACUUGACUGCACAGGCACGGCAACAACCAAAACCCCACUAAACCCACAAUCCCAAAACCCUGCAACAACGGUUCCCCAACACCCAGUUCCUUGAAUUCUCCCCAAAUCAGAACCAAAACCUGAAAGAACAGAAAGAAUUCAUCGUUAGUCCAUGUAAAAGCACAGAAAGAACUCAAAUUAAAGAAUUUAUGGUGAACAUGCUAAACCAGACAAGCAGACCCACCAGUCAAAAAACGUGUAGAACGUUUGGUGAGUAAGCUAGUUGUAUUCUAAACGGUGAAUUGGCUCAAAAAAACAUGAGAAAAGGGUUCACAUUUUUGCACCUUUAGGACUGAAAACUGAAACCACAACAGACCACCCACAAAGUGACAGAUACGGAAAUCUUCACCCGCAAGACAACCGCACGACAACAAAUUGAUUCCCCACUUCCAGAACAAGCCCAAUUCUUGAAAUGGGUAUACAGACAACCAAUAUAGAAAAAGAAAAAGAAAAAGAAAAAAAAAAGGAAAUCAACACAAAGUACCAAAGGGAAACCCUUCACUGUACUGAAAACUUGAAAAUCAUUGAAGACCCAUAAGCGAAGUUCUUGAAAACUCUAUAAUAUACCCCACCAACGAUCUUGACUGACAAAACCUUAGUGAAUAAGAAAGAAAAUUGGUGGUUUUUAUUUUUAAAUUUUUUGUUUCUUGGCGGAGAACGAUGAGAGGGAAGUCAAGAAAGAAAAAAUAAUAAGAAAAUAAAGAAAGGGAAUCGUUACAGUGGCGGCCUUGUUGGCAUAAUACUGAGAUCCCUGCUAGUGCUGGUUCAACGGGUCAUCAAAAUCUAUUGUUAAUAAAAGAGACCCUUAUAUUUUUUUCCUUGGAAUAUUCACAAUCUAGCUUUCUGAUGAUAUAUUUCUUUUUCCUUUUUUUUUUUUUCCCCUCUGAAUUCUUGGAGGAACCUAGGAUCAAAGGUGGUAUCAGGUUCAUAGUCAUAUACAGCUCAUCAUAAAUGCUGUCCUGUUUUUUUGGGUAAGAAAAACACCAUCGGAUUUUCUUCUCUAAAAUGAUAUAAACAAUAAUUAUCUAAAAUAAUCCUGUAUAUAUUCUAACAUGUUUUGUUAUUAAAAAAAUGACAACAUGGUAUCAACUUCUUGUUUUUUAAAAUAAUUAUGUCCGUUUGAUUGUGUUUAUUAUAUAAAAAUAGCUUGGUUUGAUUAUGUUUAUUAUAUAUUUUAACAUUUCUAAUAUUCAAAAAAUUUUAUCACUUAAAUAUUUGAAACACUAAAAAUAUUUUCUAAAAUCAAUAUCAAACGCACCCUUAAUCCUAUAAAAUUUAUUAAUAACUUGAUUUUAAAUAUUAUAAAAAAUUGAUUUAGAGUCGGGGAUUAAUACACUUUUAAUGUAAAAAAUUACACUUAUUAGAUUGGUUAGACAAAUGGAUAUUAUAAAAAUUCUUAUGUUGGUUGAGUAUUUUAUUUAGUCAGUAAUUUCUUUUCUUUUCUUAGUAUUUGAAUGCAACUUUUUUCUUUUUUGGGCUUAGUAGUGAACUUGAUCAAAUUUGGAUUCGAUUAUUUGGAAUUAUAAAAUUUAAGACAAGUAUGUAUUUAUAAUUCAUAAAAUUUUUUGGAAUAAGUGAUACAAGAAAUUAAGAAGUGAUUCAUUUUAUGAAAUAUUUUUUUAGUAAGUUUAAAAAUUAUGAUUGUCUCUUCAUAAUUUUAAAAAAAGUUUUAUAAAUAUAAAUAGAGUUAUUUUAUUUAAUACGUAUGGUGAAUUUUUAUGAACCUAUAAAGAGCAUAACCAUUUAUCAAAAGCUUGAUCCCCGAUUCCCAAACUUUUGAGAUUUUUCUUGAAAGUAACUUUUGGUUACAACAAAGGUUGAUUCCCGAUUCCCAAACUUUUGAGAUUUUUCUUGAAAGUAACUUUUGGUUUUGAGAUUUUUCUUGAAAGUAACUUUUGGUUACAACAAAGGUUGAUCCCCGAUUCCCAAACUUUUGAGAUUUUUCUUGAAAGUAACUUUUGGUUACAACAAAGGUUGAAGAUCUCGUGAUCAAAUUCACCAAGGAAUAUACAGAAGCAUAGGGGCUAAUGGUAUAAAACCCUAUAAAGUAUGUAUUUUCAAUUAGGUAAAACUAUAUAGUUUUUUUUUCUCAUAUUUAAUGGAUUAUUUAAUGAUUCAAAUACCAUUCAUAGUUUUAUAAAUUUAAUAGAUUAUUCUAUGGUUUUUCCACAUUAUAUCCUUUAUUUGAGUGAUUGAUUUUAUUUAUAUUUAUACAAUUUUUUUUUUGUUUUUUUUAAUGAAGAAUUAAUGUAAAGUGACAAACCUAAAAUAGGUAAUAAAAUAUUAAUUUGAGAAUUAAUUUAAAUACUACAUCUUGUAGAUAUUUUCCACAAGACAUAAAGUUUCUUUUAAAGGUUAUGAUUUUUAAUUAAAUAUUUAUUAUCAUUAAAUUUUUAUUUCUUUGUAACAUAUAUCAUGAAAUAAAUAUAUUUAUUAACUUGAUUUUAAUUUUAAUUUAGAAAAAUAGGUUUGGAAUGGAAAACUAAAUUAAAUAUUAACGAGAUUGAGUUUUUACAAGAAUUAUUUGGUUGAAAAUGGUGAAAUAAUGUCUAUAUUUGUUGAUUUAACCUCUUUCGUGUUUUCUUUUAGAAUAACUUAUUUUUGACAUAAAUGUCAUUGACUAUUUCAAAUAUUUACAUGUAAUUUAAAAUAUAAAAAAAUUAUCAAAAAGAAAAGAAAAAAGAAGAUAUUUUUGUCAAAAUGUGACAACAAAACAUGAAGGGUUAGACUUUCAAAAUUGAGUUUCCAAUGAUCUUUUUACUCAAAUAACAAUUUUUACAAAUAUACCAACAUUGACCUAAUUUAUUUAAAAUUGCAUCCUAGUUUUAAUUUAUUAGGAGUUCAUAUACUUCUAAAAAAAUCGAUACCCAUUUUUAUUAACAUUUAUAAAAUUUGUUUAAUAUUUUAAAAUAAUUAAUUUUCAAAAAUAAAUUAAAUUUCACUUUCUAUACAUUCCAAGACUAUCUCCUUUUUUAAAAAUAAAAAAAUAAGUCAUACCCAAUUCAAUUCAUUUGUUAAAUAAGCUAUACAUUAUCAUGUUAUUUUAUUUCUCAUAAAUGGAUGGUGUUUUAUAAUUUUUUUUAACAUAUUUAUUAAAUACAAUAUGUUUCAAUUAAGUAAGUUUGCAAAAUUUAACGAGUGUUUAGUAAAUUAAUUUAAUAACUUAAAGUGACUUAAUACUUUAAUUUAAGUUAUUAAAUAAAUUAAAUAUCUAUUAUAAAAUAACUUAUGAUAUGACUUAAAGUAAAAAACAACUUUAAAUAAUAAAUAAAAAUAAUUAACUUAUUCUUAAAUCCACAUUUUUUAUUUUACCUUUUUAUUCUCAUUUGUCCUAAUUACCUUCAUGAUCUUUUUUGCUACUCCACGACAUCUAUUAUUGUUACUCGAUCAAUUCUAUCCUUAGUUAUAAUUUAUGAGAAUAAAUACGUUAAUUUGAUGAUUUAUAAUAAAUUUUAAAUUAAUUUUAUCAAACAAUCUUAAUAUUUAGAGUAAUGAUUAAGUAAUAAAUUUUAAAUUAAUAACUUAGAUAUAAUUUAACUUAAAAUUAGUUAAAAUAAUUAAAUAAUAAGUAUUAAGUUUUAUCAAACAUCUCAUUAUUUUUACACCAGAUCCGACCCCAAAAGAAGGGUUUUUUUCUUUCCAAAAAUAGAUUUAAAAGGAUUCAUUAUGCAAAUAAUUAUUAUAUUCUCACUUGGUAUUUAAAUUUAAAUAUCUUAAUAGAUAUAAAUGCCAAUAAUUGAACCCGAUGACAAAAUGAUAAAAAGCAUUAAAACAUAAGAUUACAUGACCCAUGUGGGCCCUUAGUCCAACUCAUGUUUUUCAGACAAUUAACCUACCAAAUGGACUUUAGAUAUUCGUCUGAAUUUCAGACUUAGACUAGACCAGUGGUCCACCGUGGUAGAAAAUAAGGUUAGGCAUCAUCAAUGUGGGGCCAUGGUACACGAUUUUUCUAAGGGGGAAAAUUUUUUUUCACCUAAAACUUAAUUUGAAAGAUCUAACAACGCUCUUGGGCUGAAGCAGGCCGGGCUUGCAUUCUAAGGUCUGGUCCUAGGGUUAGAAAUCUAAGCCCACUUUAGCCCUACAAUCCAAAUUUUGAGUUUGUUUUACAGUGAUUCUAAGAAUUACUUAUAUUUUUUCUAAUACUUUAAAAUUUUUAUUUUUCAAGUAUUAAAAAAAUUAGAAACACUUCUUAAAAUUACUAUCAAAUGAUUCAGGUCAUCACCUUCCACCCCAACUUUAAUUAGAUCAAGUUAUAAUAAACUAGUCUUGAACACAUACGAUAAAAUUGUCAUAAAAAAUAGUUUUUCGAGAAUUUGUUUUUUCAAACAAAUUUGAGGCAUUCAUAGUAGAUUUUUUUGUAGAGUGUUUUUUCACAACAAUUUAAUAUAUGUAGAAAUAUUUUGGGUUUUUUCGUUAACUUUAUUUACUUCUCUUGAGGUUUUGGCUAAACAUACAUAUUUCUCGUUAAUUUGAAAUUUUAUCAAAUACCCUCCCUAUCAUUUUCAUUUCUGGAUUAGAUGUAUUUAAUCAAAACCCCGGGAAAAACAAAUGAAAUGAACAUUAUAAGAAAACCGUUUUUAUUCCUAAUCAAAAUUUUAUUCAGAAUUAACAUCAUGGCUAUUGAGUAUUUCAAUUUUCCUUUUACAAAAAUUGAAAGUACUUAGUAUAUAAACUAAAUUUCAUUGAGAGAGAGGCUGAACAAAUCUAGCAUUUCUCCAUACCCUAUUAAUGGUACAGAGUAUGUAUCAUUGAAGAGAGUAUACAUUUGUAUGUAUAAAUACUAUACAAUAAGGCCAUUAGAGCUACUGCAAUGAAUUUUCUACACAAGAGGCAGUGAUCAUUUCCUUGAUCACCAAAGCUCUAGCCCUAUUAAUGGUCACCAGGCACAAAUACACAUGUUCUUCCAGCUCCUCCACCUGCUUCCUGAACCCAAUAUCACUCUUCUUAAGCUCCUUCACCACUUCUUGCAAUGAAAAUCUGUCUUCCCUCCUCUCCAAACAGAACUGUAUCAUUGCCUUGUUGUGCUCAACCUCAUCAUGGAGUCGCGCAACGAGUCGACUCAUCGUGUCAAAAUCCCUGUUCAAAAUGUAGGUGCCCUUGGCUGCUACAUCAAGCUGCUGCCCAACUUUUCUGAGAAGCCCACUUCUUAAAAACCUAGCAUCAAGAAGCUUCUUCUUGAACCUCUUUAUGGGGAAGCUGAAGAUUGCAGGCCCCAUGAGGAGUGCAGUGAGGGUGUGUGCUGCGAUAACCAUGGCUGUAACCGCAACCAGACCGAAGCCUACAGUCACGAAAACCCCAGAUGCUUUCUUGAAGUACUUUAUCAGCUUGAUUUUCCUGGCCACCGACUUUCUCUUUGAUUUUAGAUGGUGCAAUACCGAUGAGUACUUAUCGCGAAUCUGCUUGAAAUCAUGUUUGCUAAGACUAGAGAAGGGGUUAUUAAGGAUAAUGAAUGAAUUCAGCUGGGACAUCAUCGAUUCAAAUCCAUCAGGAGAAUAAUUGUCAGUUGUAUCAAGUACUCGUUGAAUGAACUGGUAGUUAGCUAGGAGCUGGCUGAUGCUUUUGAGGAGGUGGCUGCAGAUUUUUGAAGCCUCGGCGCUCAUAUCAAAGUAGUUGAGAAUAAGGCCCUUGAGCUCGGGUUUCUUGGAGAGGAUUGCUGAUUCAAGAAUAUCAGCAAUUGUGUCUUGUCCAGGUUCAAGGAGGACUUCAGAGAAUUUGACAUGGCAGUAAUUUGAUGGAGAUGAUGGCUGUUUCACUAGUAACUGAGCUUUGGUGAAGAAAUCUGCGUAGGAUUUUGUUCUCAAUGCGCAAAGGUACUCCUCAUUCACAUUCAAGCUUCUUCGAGCUUUUUCUGAAUCCUUUCCAUCUGAAAGCCCAAUUAAACUGUCAUACAACCUGUUCUAAUUAUACAAACCCUAGAUCAAGUAAGAUCAAAUAAAAAAAAUAAAAUGGAAAAGUGUAAAAUAGGAUGAACAAACAAACCUUUUGUGAUCUUUGAAACUCUCAACCUUGUCCAGAACAUCUUGCUCAAUUGUUAUGGAACAAAGUUGGUGGUUUUAGGUCACAAGAGACAGCUCUGAUCUAUUACCUGCAUGGGCAGAUCUAUACUGAAAUUUCUGAUAUAAGUCUGUCUUGUAGAAUCUUACAAGGAAGAAAUAUAUAGGUAUGGACAUAUGUGAAGGGGUGUUUAAUGAAGUAUAGGUUCAACUUCCUAGCUAGCAAGGGUGGUCUGUUGGGUUGAGUGUCAUGUAUCUUUCCCCUUUUAAAGCCACUAAAAGCCAUUUUUAAGGAUUGUGUUUCACGCCAUCCCUUUUGAUAACUCUAAAAUCUCAUAUUCCAUCUCAGAGAGAAAAAAGGAGGGGAAAGUUUUACUUCUCCAAUUUGUUUGCAAGCUUUAAGGCUAAAUUUGCUGAAGAAGUUCUCUUUUCUCUUGGGCACCUUUACACAUCUUUGUUGUUAGAAAGUUGUAUAACUUUGUGAACUCAUACACCAUUCUAGACCCCUAAAAAGAGAAGGGCUACAUGCAUACCCUUGGCUUUGGAAUUUGAUUAGAAGGGCAUUGCAUAAUGCCCUUGAUUUAGGGCAAAGUAUCCAAAGCACCCUUCAUAAUGGCAUGCAUAUCCACAGGGGGUUAGUUUAGGGUUAGGUAUUCUAGUUUUGGCAAUGUUUGUUGACAUAGAAAUCUUAUUUGCCUUUUGGUGCUUGCAUGGCCCAUCACCAAUCAUUCAACAGAAAACUUUCAGAACCAACCACCAUAUUUGUCUGUUAGGAAGUGUCAUUAAGUAACUUUAAGUUUGGAUCAUAACCCUCAAAAUUAGUCAUGUGAAGGUUAAUUAACACUCUUCUCAUCUCAUAAAAUUAAGCCCUAAGCAUUGAUCGAUCGGCGUCAUUGCCUUCACUAUUUGCCGGUUUAAAACCCUAGUUCAUCAAGAGUUUCCAUAUGUUAGCAAUCACAAAAAGUCCAUGCAUUAAUAGAUCCCUCAUAAUUGUUAUAUUAUCAUUCAGAUUAAUGAAUCAUUUUCAGAUCAUUAUAAGAAGCCCCAUCAAUAUUGUACCAAUGAUGAAGGAAAACUGAUGGGGCAUAUUAUUUCUUGUCCAAAAUCAUUACAAGACUUCAAAAUGAUGAAGUCUUAGUUGGGUAGUACUAAAUUAAUCAUGGAAUGCUCUAAAGUUGUAUGAUGAUUAGUCAUAUAUUCUAGCUGACACUCAACUUCUUCAUGCUUGCAAUCCACUGAAUGAAUCAGACUGUAUAUAUACAUAAAUAUUUUACCUGCAGUAUAUUAGGGUUUAAGGAUAUGGAUGCAUGGAAGGGUAUAACAGUAGUUUAGAGGAAGAAGAAGAGAAGAAAUGUAAAAGGAGAAGCUUGUUUUUGGGGUUAGGUGGGGGGAAGAGAACGGUUAGGGAAGGCAUAGGAGGGCAACCUGUAAAGUUCAAAUUUUCCUUUAACAACUUCCAUGAUUUUCUGGUCUCAACCCCACCACGUCUAUCUCCUAAAGCUCAAUUUAUACGUUAAAAUACACGUGGAGUGUUGAUCAGAGAAAAAUGAUUUGGAUGAAGACGAUGAUGAUGAUCAUCAUCAAGAAGAGAGAAAGAGAGAGAAACCCAUGUAAGAAACCCUCUUCAAAUUCCCAAUACUCAAUCCAAUGGGGUUUCUUAUGAGGCAGAAGGUGGAGUUGUCAAUACGUAGAGGAUUCAAAUUGUACUCCUCAAUGAUUUUGUCCAUUUUUAAAUAAAUGCCCAAAUUAAGGCAAGCUUUUUAACAGAGAAUUUGAAUGGUUGGAAGUCAAUUUCAUACUAUACAUGUAAAGUACUUCUCAUCCUUAUCUCAAUGGUGAGAAUUUUCUGAUAUGUGAGUGCAGUUUACAGUUGUUUUUAUAUUUGAAGAAUUUUUAAUAAAGUGUCUUCUUUGGUGUAAUUUAUUUAAGUGUUUUUUCAUAAAAAUACUUUAAAUGAUAUUUUUAUGGUAAAAAUGAUUUUAAUUUUUUUUAAAUAUUUCUUAAGUUUUAUAAAAAACACCUAAUAUUUUCUAAAAAUAUAUUUUAAGUUAAAAUAGAUUUUAAAAAUACACUGUGAAACGGACUAGUAAAAUUCUAUAACCAAAACUUGUAUACCUAAUUUUUUCUUAAAAACAUUUUUUAGGUUAAAAGUAUUUUUUUUUUAAUAAAAUUGUCAAAUAAAUUAGUAAAAUCCUGUAACCAAAACUUGUACAUCUAAUCUUUCCUUAAAAAUACCUUUUAGGAUAAAAACUUUUUUUUAAAAAUACCAUCAAACAGGACUAGUAAAAUCCUAUAACCAAAACUAAUACGAAAAAAGCUUAAGACUUUAAAAAAAAAAAUUAGAAAUAAAUGUUUUUUUAUGAAGUGUUUUUAAGAGAAGCAGCUAUAAUUUCUCUAAAAACACUAUGUGAGUGAUGUUUUAGUAUUAUAAAUGAUUUUUCAAAAUUUUAAAAGUGUUUUCUAAAUUUUGUCAAACACAGAAUGAUUUACAAAAAUACUUUUUAGGUUAAAAGUGUUUUAUAGAGUUACUAUCAAACAAAUUCAUAAAAUAGAAAUAAAAUAUUUAAAAAAAAUAAAAAAAGGUUGGCUAUACCAAAAUAAUUCUUGGAAAAUUGUUAUUUUGAUUUUAAUUAAAAUAAAAUUAGGAUACUAUUUCUAUUAAAACUAAGAGUAUGUUUGAUAGUGAUUUUAGAAAGCAUUUUUACUAUUUUUAAUACUUGAAAAUUGAAAAUUUUUAUUUUUAAAAAUUAUAAACAUUUCUUAAAAUUAUUAACUUUUCAAUAAUAAUAAAUAAAUAUUUUUAAAAUUGGGGGCAUAUUAAUUCCCUUGAUUGUGAAAAACAACUUAACUGAUCCCAUGUGGGCCACCUCAUGAUAUGGUAUGUAAUGGAUCAAUGAGACAUGUUGAGCCCACAUUAGAUCAACCACGUGAUGUGUCCACUGUCCACAUAAUUGCUCACAUGUAGAGCCCUCUCACUCCAACAAAGAAGUUGGCAAUAUUAUUAUCAAUGAAUCAAUUUUUAAUUUGAGGACAUAUAAUAUAGUCCACGUAAGAGUGAGUAUUUCUAUAAAAAAAUUGCCACCUCACCCUCUACUAUGAUGGAUUCGAGUAUAUUCUAGACUAAUAGAGACAGAUUUGAAGGAAAAAAAAAUGGAACAUUCCAACUUGGCAUGAAUUAGCAUUGUAAUAUUAUUUAUUAAUAUUAUUAUUAUUUGAACUAUGGUAUUUAAAACACAUAUUAUUUGAUUUUCUAGACUUUAGUGGAAUUAAAUUUCAUGCAUAAAUAAGACUAAUUUCUUUAAAAUUGAAGAGUGAAUUUCACGACAUUUUUUUGUAAAGCGUUUUUAGUGAAAAUAUUUUCUCUAAAAGUGUUUUUAGGAGAAUUGCUUAUCAAAUGUUUUUCUAAAAAAUAUUAUAAUUGAUUUUUCAUCAUUAUAAGUGAAUUUUAAAAAAAUUUGAAGUAUUUUCUAAAAUUUGUCAAACACCUCAGACAUGUUUGGUAAUUGUUUUAAAAAAUAAUUCUGAAAAAUAGUUUAUGAAAAUUGUUCUUCGAUAAUUUGUAGAGUAAAAGUAUGUUUGAAAAUUUAAAAUAUUUUUAAUCUUUUUAAAUAUUUUUAAAAUAAUUUUUAUAUUUGAUGUUUUAUUUUUAAUCAUAAAACAACUCUUGAAAAAUAAGUGACAAUAGUAUAAAACAUUUAAAAUGUGUUCUUUGAAAAUACUUUAUUUUUUUUUCUUAAGAACAGAAAACAAUAAACAAUUUUUAGCUUUUAAACAUGUUUUUCUGAUUUUUUAUUCUAAAGAACAGAAAACCGUUUUAAAAAACGGUUGUCAAACAAACUCUUAAUAUUUUUUUAAAAGCACUUUUUAGGUUAAAAAUAUUUUCAAAAAUCAUUGUCAAUCGCGCUUUUAACGUUAAGUAAGAGAUAAUAGACAUAUUUGGUAUUUUAAAAAAACAAAAGAAAAAAAAGAAGAAAAGAAAUCAUUCAUCCAUGAAUAUCCCCUAAAAGUUAUUUUUAUAAUUUGUUUUUUUUUUUUCUUUUCCAAGAAACAAAGGUAUCAAGUAUUAGAAAUCCCUUAAAAAAGAAAAAAAAAUCUAAAAAAAUUGCAAUGCAUUUGAGAAUCAGGUCCGUCCAGCAAUGUUGGUUGCUUAAUUUAGUAUAAAGUAGAAAGAGGAAAAUGAUUCCAUCAAGGUCUUUCGAGGGAGGUUGAAAAUAACGUGACCAAAAAAGACCACACAGUAAAGCAAAGCAUGGGAAGGUGAAGGGAGUAUAAUGUUGACAAAGAUAGGGCUUUGCUUUUAUAGCGUGCCUUAAAAAACACAACUACACCAAAGUAAAGAUGAUGUUAGUUAUUGGCUAUUUACUUUUACAAAAAUUCUAGGAUUCCCGACCUAAAUCAAAUAUAUAAGAUCAAAGUAUAAAUAAAUAAAAUUAAAUUAAAAUAUAAAAAACGGGAUCAUACAUGAUAAUAAAACACAAAAUAUAUACGUGACGGUAUAUAUGAAUCAGUAGCGAGACCCUUAGGUUUUAUUUAGGUAUUGAAAAGUAUUAAGAGAAAAAAAAUCUUUAAGAAAAAUCAUUUUCUUAUUUUUUAUUGUAUUAUAAAAAAUAUAAAAUAAAAUAUAUUAUAAUUAAAAUCUUAUUUUUUUAUAUUAUAUAGUUUUUAUAUAAUAAAGUUAAAAUAAGUUAAAUAGAUUUAAAAUAAUUUAUUGAUUUUAACUUUAUUUUUCUUUUAUUUUUUUAUUUUCUCUCUAUACUUUUUUCCCCGCACAUUCUCCCUCAAAAUUUUCUUCGCAAACAUGUCUUUGUUAGUCUAUUUCACCUUUUUUUUUUUUAAUAGUGGGUAUGAUUCUCUAAGCCGGUUAUGGCUUUUAAGGAUAUGUGAAUAGGACAUCACAAUUGUGUUGGGACCAUGCCUUAAAGUUUGAUGAGUUUCCAUAUUUGUUUUAUUUGUCAUUUAAUUGCCUAAAAGCUCCUUCCUCAUAUCGGGUUUUUACAUAAUUUUUUUGCUUUCAAUUUUAUUUAAAAAUUAAAAUUAUAAUGUUAAAAAGACAAUCAUCAAAUAGUUUUCAUAGAAGUUAGAACAUGAAAUGAUUGGAUUCUUAUUUUUAGAUUAAGGUUAUGUUUGGUUACUGGGAAAGUCUAAAGGAAAAAAAAUAAAGAGGAAAAACUGAAUGAAAGAAAAAAAAAAAAAAAAAAUUUAAAAUCAAUAAAUUAUUUUUAUAUAUUAUUUCAAACUUUUUUCACAUAUUUAAUUUAUACAUAUAAAGAUGUCAUUAUAUGUCACUACUUUUUAAAGGCUUUGCACCUGUGCAAUUCAUUUUAAUCCGUCAUGAAAAAUGGAUUAGAAGGUUUAUGGGCCUUGUGAAAAUACCACUCUUUCAGUGAGCAAUGACACCAGUAGUCUCCCCUUAAUAUUUCAAAAUUCCCUCAAACUUAAAGCUUGGACCCAACAAAAGGUUGUUCAACCGCUAGACCCCAAUACUUGACCCCACUUACUUUUGCUAUGGGCUUGGUGGGAAACAUUUUAAAUGGCUAUUGAGGGCUUAACAAUCGAUCGACACCACCUAUUUAAUAACGUAAGGACUCGAUUGAGUCAUGACUCAAUGCGUCACGAUAGAGCUCCUUUCACAAUACUACAUAAAUCCAAUUUCCUCUCAUUCCAUCUUUAAUCCAACUUCUUAAUAAUUUAGCACCAAACGAAUCAAACUUCAAAGAACAAAAAAUUUACUCAUCUUUUGAAAAAUUUUCUACUACAAUGCUUGCCAAUCAAAAUCUGCUACUCGUUCGACGAAACGCCUCAAAGACUAGCUCUAGCUUUAAGAACCAACGAAACUAUCUGUGAAACCAAGGUUUGGUUAAUCUCGAUUUUGAUGAUAAUAAAACAAGGUUUGGAACUAAUGAUUAUAUUUCAAGUGUGAUUAGGUAAGAAGAUUUUCAAAUUGGCAAUCACAAAGACAAAAUCAAGCCAAAGAGAAAUCAAUAAGAAAAAAAAUAUCUCAAAGAGAAGUGUUUUUCGAGACCUAAACUUCAUAGGAUCUCUUUGUAAGGUUGGUGCACUAGGUUUUUUUAUGCAUUACAAUAUUUAUUUAUGCACCAAAAUCAUCCAAGAGUUAUUUUGUUUUAAAUAUUUUAAAAUCAGAUGAUUUCAUGUUAGGUUUUUUAUGCAUUACAUUAUUUAUUUAUACACCAAAAUCAUCCAAGAGUUAUUUUGUUUUAAAUAUUUUAAAAUCAGAUGAUUUCAUGUUUUUAACUAAAAUCUUGUGUCAAAUGCUUUUCAAUUUUGUUUAAAAGGUUUUAAGUUGAAACAGAUGGUUGUUGAGUUAAAAGUGACUUAAUUGGUUUAAUCGGAUGAAGAACCGGUCGACCUGUUCAACUCAACUGGUCGAAAGGUGCACAAACCUUCUCUCUCUUCUAGAACACUUGUUUAAUCGGUCGAGGUUGAAUCCCAACCGGUUGAAGUUUGGUCAAGGUCCAACAGUCACCUGCCAAACAUUAAAUGUUAACGGUUAGUCAACGGGUCAACCCUAACUCGAUCGGUCAAACCCCAAACGACUAGUUUGACAUUUUUCCUCUAUAAAAAGGCUCAAAUCUUCAUUGUUUCAAAAGUUUAACCUUCCUAAAUCUUUCUUGAAUAUAUUUGAGCCUUGGGAGAGUAUUUUUGAGUGCACCGUUAUUCUAAAACUUGCAUAUCAUUAGUGCACAUUUCAAUCCUAGUUUUUAUUGUAUCAUUUGAACUUAAAGUUUUGUACUAGGAUUUUGUGAAAUCAUUUGUAAAUCUUUGAGAUAAAGAAUCUAAGUGUGAGGUAUCACUUAGGGUUUCUUAAGUAUGGGGUAUCACUUGAGAGAUUAUUCAAGAGUGAAGUAACUCUUGAAGAUUGUAAAGGAUGCUUGAAACCAAAAGUCUAAAAGGGUGGAUUGGAACCAUAAUCCAAUUGUAUUGCUUGAAGGCAUGGUUUGGAAGCCUUGAAAUAGUGGAACCUCAAGCUUGGGAUUAAAGCUAGAGGAUAGUAGACAUAGGCCGAGUUGUGCCGAACCACUAAAAAAAUAUUGUGUUUGCAUUCUCCCUUCCCUACUCUUUUACUUUAUAUGCAAUUUUCUUUAUAUUGUUUUAUUAUAUAAUUACAUAUAAUUGUCUCUUGUAUUCAUAUAAUUUAAAUUUGAAAAAAGAGACCAUCACCCUAUUCACCCCCCUUUAGGGUGAUUACCUUAGGUUGGAUUAACCUAAUUUUUCUAACACUAUCCACACUCAGACCUUGAAAUUUGGGUUUGGAUCAAAAGGGUGGUUGGGUAGUGCCAUGGUUGAUUUGUAUGCUAAAUGUGGCAAUGUGGAAUUUGUUGUGAAAACAUUUAACCACCUUGAGAAAUGAGAUAUACUAACAUGAAAAUAGGUUCUUUCCAUGUAUUUAAGGUAGGGAUUAUUGAAGCAAGUUAUUUGGUGUUUUGGGUCAUUGCAGAAUUGUGGAGGGUCACCUAAUUAGUUCAUUUAUGAUAUUGUUUUGUCAUCUUGUGCAAGAUUGGUGGAUAUUUAUUUAGGCAAAUAAGUCCAUUGUGGUCUUAUUAAGAUGAGUUUUAAGUUUAAUUUCUUCUAUGAAAGGUCUUUAAUUGAUAUAUAUUCAAAAUGUGGUUCUCUGGUUGAUGCUCAGAAAAUAUUUGAUGCAGUGGUGAAGCCUAAUACAAUUUCUUGGACAACAAUGAUUGUAGGGUAUGUUCAAGUUGGUUUGCUUGAGGAGACACAUAAAGGUUGAAAUUUCGUAUGCUUUCUCCAUUAUUCUUAAUAAAACGACACUAUGUAAAACAUGGAAAGUAGACAGUAUCAUCGACUAGUUGGGUUCAUUUACCAUCUUUUGAAUAACAAUAGUUCUUCCCUAAGUAGACAUUAUCAUCAAUUAGUUAGACUUAUUUACCAUUUUCUAAUUAACAACAAUAUUUCUCCUCCUCUAAAUUUUACAACUCCACACGUUGACCUUCUCCACUAAAUCAUCCACACUCUUUAUGAAUUGCAUUAGUUUCUUAUACAUAUCUUCAACCACAUGUUUCACAUUUUUCUCCUUAAUAGCAAGGUCUAUGAUCUUGAUGAGCAACUUAUUUUACCUUCUUAGGGAAGAGAUGAAAAAUUGAGAGCUGAUUAAGUGAUUGGUAGUAAUAAAGGUGCUUACUUCCAUUGAGCUCAUCACCGCGUUGUGCCCUUUCAGGCGGUUAUCAUUCUUCUUUAGUAAAGUGUCAAUCUAUGUCCCCAUUAAGCCUAGUGGGAUUGAAGUUCUUAACAUCCUUUAAAAUAAUCUAAAAGAACAAUUCAAACCACUAGAAGUGGAAUAAUUUAGAGGUACAACUUGAAAAAUGAGUAAAACCACAAAGUAAACAUACUCAUGAGAAUGAAUGUUAUAGAUGUGGUAUGAAAGGACAUUGGUCAAGUACCUGUUGUACUUCAAAACAUUUGGUUGACCUUUAUCAAGUCUUAAUAAAAGCAAAAGAAAAGAAAAUUGAAAUGAAUUUCAUUGAUUAUGAUGGCUCAAUGGAUGUAACCCAUUUAAAUGUUUCAAACUUUUUUGAGAAUCCUAGUGGAAAAAUUGACCAUCUAAUUAGUGAUGGAAAUGUUUGUUAUGAUUAAAUGUUAUGUUCUUAUUUAGCUUUUUGUAUAUAGUUGAUUUUAUUUUGUUAUCAUCUUUUUGAACACAUUGUUUAUAAUAGUUUAUUUCACAUUUUAUUUAAAUGUGAUUAUUUUCUUUAUUUAUACUUAAAGAUAUAUGGAUCCUCCUCAUACCUUGAUAAAUUAUAUGACAUCCAAUGUAGAUGCAUGCCUUGUAGAUUAUGACAUCCAAUGUAGAUGCAUGAUAAAAGAAUAUUUUUCUAACUUAUGGUUGGUUAAGUCUAAUGUUAAUACAAUAUUAGGUCUUGUCGAUUUGAUUCAAUGCUUCGGAAAAGCAACUAUUAUUUACCUAGUGGAACUAAAAUCCACAUUAACGAUGCUCUUUAUUCUAAUAAAUCUAACUGAAAUUGAGAAAAUAAAGGCUCCCAAGAGGGGGGUGAAUUGAGUUUUUAAAAAUUCUUUUUAAACACAUAAAGUUUAAGUACAAGAGAAACAAAUAUAAAGAGAUAAGGUUAGAGAAAUCAAACUUAGAUUUUAUAGUGGUUCGAUACUUCCUUGUCUACGUCCACUCUUCUCAAGCUCUUAACCGUGUGAGAGUUCCACUAACUUGAAACUUUAACCAAGCUUCUAAUCACCUUUACACUUGGAUUCCGGCUCCAAUGGGCUUUCACACAAUCUCUUCAAGUUUCAACUUACUUGAAGGCUUUAACACUCAAUUAACAAGUAUGAAUCUCUCAACCUAGCUCAACAAAGACUCAAAUACAACUCAAGGGUAGGGUAAAUCACAAAGGUACACUAAAGGAUAUGCAAAUUGAGAUUUAAUGCACCAAGAAAAGAAAUGAGAGUUUUUAAGGCAAAGACAAGUAGGUAAACAAAAAAAUGCAGGUGUUCUCUUACUCAUAAAUGAAGUGGAGCUCUCUAUUUAUAGGUUUCUAACCUCAGGAGCCAAAAAACUAAAAAGUAACCUCAACCGGUCGAGCUGGGGGUCGAUCGGUUUACUAGUCGUUGGAGCAUUUAAUACUUGGUAGGUGACCGUUAUCCUUGAUCGGACCUCGACUGGACCUCGAUUAGGAAGGUAGAUCCCUCAACCAAAAAGGGAAGACUACUGGAAGAGAGAGAGAGUACUUUUUGCACAUCUCAACCAGACCUUGACAGGGAAGAAGGAACCGGUCGACCGGUACCCUGGCCGGUUGAGCCAGUUUGGACAGUGCAUUGAUUGGUUCACCAUUUUUGACCUGAAAACCUAUAUUUUUAUGAUAUUUUUGCUUCUAAUACUUAGACAAGGUCUUUAGGUAAAAUUAUAUGCCAAUUUUGAAACGUUUUUCUUAAGGUUCAUUUGAUAGAUCUCGAAUUUUGAUGGAAAUGUAACUUUAAAGUAUAAACCGAGUUUUUCAAAGAGGUAUGAAAUGAUAUGUAAAUCCUAAGUGCACCCAUGCAUACAUUUUACAUAUGUUUCUUAUUAUUAAAUGUCUUCCAAAAGUCUUGAUAUUGCAUCCAUUAGGUCAUUUGAUGAAUUUUCAAAUUAACACGUGAAAUUCUUUAUAAUUCAAACCAAUUAGUAACUUAACCAUGGUUUGUUAUCAUCAAAACCUGAUUAGGAGAACUCUUGGGCUAACAUAAAUCUUCUUAGUUUCAAGGAUAUCCGCCGAAAUGGAUAUCACAUUGAAACUAUGGUAGUAAUGAAUACCUUCUCAUUACUUUGGCUAUUUAUAGAAAAAAAAAACAUGUCUUGGAAAAACUUCAUUUUUAUUCAUGUGGGUUAUAUCAAACAAUCAUCAGACCCAUUGAGUCAUAUGAUGUCAUUAAAAUUUCUAUGAUUAAAAAACUUUUAUGAUUUGGCAUGAAUGCCUUGGUCAUCCGAGAUUAUUUAUGAUGCAUCAUAUCGUCAACAAUUCUUUUAGGCAUCCCUUGAAGAACUAGAAAAUUCUAAUGGUAAUGAUUACAAUUGUGUUGCUUUCUUACAAGGCAAAUUAAUUAUUAAACCAUCAUUUAUCAAGGUUGAAUUUGAAUCACUUACAUUUCUAGAACGCAUUCAAGGAGAUAUUUGUGGGGCUAUUCAUCCACAUAGUAGACUUUUUUUUGUUAUUUUAUGGUUUUAAUGGAUGCAUCAACUCCUUGGUCCCAUGUUUGUCUUCUUUCAAUUAGGAAUGUUGUCUUCGCCAAGUUACUUGCUCAAAUAAUUUGACUCAAGACUCAAUUCCUUGAUCACCCUAUUAAGAUAAUUCAUCUUGAUAAUGUUGAUGAAUUCUCUUCUCAUACAUUUCUUGAUUAUUGUACGUCGGUUAUUAUUAAUGUUAAGCAUCCUAUUGUUUAUACUCAUACUUAGAACAAAUUACCUGAAUCUCUUAUUAAACGUUUGCAACUGAUUGUAAGACCAUUACUCUUGAGAACAAAAUUGUCUUUGUCUGCUUGGAGGCAUGCUAUUCUCCAUGUUGCUACUUUCAUUUGGAUUCUUCCGACAACUAAUCAUAAAUUCUCACAUUUACAACUUUUUUUACGCUCACAACCAAAUGUUUCACAUUUACUUAUUUUUGGUUGUGAUAUCUAUGUUCCCAUAGCUCCACCUCAACGUUCUAAGUUAGGUCAUCAACAUCGACUUGGUAUAUAUGUUGAUUUUGAUUCUCUCUUCAUUAUUCAUUAUCUUGAACCUUUAACAGGUGAUGUUUUUAUUGCCUAUUUUACUGAUUGUUAUUUUGAUGAAAAUGUUUUCCCAUCAUUAAGAGAAAACAAGUCAAUUCCAGAAGAAUAGUGAGAAAUUACUUGGAAUGCAUCUAGUAUGUCUCAUCUUGAUCCUCAUAAAAAUCAAUGUGAACUUGAAGUUCAAAAGGUCAUUCAUUUGUAAAAUCUCGCAAACCAAUUACCAAAUACAUUCAUUGAUACAAAGAAAAUGACGAAGUCACAUAUCCUGGCUAUAAAUACUCCAACAUGGAUUGAUGUCCCUAUAGGACAGUUAACAAAUGGAUCUAAGAUACACCUAAAAUGUGGUAGCCUUAUCAACUCAAGGGAUGUAACUCCUCGAAAAAAGAAAACACAAGGAAAACUUGACACUCUAGAAAAUGCCACUUAAUUACUUAUUAGUCUAAAAUUGAUAAAUCUAUAGCCCCCAAAGAGACACAAAUAAAAUAGAAAGCCCCUAAAGAGGCACAUAUUAGACAAGAUGCCCUUGAAGAGGCACAUAUUGAAUAAGAAACCCUUGAAGAGGUACGAAUGGAACAAGUAACUCCUAAAGAGGCAUCUGUACAUGAAAAUUGUGAGAUCUCAGUAAGUUAUAUACACAUAGGAAAAAAAUGGGAUCAAAAUAGUAUUGUUAUUAAUACUAUUUUUGCUUUCCAAGUGGCAUUUGACAUCAUAAGAAAUAAUGAAGAUCUCGAAGCACGAAAUAUGAAAGAAUGCCGACAUAGAAAUGAUUGGCCAAAAUGAAAAGAAGCUACACAAGCAGAGUUAUACUCAUUAACAAAACAUAAAGCUUGUUGGAUAUAAAUAGGUCUUUAUGAAAAAACAAAAUAAGAAUGAUGAAAUCAUAAUAUAGAAAGCACGACUUGUUGCUUAAGGUUUUUUGCAAAGACCUGGUAUAGACUAGGAAGAAACUUAUUCCCUUGUAAUGGACACAAUCACAUUUCAAUACUUAAUAAGUUUAACAAUCUCUAAAGAACUAAAUAUGCAUCUUAUGGAUGUUGCUACAACUUACUUGUAUGGUUCUAUAGAUACUAACAUAUAUAUGAAAAUCCCUGAAGAAUUCAAAUUGCCAUAAACAGCUAAUUCAAAACCUUGAAACAUGUACUCAAUCAAACUACAAAGAUGUCUAGAUUGAUUAAAGCAAUUCAGAUGCAUGUGGUGUAAUAGUUUGAGUGAGUAUUUGUUAAAAGAAGGAUAUGUGAAUAAUCCAAUUUGCCCAUGUGUUUUUAUCAAGAAAUCAGAAACUAGGCUUACAAUAAUUGCAAUAUAUGUGGAUGAUUUGAACCUUAUAAAGACUCCUGAAUGGCCCACAAAACAACCAAUUAUUUAAAGAAGGAAUUUCAAAUGAAAGAUUUGGGGAAAACAAGAUAUUGUCUCGGCUUAGAGAUUGAGUAUUGUUCAAAUGACAUAUUAAUCCAUCAAUCGACAUAUAUAAAGAAAGUAUUAAAUCGAUUUUACAUGGAUAAAUCACAUCUACUCAAUUCCCCCAUGGUUAUUCGUUCACUUGAAGUGAACAAAGACCCGUUCAUCAUCCUAAAAAAGAAAAUGAAUAAUUGUUUGGUCCAUAAGUACCAUAUCUUAUUGCAAUUGAUGCAUUAAUGUAUAUUGUAAAUUGUACUAUAUUAGACAUAACAUUUUUUGUCAAAUUGCUAGCAAGAUACAAUUCUGCCCAACUAGAAGGCAUUAGAAUUGGGUUAAACAUAUAUUGUGAUACCUUAGUACAAUAAGUAGCAUAAGCUUAUAUUAUUCAAAAGAAUUAAAAUCGUAAUUAAUUGGAUAUGCAGAUGCAAGAUAUCUUUCAAAUUUUCAUUAAGCUUGAUCUCAAACGGGGUAUGUCUUUAUUUAUAAUGAUACGUCAAUAUCUUGAAGAUUAGUCUAGCAAACAAUGGUAGUUAUUUCUUCAAAUCAUUCAUAAAUUCUUGUAAUUCAUGAAACAUGUCAUGAAUGUGUAUGACUAAGGUCAAUGAUUUAACAUAUUCAAGAAACAUAUAGACUACCUUCCAUCAAAGGCAAUGUAACCAAGUUACAUGAAAAUAAUGAUGCUUAUAUUGUACAAAUUAAAUGAGGAUUCAUAAAAGAUAACAAAACUAAGUAUAUCUCCCCCAAAUUUUUCUAUACUCACAAGCUCCAAGAGAAAGGUGAAAUUGAUGUUCAGCAGAUUCGGUCAUGCAAUAAUCUAGCAGAUCUAUUCAUAAAGAUGUUACCUUCUACUACAUUGAAAAAGUUAAGGUAUGACAUUGGAAUGCAAAGAUUGAGAGAUCUACUGAUUGUAGUGUUGUGAGGGGGAGAAUACUAAUAUGGAUAUACUGCAUUCUUUUUUUCUUCGUCCAAUCCGUGUUGGAGUAUUUGCAGCUGGGAUAUGUGACUUUGUCACUUUCUUUGUAUCAAUGAAUGCAUCUAGUAAUUGAUUUGCAAGAUUUUGCAAAUGAAUGAUUCUUUGAACUUCUAGUUCACAUUGAUUUGUACGAGGAUCAAGAUGGGUCAUAGUAGAUGCUUUCCAACUAAUUUCUCGUCAUUAUUUUGGAAUCGACUUUUCUCUCCCUAAUGAUGGGAAAACACUCUCAUUAAAAUGACAAUCCGCAAAUUGGGCUGUAAAAACAUCACCUGUCAAAGGUUCAAGAUAUCUUAAAGGAUGCGCUUUAUCCAUAUAGAAACGCUUCAAAACUUUCUUAAUGUAUGUUGAUUAAUGUACUAAAACUCCAUUUGGAAAAUGCUCGAUCUGCAAGCCGAGACAAAAUUUUGUUUUUCCAAGAUCUUUCAUCUUAAAUUCCUUUUUCAAGUAAUUUGUUGUUCUUGUGAGCUUUUCAGGAGUUUCAACAAGAUUUAAGUCAUCAACAUACACUGCAAUAAUUGCAAAUCCGGUUUCUGAUUUCUUAAUGAAGAUGCAUGAGCAUAUAGGGUUAUUCACAUACCCUUCUUUUAGCAAGUAUUUGAUAAGGCAAUUGUACCAUAUGCGUCCAGAUUGCUUUAAUCCAUACAAGGAUUGUUGUAACUUGAUUGAGUAUAUGCUACGAGGCUUUGUACUAUUUGCUCCAGACAAUUUAAAUCCUUCAGGGAUUUUCAUGUAUAUAUCAUUAUCCAUGGAUCCGUAUAAAUAUGCUGUAAUAACAUCCAUGAGACGCAUAUCCAGUCCUUCUGAGACUACCAAACUAAUUAAGAAACGAAAUGUGAUUGCAUCCAUGACGGGAGAAUAUGUUUCUUCGUAGUCAAUACCAGGUCUCUGCGAGAAAUCUUGUACUACUAAUCGCGCUUUAUAUCUUAUGAUCUCAUUUUUCUCAUUGCGCUUUCGUACAAAUACCCAUUUGUACCCAACAGGCUUUACAUCUUCAGGUGUUUGGACUACAGGUCUAAAAACUUCUCGUUUUGUUAAUGGGUUUAACUCUACCUGUAUAGCUUCUUUCCAUUUUGGCCAAUCAUUUCUAUGUCUACAUUCUUCCACAUUUCAUGGUUCGAGAUCUUCAUCAUUUCUUAUGAUAUCAGAGACCACUUGGAAAGCAAAAAUAUUGUUAAUAACAAUAUUAUUUCGAUCCCAUUUUUCCCCCGUGUGUACAUAACUUACUGAGAUCUCACAAUUUUCAGGUACCUGUGCCUCUUCAGGGGCUUCUCGUUCAAUAUGUGGCUCUUCAUGGGCUUUUUGUUCAAUAUGUGCCUCUUUGGGGGCUUAUUGUUCAAUAUGUGCUUCUUCAGGGGCUUUCUGCAUUAUUUGUGCUUCUUCUAGAGCUAUAGAUUUAUCAAUUUUAAACUGAUCAGUCAUUUUGAUGGCCUCUUCUAGAGUGCUAAGUUUUUCUUGGGUUCUUCUCUUCCGGGGAGUUACAUUCUUUGAGCCAACAGGUUUACCACGCUUCAGGCGUAUCUUAGAUUCAUUUGUUAACUGUCCUAUAGGGACAUCAAUCCGUGCUGGAGUAUUUGCAGCUGGGAUAUGUGACUUUGUUACUUUCUUUGUAUCAAUGAAUGCAUCUGGUAAUUGAUUUGCAAGAUUUUGAAAAUGAAUGAUCCUUUGAACUUCUAGUUCACAUUGAUUUGUACGAGGAUCAAGAUGGGUCAUAGUAGAUGCUUUCCAACUAAUUUCUCGUUGUUAUUUUGGAAUCGACUUUUCUCUCCCUAAUGACGGGAAAACACUCUCAUUAAAAUGACAAUCCGCAAAUCGGGCUGUAAAAACAUCGCAUGUCAAAGGUUCAAGAUAGAUGGAGAAUCAAAACCUACAUAAAUCCCAAGUCUUCGUUGGGAACCCAUUUUAGUGCGUUGUGUAGGUGCAAUUGGUACAUAUACGGCACAACCAAAGAUUUAUAAGUGAGAGAUAUUUGGUUGUUUUCCAAGCACAAGUUGUGAAGGGGAGUAUUCAUGGUAAGUUGUAGGUCGAAUACGGACUAAAGCUGCAGCAUGCAUAGUAGCAUGUCCCCAGGCGAAAGUAGGUAAUUUGGUUUUCAUUAGUAAUAGUCGAGUUAUUAAUUGGAGACGUUUGAUGAAGGAUUCUGCUAAAUCAUUUUGGGUAUAAGUAUGAGCAACAGGAUGCUCAAUAUUUAUCCUUACUGACAUGCAAUAGUCAAUGAAUGUUUGAGAAAUAAAUUCACCAGCAUUAUCAAUACGUAUUGUCUUAAUUGGAUAAUUUGGAAAUUGUGCUCGUAAUUUGAUUAUUUGUGCAAGGAGUCUAGCAAAGGCAAUGUUAUGUGUAGAAAGGAGACAAAUAUGUGACCACCUAGUAGAAACAUCUAUUAAGAUCAUAAAAUAACGAAAUGGUCCACAUGGUGGAUGAAUAGACCCACAUAUGUCCCCAUGUAUUCUUUCUAAAAGACCGAUGACUCAGAUAUGACUUUAGUAAAAGAUGGUCUGAUUAUCAAUUUACCUUGUGAGCAGGCAGCACAUGAGUAUUCAUUGGGCGAAAGAAUCUUUUGGUUCUUUAGUGGAUGCCCAUGUGAGUGUUCGAUUAUUCGACGCAUUAUUGAAGACCCUGGGUGACCUAGCCUGUCAUGCCAAAGGAUAAAAACUUUUGGGUCGUUGAACUUCUGGUUCACGACAACAUAUGAUUCAAUAGGCUUUAUAGUUGUAUGAUACAACCCAGAGGAGAAAGCCGAGAGUUUUUCCAUUAUAAGCUACUGGCCAGAUAUAAUGAAAGUAAUGUAAAGAUAUUCUACAUUAUCUUCAUUCAUAGUUUCAAUAUGAUAUCCAUUUUUGCGGAUAUCUUUAAAAUUGAGCAAAUUUCUUCUGGAUUUGCUAGAAUAUAAAGCGUCAUUUAUAUGGAAUCUAGUUCCAUUUGGCAACGUUAUGUUUGCUCUUCUAGAGCCUUCAACUAAGUUUGUAGUACCAGAUAUGGUAUUUACAUUAGCUUUUAUUAAUGUCAAUUCGAGGAAAUAUAUUUUAUCUCGAAGAAUUGUGUGCGUGGUCGCAUAGUUUGCGAGACAUACAUCAUCCUCAUUCAUCUUGAGACCAAAUAACACAUGGAUUUCAGAUAUAACAAAAAAAAAACAAGGCAUAAUGUAAAUAACAAAGUAAGUCAGAUGUAAAUAUAAGACAUAAUAAUAUAUUAUUUCAUAUAUAAAGUAACAUCAAUCAAUGUUAAUUUUCUCAUCAUUUAUCAAAUGGUUUGUUUUUUCAUUGGGACCUCCAAAGAAAUCAAUGUCAUAGUAGAUUAGGUCCAAUCCAUCACCAUCGGUAAAGUUCAUCUCUAUCUCUUUUCCUUUAACUUUUAUUGAUGCUUGGUAAAGGUCGACCAAAUGUUUGGGCGUACGACAAGUACGUGACCAAUGCCCCUUCAUACCACAUCUAUAACAAUUAUUCUCAUGGUUCUUAGGGGUUUAUUUUGUAAACGCUUCCCAUUUUCUUGUAUUGUCUCAAUAUUGUUCCACUUCUAGUGGUGCAAUGAGGCUUUCAUUUUCUGAGAAUUAUUACUAUAAGAACCAUGGUAUCGAGGAUUUCUUCCACGACCACGUCCUUGUCCUCGUCCACGUCCACAAGUUUGGGACGAUAUUGCAUUCACUUCAGGGAAUGGUUCAGAUCCAGUUGGACGAGACUGGUGAUUUCUCAUCAAAAGCUCAUUAUUUUGUUUAAUAACAAGAAGACAUGAUAUUAAUUCAGAAUAUUUUGUAAAUCUAUGCUCUCGAUAUUGCUGCUAUAGGAGCACAUUUAAGGCAUGAAAUGUAGUAAAAGUUUUUUCUAACAUGUCUUCUUCUGUGAUUUUUUCUCCACACAACUUUAAUUGAGAGCUGAUUUUGAAAAGUGCGGAGUUGUAUUCACUAACAGUUUUAAAAUCUUGCAACCUUAGGUGCAUCCAAUCAUAUUGAGCUUUUGGGAGAAUCACAGUUUUCUGGUGGUCAUAUCUUUCCUUCAAAUUACUCCAUAGAGUAAAAUGGUUCUUUAUCAUAAGAUACUCAUUUUUUAAACCUUCAUGGAAGUGAUGGCGAAGGAAAAUCAAUGCUUUUGCGCGAUCCUGUAGGGAUGCUUGAUUUCCUUGUUUGAUCGUAGCUCCAAGGUUCAUUGCAUCAAGGAUCCAAGAUAGAUAGUUCUUUCCCGAAAUGUCAAGUGCCACAAAUUCGAGUUUUGUGAUAUUCGACAUUGUAAAAUAACUUUAUAUAUAUGACAAAACAAUAUUAUUAGAAUCAGUUAUAAUAACUUGAUAGCAUUGGUAUAACUUUGAUUAUAAACAAAAUCAAAUAAUUUGUUUAUAACUUUUAACAAUAUGUAACAAAACAAAUCAAUAAUAAUAUAAAUAUAUAAAAUUUUAUUCUAUAUAAAUAACUUCAAGUUUAAGAUACGAGAAUUACCUUCAGAGCAAUUCGUGCUGAUAACGUAUUGUAAAAUGAGAAUAAAUGUGACUCAAUUAAAAGUAGGGAUGACUAUGUAUUACUUUAAUAAUAUAUAUAUAUAGAGGGGGGAAGAAAUCAAAGAGAAGUGUUGAGAGAAUGAAAGAAAGAGAGAGAGAGAAUGAGAAAGAACUUUUCUUUCUUUUCCUCGGGAUGCUCUUACAUGAGGUGUAAGAAGCCUUUUAUAGGCUUCAUAAUAUGAACUCCCAUUAUUCAUCUUAAAGAUGAGUAAAUGGAGUUCAUAAUGACCAUCAAUGUGGUCAUUCACUACUCUUCAUUUACAACAAAAAUAAAUUAUAAGAAAUAUAUAUUUUUUAAUUUAUGUGUUAAAAACGAAUUAGAUUAAAUUAUUUUUUUACUUAAUCAUACAUAAUUACGGUCGCACUCACAUCUAUCCUUAUAAUCCGUGUCGUAUGAGGGUUGGAUCGUCUCAUUGCCAUGUCAAUGAAAGGGGUAAAAAAUGAGGUCAUCCGGGGAAAGCAAUCUCGAUUGAUUGAGCCAAAUAUCGUUGCUCGCCUCCGCUUUGUGACUUAUGAGUAGGACUUGAUCAUGACAGGAUCCAGGCCCCCGUUAUUUCUUGAAAAUUUACGUGCACUAGAAGACGAAAAGUUUGGCAUUAAUGGGCGUUAAGUAAGCUCCAAGCGUGCUAAAAAUAGUUACACAAUGGCCCUUCCUAAAGCUCUGCUAGAAAAGUAGCUUAGGCUUGGAGAAGACUAAAAUAAUCCGUAGUGGCUCCACAAACUCCAACACGUAGCCCGCCUAAAACCCACUUAUAUUAUUUAAAACCGCCCACUCAUUGUGUUUGAUUAAAUCACCACCCAAGACAUCUUCCAUGUUACCAUUCAUUCUUGCAUUUUACAAAUUAUUUUAUUUUACACAAUUAUUAUUUUAUAUUUAACAAAUUUCAUAAUACCAAAUUUUAUUAAAAUAGUGAGGAGUUGUUGGGUAAAAUUUAAUAUUUAUUAUUUAAUGAUUUAAAUUGGUUUUAAGUUAAAUUAUAUUUAAGUUGUUGAUUUAAAACUUAUUAUUGAAUUCUUAUCUUAAAUAUUACAAUUGUUUGAUAAAUUAAUAUAAAAUUUAUUUUUAAAUCAUUAAAUUGACAAGUUUAUCCUCAUAAAUUAUAAAUAUGACAAAUAUGACAGAGAAUAUUGAAUAAUAGUGGAGAUUUUAGAGGUAAUUAGGACAAAUGUGGGUAAAUAAAUAAAAUGAGUAAACUUAAAAAUAAGUUAAUUUACUUAAAAUUAUUUUUUAAUUUAAGUCAUACUGUUAAGUUAUUUUAUGUUAUUAAGUUGUCAAACACGAACUUAGAGAGUAUUUGGUAAAACUUAACAUUUAUUAUUUAAUGACUUAAGUUAACUUUAAAUUUAAUUAUGCUUAAUCUGUUGAAUAAAAAAUUAUUAUUUAAUUCUUAUUUUAAGUAUUAAGGUUGUUUGAUAACAUUAAUUUUAAAUAAUUAAAUUAAUAUAUUAUUCUCGUAAAUUAUAUUAAUGGAAGUCGUGAAAUAGUGAAAAAAAAUUGUGAAUAUAAUUAUGAUAAACUGUGAUAAAAAAUAAAAUAUAAAUAUAAAUUUAAGAAUAAAAUUUUAUUUUCUUCCUUUAUUAUUUAAAAUUGUUUUUAAUUUUAAGUCAAUUUAUUAAAUUAUUUUAUUAAAUAUAUUUAAUUUAGUGUUUUUUUUUCUUUGGAAAAAAUUAAGCAUUUUUUAAUUUUUAAUUUUAGAAAAUAGAAUUAGCUGUCAAAGGUAUUGAUUUUCAACGGGUGAAUUGAGUAGAAAAAAUUAUUCUUUAGACUAAACGAGCUAACUCAAUCCACCAUCAACCCUUCAGAGCUUUGACUUUUCGAUAAACACCAGCGAUCUUUAUAUAAUCGGAGAGGAAAACGCCAAAACAAAGCGGGACCCGCACCAUGUGAUGUUGCCACGUGUACAAGAUUUAGGUAGGUGUACAUAUGCAAUAAUUACCUUCUUUUAUUCAUUGGAUAAGCUUAUAUCUUGUCAUUUAUUUCAGACCAGUCAACUCAUCAGCCACGAAUAUCAUGGGCAAUUUUGUCAUUUCGGGACGAAAGAAGAGAGAGAAUAUGCCUACUUAGCCUCUACGCUUGCUUCACGUUCACUGUGAUUUUAAAUGAUGAAGGCCCUCAUCCAUCCCUUGGAUACUGCUUUCGGCGAGGGUUUGCCAGCGGUUAGAUAUUAGCUGUCGCUAGUUGAAGAUGACGGACGGGUGGCGUUUCAGCCGAAAUGCGACAAAACCCUAAAAAUAGAAGUAAUAUAUUCACCGCCGAAAGAGACCGAUAAUUCCCUCGUCUCUUCAAAGAGUCAGCAACGGAAAACCAAAGGGAAAAAAAUAAAAAAUAAAAUAAUAAUAGUAAUAAAAAGGAAAAUGAAAGUGAAAAAAUUAUACAAAAUCUGAGGUUCUUUCUUUGAAAUUUCUGUUUGGCGAAUGAGAAAGUGAGGGAAACUGGAAGGCUUGUUCCGAGGAUUUCACUUUACCAUUUCCCUUUUAUCUGUUCCGUAAAGCUUCGUGAUUGGCGUGGAAAAGCGGGGACGGAAUCUGGUGGAGUCAGGUUGAGAAUCGAUGGAUUUGCAGGUUGGUGAUGAUGGCGUGAUCUUGUUGUUCAAUCGUAGUCGAUGACUCAGAACUGUUUUACGAUUAUAAGCAGCUUGAUUUGAUGCGUAGGUGAGGUUCUUGAGGCAUCUGGAUUGGUGACUGAGUAGUUCUGGAUCCAGAACAGACACCUUUUAAGGAGAUGGAUUGCGAUGAGUUUCGAUCGAUCUUGGAGAGUUCGGGUGUGGAUGUGUGGACAUUGAUAGAAACAGCAGUGUCUGUAGCGUCUGUGGAUUACAGCGAAGAAUUCAAGGGCCGAAGAGAUAGCAUCGUCGAACGGCUUUAUACGCCUGUGGUUUCGCGAUGCCUGAACUGCGAUCGCGAUCGUAUUCAUAAGCCAAAUGGUGAUCGGUCUGUGAAGGAAAAGAUGGAUCAGUUGCAAGACGAGUCCUGGAUUGAGACGCCAGAGUCAGUGGAGAGGGAUAGAGAUGGAUCAAUCGAUGAAGAGCAGUCUAAGAUUCUUGCGAUCAAGGAGCGCCUUGAAGAUCCUGAUCAGGUUUUUUUUUUCAUCUCAAUUGUCUUUUAACUUUUGUAUAGUUAAUGCUCUGUUUGGUUGGUGAGAAAGUGUGGGAAAAGCAACGUAAAUCGGAAUACGGUUUCUCGUUAACCUGGCGUACCUUAACUGUUUCUAAUUUGUAAUUUCUUCAGUUAGAGGAUUCUCUGGUUGAUUUGCUUCAGAGUCUCGCAGACAUGGAUAUCACAUUUAAAGCUCUUAAGGUAGUGACUCAAACAGCUUUCUUUAUCUCUCUCCGUGUUUCUCGCUGAUCCUUCUUUUUCUUCUGUAUUUUCUCAGGAAACUGACAUCGGACGGCACGUGAACCGAUUACGGAAGCAUCCAUCCAAUGAAGUUCGAAGGCUGGUUAAGCAACUCGUCAGGUUUGAGGAAAGAAAAACUUUGUAGUCUGUUUGGUUGCCGAGAAAGUAAAGGAAAAGAAAGGCCUCCUAUUGUCUUUUUCCUGUUCUACCAUUUUUCUUCUCAACCAAUUAAGCAUCAAAUUCAAUUUUAAAUGGCAAGCAAUCGUGUGUGAAAUCAAAGGGUGAAAGAAUUUUUGUUUCUCAGGAAGUGGAAAGAUCUGGUUGACGAAUGGGUGAAACUGAGUACACCUGGGGAAACUACAGCUUCUGCAAUUGUUGGUAACAAUCAGAAUUCUCAGUUCGUUGCUUUUCAUAAGAUUCUUUGGAUGAAUUACAGAAAGUUGGAUAAAGAUCACUUGUCAAAAGUUUAACGAGAAGGUUACUAAUGGCUGCAGCUGAUGGAGACUCUCCUCAACAGAACCACCUGAAAAGCACCUCCAAUGUUCAUCACCAGGUAAGAAAAAUCUCUCCUAUUUCUAUAAGCAUUAUUUGACAUUGGUAUUCAUAUUAUUUUUAUGCUUUUCAGGUACCUGAUUUUGCAUAUUCUCCAAAUCCACACAGUAAGUGAUUGAAUCAGAUUCAAAGUUUAACUUGAUCAUUAGUUCUGUUUAUUAAUAUAUAUUUUUUUCUAUUUACAUUCUGGUUUGGCUUCUGGGUAAAUUGAGUAAAAGAAAUUAAAGAUAUUCUGAACUGAAGCUGGCCAAAUAAUUGUAUAUUAGUAUUGCUUUCUUUGCAACGAGCACAGCGUUAACAUUGUUUGAAUUUGUUGCAGAUGGAAGCUCUGGUUCUGACAAGAACAAUGUGGAACUUGAACCGAAAAGGAAGGCAGUUCCCCGAAGAGAAACUCCAAAUAAGCCAAACCAAACGCCUCCCAUUCCUACUUCUGUUGCUCUAAAUGUAUACUACCUAAUCAAAAACUUCAAAAUUUGCUUGGUUUUUCUGCUUUUAUGAGCUUAUUGGUUCUUUAUGAUUUGCAGAAACAGAGGGAGCAGAAAGACAGCCUCGUAGAUGAAGAAAAAUUGGCUUCGGCUAGAAGGCGGCUUCAUGAGAAUUAUCAGGAAGCUCAAAAUGGUCUAUAUUGAUCAAUUUUAUUCAAACGUUGUUAUAUAUAUUGUGUGAUUUUAGUCCAGUUCUCAUGACGAAGUUAUAUACUUAUAUUAAUGUUUUUCUGCAGCAAAAAAACAGAGAACAAUUCAAGUGAUGGAUAUUCAUGACAUUCCCAAACCCAAGAAUACAUUCUUUGCCAAGAACAGGGGAGGCGUUCAGGCAAAACAUUGGUGAUUACAAAGCACAAAUUAAUACCGGCAAUACCGGUAAACGUUAAACCAAUCCUUUAUUGAACUUUAUCUGUUAUCUGUUUGGAUCCAUCCCAUGAGCCCUUGUCUCCUCCAUGUUUAUUGGGCCACUACAGUGAUAACAACUUUAUUUGGAUUCACAAGAUAAUGCUUCCUUUCAAGAAAAUUUAUUUGUUAGAACAAAAAUCCUUUUCUUUCUCCGUAUGAUUUUUCUUGGAAAAAAAAAGUGAAUAUGCUUGAAUUGAACCCAUUAUCUUGUUGGUCAAAAUAACUUGAGGAUGAUAACGUGGCCAAUUAAAAUUAAAGUUAAGAAAAGCGUGAAAAUUGAGGAGAAAGUGAAUUCCUGCUGUAUCUGUUUGUUUACCCGACUGAUUCAGUGAAGCCUGAUAUAAUAUGAUUUGCUGUAGGAUUAAGAAUAUUUGUUCACUUUGUCUCUUUGAUGAAGAAGAUGAAAGAAUCUGUAAGAGUCUGCAGCAACACCCUCACCUAACUGUUCCUGCUUCUGUUGAUUGAUUUUUCAGGCUGUAAAAAUUAGGAGUUGAAACCGCUAAGGGUCAAAAGGGCUCCAACUGGCGGCUGAGCUCUGGGGCGAAGUGGUGGAAUUGUAGGAAGCAGGAGUUGUGACCGUGAUACAUGUGACUUUUAUGGGUUUGUAAUAUUGUUUUGUUUCAGGAAGAGGGUGUUGUUGGGUACUGGCAUGAGCAGUGACGACUGACGUGAUAAAACAAAAAACGAAAAUACUGUGAAGGAGAAUCCAUAUGAUUGCAUCAGACGGAUUCACUGUAGUACUGCAUGCCAAACAAUUGCAUGUGGGUUACACAGGGGUGACUCCACGAUUGCCAGCUGCAAAUGUAUAUUGUAGCAAACUUGAUAAAACCUAUUGGAUUUGGUCCCGAUUAGAAGGCACCAUCGUGUCAACACAGCUGUGGCUUUUGAUUUUUCACGCUCUAGGGUAGGGAAGGGUUGUAGUGAUGGUCAAAUCAUGUUUAGAUUCCAUUAGCUACGAUCAGUUGAGGGCCCACGGAUCUCACACGUAUGGUGCAGUGGUGGUUGGGUGUGAUAUGAAUUGGGCUAAUACUCAUUUGCAUUUCAAAUGUGUGCACCAUGGUCCGUGCCGGUGGAAUGGGUACCAUUUGUCAAGUGGGCGUGUCAGUACAACUGGAACCAUAAAUACAACAAUUGAUGUUCAAAGUUGUUGGUGGGAUCAGCCGACAUUCAAUACUCACCGGUUUGCCCGAAGUCUUCGUUUUGGUGUCAAAUUCCCUUCCCCCCCUCCCCCACCGCGCUCAACCCUGUCCAGUCUUCCGGACCAUCAGUUGCUACAGUACGUACUUGUGUGCAUAAAAUAAUAUAAACACUAAUAUUGCACACAAAAAAAAAAAAAAAUAUACUGAAAACCCUUUUUUUUCCGAGUAGAUAUUCAUCUCAAGAUAAUCAUUUAUAAUAGAUGUAACCGUGGUAGGGUCAGCUAGUUAUGUUAUAAGGAAUAAUUUUUAGGAUAAACUUGCAUUUGAUAUAAAUUUUUGUUUGAUUAUUGAUGAUUUCGUGGAGCUUCGUCUCGAGACUAAUAUCACUACGUAGUAAUAAUACGCAACUUAGUAAUAACUAGCAAAAACUGGAGAACACAUAAAAAAGGGUCCUUUUAUUUGAUUGAUUACUUGUCGCCAAUCCCAUCUUUUAUUUGCUCUUAUCUAAAAUCAAGUGUCAUUUUCUGUCGCCAAUAAAUUUUACAAUUUAUCAAUCUAGAAAAAUUCCUUCACUAUUCGGCAGUGCAGUGAUAUCAAGAAAUUUUUUCACACAAACUGUCCAAAUUCCAAAGGUUGAAGGGAUAAUUUAGAGUGAUUAAAAAAAAAAUGUCUAAAGUGGUCAUUUUGAGUUUAUUAUUUAAUUUUUAUUUUAAGUUAAGGGUGUUUAUAUUAAUUUAAAAUAUUGAAUUGAUAUAUUUAUUUAUUUAAAAAUUAAUUUUAAUAUUCAAAUUAUAAUAAUACGUUAUUUAUCAACAUAUUUAAAAAAAGGACCGGGCGGUCUUUUAAAAACCAAAACUUCAAAACAUAUUUUAAAUAAUUUGAAAUCACAAACCCACUGAUCGUGUAAAACAAAAAUUAUGCGUUGGGGACACAACUCAUACAGCACAGCAACAAGCAACAAGCAACAUCAUCUUUUGUCAAGUCGUUUAUUGGCAAAUAGAAAAUUUCGAUGGAAGAUGUUAAUUCAGCCGCCCGAGCUAUUAGCUGUUGGUGGGGUACAUCAAUCCCUCAAAUUCAACACCCAUCUACCAGUGGAACAAAGCCCCCGAACCCUAGGAAAAUUUAAAAAUCCAAAGAAAGAAGAUGAUGAGGAGAAAAAACUUAGUGUAGAAAAUGAUGUCUUGGGCCCUGGGGGGUGAAUUUAUUGAAAAAGGUAAAAGUUAGAAUCAUUUUGUAGGAUAAUAAAUACUAAGGCCGGGGAGCCUGUUCAACCGGCAACCGGCUACCGGCUGAAAGUAUUCCAUUUAUAGAAAGUUCCAGAAAAAGGCCUCCCAGGGAGUUUUCAAAAACACCUUGCUCAGUCUCACGCGCUCGCUCCUCCUCGUCGUUUCAGAUCAAAACCCCUCUGGCUUCCUCAUCACAUGAUUUCAAACUCUUCCAAAAUUCAAAACCAGAGUUCGUACAUUAACCUAAUCUGAACCCCUAAUUCUGAGCAUCCGAAAGAAGCUGUGGUUUGGGGUCCCUGGAAAUGGUGUCGCCGAAGGUGAUGGCGUCUUCAUCUUCUCGCAAUUCGGAUCUAAGACGUCGUUCCUCGUCGAAGUCCGUGGCUUCCGACCAGGGGAAGUCGGGACUCGGUUCGAUGACGGUGGACGGCCUCCUCCGCAACGUCUACAGCGCCGCUCCCCCCUCAGAGAGCACGCUCGUUGACGCGGAGAUCACGUUGGUGGACUCCGGGACGGGAGCGAUGGCGGAGCUGGAGGGGGCGCCGGCGGCGAAGACGGUGGAUGAUGUGUGGAGGGAGAUCGUGGCGGGAGGGGGUGGUAGGAGGGAGUGUAAGGAGGAAGUUGAGGACGAUAUGAUGACUUUGGAGGAUUUUCUGGCGAAGGCAGGGGCGGUGGAGGAAGAAGGGGAGGAUCGGGACGUGAAGGUUCCCCUGGUGACGCAGCGGCUGAGCGGAGGGAUUUUCGCUUUUGAUCCCGUGCCGCCGAGUCCCAUCACGCCGGCGCAGGUGGAGGGUUCGGUGAUAGGGUUUGGGAAUGGAAUGGAGAUUGUUGGGGGAAGAGGCAAGAGGAGGGCGCCUGUCUUGGAGCCCUUGGAUAAGGCGGCUCAGCAGAAGCAGCGCCGGAUGAUCAAGAACAGAGAGUCUGCGGCCAGGUCGAGGGAGCGGAAGCAGGUGGAAUGUUCUCUCUAGACACUAGUAUUUUAAAAAGAAAAAAUUCUGUUCUCUUUUUCCAAGAAAGAAAUUGAAGAUAAGAAAAAAAUUUCUUUCUGUUGCCUAGAUUUCCCAAAAUUGAACAUUCCUCGAGUAUUUGAUUUCUUCUGAGCACUUUGAUUCCCAUGUUUUCGGGUAUUUUCGAGUGUAGGCAUACCAAGUUGAAUUAGAAUCAUCAGCAGUAAGACUGGAGGAGGAGAAUGAGCAGCUAUUGAAAGAGAAGGUACAUUAUUUAGUUUAAUCUUCAAAAUUAAGUCACUUAUUAUUUGACAAUGACAGACCGUAAUUGUUUUCUUGAUAAUGUAGUAUGGUCUUUGUUGCUAAAUAUUUGGAUUUGAGUUGAUGAUUAUGUCCUUUAUGGCGCUUUUUCAGAUUGGAAUGGAUGAUCAUGUAUGUUAUGGUACUUAUUUACAAUAUAAAAUAUUGUUUAUUUGAGUUUAAUAUUUGGAUACUUGUGAAGCAAUGAAGUUACUGUGUUUAAUUUGUCCUUCAGAGUUAUCCAGUAUUUUUGUUAUUCGAAAAUUAAGACUCAAAGCAUGAUAGCAGGUAGAAACAAGAAACAGAAGCAAAGAAAAAACACAAGCACCUUAAACCAUUGUACAACCCAAGCUGUUGAAGAACUCCAUAAAAGAGGGGCUUCUUAACAAAACCCUACCGUUUGUUCAAAUGUGUGGAUAUCUCAGCACAUCUUCUCAUGUUUACUUUAUGAGGAUUCCCCUAAAAUCCUCAUGUUCUGUACCUUCUACAGUCACCAUGUCUAACAGAAGAAACCAUUCAUCUCAUUUCUUCCCUGCAGUCUGGGCUUUGAGCCUUUUUCUAAACAAAAACUGAUUGAUUCCAAGAAUUUAGUUAAUUGACUUUGGGUUCAGCUUGUAAAUUCUUCGAUCAACAAUUAUUCAAACAUUUGAUGCUGACAAGAUAUCUUCUCUUCUGUUCAGCUUGUCAAAAGUCUCUAUUAAAUAGAACAUAUGAAAAUUUAAAUUUCUUUCUAUUGAUUCACUCCAUGUCCUCUUUGCUUGACCUGCCUCCCCUUUGCCCAUUAUUAUCCAUGGAAUGCUCAAUGAUUUCCUCUUAGUUCUCUUAAACAUGCUCUCUAACAAGCGAUGAAAAAUGUUAAAGACUAUUAAGCUAGUUAGAGAGCAUGUUUAAGAAACUUCUAAUUCCAAAAACCCCACUCCUCUUAUUCGAAAAAAUUGUUGAUCAAUUCACCAUAUGUGACUUUCUGUCAAGAGCCCCUACCCUUAAAGGAAAUCCCUUUGGAUCUUUUCUAGCCUUGAACUCACUUUUCUUGAGAUGACAAAUAAUGAUAUGAAGUAGAUUGACAAAUUGAUAGAGUGUUUUUUAUCAGAGUUGGCUUUCCUCUUUUUGAUAGGUGCUGUUUCUUCCACAUAGCGAGCCAUUUUUGAAAUCUUUGUCAUACAGUGUUCCAAACCCAAGAUGGUAUGCCAGGGGUUCUCAACAAAGACCUAGAUGGUGGGGAGGGCCCCCACCCUACAUCCCAGUACCUCAAUUAGUUCCUCCACAUUGGCACCCUUUAAUGGGAUCAACUUUCUUUUUUCGAGAGUGAUCUUUAAACCUGAUAUUGCGGCAAACCACAUAAAUUCCUGUUCAGAUGCUCUAUAUGCUCCUCCAUUGCAUCACAUAGAAUAAGAGUUCAUUAACAAAUAACAUAAGGGACACCUCCAAACCCACACCUUCCCCUAGUAGAGAACCCUGCUAUGAACAUCCCUUCCUUAGCUUUUAUUUAGGAUGUGAGAGAUUGUUGUCAUGACCAUAAGAAAGAGAUAUGGGGACAGAGGAUCACCAUGUCUCAAGUCUCUACUACAUAUGUACUUUGGGGUGCACUUUUGGUUUUUCUUUUUAUAAUAUUCUCUUGCUUUACCCAUCAAAAAGAUGUCUCAAGUCUUUAGAACUUUAGAAAAAACUUGUGGGAGUCUCAUUUACUAAAAUGGAGAAUUGCAUUGUAGAGAUGCAUCACUUAAUCCAUCUAAUCCACUUGGAGCCUUCCAAGAGACUCCACCACUGUUGCUUUUUAGCCUUGAUUCAAUGUCUUCAUUAGCUAUGAAAAUUGCAUUCAGAAUUUGUCUGCCUUCCACAAACGCAUGUUUGAAAUAUGAAACCACUUUUCCCACCACAUUUUUUUUUAAUUAAAAUUUAUGGUAUUGAUUAGACCUUGUUAGGUAACAAACAAUAUGAUGCAAACUCUUUAGAGUAUCAUCUUAUGACUCUGCCAGAAUUCAAAACCUGUAUCCACAACAAUGUUACAAAUCCAUUUUGCAUUUUUUAUUAAAGUUAAGCCAAUAUGUCUUUUAGACCUUUUCCCAUAGAUAUUUGUCACACAACAUAAAUGUAGAAUAUUUAAUACCUUACAAUGUGUAUAUUAUAAAUGUCUAUGGAUGCAGUAAAUAAAAAUUACAAAAUUAGUUCCAAAAGUUAGAUGAUCAUACAUCAUUUAAAGUUCUUGUUUGUUUGUGAGUUUUGAUUUAAUUGCUUGUCCUUAGACUACUACUUUUUAAAUUAAAAAAGUAGUUUGUCAUUCCAAAUCAUUACUUUGAAUGGGAAUAGCACAACAAUAAUUAACUUAUAAUAUUUGCUCUAAAAAAUUUACCUAUAAAAAAAACAGAAGAAAAACAAUAAUUAAUUUAUGAUAUCUAUUUGCCAGGGGCUAAUAUAUCUGUUUCUGGAUGAUAAUUCUAUACUACUAAAUACAAUGAGUGUUUUCCAUAAUUAUUGUAGGAAACAAAGAAAUAAAAGACACAUGAAGGAUUAAAAGGUGAUUUUUAAAGAAACAGAGCAGAGCUGCAAGAUUGUUUCAAUCCCACCUAUGCCUCUCAUAUCAAGUUUCAUCUCUCUUUCUAUUUUCAGAAAAUCAAAAUUGUCUGGUUCUCUCUUUAGGAGCAUAAAUAAAUUUUAAUUUUAAUACACAAGGUCCACAUCUUGGACGCUUUUUGUUUCAGAUGCUUGUUGUAGUACAAGUACACCAAGUGUUAAAGAAUAUAUGGAAAUGAGAUAGCACCUGUCAGUGCUCACAUCUUUAUAUUGCGAUAUUAUUAUGUUAAUCACAGGUCAGGUUUUGAAAAUGUGGAGAUAGGAAUCAAAUAUUGAUAUCAAUUAGGUAAAAUGGUAGAGUUAUGGGUUUUGAGUUAUAUUUUCAUCUCAUGUUCUCUGUAUGAUUUUCAUGUUUUGAAUGAGUUAUGGGAGAGUUAUUAAUCUAAUUUUAUUGUUAUCCCCACUUGCAAUGUCAUCAAUGGCAAGAGACAAAAUAGUUUAUGCAGUGUAAUUUUUAUAUUAGGAAUAUUCUAAUUCUCUUUUGUUGCAUUGCAAUUUUUGUAUUUUUCUUCUUUCUUCACCUCUGUAGUUCUUUGAACUAACAAAAGGUUUUAAUUUACAGGCUGAGCGUUCAAAAGAAAGGUUAAAGCAGGUAUGGAUUCUAACAUGAUGUUUUUCUCUCUUCCUUUUUUUUUUUAAAAAAUAUUUUUCAAUAUCAGUCUUUAUAUUUCGGUGGGGGAAGAACCACUGAGAAAUUUGGUUUAGUGCAUUUUCUGUCUUGUUGAAGCCUAUUUUCUUGUUUAAAGACAUAAGCUGGCUUAUGAAUGUAUAAAAUCUUCUAAGCACAUCAACUCUCAAGUUGUUGCAAGAGUUUUAUCUUUUGGAAGAACUAGCACCAACUGAAGAACACACAGUUUACUAGAAGUCAUUGUUUAUGUUGUUAUAGCAUUAGAAGGUGUUUGGAUCAUUUCUCAAACAUCGUUUUUCAUGAAAUUUUGGGUUACAUCAACUUUCAACUUGUUGCAAGAGUUUUAUCUGUUGGAAGAACUAGCACCAACUGAAGAACACACAGUUCACUAGAAAUCAUUGUUUAUGUUAUUAUAGCAUUAGAAGGCAUUUGGAUCAUUUCUCAAACAUUGUUUUUCAUGAAAUUUUGGGUUUUGUACCCUUCUUUUUUGUAGAAAAUGUGAUUCUGACUUGCUUAUAUUGCCUAUGCCCUGUUGUGAUGUUCCAUGCACAUGUAUGCAGACCACCUUAUUGUAAUUAGAAAGCUACAUCAUGAUCUCUUUAAAAGGCCAUCUUUUGUGUAGUGUGCAAAACCUUGGUGGGUUUUGAUAGCUUCAUGCUUGUGUUUUGCCAACAAAUUUGAAGACUGUCAAAGAGGAUAGGAUGUCUCAGUGUUCUUGAGGAAAUUUCAGGAAGUUUAUAUGGUGUGUUUUAGGCCCAGUUCCAAAAGAAAGGUGGGGCAGAAAAUAUUAAAGAAAUUAGUCUCUUUAGGAUUUUAGACCCAUAAGUUAGGUGGGUGUUUAUACAAGCUAUUUGGUCAAGAUUCUUGCAAAUAUGGCAAGAAUGUUGGUGGGGAAAGUUGUUUUUGAGUUCCAAAGCGAGUUUGUAGAGGAUUGGCAGAAGCAUCUUAUAUACUGUGAUGGUUAUAAGUAUCCUGUUGAACCAGUUGGUUCUUUGAUGGCUGGACCCUCUAAAAUCAGAUUAUUGAGGUCUACUUAUAACAUUAGUUCUCAUCUUUGUUAUUUUAUUAACUAUUGAUGUCUACAGUUCUUCCUGGGAAGAUGCUAAUUAGGGUAUAAUUGCAGAAGUUAGUACUUCUUAGAGUUGAGAGCUCCUGCUUCCAUUUUUAUGUGUGCUAAACGUUUUUUAACGGAAGAUAUGAAGAUGGAAAACAUGUUUUUACUCUCAUAUUUCCCUUUUUAACGACUCUUAGGUUUUUUUUUUUGGUUUUUUUUCCUUGUUUUUUGUUUGUUAUUUUUGUUAUUAUUGUUAUUUUUUCUAUUGCAUGGAUUAGAACCUGAAACCUCCCCAUCCCUCCAACCACUUGCCAGUUUAGUCAGAUAUGAGGGGUAUUUAGUGACUCAUAGUUUCUUCUUGAGAGCUUAUUUUAUAUUUUUAUCAGGACCUUUCCACUGGCUUCUUAUCAGUUGGAGGAUUCAAGUUCUGAUGGAUAUUCACAGAGUUGUUCAUACCUCUCGAGAGCCAAGAUUUGAAAGUGGGUUGCUUGGCUCUGGUUCAUUGGAACCUGAAUUGCUUGCUCUAGUAGUUUGUCAUGGUUCAGUUGUUUUUUUUUCCUUCUUCCCUUGGGGCAUUUUUUUUCCUUAGGAUUGAUAAAUGUCUCAAGAUGCAUGAAAAAAAAAAGGUAUGAAAUGGUAAAACCUAUUUUGAAGCAAAUAUAAGCGUGUUCUAUGACCAAUGGAGGAAAAAAAAAAAGGAAAGAGAAAAGACACUUGAAAUCACUGCACAGAGGAAGUUCCUUGUGAUUUGUAGUGGGUGCUCAAAAUUACCAUUAAUUGCUUAUGAUCCUUGUUGGAUACAUUUUCUAAGAAAUCUAUGGUUCCUACUUCCUAAAAUAUCUGUUGUUUUGACCACAAAAACAUUUUCUUUAUAUUGAUUUUGAGAAUUUGAAGCCUUCUGAAGUAAAUAUAUAAUGACUAACUAAGCUUAUUUUUUGUAGCUUACUGUUGUGCAUUUCUAUUUAUGUAGACAUGAUUUCAAGUAUAUAGCUGUGAUCACAUGCUUAGACUUUGAUGGUCUCCUCCUUCGAGAUGUUUGUUUCUUUGUUGUAAUGGAAAAAUCAUGUCUGCAUGCUUAAGUUGAUGGGACUUCUGUUUUCCUAAUAAAAUGGUAUCCUCCCAAAAAAAUUGAAUACUAAAUGAGUGAGAAGUUUUGGAGGUGGCCUGAUGUGCUUUGGCUUCCUGUUCUAUUAAGAAAAUUGUUGCAUAUAUGUGGUUAUUUGAUGCCGAAAGGUGAGAUUUGAACCAGUUAGUUGAUUUAUGACUGAUGAUAUUUGGCAUGGUUGAAAGCUGGGAGAGAAGGAGAAUGGUCUUCUAAGUAUUGCAUUACUCAAAAUAACUAGUUGGUUUUGCCUGCAGCUCAUGGAAAAAAUUAUCCCAGUUGUGGAAAGGAGGAAACCAGCCCGCGUCCUCCGAAGAGUUCGCUCCAUGGAGUGGUAGAAUAUUGUUUAUGCAUCAGGUAUGAGAUUAGAAUACAGAACACCCUUAUCUAACAUAGAAAAAAAUUGCAAUCUUCUGUGGAGAACUAUCUUCAUUGGCUCAGAUAUUCUGAGAGAAAACAUGGUUACCCUGAUACAAAGAAAAACAUAGGGGAUGAGAAGCCAAGUUACAAGGGAAAUUCCUUAUGACUGAAGAUAUAAAGGACUUCCAUCAAAGGAGAUUGAAGAGUUGUAAGACAAACCUAUAGUUGUAGUUAGUAAGUGUAUUAAUGUGUAAAACUGACUAUGGCAGCACUUUGACAGAAUACAUAGUGGUGACUAAUGUGGCAUUUAUGAUAUUUUUUGACCUUGCUCUCUGACUUUCUCCCUCUUGUCUGUUUGUUGAAGGCUGAAAACCACCGGGUGUAGGUUGGGAACCGGCCAAUUUGAUGCUGGGAAUGGUUUUUGUAUUUUUAUUUUUUUAUGCAAUAAAAACGCAUCUUCCGGUUCCCAUUUUAGUCUUUGUAUUUUUUUUUAAAAAAAAACUAAAUGCAGACAUGGAUAUCAUGUGAAACAAAAGGUCAACAAUUUCUCACGAAUAUAAAAAGACUCGAGAAUAUUACAAGUUCUUAAGAAUUGUCUUGAAGACGAUUCCACAAGAACACCCUUGGAUUUUGCCGUAGCUGUGGACUUGAGAUAAGGAACAAAGGCUCUAUAAGAUUGGAAUCUCUGGGAAAAUAAAGAGAAUUAUAUUAGAAAUUGAGUGAUUGGAUGGAGAUAUUUUUGGCAGGGAAGAGUAGCUUUUUGUUGUUUUCUUUUCGCGGGAAAAAAAAUAGGCCCACAUUGCAGCAUAUUGAAAAAAGGAAAAAGAAAAAAAGAGGGUAUGGAUACUGGGUACUUUGGGAGCAAAAUCUUGAACUUAAGAAAUCAACAAAUGCAUUACAAAUUAAGAAUAAGACAUAAUAGCAUCUGAAAUUUUGUGACUUGACUGUUGGGACUAAAGAAGCUUGUGUCUCUAGUGUUUUGAAUUUUAGUGAUGGAAGAUGAGGGUGGUGUUUGGUCAGAGGGUGAAGACUCUGUUCCCCAUGUCCACCAUUACUGUAUCCUCCCCUUGUCUUCUAGUUGUUGUCUCAAAUAUUCUCUGUAUCCUUUUGAUGUAAUGAGUUUGGCCCACACCCAAGUUUCACUUUGUGAGCUGGUGGUCCCCAUUCUCUACUCCACUCUGCAGUCUGCUCUGCACCCUUCCAUUGCCAUACACAGCAACCCUCGGCUUUCUUGCUAGCAGGCCCACUCACCCAAUAAUAUUUACUCAUACGAGGAUAUAUGCCUGCCUGCAUGCAUCACAGGAGAUGAGGUUGAUAUUGAAUGUUAGGAGAAUGGGAAUGACCCUUCCAUAAAUUUGGAUACCCAUCAUUCCUAUCUUUAAAUGACAAAAUGUUUAUGUAUGCCUUCCCACAAUUCCAUUUUAUUUUCAGCUUAAAUUAUUUAAUUACAACAAUAAUAACAAAUUUUAAUAUGUAAAUAGCCCUCAUCAUUAAAGAAAGCGGAAUAUGCCACUCUCAUUUAGGGUCCUUCAUUCAAGAAAAGGUAGGAGAAAGAAGCAUUGUACCUUAAACAACCAUAUCCAGUAAUCAUGCUUUGUCUUAUGAUAUUGGGUGGUUGAAGAGUUGAAACAUGAAUAAAAAAGUUCAAAGCUAUUAUUCUUAACUCUCUCUCUCUCUCUCUCUCUAAGAUGCCACUAGAAAUGUUUGCGUUUGCUCGAGUCUAGAAUUGAGGCUGCCCUAAAACCCUAAUAGGGUCAGUCCUAAACCCUAAUGGGGUCAAUUCCUUCACAGCCUAGAGAAAAGGGUCUGCACUUACUUUCCGCCUUGACACAUCUUCCUCCUUAAUUUACUUACAAUGGUGUGCUCAAAACCAAAAAUAAAAAAUAAAAAAUAAAAUUCCCUUUUGGAGAUUUUAAUCUUUGGAGCAUAAAGUGUAAGAUCCAUUUAAACUAAUAAAAAAAUAAAAAAAUUUGGAGGAAAAGAGAAAGGGAGGAAAAAAAAGGUAAACCAUAAAGGAAAAGCAAAUGGAUUCCCCAGCAAAAUAAAAAAUAAAUAAAGAUACAUACAGUGAUACAGCAGCCCGGUAAUCACUGGAGUAAUCAUUUCAGAAUAAUAAUCUCAUCUCUCUUCAUCCUCUACCGUUGGAUCUCCCUUUUUACUUGGUAAAAAAAAAAAAAAAGAAAUUGCUUUUGUGAAGCAUUUUCAGAAACCAAAAUCAUUCCCAGCUUUUACUGUGAAAAUAAUAAUAAUAAAAACAACACCACACACGAUCUCCAAUACCACAGACCCAUGUCUGGCAUCCAUUCAAACUCUUCCCAUCAAAGCCAAGCACACCCGACACCUCUCUCCAUCUCAUACUGUCAGUCAUACACACUUAUCAAAACAACACCCUUUUUUUUCUCUUUUUUCCCUUCAAGCCCGUGAGGCCACAAAGCUCUAAUCUUAAAUGCAUUCCUCUCUUUUUAUCUUUUGUUUUCACACAACAAAAAACACACGCUGUUGAUCAUAUGGAUACCUCCUCCAUGCUUGUAGUCUUCUUCACUUCUUUCCUUACCCUACUCUUCCAACUCUCUCUUUCCACAACAGUGGUAGUUGAUGGAGUUUCUGAAUGGAAAAACCCUAUUGUUCAUGUUGGAGAUUCUAUCAGUAAGUGCUAAAACCCCACCAGAUGAGUUUUUUUUUUUUUUCGUUUUUCUGGGUUUGUGUUAAACUAAUGUAUAUGUAUUUUCUGGUUUGUUUUCUUCAGUUUUCAGACAUAGGAAUCAUUAUAAUCUCUAUGUUUUCCAGAACAGAGAAGCCUUCAAUCUCUGUAACUUCACUCAAGCCACACUCCUCACCAAACCCAACUCCACCUCUUACACGGUAUGGAUAUUUUCCCUGCAAAUACUGUGUGGAAAUGGGAAAUUCUUCAUUUGGGUUCUUUAGAAAUCUCUCAGAAUCUCUGUUUCUGAUCGUUUUUCUUGUUAUAAUGCGAAGUGGCACCCAUCACGGACUGGCUUCUUCUACUUCUCCUUCAACAAUGGCUCUCUCGAAGCAUGCCAACAAGCUCAAAAGCUCGCCAUAAAGGUGCAGGCCUCUGCAAAGCCGCGGGACAACUGGGCUACUUCGCCGGCGCUACCUCCAAGGGCGGCUCCUGCGCCGACUUCCGGAGGCACGCCAACGUCGUCUCCGGUGUAUCCAUGGCCAUUCCGCCCUCAUGAGGCGGCUCCAUCGAGUGCAGAACCCAGUGCGAGUCCUCCAGCGACGGUGAUGCCGGACAAAGGCGCCGGCAUACCGUUUAUCAAUAGUAAUCCGGCGGUUCCUCUGCCGACCGGCGAAGUGGACUCUGCUACCAUACGCCCUGUGCCCACUUCUGGCCAUGGAGGGUUGGUGCAGGUACUUUGAGGUUUUAUUUUUAUUUUUCUUUUUCUUUUUCUGGAAAUGAAAUUUUUACUUUUAAGACAAGUUGAAAUUUACAUUUUUGACCUAGAUAUUUGUGAUUAUACAUAUCAAAUGAGGAGGGUGUUGAUGGGAUAUUGAUUGGUUUCAAAUUUUAUGGGUGCACAUGCAGGUGAAAGUGGUGCAAUUUGCAGCUCAAAUGAGUGUGGUAUGUGUGGUUUUGGUGAUGCUGUAAAAAGUAGUACAGAGAGAGAGAGAGAGAUGCAGUGUAUGUAAAAAGAAAAGGUGAGCAGGAGGAGAGUGUGCAGCAGGAACAAUGGGGUUUGAAUCUUGAAUCUAAAGUAGCUUUUAGGGUUUUGAUAAUUACAUGUAAUGCUGUCCUUGGCCCUACUUCUCAAUCAUUGCUCUUUCCUCUUUAUUUUUGCCCUGCAAUCAAUUGCUCCCCCUCCCCUUCUCUCUCAUUUCUUUUUUCCACCCUUUCAUUAGAAGGAAACAAUAUGUCACUCUUGGAUGAGGUUUUCACAAAUCUUUAAGAAAAUGUGACAUGACAUAUCUGAUGUGCAACACAGAGCAGAAAAAUAAUUUCAGAACAAUGUGGAGAUGGUGUAAAAGGACAGUCUGUGUACAGUGUGUUCAUUUCUCUUCCUUUCUUCUCUCUUCAGUUGCUUUCAUAAACAAACUGAAAACAGACUCCAAUCAUAACAUCAUAAUUCAAAUGCCAAACUACUUCUCAUUCUCACUGCUAUUACAAUGAGUUUACUGAGCCCAUUUUCAAUGUUAUGGCCCCAGACACAGCAUAUGUAUUCUUAUAAAAAGGGAUGGCCUCCAUUUUGGCAUUGUACCUAUUGCAGUCUUUUGUGGCUUCAAAUGGGCUCGACCCAGACCAUUUUGAACCCAAAAUUGGCCCAUUUCCAGUGGUGAUACCUUUUUGAUAGUAUCCUCAAGUCUAGGAAUAUAAAAUGCUUGUUGACCCAUAAGAUAAAAAUAACAAAGAGUUUCAUAUACUAGAAAUUACGACUGUCCAUGAUUCUAGGCGUCACACGUGUUGGAACUUGGGGGUUGCCUAGGGCAUCCAAAGAGACGUUAGCUUCCCGCCAAGGCAAAUAACAGGAGAAGUAACCGACUUCUAAAUGUUGUAACGAAUUAACAAGUAAUGAAUAUGUGCUUAUUUUCAGCCUACCAUGUCCAUUGUUUCUGUAUUUAAUCUCCCUCACCACUCUUCCACACAAUCAUCUCUCAAACAAUGGAGAUUGAAUUGGGACUCAGGGUUUCCAGACCCAGUCAUGAUGCCAUCUCCGCCAGCCUUCGCAUCACCAAAGAUGGCCCCAAUCCUCUUUUCCUGUAUAUGGAAACUGACGAGAUGUUCAUCCUCACUGCCAAUCUCAAAGGUGUUCUUCUCUCACUCUCUUUAAAUCUCUCCAUAUAUAUACUUGAUAUUUGAUGUAUUGUCAUGAAUAUAUGUAGGAUAUCCGAGGGAGAAACUCAAGAUUAGUAUAGACGAAGUUGGGACUCAGAUUGCUAUUAGUGGGGAGAAGGUGAUUACACAGAUGAUGACGGUGGGGUGGAUAGCGCACAAGAGAGAGGUUGAGGUCAGGAGAUUCAGAAAGGUUUUUCGGAUUCCAGACGGGGUUGUUCUAGAUGGAAUCAACGCCAGUUUCAAUGAAGAAGAAUCGGUUUUGAAGAUUUUAAUGCCUAAAUCGGUGAAAGGAAUUAGUGGGGUUAAGAUGGAGGAAGUGAAGGAAGAGGACAUUGAUGGAAGGAGCUAUGAAAGGACUCGAGUUGUGGCUGAUGAGGUUCCUGAAACAGAGAAUCCUAGAGAGACUCUGAAAGAAGAGAUAAACAAUGUAACGGCAACUGAUGAGGUUGAGGGAAGAUUGUCCCAAGCUGCUGAUACAGAGGAAGAGCCCACUCAGUUGAAUGAAGGAGAGGUGCCAUCAUCCCAAGAAACUCCAGCCAAAGCCAGAAAGGAUUCUGAUUCAGAAGCAAAAAGUAGAGCAGCGGAGGAGAAAUCAAAGGAGUGUGAACAGAGUCCAGAGGCAACUGAAUCAACAAAAGUUGAACAAGAUCAAGUGACUGAAGGAGCUCAGGUUGAAGAAUAUAAUGCCCAUGAGGAAAAUGGUGGAGUUGAAACUCAUCCAUCACAACAACAGCCGAAUGCAGAAAUUCAAGAAGCGGCCCAGGAUCAAACAGAGUCACUGAAGUCAGAUCAUCCUGAAGAAGUUGAAGGAAUGGGAAAUGAAAUUCCAGCAGAAACUGAUCGAGUAGACCCUCCUGAAGAAAAAGUUGACGACAGACAGGGCUCGUUGGCUCCUUCCAAAAAGUCUAAGCUAUGUAGUCCAUGUUUCUUUGCAGGAUCUGCCAUUGUUGUAUCAAUUAUGGUGCUUGUUAUUUGCUUAAAUCGACCUAAAAGAAGAUGAAUGAUUUCAACUUUAUUUGGAUUUCUCUUUCGUUCCUUUGGGACUGAUAAAUAUAGAUUAAUUGGUUUCAUUUUAUGGGUGGAAAUGGUGGUGGAGGUGGGGCUAUAUGCAGCUGAAGUGAGUGUGUUAUGUGUGAUUUUGGUGAUGCUGUAAAAAGAGUGUUUAUAUAGUUUUUUAUCCGUAAGAUGCCAGCCACAUAGGACGGUGAGGUUGUUGAGAUAUUAAGAAUGCUUUCCUUAUAUCAUUCUUUUCUUAUAUCAUUUAGUGUUGAGAUAUUAGGAAUGUUUAGAUAUUAAGAAAGUUGAGAUAUUAAGAAUAUUGAGAUAUUAGGAAAGUCGAGAUAUUAAGAUAUUAGUUGUUAUUUCCUUAUAUCAUUCUUUCCUUAUAUCAUUUUUUCCCAUUCUUAGAAUGGUGAUUACCCUCUAUAUGUACUCUGUGCAUGAACGAAUGAAAGAAGGAAUGAAAAACUAUCAUUUAUCAAUUUGAAGUUGGUAUCAGAGCCAUGUAACUGAAAUCCUGGAUAUUUUGUCGCUAUGGUAGUCCGACAACGAUCAACCGUCCUAAGACAAGCCCUAAUAUUGAUAAGUCAACCUUCAAAUGCAUUCAUUGCAAUAAGACUGAUCCCACCAGUCUGGAUAUCCCACAAUUUCAAAGCAAUGACUCUUGGUAUGACCAGGAAAAAAUGAGGAACCAAGGGUUUGAAUCAUGGACCUUUAGAUCAUGUUUAGGCUAUCAACACUUUGUUAUUAAUGAUAAAAAUCGUGAUCAACGGAAGAAGGAUUCUAAGAAAACCUCGACUGCAACUGUUGCCGAAAUAAAAAUAGAGGCUAAUGUUGCUGAGAAAGCCUCUGCAUUGGUAGCCGUUACAGAUCAUGGUGGUAAGUUUUUAAAUACUUUUAUACCUGUUAUUAAUAGUGCAUGGAUAAUUGAUUCUGGUGCUACAGAUCAUAUGACUUUUGAUUCUAGACAGGUUUCACCUCUUAGACCUUCCUCACAAAAAAUAGUUCCACAACCAAUGGUAACACAACCCCAGUCAUUGGGGAAGGAUCCUUAACUCUUACUGAUACUUUGAAUUUGGAUUCUGUUUUAGUUGUUCCAUCUUUAGAUUACAAUCUUUUGUCAGUUUCUCAAAUCACUACAGCCUUAUCUUGUAUUGUCAUUUUUUGGCCUGAAUUUUGUGUGAUUAAGGACAUCCAAACAAGACAGACGAUUGGUUGUGGUAUUAAGCGGGGAAAACUCUAUUACUUGGACUUGCAGUCAAAGGAUUCAAAUAAGUUGCAACAAGCCUUGAUGGUAGAUGGAUCUGAGGGAGAGAAGAAAAAGUCUGAAAUUUGGUUGUGGCAUCGACGUUUGGGACAUGCUUCCUUUGGUUAUUUAAAAAAAUCGUUUCCUAGUUUGUUUGCAAAGAGUGAUAUUUUUGGUUUCCGUUGUGAUAUUUGUGAAUUGGCUAAAAGCCAUCGUGCUUCGUUUCCGUUAAUUUUGAAUAAAAGUCUGUUUCCUUUUAUGGUUAUACAUUCUGAUGUUUGGGGCCCAUCCAAAGUCCCAACUUUGAGUAGCUCACGUUGGUUUGUUACUUUUAUUGAUGAUUGUAUCGAAAUGAUAUGAUUAUGCUUGAUGAAGACCAAAGAUGAAGUGAACUUGUUGUUUCAAAAUUUUCAUAAAGUGAUUGAAACUCAGUACAAUGCAAAGGUUCGGGUUCUGCGUAGUGAUAAUGGUGGAGAAUAUCAAAGUUCUGAUCUUCAAAAGUAUUUGGAAGGACAUGACACCAUUCAUCAGACUACUUGUUUCAAUACACCUCAGCAAAAUGGAGUCGUUGAACGAAAAAAUCGGCACUUGUUAGAGGUUGUUCGUGCUUCCUUGAUAGCAGCAAAAACACCGAUAUCUUAUUGGGGAGAAGCAGUCACAUCUGCCGCAUACUUGAUUAAUCGGGUACCUUCCAGCUCAAUUAACUUCCAAACACCUCUUCAAGCUCUUACUAAUACUGUAGUUGCCCCAACCGUCCCAAAUCUACCUCCUUGUGUUUUUGGUUGCGUGGCAUUUGUGCAUCUACACAAACACCAACACACCAAGUUAACUUUUCAUGCAUUGCAAUGUGUGUUUGUUGGAUAUGCAUUGCACAAAAAAGGAUAUUGAUGUUACCAUCCUCCAACUCGACGAAUGUAUAUUACAAUGGAUGUGGUGUUUCAUGAAGAUUUGAUGUAUUUUUCAUUUGAGUCUGAAUUUCAGGGGGAGUACCAUAAGGAAAUUCAGACUCUCGAUUAUGAUUAUCAUAUCUCUGAGGAGGAUGAAUCUAAACAAUCUGAAUUAGUGAACCAGGAAGCGGGUGAGUUGGAUAUGAGUGAUCAACAAUUUGGGUCUGAAGAUGUCUUCAUUGAAAUACCAAACCAAUUGUCGUUUGUUGAGGGUGUUCUUAAUUUGGAACCUGAUCCAUUCAUGAAACAGUUACCACACCGUCAUAAUAGAGGUAUUCCUAAACCCACAUAUGAACUUGAAUUGUCUACCAAAGUCAAAUAUCCCAUGAGCAACUAUGUGUCUAACCAUCGUUUGUCUGAAUCAAAUAAGUCAUUUGUAAAUCAAUUAUCUACUGUAGCUAUUCCUAACAGUGUUUAAGAAGCCUUAGUUGAUCCAAGGUGGAAAGCAGCCAUGAAUGAAGAGAUGAAAUCAUUGUAGAAGAAUGAAACAUGGGAACUCGUAGAAUGUCCACUAGGAAAGAAGCCAGUUGAGUGUCGUUGGAUCUAUGCUGUGAAGUACAAGGCAGAUGGUAGUAUUUAACGAUUUAAAGCAAGACUGGUAGCAAAAUGGUACACUCAAACUUAUGGAAUUGACUACAUAGAGACAUUUGCACCUGUAGCUAAGAUCAACACAGUUCGAGUAUUACUGUCUUUAGCUGCAAACCUAGAUUGACCAUUAUAACAGUUCGAUGUGAAAAAUGUCUUUCUGCAUGGCGAGUUAUCUGAAGAAGUAUAUAUGGAUCUUCCACCAGGAUGCAUGGUUUCAGAAAAGCAAUGUCAGAAGGUGUGCAAAUUGAAGAAAUCAUUGUAUGGGUUGAAGCAAUCCCCAAGAACAUGGUUUGGAAGGUUCACAAAGUCAAUGAGAGCUUUUGGCUAUCGUCAAAGUAAUUCAUAUCACACUUUGUUCCUGAAAAAGCAACAUGGUAAGAUUGUGACACUCAUCGUAUAUGUGGAUAACAUGGUAGUUACAGGAAACGAUACUGAAGAAAGAAAAGCUCUGCAAAAUUAUCUAUCUAGAGAAUUCGAAAUGAAAGAUCUAGGUCCUCUGAAAUACUUUCUUGGGAUUNNNNNNNNNNNNNNNNNNNNNNNNNNNNNNNNNNNNNNNNNNNNNNNNNNNNNNNNNNNNNNNNNNNNNNNNNNNNNNNNNNNNNNNNNNNNNNNNNNNNUAGGAAGGGAAUUUUGUCCGCUAAAAAUGUGAUCAUAGAGUAUAGAAGUAUAUACUGAUGCUGAUUGGGCCCGUGCAGUGAUGAUAGGCGAUCUACAUCUGGUUACUUUACGUUUGCAAAUGGUAAUCCUGUGACAUGGAAAAGUAAGAAGUAGAAUGUGUCGCUCGUUCAAGUGCAGAAGCGGAAUUUAGAGGUAUGACUCUAAGACUUUGUGAGGCAUUAUGGCUAAGACUCCUCUUACAGGAUUUAGGUUACCUAUCUAAGCAACCAGUCCGAUUAUUUUGUGACAAUAAAGCCGCAUGUGACAUUGCUCAUAAUCCAGUACAACAUGAUCGUACAAAGCAUGUCGAGGUGGAUAGAUUCUUCAUUAAGGAAAAGUUGGAUGAUAAGAUUGUGAAAUUGCCUAAGAUUCUAUCAAAAUAUCAAUUGACCGAUAUCCUCACCAAAGCUGUCUCAAGUCAAGUGUUCUCAAAAUUUUUAGACAAGUUGGGCAUGUGUGACAUCUAUGCACCAACUUGAGGGGGAGUGUUGAAAUAUUAGGAAUACUUUCCUUAUAUCAUUUAGUAUUGAGAUAUUAGGAAUAUUGAGAUAUUAGGAAAGUUGAGAUAUUAUGAUAUUAGUUGUUAUUUCCUUAUAUCAUUUUUUCCUUGUAUCAUUUUUUCCCAUUCUUAGAAUGGUGAUUACUCUCUAUAAAUACUCUGUACAUGAACGAAUGAAAGAAGGAAUGAAAAACUAUCAUUUAUCAAUUUGAAGAGAGGUGUCAUAGUUUGAGGGGAGAGUCGAGUAGAGUGAGAGGCAAGAGGGGAUUGGAGAGAGUGACAAUAGAAUCAUGGAGAGCAACAACAAGAGUCUCAAAAUCUCUCCUACUUGGUGGGAAAUGGAGUUUUUCUUAAUAGCAUUAGAAAAUAGUAACUCCCGUGUUAGUGAAUCAACGAUGAUGUGAGAGCUUUUGAGGGUGAUACUUGUCAUAGAGAUAAACGGUCCUUCCUUUCUCUCAUUUUGGCCUAGACGAGUCAAUGCAUGUUAUUCCCACUUGAAUGAACCUCCAACUCUAGCCACCAAAUCAAGACCCUCAAACAGGUCCCAAAAUGCUCAAUGGUGGGGAGGUUAAUUCCACUCUCAAGAUGUACCAAGUUUGUUUUAGAUCCUUCAAGCCUUGUUCUAGACUUGGACAAGUGUAUCAGUAUUAGAGUGUUGUGUCAAAGGUAACACAUUCAGGGAGAUGUAGGAGAUUAUCUAGCCACUAGUAAAUCACAUUUCUUAUAACAUGAGUAAACAAUCAAUAAUCUCAGGUGGGCAAAGUGUAACUUUCAUUUAGAGGUAUAGUAGGAGUAUCCACUCUUGGUAUCCACCCAUCGACAACAUCUAUGUUCCAUGAGCAUUUAAAUAAUAAGGGGAUUAUCUUUGGAGAUAGACGUCUAUAUCCAAAUUAACGACGCAAUACUAUAGUAUAGGAGCUAUGUAGGGAAUACAUAAAUCCAUCUAUGCAUUUGAGAUCAAGGUGAGAUAUAUUAUAUUUCACAUUAAUGGGAGGUGAUCUUCCUUUCUUCUUCUUUCUUCAGUUGCUUUCUCAUGAACAAACUAAAAACAUACUGCAGUCAUAAUUCAAAUGGUAAGAUUACUUCUCACUGCUGUUACAGGUGAGUUCAUUGUGCCAACAUGAAUCCUUUUUCAGGCAAAGGCCCAUUUCAAUAUCAUGGCCUCAGACACAACAUAUUUAUUUCUCAUAAAAAAGUAAAUGAUUAUCCUGGUUUUUUUACUUAGAUUUUCUUUGUUUGCCAUCAUUCCAACUCACGAAUUUCUUCAUCAGAUCAAGUAUAUAUCUUCACUUUCAGGAGAGCCUAUCCAUGAUUCUAGGUUGGGGGUUGCCUAGGGCAUCCAAAGAGACGUUAGCUUACCGCCAAAGCAAGUAACAUAAGUAAAACCAACUUUCAAAUUUUAACUACAACAAAUGCACAAGAAAUGAAUAUGUCCUUUACUCAUUCCCCCCACCCCACGCACACACCCUGCCCAUUGUUCUUGUAUUUAAUCUCCCUCACCCACUUUCCAACACAAUCAUCCAUGAAACAUGGAGGUCAAAAAUCCCGAGGAUCUGGUUUUCUCGUCUACAGAAACUGACACCCACUUCAUCCUCACUUCCAAUCUCGAAGGUAUUCUCUUCUCACAUAUAUACUUGAUAUUUAGUUGUGUAAUAUGUUUUAGAUAUUUGAUGUAUUGUCAUGAAUAAAUGAAGGAUAUGAGGUGCAGAAGAUCGGGACGCUGAUAAAGGAAGAUACGAUUCAGAUUGCAGCCGGUGGGGAGAAGGCAGUCAGGCGUUGGAUGAAGGUAUCGGUGGUGGUCGAGCCCGUAACUGGGGUUAAGAAACUCAGAAAGCAUUUUUGGAUUCCAGAUGGGGUUGUUUCGAAUAAAAUCAAGACCAAGUUCAAUGAAGAAGAAUCGGUUUUGAGUAUUCUCAUGCCUAAAUCAGUUAGAGGAGUUAGUGGGGUUGGGGUUGAGGAAGUGAAAGAAGAGGAGAUUGGUAGAUGGGGGAAUAGAAGGACUGGGCCUGUAGCCGACAAGGUUCCUGAAACAGAGAAUCCUAGAAAGAAUGAGCAGGAGAUGGAACAAGGGAAGAAAGAUGUGCCCCAACAUGAAUCAGAAGAAGUAAAAGAAGCUUCUGGGGUAACAAUUAAACAUCCGGAGGAAGAGCCUGCCCAUCAGUUGAAUAAAAGAGAGCUGACAUCAACCCAAGAAACUCCAGCCAAAGAAGAUGCUGACUUGGAAACAAAAGGCAGAGCAGCAGAGGAAUGUGAACAGGGUCCAGAAGCAGCUGAAUCAACAAAAGUUGAAGCAGAUCAAGUAACUCAACGAGCUCAGUUUGAAGAAUACAAUGCCCAGGCGCAGCUCAAACCUGAACAAGAAUAUGAUCAAACAGAAUACCUGAAGCUUGAUCAUCCUGAAGAAGUUCAACGAAUGGGAAAUGAAGUUCAAGCAGAAAUUGACCGAGUAAUCCCUCCUGCAGAAAAUGUUGACAACAGUAAGGGUUCAUUGGCUCCUCCCAAAAAGUCUAAGCUGUAUGGUCCAUGUAUGUUUGCAGGGUCUGCCAUCCUUGUAUCAAUUUUAGUGCUUGCCAUUCACUUUUAGUCGACCUAAAAGAAGAUGAAUGAUUUCAACUUUAUUUGGAUUUCUUUUUCUUUCCCUUGUGUAUUGAUCAUAAAUAAAUAUAGAUUGAUUGGUUGGGAGGAAACGCAGUGGAGGUGCAGCAAGAGUGAUGGUUUGAAUCUAAAAUAGCUUUUAGGGUUUGGAUCUAUUCCAGUUUUUUGGGGCUUUAAAAUGGGCUUAGCCCACGCUAUUUUGAACCCAAACUUUUAGGCUUUGUUUGGUUCCCGGAAAAUGCGAGAGAAAGAAAAUUGGGAGGAAAAAUGGAAGGAAAGAAAAAGGUAAGGAAAGAAAUAUAAUUUUUUUCACUUGUUUGGUUAUCCAUGGAAAAUUCAAGGGAAAAAAAAAAAGAAUUCAUUUUCUUUUGUUUGGUUAACCACAAAAAAAAAAAGUAAGGAAAAAUGGAAGGAAAAUAAAAUCAACAAUUUGUCUUAAAUGGUUAUCAAUUUGUUAAAUAAUAAAAUAAAUUAAUCCAAUAAAAAAAUUAUUGAAAAACGUGAAUUUUUCGACAUAAAACAUUGCUCAUAAAAAGUUUCUACUAUUUUUUUUUUAUUAAUAAUUAUAAAAUUUAUGUAUAAAAUUUUCCUCAUGUAAUACAAAUAAAAUAUACGAGUAAUAACUAUUUUUUAUUUUCAAGGAAACAUUUAUAGCUAAUAAAAAACUCUUAAAAAAUUCAAAAGGAUUUUUGGAAUCAAAAUUUAGAAAUAAAAUAUGUUCAUAUAAUGUAAAAAUAAAAAACUACUAUAUAAAAUAUAAAAUUCAAAAUUAAGAGCUGAGGCCCAUUUUACAUUUGCUUAAUCGUUGUCCCACUCCUAAAUCUAGCAACAAAUUAUUCCCACUCUUCUUACAAAUUAACAUGAUAUGAAGCUAUGUUAAAUAAUAAGGAAAUGACAAAGCAAUACAAAUAAAAUGAUUUUUUUCACGUUGGUUAAUCAUAAAAGAUAUGAAAGAAAAAGUAAAUAAAAAUAAUAUAUUAAUUUUAUUUUUUCUUUGCAAUUUUCGUGAAAUUUUUCAAAAACCAAUGAUAGGGUAAAUAAUCAAUAUCAACACUCAGUGGAUGGUUGUGGUGUAUACCAAUUGUGUUUGAAGAAGAAAUACCUCAGAAAUGUUCUAAAAAGUAUCAUUUUCCAUUGUCUUUUAUUGAAUGGCCAGUCGAGGUAUAGAAAAUUGCAGUUAAACCAGUACUGAGUCAAACAGGAAUGUAGUUAAACCCGGUUCAAAGAUUCCAUGAUAUCUAGGUUAUAUAUAUAAAAUCUUUGCAAGAUUACCACAGUUUUGAAAAUUGUUUGACCAAUUCAGCCUUACCUCUACUUGAAACAGAAUUCCAUAUAAAAAGACAUCACAAUUCUGAAUAAGCUUCAAGUUUCCUUCAAAUAUGAUCCAACAAACGAGGGAUUUCUCAAGGACAUCACGGCAACAACAACAACAACAAAAAAAGGAAAAAGAAGAAAACAAAAAGAAAAAAGAAAAAAAGAAAAUAUAGAGAAGGCCCUAAAAGAACAGGAACAGGUGAUAUGAAGCUUCCUACCCCAUGUCACUUUGACAUCUCAUUCCAUGAUGUAAAGGAGAAACUCAAAGGAGAACAAAAAACUACUUCAAAAGCAAAGCAUGAUUCUGGGUCUCUUCCCUAGAAAGAGGCUGUAAUGCUUAUUCAAAAUGACUGUAUGAAGAAGGAAACAAUUAUCAGCAUUCCUGACAGUACAAUGCAUAUUGAUCAUAUUCAACAAUUCAGUUAUAUAACAGUUUAAUUAAAAGGCAUUCUCUAUCCAAAUACUGAAAGAUUCCUGAAUAUUCCAAACACUGAGAAGCAAAAACUUUAUCUGAAACGCAAAGAAACCACAUGGAUGCUGAGCUGGAAAAGUAAAAUGAAUCAGAAUCUCAACUAGCUGCUUUUAAACCACCCUCGGAAAAGGUUCUCAAUUCUCAAACCAAAACCAAAACGCGUAUCAAAACUAAGGUAAAAGUAGCUGUAGAUUUGAAAAGAUAGAUGAAUAAAAAAAGUCUUCAUAAGUCUAAAAAUAUAAUAGAUCAAUUUCUAAUAGUCAACUAUCAUCCAUGAGUUUUGAUAUCAAAACUUCACGUAUAGCCCCAAAGCAAAAGUAAAACUAAAAAUAAAAAUAAUCUCUAUCUCAAAUUAGGCAUCAAAAAAAGUAGGUCCAAAUUUAACUGACAAUCAAAGCUUACGCCUAUCAAUUGGACAAGCAAGGAAGGCUUGAGCUGCACUCACAUCACCCGUAAGAGCUUGAUAUGCUUUCAUAUGAGAUACAUCACUCAUGCCUCCAAUCUUAGCAAUCUCUUCAAACAAUUGCUCUUUUGUAUAAUUUUGAAGGUUACUUCUAUCAAGAGCCGCAACAACUGCAUCCAUUCCAACUCUAAUUGACCUUAAUUCUUCACUUACAAUGUCAGCAUAUUUUGCUUUUCGCUUUUUUGUUUCUUUAUUUGACUUUGGUGCAGAAACAGAUGCAUCUGCAGAUGAGAAAGAUGUCUCAGUUGUUGCUUCAUUUUCAACAUAAGCAAAUGUUUCAUAUCUGAUCCCAUAUUGUGAUGAUCCUAAUGGAAUUGUGUCAUCCAAAUUUUGUUCCUGGGCCCAAUGAAGUUGUCUUUCUUUUGCACCUGCAACAAGACUUCCUGUUGCUCGAUCUUUUCCAAGAAGAAUGGACAACUUAUCAUAAUUUCUAAUAGGUUUGUGUUUGAGCUGAGAUGCUCCUGGGUGUGCCUUUUAACAUCAGAAAAAACAAAUAUUAACAAAACUCGAGUCCAAUUGUGAUAAUGUCUAUUAGAAAUUUAUAACUCUACAUUACAUGCAAAAAUUUUAUUUCUAAUAACUCAAAAGUAAUAAUUAACUCACCUUAGUGUAAGUAGUCCAUACUUCUGUGGUAGCUUCGAUCAUUUGAGUUGAUUCAUUGAAACCAAAUCCACUACCACUUUGUAAAACUUCUUGAGCAGCAUAAAAGUUUUUUUUUUAAAGUUUUCAUUCUAUUUUUUAUGUGCUUAGAGUUACAACUCAAUUCAAAAUUUUCCCCAAUUUCUCGAGCAACUAUUGCAUAAGCUGUCUUGGUGAAGACUCCUCCUAUCUUUUGCCCUUUAUGCAUUUGCUCCAUUAAUCGAUCAACCAAAAAGUUGUCAAUUUCAUCAAUCCAAGUCAAGUUUCUUUUUUCACUUACACUUUUGUGCACUUCAAAGCCUUCACUAUGUUUCAUCUGAAAUAAUAAUACAUACAUAUAUAUAUAUAUAUAUAUAUAUAUAUAUAUAUAUAUAUAUAUAUAUAUAUAUAUAUGUGUGUGUGUGUGUGUGUGUGUGUUUAAAAUGAAAAUUCAAGAGGAGGAGAUAUAAUAACAACUUCAUUGUAACUCAUUCAAAAUGUGAUUUUAACUAGAGGAGUUAUAGUUCUAAAUACAAUCAUUGUACUUAAUAUGAAACACAAAAAACCAUACAAGAAAAGAACCAUAAAAUAAAAGGACUCAUCAACGGUUUCUAUUGUAAUCUUUCCACAUGUCCAUGGCUAUUUUCUCCCUUAAGAUUUCUCCUUCCUUGCAUUUUUCAGCUAAACUCAAGACCAUUGAUUCAAAUUCCGCUUCUUCGCUAAAAAGCUCUCUAUCGACCUCUGCUAUUAAUCUUUCAUCUGGAUCAACACCCAUGAGAUAGUUAUGGAGGAUACAAAAUACAAUCAUUGUACUUAAUAUGAAACACAAAAAACCAUACAAGAAAAGAACCAUAAAAUAAAAGGACUCAUCAACGGUUUCUAUUGUAAUCUUUCCACAUGUCCAUGGCUAUUUUCUCCCUUAAGAUUUCUCCUUCCUUGCAUUUUUCAGCUAAACUCAAGACCAUUGAUUCAAAUUCCGCUUCUUCGCUAAAAAGCUCUCUAUCGACCUCUGCUAUUAAUCUUUCAUCUGGAUCAACACCCAUGAGAUAGUUAUGGAGGAUACAACAUGCUAGUAUAAUAUCAGAUUGUGUGUCAACAGGGUAAUGUGGCUCUGUCCCACUAGCUAUUAUUGGAAAUCUUUUCUUCAAAACACCAAAUGCUCUUUCAAUUGCAUUUCUCAAGGACGAGUGUCGAAGGUUGAAAACCUCUCGAGCAUUUUCUGGUUGAUGAACACUAUACUCUUUUAAAUGGUAACGAGUGCUUCUAUAUGGGGUAAGAAAUCCAGUUUUUAGUUGAAAACCCGCAUCAGCCAAAUAAUAUUUACCUAAGAAGCAUAGACAAAGGAUCUUUGUUAUUAGUAAUAGUCACUUGAGCUAAUAAAUUAUGUUAUUAUCUAAUUACCAAUAAUUACCUUGUGGAACAAUCAAUUUAUCAAAAUCUCUCACUAAUGCAUUAUCUAGGAUUCUCGAGUCUGACGCAGAUCCUUCCCAACCAGGUAAAACAUAUGUGAACUUCAAGUCAAAGGAACAUGCUGCUAAAACAUUUUGUGUUGGAUAGUACUUUCGCCCUCGUUACCUUUGCACAACAUCAUUUGACACUUUUACACGAAAAUGUGACCCAUCAAUCGCCCCUAUGCAAUCCUAUAAAAAAACAAAAUUAUUAGUUUAUUUUGAAAUAUAAAUAAUAUCUCAAUUUUUAUCCACAACAAUAUACUCUCUGAGACACCAAAAUUGAAAGAGGUUCUGAUUCUUUCCCAUGUAAAAGUAUGCUUUUGCAAAUCCCCCAAGUCCCAGCAUGGCCCUCUAGUAGAAAGUGUCUUGGCACCCAAAUGCUAGUCCCACAAAACUACCUGUUGGUUGCAACUAAUUUACCCACUUGGGUGUUGCAGCUACCCAAAUGUUACUUCUAAAUAAGGGUUAUUAGGGUUAGGGAAAGACUCCUUAAUGUGCAUUAGGCUAACACCCCUGCUCACAUUGGACCCCAAUCUGCAUGUUGAGAGGGGAAAUUCAAUAUGCACACUCUAAGAAUUGGAGUUUUAACAACAUGUAAUGUUGGAUUGUAAAACCUAAAUCAGUCUUGUUGUGUCACGUAUUUUUGUCAUCCUAUUGACAGACCAAAAGAAAAAAGGUUCAGAAGUCAUCAAGUUGUAUAAAUGAAAGACUAAAAAACUUGUAUCAGAUGAACAGGAAAUUAAUGUUGUUAGCCGGAGAAGGGAAGGAGAUUUGCUUCACCAAUGAUUUGAGGCCUUGGACUAGAAAAUUUGGAAGUAUUGCAGAGGAAAAGUUGAGGUGCCAUCAUGAAUAGGACGUAAGGUUCACAUGAGUUCAAACCAAACUGACAGAAGGUCCUUUAUGUUGGCUCUUGCUUAUAUUAGUUCUUAUAUUAGUUCUUGUAAAAUCGUCUUGGAUGUCAUCAUGAAUUUUCGCCAUUUUAUCUAGCUAGCUAGAUGCUGCUGCAUUGGAACUCCCUUCCAAAAGUAAAGAAAUUAACAUAGAAAAUACAUAAGUUCUUUCUUCAUUGUAGUUCCUGUUCUCCUACUUCUGCCUGUUGUCUAAUUGGUUUUCGGGUUGUCUAAACAAUUCAUUGUAGCCCUCACACCCUAAACCAGUGGCUUAAGAUUCCAGACUUGGUUAUUUAAGAUUGAUUUCAUAGGAUGCAAUAAUUUCCUAACAAUUUAGAUAUAAAAAAGAAUUAAGCAAAAUGGGUAAAUGCCAUUUUUAUGCUUGGUACAAUCAAAUACAUAUGUAAAGUUAGCAAUAUCAAGUAAAUAGAAUAGGUAAGAUAAAUUAACACAAUUCAUAAAGAUCAAGACAUCAAUGAGAAGGAAAAAAAUCUCAAGCUAUAGUCUCCUUGAAUCUUUCGCAACUAAAAAUUAAUGGAGCAUAAUGAAUUUAUUUAUUUAUUUUUCAAUCAAGUGAAAGGUCCCAGAACCUCCACCAGAGAACAUGCAGUUGGGUUGUGUACGUCUACUCCCUUACGACUUCAUGAGCUAAUUAAUAUGAGCAGGUGGCAGUGUAUAAUCCAAGUCCAGCAAUUUCUAAGGUCCCACAAUAGAUGAGAAGUUCAUGAGAAUUAGUCCAGCCCUAUCCUUACGCCUUUUGAAUUCCCAAUUCAACCUCGUGUUUCCCGGAAAUCAUAUAUUGCUGACAAUAAAUAAGUAAUAAACAUUUUCAAUCUUAUCGGAAGGCUAAUAACAACAACACAUGAUACCCAAAAUUACAAAUCAUCAUUUCUUCAUAUUAACAUUCAAAGUUGCAAUUAACAAUAAAGAGAAUCAAAACCCUAAUAAUAUUCAAAAUCCCCAUUCUGAAACCUGAAAUCAUUGGUCCAUAAAGCCCUAAGAAAUAACUCAAAUCGAAUUCAAACCCUCAUUUGAAGGGGAAAAAAAAAAAAAAAAUCAAAUAUCAAUCCAAACAAACUCGAAAUUCCCAUUGGAAACCUUAAACCCUAAUUUCUAGUCAGUUGUAUGGAAAAGGCUGAAUGAGGGAAAGAGAUCAUAAAAUUAAACCAACAUCAAACAUAGAGAUGAUGUGAGGUUAAAAGAAAAGAGUUCAAUUCAUACCUGACUUGAAGACAUGGAUCCGUCAUCCAUGGGAACUUGAUUUGAAGAACGCACUUCAUCAAUGGGAACUCGGGUGCCUGAAAUUGGUAGGUUUUCAGAGGCACUCGAAGGUGGUCGGAGUGAUAGUGGUGGCCGUUGAAAGGGUCGACGACGUUGAGAAGCCAUAGCCACUGACGAAGAGGAAGUUAGAGAUGAAGCUUCGGUGAACAAGAGCCGACAAAAUUUUCCUCCUCUUUUCCCUGCUCUUUUUCUCUUAUAUUUUCCACGUUAUUUUUUAAGGAAAAUAGUGAGGAAAAUAUUACAAUAUUUUUUUUAAUAUUUUCCUUCAUAUUUUUUUUUUCAUUGUAUUUUCUAUGUCAUCCAAACUAAAAAAAAUCAUUUUCCUUUAUAUUUUUUUUUCCUUUCCUUAGCAUUUUUCGGGAACCAAACAUAGCCUAAAAGUCAUGAGAAAAGGAAAAAUCAUCAUUAGAAGAAAAUUCAAGUUCAAUAAGAAAAAACAUGAAACUAGGGUACUCGACAAGGUAACUUGAUACUUCUCCCAUCUCUAGAGAGGAAAAACAAAUAAGAGAGCUUACAAGAAAUCAGUUUUCCACCUUCAUCACCACUUCCAUCUAAUCAUGAAGUUCUAACUUCUAACUAUAUCAUCUUUAUUGAAAAAUUCAAGGAACACUAUGUUUGAGGAGUAUAUGAGAGAUUUAUGAGAUGAUAGAAAAUCAAAAUAGUUCAGCUUCUCUCUUCAGUUGCUUUCUCAUAAACAAACUAAGAACAUAUUGCAGUCAUAAUUCAAAUGGUAAGACUACUUCUCACUGUUGUUAAAAGUGAGUUUAUUGUGCCGACAUGAAUCCUUUUUCAGGCAAAAGCCCAUUUCAAUAUCAUGGCCGCAGACACAACAUAUUUAUUUUUCAUAAGAAAAUCCAGUUUUUUUUUACUUACAUUUUCUUUGUUUUCCAUCAUUCCAACUCAUGAAUUUCUUCAUCAGAUAUAUAUAUAUAUCUUCACUUUCACCUUCACAAGCCGCAACCCAGGAGAGCCGAUCCAUGAUUCUAGGUUGGGGGUUACCCAGGGCAUCCAAUGAGACGUUUGCUUCCCGCCAAAGCAAGUAGUAAAACCAACUUUCAAAUUUUAAUUACAACAAAUGGACAAGAAAUGAAUAUGUGCUUUACUCAUUCCACCCUGCCCAUUGGUCCUGUAUUUAGUCUCCCUCCCUCACUCUUCAACACAAUCAUCCAUCAAACAUGGAGGUCAAAAAUCCCGAGGAUCUCGUUUUCUCGUCUACAGAAACUGACACCCACCUCAUCCUCACUUGCAAUCUCAAAGGUGUUCUUCUCUCACUCUCUCUUUAAUUCUCUUUACAUACAUAUUUGAUAUUUAAUUGUGUAAUAUAUUUUAGAUAUUUGAUGUAUUGUCAUGAAUAAAUGAAGGAUAUCAGGUGCUGAAUAUCAGGAUGCUGAUAAGUGGAGAACCGAUCCAGAUUGCAGACAGAAGGGAGAAGGCAAUCAGGCUUUGGGUGCGGGUAUCAGUGGAGGUCCAGGCCGCAUCUGGCGUUAUCAAAUUCAGAAAUUUUUUUUGGAUUCCAGAUGGGGUUGUUUUGGAUCAAGUCAAGACCGAGUUCAAUGAAGAACAAUCGGUUUUGAGGGUUCUCAUGCCUAAAUCGGUUAGAGGGGUUAGAGGGGAUAGGGUUGAGGAGAUUCGUAGGGGGCAUAGAACGACUUGGCCUGUACCCGACAAGGUUCCUGAAACAAAGAAGCGUAGAAAGAAUGUGCAGGAGAUGGAACAAGGGAAUAAAGAUGUGCCCCAACAUGAACCAGAAGAAGCUUCUGGUGUGACAAUGACACAUCCGGAGGAAGAGCCUACCCAUCAGUUGAAUCAAAGAGAUUUGCCAUCAACCCAAGAAACUCCAGCCAAAGAAGAUGCUGAUUUGGAAGCAAAAACCAGAGCAGCAGGGGGGUGUGAACAGGGUCCAGAAGCAGCUGAAUCAACAAAAGUUGAAGCAGAUCAAGCAACUCAACGAGCUCAGGUUGAAGAAUAUAAUGCCCAGGCGCAGCUCAAACCUAAACAAGAAAAUGAUCUAACAGAACCACUGAAACCUGAUCAUCCUGAAGAAAAAGUUGAUAACAGAAAGGGCUCUUUGGCUCCUCCCAAAAAGUGUAGGCCAUGUAGUCUAUGUUUGUUCGCAGGAUCUGCCAUCCUUGUAUCAAUUGUAGCGCUUGUCAUUCACUUUAGACGACCUAAAAGAAAAUGAAUUGACUUCAACUUUAUUUGGUUUCUUUUUCUUUCCCUUUUCUUACUGAUCAUAAAUAAAUAUAGAUUGAUUGGUUGGGAGGAAACACAGUGGAGGUGGGGCUAUUUGCAGCUGAAAUGAGGAGGCUAAUUUGCAGCCGGAACUAUCAACUAUGGUUUGAAUCUAAAAUAGCUUUUAGGAUUUGGAUCUAUUCCAGUCUUUUUGGGCUUCCAAAUGGGCUUAGCCCACUCCAUUUUGGACCCAACCUUGGCCCAAUCAAGGUCCAUUUUCAGCAAUAACCUAAAUCCAUGGCCCUGUUUGGCACCUUUCAAGUGGAUGGAAAAAUGAUUCCUUUAUCAAAAUGUUUUCUCUAUUUGUUAAUACAUAUUGUGUAUCUAGUAUCUAGUUUGUGUGUAAUAGCGUUCUCUAAGGUCUAUAAUUGAUAAAAGGUGGGUUUGAAUAUUUUUUAUUUUGAGUGGUUAAUUUAUUAUUCAUUCGGAUACUUUUUCUAUUUUUUAUUUUUGAUUCAUAAAAUUAGAAAAUAAUAGUAAUUUUCUUUUUAUGUAAGGUAUAAAAAUAAAAUUUUUUAGAGACUUACGUUGAGAAGGUAAUGAUUUUAAAAAUCAUUUAAAAAACUUAAGGGUCCGUUUUGACGGUGUUUUUUAAAAUUGUUUUCAAAAUAAAGAACAAAAAACAGUUUUAUAGAAUUUUUUUAAAAAUUAGAGUGUUUGGCAAGAUAUUUUAAAAAAUAGUUUUUUAAAACAAAAAGCAAGGAAUUUGAUUUAGUUUAUAAAAGUGGUUAAUUAAUUUCUACAUUUGUUUAAUUAGUUGGAUUCUAUAAGUUUUUAUAUUUUUGUUAUUAUGUAUUUUUAUUUUGUUAAGUGUGAGUAUCUAUAAAUAAAAAAUUGCAUGAUAAUUAAAAAAGAAUGGUGGAAGAUAAUAAUUCUUUUUUUUAAAAAAAACAUUCAAAAUAAUGUUGUAAAAUACCUACAAUCUUGUGUCAAUGAUCCCUUUUGAAAUUGACACUUAAGAUUUAGACAUCUUAAUUUUGAAGGAUUGGAAUGGUAGCAAGAUUGCCCAAUGCAUAUCACUUAAAUUAAUUAAUUAUGUGAAAAAUGCUUAAUUACUUAAAAAAACAUGUCUCUAAAAGAAGCAAUUACAAAAGUAAAGAAGCCUCUAAAUCUCAUUCAUACGAAUGUAUGCAACUUAAUUUAUCCAAAUUAUUAUGGAAAAAAUAAAUAUUUUGUACUCUUUAUUGAUGAAUUUAAUAUUAAACUUAGGUGUAUCUUUUAGAGAAAAAAUUCAAAGGGUUUAGUACUUCUAAGAAAUUUAAAACACUUGUUGAGAAAGAAAGUGACUAUAAUAUAAAGGUAAUAAGAUCCUAUAAAAAAGGCAUAUUCGGGUAAAAAGAAUUUAAAAAAUGUUAUGAAAAUCAUGGGAUUUAUGGGCUUUUAAUAGUUCCAUAUUCUUUACAAACAAAUUGAAGUGGUUGAAAGAAAAUAGUAUUAUUCUUGACAUAAUUUGAAGCAUAUUAAAAAAAAAAAAAAUGACUAAAGAAUUUUGAGUUGAAAUAGUUCUCCUAAGCCAAGUAUAUGGAAUAAAGCAUCACUGAGAAGUUUGGAAUGAAGAAAAAAAAAACCGAGUAUUACAUAUUUGAGAGUGUUUAGAACCUUUGCAUAUGUUUAUAUACCAUAUCAAAAGUGGCAAAUUCAAAUGAUAAGAGUAAAAAAUAUAUUUUCAUGGAUUAUACCCGACCUCCAAAUGCUAAAAUUCAUAUAAUCUAAGAAAUGGAAAAGUCACCUCUAAAAGAAAAUUUAAGUUUAAUGAAGAAAAAGGCAUGAAACUAGGGUACCCAAAAAGGUAACUUGAUACUUCUCCCAUCUUUGAAGAAGAAAAACAAAUAAGAGAGCUUCCAAGAGAUCAACCUUCAUUGUCACUUUUUUUCUAACUAUAUUAUCUUUAUUGAAAAACUCAAGAAAAAGAACACUAUGUUUGAGGAGUAUAUGAGAGAAUUGCAAGAUAAUAGAAAAUCAAAAUAGUUGAACUUUUUUUUAUUUUUUUUUUAUUUUUGCUUUUUAUGAAUUGUGAACCAAUAUAUUUUGAAGAAGCAAUAUGGGACAAAAAAAAUAAAAAUGAAAAGAUGUUAUGGAUGAGGAAAUAAAAGUAAUAAAGUAGAAUGAUAUAUGAGAUUUAAAAUCUUAUCCAAAAGAGAAAAAAGGUCAUCGGAUUAGGAUGAGAAUGCAAAACAAAGAAGAAUAAGAAGAAUAAUCAAAAUUUAUAAGGUCUCAUGAUAAAAAAUUAUGUUAAUAUCUUUCUCUUUGUAAAUUAUUUAUUUAUUGUCUAAGAAAUCCCUUUUUCAUUGAUUUAAAAUGUCUUAUGUUCAUUUUGGGUAUAUGAGAAUUCAUCCAUUGACUUUCUCAUUGUGUUAGUUAAAUUUUUUAUUACAAAAUUUGUAUUGUGAAAAUGAUUGGGGCUAGGGAGCCCUCCUUGUGAGCUUGAAAAUCAUGAAAAAAUGCCAAAAGUUGGUGUGCUCUAUGCCAAAUGAAUUUUGGAAUUAAAUGGUGUAAUUCAAUUCAAAAUUAAAUUAAAUUUCUUUUUAGUAUCAUGUAUUUCAGAAAAUAAUCGAGGACACAUAAAUAACAAUUGAAUGUGAACGAGGUAUAAAAAGACUUCUUUUAACAUUACUAAUUUUUAUUAUAAAGGCAUUAUUGUAAUGUUAUGACAUAUUAUAAUAAGGCAUAAUUUAGAAAAUUUUGUACAUUUUAUAAAACCAACUGUUUUAGGUUAUUGUGUUAUACUUCCUAGCAUAUCUAAUGUCAUAAACAAACCUUAGACGCUAAAUAAAGUAUCAAUUUGUAUGUUAUUUUAUAAUUCAUUAAGUAAUUUAAAUACGUUUAGCAGACGAUAUUAAUACAUCAGUAUGAUUUGUUGAAUGUCGAUGGGUGUAAAAGGCAUCUCUAAUACCAUUACUUUUAUUAUAAAAUUCUUGUACAGCACAAAUGCAUAACACUUGUAACACAAAUAUACUAAUGUUACGGUAUGAUCUAAUUUUUAAAAUAUUAAACUUUUUUUUUUUUUUUUUUUGGCAUGAGGUCUAUUUUCACCAAAACUCUCAAAUAUUCGUAGCUUUGAGGGAGUGGGCUUCGAUCACCUUUAGAUUAUACUUGUUCCUACAACAUAGCAUCUUUGUUUAUCAUACGUCGGAGCUUGCCGUUGAUUAGGGCAUCAAAAGAGAUAAAAGCCGCUUCCCGCCAGGGCAAAUAACAGAAGUAACCGACUUUUAAAUGUAAAUAACAAAUGAACAAGAAAUGAAUACGUGCUUUACUCAUCAUGCUCAUUGUUCCAGUAUUUAAUCUCCCUCCCCACUCUUCAACACAGUCAUCCACCCAUCAAACAUGGAGGUUGAAUUGGAAAUCAACAUCACCCCCACCAACCUUCCUCCCAUCACCAAGGACCCUGUUUUCUUGUCUACAGAAGCUGACACCCUCUUCAUCCUCAUUGCCAAUCUCAAAGGUGUUAUUCUCUCACUCUCUUUAAUUCUCUCCAUUUAUGUACUUUUAUGUAAUGUCUUUGAUAUUUGAUGUGUUUUCAUGAAUAAAUGUAGGAUAUCAGAAGGAGAAACUCAAGAUCGAUAAAAACGAAGAUGGGACUCAGAUUGCAGUCAGUGGGGAGAAGGUAGGAAGUACUAGUUUGCAACCGUUCCGGAGGAUGGCCUUCAGGGCAACGCCUCAGGUUACAAAAUUCAGAAAGGUCUUUUGGAUUCCAGAUGGGGUUGUUUUGGAUCAAAUCAAGGCCAAGUUCAAUGAAAAGGAAUCGGUUUUGUGGAUUUUCAUGCCUAAAUCGGUUACAGAAGUUAGUGGGGUUGGGGUUGGGGUUGGGGUUGGGGUUGAGGAAGUGAAAGAAGAGGAGAUUGGUAGGAGGAGUGAUAGAAGGACUCCGCCUGUACUUGUCAAGGUUCCUGAAAGAGAGAUUCCUGGAAAGAAUGAGCAGGAAAUGAAAGAAGGGAAGAAAGACGUGCCCAAACAUGAACCAGAAGAAGUAAAAGAAGCUAUCCCCAAGGCAGAAGUUGCGGAAAUAGAAAAUCCUAGAAAGAGUGAGCAGGAAAUGAAAGAAGGGAAGAAAGAUGUGAAGGCAACUGAGGUUGUGGGAGGACUGCCCCAACAUGAACCAGAACGAGAAAAAGAAGCUAUCCCCCAAAAAGAAGCUGCUGAAAGAGAGAAUCAUAGAAAGAACGAGCAGGAAAUGAAAGAAGAGAGGAAAGAUGCGAAGGCAACUGAUGAGGACGUGGGAAGAUUGCACCAUCAUGAACCAGAACAAGUAAAGGAACCUAUCUCCCAAAAAGAAGCCGAUGAAAGAGAGAAUCCUACAAAGAAUGAGCAGGAAAUGGAAGAAAGGAGGGAAGAAGUGAAGGCAACUGAUGAGGAUGUGGGAAGAUUACCCCAACAUGAACCAGAACAAGUAAAAGAAGCUAUGCUCAAGAAAGAAGCAGCUGAUAUUACAAUAACACGUCCAGAGGAAGAGAAUACUCGGUCGAAUAAAAGAGAGGUGCCAUCAAAAGAAGAAACUCCAGCCAAAGAGGUCUCCGAUUUAGAAGCAAAAAGAACAGCAGCAGAGGAGAAAUCAGAGGAGUGCCAACACGGUCCAGAGGUAACUGAAUCAACAAAAGUUGAAGCAGUUCAAGUAACUCAACAAGCUCAUGUCGAAGAAGAUAAUGCCCCUGAGGAAAAUGGUGAAGUUGAAACUCAUCUGUCGCAACAAGAGUUGAAUACAGAAAUUCAAGAAGUGUCCCAGCUCGAAUCUGACCAAGAAUCUGAUUCAACUGAAUCACUGAAGCCUGAUCAUCCUGAAGAAGUUCAAGGAAUGGGAAAUGAAAUUCAAGCAGAAAUUGACCCAGUAAUCCUUCCUGAAGAAAAAGUAGAUAACAGAAAGGGCUCAUUGGCUCCUCCCAAAAAGUUUAGGCUAUGUAGUCCAUGUUUCUUUGCAGGAUCUGCCAUCCUUGUAUCAAUUGUAGUGCUUGUCAUUCACUUCAGUCGACCUAAAAGAAGAUGAAUGAUUUCAACUUUAUCUGGUUUUCCUUGCAGUUACCUUUUCGUACUGAAAAAUGUAGAAAGUAUUAUCCCAUCAUGUUUGCCAGUUGAUGAUUUUAUUGUGACAAAUUAAUAAAGGAUAAAAUCACACUCUUAUGAAAAAUGUGCAUGAAGUAUAAACAUCAAUUUUCUCAAUUGUAUUUCUUCGGUAAUUAUGCUUUCCAUAAUGGAUACUAAUUGAAACUUCCUUCAAGUUAUAUCAUAAGCAUUUGUAUUGGUGUCAUUUCUAUCACAAAUCAUUUGGAAUAGAAGGAAGUUCUUUUAGCCUACUGCUAUCGAGUAAUGCUUGAAGGAAAGGGAUCUUGUGGUUUUAUCCCUUCUCAUUAUCUUAGCCACUAUUGCAUCUUUUUCUUUGAUCUUUUUUCUCCUCUGCUUGCCAUUUCUACACUCAACAAUGUUGAACAAAUGGAAAGGAAUUUCAAACCUUUCUAUGGAAGAAAUCAAGUCCAAUCCAUCCAACAAAAAGAAUUAGUUUUUGCAAGCAUAAUUCCAAAACUAACAUGAAAAACCCAUCAAGCUCAGCAGCAAAAUUUUACAUUAUGUCAUCCAUUGAGGAAAAGAUAACUAAGAACCAAUGGAGUAUUGAUCAUGCCCAAGGUCUAAUAUCAUAUAGAAGAAAUGAUUGUUAUGUGACCGCUGGAGAUCAUGUCAAGACACCAUCAGGCCUGCUUGUAUAAUCAAAUCUCUAACCUGCAAUGUGAAUGGAAAUAAAUAUUUUGAAACUAGCUCUCUUAUUUUUUGUCUUUUCCUUUCUUUAUUUGAAGAAAGCUUACCAUCUUUUGGUUUCACAUCUCUCUUUGUGAUAUUCCUAGAAAACUUGGUAGUGUCAUUGAAGAAGUAAACUUUUCCUUUAGCAUAGCCAAUUCUUUGCCCCUUUCUCUCAUUCUUUCCUUUUUCCAGCUAUUCUCCAAUAAGAAGUCAUGAAAGGAUGUGGAAUCAUAGUUGGAUGAUGAAUUACAGCAAACAAUCCUGGAUGGGGCUGAUUCCUUGGGUCCCAUAUAGAAGUGGAACCAUUCUGUUCUUGUUCUGUUUAGCAUCUGAAAUGUAUAAAUUUUGCUCUAAGCAUCACUUACAUGACAUCAACAAAUAAGGCCACUGCAAUUCUUUUUGUGGAUAACCUUCUAGACUAAAACAAUCUAAUUGUGUCCACUUCACAUCCUUGAUUUUCUAGUGCCUUUGGUUUAAGUAUAGGAUUGUUAAUUCAAUCUAUCCCAAUUGAAUUUUUCCUUCGGUUGGGUGUUAGUUACAGAAGGGAUUCAUCGAGUACAUAGCAACAAGUGGCUGCAUCAAUAGGGGCUCAUAAUGAAUCAGGAUCUUUUCAUUGGCUUAAAUCUAAAGCACCAACUCAUGCCCUCACAUCACACAAAUUGGAAAAAUGAAUCCAUGCAGUGUCAGCAGGCAGUCAGAAGAUAUUAUAAGUACACACGUUUAAAUAUAUAGCAACGGAACAAUGGCCAUUUAUUAUUAGUAUAAUAACCCAAAAAAAUAGCCAUCAUUUUGGAAUUCAACAAAGGCCAUUGGAUUGGGAAUGUAAUGAAAAACAUGAGCAAGUCUGCACAAAAAGCUAGUAAGACUAUAAUAAAGAUUCAGUUGGAUCAUCCAUAUAAGGAAAGUUCAGAGAUACCACAAAAGCUCCUCUGAUUUAUUCGUACUUUUCCUAUUAAGAAAAAAAACCAUGUUUCACGAUUUGGAUUUCUGUUUUGUUCCGUUCUUCUUCCAUGGAAGUUUGAAAAGGCGUAAGAAAACUUGAAUCAAGCUUCAGAAAUGUCACAUUAUGCCAGUCAUUUUUUGUUAGUACACUUAGGGCCAUGUUGUUAACUGACCUUCCCAAAUAUAUAUUCCUUCCCAAUUCAGACCACAUAUAUGGGGCUUAACUAUAACCAGCAAAAUAGAUAGAAACUUUGAGCAUUUAAAGUGUUAGAACCUGUAACAGCUAGCAAAUUGUUGGAAGGACCACUGCUCUGGCACCCUUCCUGGGUUGCCUGUUUGGUAUAUAAAAGGUUAAUUUUCAUUGUCCAGGAUGUUGCCGUUUCUGCUAACCAUGCUAUUCCAGCCAAAUUGAUGAUGGGACAGUGACAGAUUCACCAAGAGGUUCCUCAAGACACUAGUAAUUAAUAUGGUAGUUAUAGGGGAGAGUAUCAUUAUUGAGAAAUUGGGACUCAAUGGUAUUGUCACAGUGGGGAAGGCAAAGUAGUCUUGUUCAUCCCAUGGAGAGAGAUAGGAAGGACAAAGUAGCUCUGCAUGACCAUUAUGCUUUGGAUCAUGGAUACUGUUUGAAACUUUCUUCAUCAAGUUCUACCAUAAACUAAAAUACCAGACAGUAAGCAUUUGUACUGUUGUCAUUCCAAUCACAAAUCGUUUGAAAUAGAAGGAAGUUCUUUUGGCCUGCAGCUAUCAAGUAAUGCUUGCAGGAGAGGGAUCUUUUAGUUUUAGCCCUUUUCAUUAUCUUGCCCACUAUCCCAUCUUGUUCUUUGAUCUCUUUUCUGCUCUGCUUGCCAUUUCUACACUCAACAAUGUUUUCAAGGUGAACAAAUGGAAAGGAAGUUCGAAACCUUUCUAUGGAAGAACUCAAGUCCAAUCCAUCCAACAACAAGAAUUAGUUUUACCAAGCAUAAUUUCAGAACUUGAAAAACCCUCCAAGCUCAGCAGCAAAAUUUUCCAGUAUGUCAUCCACUGAGGAGAAGGUAAUUAAGAACCAAUGUAGUAUCAAUCAUGCCCAUGGUCUAAUAUCAUACAGAAGAAACGAUUGUAAUGUGACCACUGGGGAUCAAUGUCAAGACACCAUCAGGCCUGCUUGUCUAAUCAAAUCCCUGGCCUGCAAUGUCAAUGGAAAUCAAUAUUGAGAAACUAGCUCUCUUGUUUUAUGUCUUUUCCUUUCUUUAUUUGAAGGAGGCUUACCAUCUUUUGGUUUCACAUCUUUCUUUGUGUAGUUAAUAUUCCCAGAAAACUUGUUUAGUGUCAUUGAAGAGCUAAAAUUUUCCUUUAGUUCUGCCAACUCUUUUCCCCUUUCUCUCAUUCUUUCCUUUUUCCUGCUGUUGUCCAAUGAGAAGUCAUGAAGGAUGUGAACAGGCAGUCAGAAGAUACUCUAAGUACACACUUUUAAAUAUACAAGCUGGGACCCUGAUAACUUAAUUUACAUUUAAUGAGACAAACAGAUUGGAGAUCAUAUCAAAAAGAGAAGGGGGACCAAUUUUCUUUAGGGCAGGGGCAUGGUUCAAGGAAAAAAGUGGGCAUUCCCAGUACUAUAAAAUUAUUCCUAAACUUUUUAUUAGAUUUUUUGGUAUGCAUUUGUUCUAGCAUAAUAUCUCUGCAUGUGCUCUUUAUUACAAUAACACUGCAUAGAACAAUGGCCAUUCAUUAUUAGUAGAAUUACCUGAAAAAAUAGUCAUUAGUUUGGAAGGCCAUUGGGUUGGGAAUAUAAUGAAAAACAUUUGCAAGUCUGCAUGAAAAGCUAAUAAGACUAUAAUAAAGGUUUGGUUGAUCACCCAUACAGUUUCCUUGGGAUUCAGAGAUACCACAAAUGUUUCACAGUCUGGAUUUCCUUUUUGUUCUGUUCUUCUUCCAUGGAAGUUUGGAGAGGAGGGAGGAAACUUGAAUCAAGCUUCAGAAAUGUCACAUUAUGCGGGUCAUUUUCGGAUAGUACACUUAGGGCCAUGUUGUUAACUGAUCUUCAAAAUAGAUAUUCCUUCCCAAUUCAGACCACAUAUAUGGUGCUUAACUCCAACCAACAAAAAACAUAGAAACUUUCUAGCAUUUAAAAUGUUAGAAGCUGUAACAGCUAGCAAGUUGUUGGAAGAAGGGCCACUGCUCUGGUAGCCUCUCCGGGUUGCCUGUUUGGCAUAUAAAAGGUUACUUUUCAUUCUCAAUGAUGUUGCCGUUUCUGCCAACCAUGCUACUCUAGCCAUAUUGAUGACGGGACAGCGACAGAUUCUCCAAGAGUUUUCUUAAGCCACUAGUAAUGAGUAUGGUAGUUAUAGGGGAGAGUAACAUUAUUGAGAAAUGGGGAUUCAAUGGUUUUGUCACAGUGGGGAAGGCAAAGUAGUCUUGUUCACCCCAUGUAGAGAGAUAGGAAGGACAAAGCAGCUCUGCAUGACCAUUAAGAUUUGACAUAGUGACCUAUUUGCAUAAAAACGAAUUAUUAGCUCCAUGUUUGUUAUUGAAUAUCCAUGUAAUUUACAAGGAUUGAAAUACAUCCAUACACCUAAUAAGUUUCUCAGAUACUAUGCAGUCUUUCUGUGUCCCAAACCCCAGAGCUUUGCAUUUCAAAAACAGGGACUCCAGCAUCCUUUCAUGUUUUUAGAAUUUCAACCCAUGACAUUGCUACAAUAUUUUAGCAUAACUUUUAUGUCUAAAACAAUCUUAACUCAUGAUAUAUCUGCAUCUUUUCAUUGACUUAAAAGCCAAAGGGCCAACUCAUGCCCAUGUCACUUAAAUAGAAAGAAAAAAAAAAGAGCUGAUUUUCAUGUGGUGUCAGGAGUCAGUCAGCAGAUAUUGUAAUUAAGUAAACACUUGGCUUUAAAUAUAUGAACUGGAAAACUGAUCAUUUUCAUUAAAUGAGAAGAGUAUAGGUCAUAUCUGAAAGAGAUAGGGGCGGGUUUUCUUUGGAAAAGGAGAGGUCCAUGACAACCUUCAUGGAUCUUAGUAAAGGACGUCCAUUAUAGCACACAGAUACAUCUAAAGAAGAGCAUUCGCAAGGCCAGUGAAUUUCACAUUCCAAAUUUAGUUUGCAGGUGCAUGAAAAGGCUAAUAAGAUCAUGCUGAUGAGAUAGAAAACAAGUUUUUAAUUCUUUCCGGGUUUUAAUCCUAACAAGGUUGAAGUUGAAGACAGACGCAGACAAUUUCAAUCCAGCAUCAUAAAUGUCACAUCCUGCUGGUCAUUUUCAGAUACUACACUCAGGGCCAGGUUGCUAACUGACCUUCCAAAAUGGAUAGUCUUUAAACAUUCAAGCCACAUAUAUAGGAUUUAACUCCAACCAAAAGAAAAACAUGAAAAUCCUUUUAGCAAUUAAAGUUUUAGAUGUUGCAACAGCUAGCAAGUUGUUGCAAGGAGGGCCUCUGCUCUCUGGCAGCCUCUCCCCAGCUUGCUUGGUUGGUGCACAAACGAUUAUUUUGCAGUGUCAAGGAUGUUGCUGUUUCUGCCAACCAUGCUGCAGCAGCCAAAUCAAGGAUGGGGCAGUGAUGGAUUCCACCAGAAGUUCCCUAAACCAGUGGUCAUGAAUUACGGUAGUUAUAACAGAGGAAGGAGAAGAACAUUAUUGAGGCCUAAGGAUUCCAUGUAGAGUAGGGUUGCCCAUCCAAUGUAGGGAGAAAAGGAAGGAUAAAGAAGUUUUGAAUGAGCAUUAAGAUUUGAAACAUCUAAGUGGCAUGAUCUGAAAUGCAGAAAUUCAUUAGCUUCAAUUUUGAUACUGACUAGUGACUACCCAUAUAAUUUACCAAUAUAAAAGAACAUUUAUAUAACUAUGAUAUUUCAUACUGAAUAGGAAAAGAAAUUCCUGAUACUAUAUAUAUAUAGUGGGCACGUCUAUACCCAUCUUAAUUGGGUAAAGGCAUUUUAAAGUCGCAAGGACCUAAUAGGUUCAGAACAGAUAAAAUUUACAUGGGAGGGAGUACAUCUAUUACAAGUUAUAUCAAAGCUAAUCCAUGACAUGUUUUAAAACCGAAAGGGCUCAUCGGACCCAAAUCAGAUAAUAUCUGCAAGGGAAGAAGCAAGUUCUUACAAUAACACAUUAAGUUUUUUAGGCCUCCAGCCAUUCUCUGCACUUCGGUUACAAUCAAUAAUGUUUAAAGACCCAAAUGCAGUUUGCAGGAACUGGUUGAUGCAGGGAGUGGUCGGAAGUGGCUCCAAUAAUGACUUCUUCAAAAGCCAUUGGAAUGAAAUGAUGUAGGAUAUUUUUGGCAUUUUUUUUUAAUUUUUCGAAGGGAACAAAUGUAGGUGUCUCUUCCAUGUGUCAGUCAGCCUUUGCCUCCUCGCUUCCCUUCCAUAAGUCGCCUCAGCACAACUAGACUGCUUACAGACAAAAUUAUAAUAUGGACAACCAAUUCCUUAAAGCAGCCUAUGACCAAGCCUUUUGCUUCAAGUGCUCACGGGCACAAAUUAGUAUGCUUGUUUUCAGUAAUCUCAGCAGAGUCAAUCAGAGAAAAAAAAGAAAGAAAAAGAAUGGGGGAAUCCCAGCUGAGAGGUAAGAGGGGAAUACAGAUAAAAUAUCAAUAGAGCAAGAGAGGGGGGCCAACUUAUUGGGGAGGAAAAGGGGAUCAGCAUUUAUAAGGGGCAUGGACCACAUGACUCAUCUAGCCUUCAUAUGGAGCAACCAUUAAAUGACUUGCAACAUUACCUAUUAAUAAAACUCAUCACCAUCUAAUAAGAAAUGGACAACACCUUCCAGUUCAUCAACAGCAUUGCCAUAACAAGACUCCAAAUUUUGUACUUCAGUAAAGAAUUUGUAGGAUCUCGGUGAUUGUUCAAUUAAUAGAGUCUACAGGAAUGUUGUGGUUGGAGGAGUAAAACUAAUUGAAGGAGUUCACACCUGUUUACUAUCUAUGCCACUAGGAACCGUCUCCUUCAUGUUCACACCAUUAAUAGGAAAGCAAAGAGGAGCAGUUUGUUGCAAAAAAGGAGGCACACAAAAUACAAAUAAAGUAUGCUUGGAAUACUUCCUUGAUGUAAUCUUUUUUCUUUUCAUAGCAUAAUAUUCAAGAUUACAAAUCAUUGAAUCCUGGUCAAGAGCAUAAUUGGAGCCUGACCUAACACCACAAAUUCAACUUCCGCAGUAUUUUCUUUGGUCCCCAGCAGACAGCAGAUAUUCACAUUUUCUGCCUUCUCAUUAGGAUGGGGAUUUGGGGGUUUUCAGAAUACACCAAGUUAGAGAAGGAUUUCAUUUGGGAAUUCUUCUUCUUGCUUCCUCUUGGUAAAAAGGAUUGAGGUUUUGCAUUGUGAGGCUAGGUUUGAGAAUUUUUUUACAUACUCCAUCAGAGGAGAGGCUGCAGCAGGGCCCAAUUUUUUGUGAAACAUAUGCGACCAGCAAUAAGUCUCCUGCAAAGUGGGGGAAUGAAAUCUAGUGAAUCUCCAUGCAGAGAAAAAAAAAAGGGGUUUUAGUCAAUCAAAUGAACAAAAUGAACAGGCUCAACAGACAACAACAGGGUUUAUUGGACUGGGAAACCUUGUUACAGUCCUUGUGUUUCUUCAAACAGAUUAACAGGCAAAGAACAUUCUCUUGUCAAGCAACCGUAUGAUUUUCAUUUUGAUGCUGAAUUAAGAUCCGAAAUGCUACUGAAACCAAUAAUGAUGACAGCUUGGUCUUCCUCAGAUUAAUAAUAUGUACCAUUGACAAAAAGUAUUAUAAACAUGAACACAAAAUCAGCUACAAGAAGGAGAUGCAACUUAAUCAGAAGUUUGAUCAUACAAAUAGCAACACAAGCUGAACAACGAGGUUUGGACUGAAAAGGUCCGAACCACAUCCUAAUGUCUUUACACAAUAUAUGGUGAUAAAUACAAGAAAUUUACCUUCUAAAACUUUUUAUUUCUCAGUACAACUCUCAUCUCAUUUUUCUUUCAGUCUUCCUCUUCAUUGCAUCUCCUCUAAAACCAAAAUCAGCAACAUAUGAGCAAAUUCCAUAUUUGGGGGCUACACCAAUUUGAAUCACUCAUUGUUAGCCCUUCCCAAGGUGUCCAGACCCUCAGUUCGGCUGCGCACAAUCCUAUGGAACACUUCCCUCACUUGGCGCUCCAAGGGGUCCAAUCCUGCCUUUAUAGUUUGGCACACCUGCCCCAGCUCCUGCACUCUCUGUCUCACCUCAGCCUCCCUUUCCUCCGUUAAUGGGAAUUGAACUGAGUCUGCCAAUUCAUUCAUGUGUCGGGUGCAUUUCUCAAUCUGAUGAAUCUCCUUCAACAGCCCACAAGCAUUCCUCCGGUCCCUUCUCCGGGACUCCUCAAUAAUCCGAUCAUGCAGUGAUUGCAUCGGAGCCGCCCAACUGAAAUUCUUGGGAAUUGAAAAAUGAACCUGAAGCCCUCGAUCCUGGCACGGAAUCGCGGCCACAAGAGCCCACAUUACAAACAACAAAACCGAGCUCAUUGUGAAAACUGCCACCGCGAGUCCUCGAGAGGCAACAAUCUCAUUCGCCCUCGGCGCUGCCAAGUUGUUCCCAAUCGCCUGAAGCUGCCUCGCCGCAGACCACGACCGGGAAACGCUCCACGACAGCGACCUGAAGUGCCCCAAAGACCGGUGGUCGCGGCUGACGUUAUUCCGGCCGAAGGACCGGUUCCGAUGGGCCACGGAGACGCUGGAGUCCCUCUCGUCAAGCAUACCGAUCGCCAAAUCGAUCAAGGCCUUCUUGGCGCGGCGGAAUUGGCCCUCCCCGAGACUCCUCUGGUUGUCUAAAGCGCACGGCACAAUCUCCAGAAGCUUGUGCCAUUGGCGAAUAUGCUCAAUUCCGUCACGAAUCGCAUUACAAACAUCCAACGCCUUCACACUCCGCUCAAAGAACUCCCCAAUCAACCGAUCCAUCGGAGCUCUCCCCAAACUCGCUUUGUUAUUGAACAAAAUAACCCUAAAUUCCUCCUGACAGCAGAGGAACACAUCCAGAAGCUUCCUGACCCAGGACAACGACAGAAGCUCCGACGACCCCGAAGACACCUGCAGAAACCGGUCGGCUACCUGCCUCUGAAACGCCUCCAGCUCCACCUCCAAGCCGGUGACUUCAUGAGUCCCCUCCAUGGAAUGGACCUGAUCGCGUCGAAUGCUCAAGAUCGAACGGCCAAUGUUCGAGAACGGCGAUGAUGAACCCUGAAAGUCCGUAGCAGGCAUUAUCACAUUUACCCUCUCAACUCUACCUCUCUGCAGCCACCAACCACACUCUCAACACCCCUCCACCGCCAAAUCAAAAUCACCACUCAGCAAGACGAAGAUCACAACAACCCACAAAUCCAAACCCUAGCACACAAUUAUUGAGCUCCAGAGAGAGAACUUAGAGAGAGAAGAAGCAAGGCCGAUGGAUUGCGAAAACCCUAAGAGAGGGAGUGGAUUUUAUUAGGGGAUUUAAGACCGCGUUCUAUGGUUGUUGAAAUGGCCAAAAAUACGGAUUUAGAAAUUUCAAAAAAAAAAAAAAAAAAAAAAGCGUUUUUUGAGAGAAUAUUGUUUAAUUGAUUAAUUCCAAAUUUAGAGAGUAGGAAUAUGAGUGAAUCUACUUUUGUUUUACCCCUUUUUUAACCCCAAAACAGUGAACAUACUCACUCGCCCCUACGCGGUGCGAACACGCACCCCACACGUCCUCCCCACAUUUCACCCCCACAACUCCUCAUGCACUCCAUCUCAGCCGUCAAUUUAGAAUGCCUACGUGGAGAAACCUUGGAAUGUUCCAAAAUUUACCAUUUUUUUUUAUAUCAGUAUCAUCUUCUCCAUCCCUAACUUUCUCUAAAGAAAAAAUAUAUUAAAUAUGAUUUAUGACACGUACUAUUUAUCUAGACAUUGCAUUAAUUUGUAAUUUUUUUAAUAUAAAAGGGUAUAAUGGAGAUACAUAUUUUUUAAUUAUUUUUAAUCAUUAUGGGAUUCUGGAAAAUUAGAAUAAUGAGGGACCUAGUGACACGUGUCGAUGUGAUGGGUAUUAUGGAUGGGGUUGACCACGUGUACAAGAACCUUUGAUCGAUUUGAUUGGUGAGUUCACACAGCAGUGAGGCGUGUGUAGAAGCAGUCAUUCGUGAUGUGGCCGAGUGGGAGAAAGCGAUACACGUGGACGUUACAGCUGGGUCUUCGUUGGCGCGUAUUCCUUGCAUGAUAGGUAGUGAGGGACUCGGUCCUCAAUUCUUCUGGAAGUGUAGAAGGAUGACGUCGCGCUUAUUAUUAUAUUUUGUGUUAUUUGACCAGACUACCCCUGUCUAUUGACGCCGUCAGCAGUCAGCAAAAAGAAUUUUGACGGCUCUCGAGGCCUGGAACCAGCACGCCAAUUAUUAUAGAUAAUUUGGAACCAGCAAGCUAAUAAUUCAGGGUUUAAGCUAUAGAUCGAUCCAAACCAACUAAAAUCCAUAUAUAUGGUUUGAAAAUUUUAAAAAUCGAUUUUAUCGAUUUAAGACCUAAUAUAAACUUAAAUUAAUGAGAUUUUAGUUCAAAAUAAAAGUAAAUCUACAAUUAGAUUUAUAAUUAAAAAAAUAUUAAAUUAGAUAAAAAUCAAUUUACAAAAAUCAGUUCAAAUUGACCUCAAAAACUUAAUUUGAUUUGAUUUUUUGACUUCAAAUAUGAUUUAUUUAAAUAUCGAUUCAAUUAAUUUUUUAUUCAAAAACUAAUUGGAUUGACCUUAUUUAUACUAUUAUUAAUAAUAAAAUUUAUGUUGUCAAGUCUGAAAAGAUGAUGUCGCAUGUGAAUAAUCAUGUCAUCAUAUUUUGAAAUAAUUUAAAAUUUUAGAGGUUGGAAUUUAUAAAUAAUUGUCCACGUCAAAUAAAUUGGGAAAAAUACGUGAAAAUACAAUUUUUCUUUUUCUUUCUUUCUCCCUUUUUCAAAAAAAAAAAAUAAAAUAAAAAUUUCUUAUUUUCCAUUUUUAAAAUAAAAAAUUUAUAUACAAAUAGAAUAUUUUAUUAAAAAUAUAUCUAGAUUUAAUUUAUUUCUUUAAAAUUUUAAAUUUUAAAAUAGUAAGAUUUUGUUCUUGCUUCAGUUAGAACAUUUAAGUUUUUUUGAGACAUUUUGAUAAAAGUGUAGUUAAUCUUUUUUAUAGAACAAAAGACUCAUAAUUACAUUUUAAAAUUUUCAUAAUUUUGGGAGGUUCAAUCAUCUUCAAGGCAUAAUAUUUAGAAUGCUCAUUAAAUAAAUAAUUUAAUAAAAAAUCUGAGAUGGAAUUGACAUUGAUCCAUCCAUUCGAUCCAAGAUCUUAGAAUUGAAAUAAGUUCGACAAUGAGACAUAAAAUCCUAGUCAUUUUCUCUAUUUAAUGAAUGAGGAGUCCAAUUUGAAAUUGUCCUUUUUACAUCCACCACUCGAGCAUCCACUUUAAUACGAAUCACAUAACAAUAGAUUGAUACAAUAUAAAUCUUUGAUAAAAUUCCUAUUACUAAUAACAUAUUCAACCAAAAUCAAUAUAUUUUUUUGUUUUACACCCGUAAUUCUUUCUUAGCUGGAUUUGGCAGAAUAUCAAAGCAAGUACUAGCACUAGUAGUAUAACAAAAAUGCUUUCCUCGUCAUUAAUACGUUUGCCCGUCCAAAUUAAAUAUCCAUUUUUUUUUUGUCUUGAACCGAUCUAUUUCAUGACGAAGAUCAACCCGACAAAACAAAAGUUUAUAAGAGAAUCUUACUUUUUUAAAAUUUGUCUAAUAAAAUAAACAAAUCUUCACGUGUGAAUUACUAUUCCAGUAUUCCUGAACCCAUUAAAAAAAUAUCAUACAAGGUGCUGCUUAUGCAUUAUCUUGUCCCAACUGACCCUAAGAAAAGAAAUAAAUAAAUAAAAUAAAAAUCUUCAACUUUGAAGAAAUUUCAACAAAGUGGGAUAAUAAUACUAGAGAAAUACGCAAACAAAAAUAUUAGAAGAAAAUAAAAUCUUCCAAAUAAACCAUCAACAUCAGGGCAUAAAGUAUUUCAUUGAACUGAAAGAAGAAGGGCCCACAUCCCUCAACUUGUGGUCCUUAUAUUAUGAAGUAGAGAUAAAUAUAUGAAUAUGAAUAUGACAUAUAGUAUAAUACAAAUCCAUGGCCUACGUGGGACAAUGUGAAAUCAAUUAGCUUUUGGCUCUUUCCACACGCCUCUUUUCCACAAUUAGAUAGAGGGGAUAUGUCCUUAGCCUAUGCAGCAAGAAACCCAAUUCUAUUUCACAAAGUAUGAAAAUAAUUUUCACACAUGUUCAAGGUUGGACCAAAAAUAUACACUAAUAAAUUGGCCCUUUUAACCCAUGGGUGGUGGGUUGAAACUUGGGACUCAAGCCUCUUUUCACGUCUCAACCUUUCGAGAGUGGGGUACCCACUUGAUUUUGUAUUUUUGUGUUUGUGGGGUUCUUGUAGGGUAUUGGGGUCAAAUUAUUGGGCCACUGUCCCACAGUGUGGGGAUACUUUUUCUCUUCAAUUUGCAUCAACUUUGAUCUUGUUCUCAGAAUGCAGGGCAAUGGAGGAGGUGAAUUGAAUAUUCAAACUUGGGUGUUGGGGUUUUGGAACUGGGAAAACAGGAAAAAUGAAAAUGAAAAUGAAAAUGAGAUUAUUUGAUGGGGACAUGAGUGUUUGGCAAUCCAGAAAAUAAGGGAGAUAGGGCAUUUUAGUUAUUGCCUAUAAGAUAAUCUUUAAAGGCAGUUGGUGAGACGUUAUUCUAUGGAUUAAACUUGGUGACCUCAACAAUGAUGGGACCCUUUUUUCUUAGGUCUCCUAACAUGACCAACCAAACCCCACACCCACAUCCAAUUUUUCUUUUUUUCUUUUAUGCCCUACAUAAUUCAUUACCACGAAUUUUGACCUUAACUUUGAACCAUUCAUCAAAAUUUGAAACACCCAAAACAGGACCACAAGAUUAGGGCAAGCUCACACAGCCCCAUCCCCAGUUUACCUUGGAGACCCACAAGAAUCCUCCGCCUUAGAGGACAGUGGGAUGCAAUUUAAGUUGUUGGCAUUGAAUAGUGUGUGCUGUACACAGCUCAUUCCAAAAGGCUUUCACUGGCCGUUUCCAAUUAAUUGCACUUUCCUUUGGGAAUGAAAACCACUGGUCCAAUUUCAUGGGGUAUCAUGGUUUUUUUUUUUUGGUGGGUUGAGAAGUGAUGGAAGUUUGUGAAAGAUUGGGCCAUGUCAAAGCUAGGAUACAACCAAAUUUUCUAGAGAAAGCCAAAAUGUUCCUCCAUGCAGAGAAAAUUCUGCUGAUUGAAUAAUCAUACUAGCUGAAUUAACCAAAUGGUGAUGGAUUCAUGACCAAAAUUUUCCAGAAAUGCAUAAUAAGAAAAGUAACAUGUGAACAAAAAGAGCCGUGAGAAAGGCUAAAUACAUAGGAGUUUGUUUAAGAAUGAUUUUGAUUAAAAAAACUUUUAGUUUGUAGCGUUUUUCAAAAAUGAUUUUUGAAAGAAUCGCCUAUCAAUGAUUCAUUAGAAAUCGCUUUUAACGAUUCUUUAGAUUUUUAAAAGUUUAUCAAACACCUAAUUUCUACAAGAAAACACUUCCAAAUAUUAUAAAACGCUUUUAACACUUCCAAAAUCACCCCCAAAUGGACUUUAAAUUUCUUACCGGAAACUCUGGCUGGAAGUCCCAGUUACCCCCGUGCCAAAGCAUUAUCAAAUCCUGUUUAUAAUGAGUGAAAAACUCAAGGAUUAGAACAAAAUCAAGUGGCUCCUAUAGCACUAGUUCAGUGGUUCACCUGGUUUUCAAGUGGGGCAAUAUGUUCUGUAUCACAAGCAAAACUCGAAAACCCUUAUAAUACAAAUCACAAAAGAUGUGUAAUCUUCAAUGCAUUGAGCCCCACAAGGUGGUCAAACCCCACAAAUGAGGCUGAUGCUGAAUUGCAGGAAACUGAAUGCAUAAAACAACAAUUUUAAUUUUUCCUAGAAGAAUGGAUUAUAAUUAUUAAAUAAACAGCUUGACCAGAGCUUGGGUGUCCACUUGACCUUGAUGAAGGCGGCUUUUGACUUUAACUGGCUUCUUUGACAUUGAAUUCUUGGGAAAGUUGGAAGCAGCUUCAAAGUUAAGAAGACGGUCGAGGAUUAGGGCAAUCCAUUAGGGGAACCUUCCAGAGCAUCUACUUUGUUCUCCUUUGCUUCAACAUCAGCCACAAAGAUGCUACCUGAAUCGCACCACCCACCUAAGACAUCUCUGUUGGGGCACUGCAGAUGAUACAUUUAGACAUGAUUAGCACAGUAAACUGAGAGAUGACCAAGGCAGUUCUCAUAUUAGUAGCACAACAGGAUGCGGUGGUAUCAAGUCUAUGGAUUACUUGUACAGGUCAAUUCAGUGUUACCUGGGAACCAACACCAUGCUCCUUGGGACAAUCUUAGUUCUGGGUCAAAUCCCUGGGUGACAGACCCGUGUGGAGAACCAAGCUAUGAUAUAUUUAAUUGAAUUGUAUAAAUGUACAACCACCAAAAGAAGGGAGUGCAUAAACUAUUAUUAAUUAUAACAUUGUAUUCUUCAGUAAUAUCACAUGCCUGCAUCCAUGAGUGUGCAUUAUAAUUAAUAUUAAAAGAAAAUCAAAAAUCUGAUAUAUUGUUAGUCAUCAUUACAUUAUAUGGUUCCUGUACAAUCAGUAAUGAAACAAAUAACAGGAUGGAUUUUAAAACUCCCAAACCAAAAAUCAGUGUUAACCCAAAGCCCUUUAGAUUGGUUUAGUACUUUCCAUCAUUUUAUUUGGACUGACAAAGAGAGAAAAGUGUAGCUAGUUCAAUUUUAGGCUCUAGCUGAACAAAGCCAAGACAAGAGUAAAAUGUAAACCUAGUAUUUGACCCUUCAAAUGAGCCAAAAGUUGCACUUGGGCCCAUAAUGACCUGCCAUGUGCAGCCUGUAAGUUUGUGCAUGUGAAUGUUGUUCAACCACACUUUCAUAGAGUAUUUGUGGAUAAGAAAAUCUUACCUUACUGAAUCCAAGCCAGUUUGAAUCUCCUCUAAAUGAAAAUACCUUCUUAUUUUCAUUCCAUUGUCCACAAAAGACCUACAAAUGUAUGCUUGUUAGUCCGAAAGUGGUAGAAAGUUUUCUAUUCAGAAGAUACUCCACAUGACAGGUUUUAGACAAGACACACCACUUGAGCUCUCCAUUAUACAAAGCCAGUUUGCUAAAUACUUGGAAGAAAAGAUAUAUAUGUUAUAAUAAAGCAAUAAUGUAAGUCUUGGAUAAGAAACUAUAAUGCAGUGGAAGUCUAGAAUGCCCCUAUGAACAAUCCUAUAUUCCAAUAAAUACGAAUGUAAAAUAGAAUGCCCAAAUGGGGUGAUGCCCUAUACAAGUUACAUCAUUUAGGUGUUAUAACAAUGAGCUGAAGGCAAAAUGACACUAAAAUUAUCACGUGCACAACGCAUUCAUAGUUUCCAUUACUUUGAUCAAUGGCAUGUUGAUGGAAAAGGUAUUAGAAACAGAGAAAAUAGUCCAACAGGUAUCUAGCGAGUUUGGAACUUCAAAGCUCCAACUCCAAAUGGGCCAUUCACCCCACCAUUCCUCUCCCCCUCUCUUGGAGGAGGCAUGGGGGAACUGUUCCCCAAGUGGGGGUGUUGUUGUUUGUUAAGCAGUGCAAUUAACACUAAUUAAAAUAACUCAAAUUGCUACAUAUAGCUGAAGAGAGAGAGGAUAAAAAAAAAAAGAGAGAUUUUAUUAAAACAGUGUAAAGAGCAAGGAAUAGCUCAUCUGAACCUGAAGUAUUAAUCAAAAGGAAAAAUACAUCAGUCCUGUGAUUUAAGAAGUAAGCACCUCAUAAUCAACCCCUUGUAUGUAGAUGUAAUCAGGGUCACUUGAUGAGAAAGCAAGUCCAGUUAUCUGCAGUAUUAACAAAUGUGAUUAAGUCUAACUGUAAUAUAAGACCUAGACAUAUGUUUGUAAACCUUUAGUAGCUUAAAUAAAAAUGUGGAAAUCCAUCAACUAGCAGAAUGGUAACACCAAUGUUAGCAGAUGAAUGCUUUUUAUCACGAAACCUUCUUGCUCCCAAGAAUUUCCAUCAGAUUCUCUUAAGUCUCAAAGAAAACUACAAUCCCAUCGUUGUUCUUGUCCUAUCACCAGCGGCAUGCAUUUGACCUUAAAAAAAUGUUUUUGUGUGGGAAGGAUACAGAGAUGGCUCAUAAAUCCAUUUAUUUGGCCAAUAAAAGAGAGACGUGCAUUUGUGGCAAACAUGAAACAUAAGAUCUAGCCUCUAGGCACUGCAAGAGAAUCAGAGAUUGAUACAUCUCUAUUGGUGCACACUCCACUGCACAAUUCAAUUAAAAUCAAAACUUGCCAAGACCAGAACAACUUAGUGACAGAUGAAUUUGGAACAUCUGUUGGAAAGAGGGAAGGAAAAAAAGGUCACCAUCUAAAUAAUGUGGCAAAAUAAGGUGAUACAAAAUCAGACACUAUGCUACUCUUUUUCUCUAACAUAGAACAUGAAAAGAUCAUUAUAAGCAUCAGAAGUCAACUUCAUGCAAAAAAAUCUAUUGUUUCAUCAACCAUUUUAAUUACAAUCCACGUACGAAUGGGAAAAAAAAUGUGGGGGUGGGGGACGGGAGGGGGGUAGUCAUAGAGUUUUGAGGACAUAAAUUUGAUAUUGUCGCAAAUUCAAACCAAAAACUAGAAAAUCACUUCUUCCACUUAACAAAUUAGAAAAACUACACAACUCCUAAAUAAAUGUUGAAAAAAAUAGAUCCCAUAAAAAAAUUUAUAUCAUAUUUUCAUGUUAGACAUGUAACUUUGAAAAUAUAGUAUGUUUUGAUUGAGAAACCAGAUCAUUUGGACAACUGAAGGGGAAAGUUGAUCUUCCACAAACAAGAAUUUAGCUCCAGCAAAAAUGACACACUCUAAGUGACAAAACAUGUCUGGACAAGCAAUACCUAUUUUUAACAGUAAUUCAUAGUUUGACUCUAAUUUGAAUGGCAAAUAACUAAAACUGUUCAUGAAAAGUCCAAAUAAUUUUACAAUUUUAAAAAGAAAAAACAAAUGAGGAGUCUAACAAGGAGAAUGGAGAUGAAAUCAUAAAGAUCUAAACUGACCUCAUAUUUUGAGCAAUGCACCCAUCUUGAUAAUGCUGACCAUCUGCUCUCAGGACAUAAUCACCAAAUCAGAGUCUGCCUCUGUGCAAUUCACACUUAAAUUAUCUAUUUCUAUUCCCCUGUUUUUAUUUAAAGCCAUGCCAUGGAGACAAACCUGCGAGGAUCAUAGAUGGUAACAGUACGGUCAGCACCACCCACUGCAAUACUACCAGUUGAAGAACUAGUGACAGCAUAGAAGAUAUCUCCAAGGGGACCACAAAUUCGAUGCACACAACCGCCAUUCUCUUUCAUUCUUAAGUCCCAUAUUGUCAGCUGCACUAAUCACAAAAGAUGAAGAGGAGACACAUGAGAGUAGGAGCUAAGAGAUUUUAUUUAUCACAUGAACAUACCUGAAAUGUAUAUCAGCACAAAGCGGGUACCUGACAGCCUUCAGUGACAGCUAAUAUAGAUCUUUCAUUCCCAUUACUUAAGUUUUGCAUAAAGUCCAAUGAAGAUGGAUACCACAACCUGAAAGAAGUUAUUUUAGGAAUAAAGAGUACCCAAAAGAAAGUAACAGGCACAAACGAUCCAAAUGGAUUUAAGGAACUAGAAUUCAUUGAGGCUGAGUACUGCUGUAUAUGAUUACACAUAAAAUUAACUAGUGUAAAAGAAGUCCAUAAAAGAUGUGCAAGAAAUAGAGAAAUAAAAUGUGGCAUGCAUUAAUGCAGACAUUGUUUCUUGCUAGAAUUACUGAAUAACUGAAAAACAAGGGCUCCUAAGAGGAAAAAAAUUAAGUGUUUCUUUUGCCACCAUCUGUCCUUUCCAAUUCCUGAAAUUUAUGGGGAUACAAUUUCUCAUGUACAGUUAAGGAAAAACUGAACUAGAAAACCAAUGGAUAUUUAAAAAUAAGAAAAAAUAAAAACUCUCUGCCUCUUCACUUAAAUUAUUUUUCACAGGAUGUUUCUCAACAAUCCCUAAAUUUUUUUUCCUGAAAUUAUUUAAUUUAGCCAUCAUAGCAGACCAUCUAACUGUACUACAGGGACAAAUUAGUCAUUGCAAUGGAAAAGUACUUUUUUCCAAAACAUGGUGAUCUGGUUAAUAAUUGCAUAAAAUAAAAAUGAACAAAAAGAAAAAGAAAGAAAACCUAAGUCCAGAGGAUAUGUGCCCUCAUUCAUUAUUCUAGACCCUUUCCCAUUCUUAUCCAACCUCUUGCUAUCUAAUCCAGAACUCAGGAGCAUAAAAAAAUACAUGGCAAUGGUGUGAAAAGAGAACAACAGCAAUUCAUACCAUGAACAAACAUCAGAAACUAUCAAGCGUUAAUGGAAUAAACCAUUCUUUUUUGCAAAGUCAUCAUUUCAAGCCAUAAGCUUGACUGCAAUACUUCACUUCCAACCUGAAUUUUAGUGGGCAUUUGUCAAAUAUUAGGUUAAAAAACCUCAACCUAACCUUAAUUCAAGUUGAGCUCUAGCUGAAGUGACAGGCAACCCAACCCAAUCAACACUCUAUGAUGCACAUAAUUGUGUGUUUUACUACUUGAUUGGCUGGUAGUACUCCUGGAAAGAAUGUGUAAUCAUAGCCAAGUUUAGGUUGAGAAACAGAAAACUUGCAUUGAGAAACAGAAGCCCUAGAGUUCAAGCAUGUGCACCUCUCCAUCUCUCCCAUCUUGCUCCAACUUUAACUUCAAUAAAUCCUUAAGUUAAAUAAAAUAUUUCUAGUUUAGUUAUGAUUUCAGCUCGACUCUUCCUCCCUUUUCAUUAUUCUGAUCUGGUCCAAUUUUCCCUUUAAAGAUAUUUGGAGUGUAUUGGUUUCUUAUUCUGGCAAUCUUAAACUCUUUCAAUGAUUGUCAAGAAAGCAAAUGAAAACAAGUGAAAUAGGCAUGUUUUGAUUUCAACCUGACCAAACCCUGACAGCACAAACAAAGGAAAAUGAUCCCAGGCAGGGCACCUAAGGUUGAAAGUCUGGUCAGUUCAGGCUUCAUGAAGGGGGAGCAUGGAGCCAGUUAGCACUUAGAUUGGCUUUCAACCCUGCUCAGCCCACCCCAGUUAGAGCCCUAGCCAUGAGGAAGUUCCUUACUCUAUUUCAAUCAUUCAGAUGACACUCAAGCACAAAAUCAUUAAGGUUUGAAAUCAUAUAAUACCAGUUUAAAAUAGAAAGCAAAAGAAUUGAUGUACAACGGAAAAUAUCAAAUACAUUCCCCUUGUCAGUAAAAUCAUCCAGAAUUGAUGGCUAAACAAGUCAAUUAGUUUGGAUCAUAGUUGUUUCCAAUUUCCAAACCAAACCCCUUUAGAUGGCAUACCACCAUACAGAAGCAGCAAAUGACAUAAAUUUGAAACAAUCAUGCAAACAUAUGAGCAGUAACAGAUAAAAGAUGGUUAUUUAUAUAAGAUUUUAACUGUUUCUUCUUCUCAAGUUGCACUUGUCAUACUAAAAUCAAAGAUAAUAACAGCAAUUGAAAGAAGAAAAAGACUGAAAUAAUAUACUGUAAAAAAAAGGAACGAAAUAAACAUCAGCAUCACUUACGUACGUAGAGUCCGAAGAUGAAUAUCUUGGUCAUAGACAUCAAUGCUUUUACAGAAGCUACGUGCUACAGCAGCCUGGAAUAUGAGCUGGUCAAUACUAUAGUAAGCAAGCUCUAUCCUGGUGUUAAAAAAAAAGUUUGAAAAGACCAUUUUCCAUUUAAAAAUAAAAAAUAAAAAUACAGGCCAAAGGAAGAGAGAGAGAGAGGGGUGGGGGGGCAGGGGGGAGAGGGAGAGGGAGAAAAGCUAAACAUUUGGAUACCAAAAAGGAGAAAGAACAAGAGCUUGUUUCUCCUCGAAGUAUGUUAAGAAGAAAUCGAUGAUUCACAAUUUUGAGCCCUCUAAUAUUAAUAAAAUUGGUAGUGAAUACCUAAAAUACAUGAGUCAUUGGCUCAUUCAUGACUUCCUCUAAGUUUCUCACAACAUUUUUUAGUACAGCCUGAAUGGUGCCUUUCAUGGUCAGUGUCUAACACUUCUUUCCAAAAUUUGAUUGUAAGUGUUUAUAAAUAUAUUGUUCCAAUAACAACUUUAAUGGAAUGACAAGAACAAUUUGCAUGGUACAUAAGAAACAAUUAGUAAAUUGAAAAUCGUCGUUAAGUAUUAAAAUGAACUAUGAAUAUUGACAUUUUUUAAAAUCCUUCUGAUGAAGUGUGACACCUAGGGUUACAAAAUUGAAAAACAUAUGCCACUAUGUGAACAUGUAGGGACAUAGGAGAAGAAUUAAAACCCAAAAGCUCAAUUUCAUAAUAUCAGAUAGUUGUCAAGAAUCUUCAUCAGGAUUUGAAUUAGAAAUAGAAAAUUUAAAUAAUAUAGGGAGGACAAUGCUUUGUAAUAUUGAGACUCUUAAUGCAAUAACAAUUGAUCAAAAUUUACUACUAGAAAUAUAGAUAAAAUAGAAAACCCAACCAUAUAAAGGGAGUAUAUAACAAAGCUUCUAAACCUUUGCCAACAAGAAUUACAAGAUAAUAAGCUAGAUCAAGAAACCUAUAAUUUAAAAAUGAUAGUGGGAAUAUUUGAAAAGGAAAAAACUCAUCCAAUGACACUUCAAGAUUUACAAUGCAAUAAAGAAAAUAAAAAAAGAAUUAAAAAAAAUUACAAGAAGAAAAUUAUCAAAUUAAUUCAAAACUUUUAAAGCUUAGAUUAGAUAAUUCUUACAAAUCUCAAGAAGAAUCACCAGAAAUUUGAAAAGCCAGUGAGAAUGAAAAGGAAGAAACUAUAUUCUUAAAUCAAAUAUCAAGAAUACAUAUCCAUAAAUGGCAUGUAAUUGUCAAUAUUAUGAUAUAAGACUGAAUUAAGAACUCUAGCCAUGUUAGAUUCAGGAGUUGAUCUCAAUGGUAUUCAAGAAUGAUUGAUACCCACUCAAUACUAUGAAAAGACUAUUGAACAAUCACAUAGAGCAAAUUCUCAAAAAUUAAAAAUAGAUUACAAAAUUUCAGGAGCUCAUAUUUGUAAUAAAAAAUUUUGCUUCAAAACUACAAUAAAAGACUUCAACUAAUUGAUAUUUUUUAUUUCUUAUGUUUGUUUUACAAUGUAUAAAAUAACAAAGACAUGGAAAUUCAGUGUAACCUGGUAAUAAAAAUAAAAAUGACCCUUUUAAAAAACAUUCUCACUACUGGAAAAGACAAACAAUGAGCAUAUCUAUUUAUUCAUUAUUUUAAGUGUUUGCAUUAUUAAAAUAGAAAAAAUAGCAUUAGAAUGUGCUAAUUGUUGAAGAAAUAUUUUCAAAAACAAUUUUAGAAAAGGUUCUAUGAAUUAUUAUUUUUGGGUGAUUUUCAUUUCUUUUUUGUUUUUGAAAUCGGAAAACCAUUUUCAUUUUUGUUACAAAAACAGUUUUUUUAAGAGAGUACACGUUUAUCUAGAGGAACUACUUAUCAAAAAAGAAGUUUAUCUAGAGGAAGAACAUAAUGGUUAAAAGAGAAAAUGACAUAAUUAUUAUAACUAACACAUUUAAAAAUAAAAGUACUAUUUAAAAAUAAAAUGAAUGAGUGAGAAGAAAAAUAUGAAAGAAUGUAUUAUUAUUAUUUUUACAAGUGACCAAAAAUAGGAAGAAGUGGGGAACCAUGAAAAAGAUUUUCAGGGCCCAUCUGCCACUAUCUUAUCCAAAAUGGUCCAUAGUGAAUUAUGGCAUUUUUUCUUAAUGAAAUUUCAAUAUGUGAUUCCCAGCUCAGAAUAUACCAAUUGUUACAACCAGAAAAAUUAGUUCCAAUACAUUAGCAUCAAAUAUAUUGAAAAUAAUUAAAAAGUUAUAUCAAGACCAAGACAAGUUAUAUAUCAAUAACAGUAAGCUAUGAUAGUUCCUACUUAUCAACUUAUGGACCACCAUCAGCAAGGCAUUAGAAUAAACCAAAUAAAAUAUCUAGAAAAACUAAACUAGUUCACUGGCAAGAAACUAGGUACCAUGGACCAUUGACUUGGACUGAAGCAGAGCCCUGCCCAACUACCCUCUCCAACACCACAAUCCCGAGGCAAUACUGAAAGUGUAACCCUGUUAACAUCUGAACAAUGAAAUGACAGAUUCAUAAGUCUCUUCUUCCAUUCAAAAUCCCAAAUCCAGCAUUAGAUCUGAAAUAAAAGACUGCCAGAAAACUCAAUGUGCAAAUUGGUUUUGUUGUUCUGCUGUAAUUUUUUCUCGCAUUAUAUGAGUCCUCAAUUCCCUAAAAAUCAACUAAACCAUUUAUCACAGAGAAUUGCUUGAUACAAGAAAGAAGUAUAACAUAGUAAAAUUAUCCAAGAUAGUGAGACAGCUAGAGGUGACAUUUGGACUCUGAAGAAACCAGGCUGGCUCUUAGAUUAAUCACAAAUCACCAACAACAUAUAAUUAAGCACAAAAGCAAUCAAAGUGGAAGUGGGAACCACCAUCAUACCUGUCACAUCUGGGGGUUCCACCAAAAUGAACAAUGAUUUGAUGACCAUAAACAUUCAUUUUUUUCUUUCUUUUUUGUUUGAUAGUCAAACAAAGCAAAUCUAUUAAAAGAGCACCAUAGCAUCUAAAUAUAAAUAUAAAGUUGUCAACCUCAGAACUGAAAUUCACAGACUAAAAAUUCCUUUUGAUUGUUCUUGGUGUAAAGGAGGUGGAAUGACCACUUGAUACAGGUCCCACCUGCCUGCAUCAACUAUUACCAGUGCUUGCUGCCAGUAAUCAACAAACUUAUCCUACCCAAAGUCACAACCAAUGUUUUCUUUUCUUGCUUUUGGGUUAGACAAUGUAUAUAUGCAAAAAAAAAACUUGGGGAAAGGAGUAAAAUUAUUUAAAAAAAAAAAAAGAAAAAAAGAAAAAAAACCAAAAAGACAAACAGUCCUCGAUCCUUCCUCCCCUUAGUAAAAAGUUUGAAAAGGAGAAGGGCCAUAAAAGCCACUGACAGAUUCAAGUGAGAGCACAAAAAAUACUGUAUAAAAACCCCUCUGAAAUCUUGAUUAAAAUUUACAAUGGCAUCAUGCAAAAGAAAAUAAAGACUACAGGUACCUUUACUACUAGGAUCCAAUUGAGAUACAAUAAGAUGACCAUAAGAAUCCACGCUUCCCAAAAUUAAGCAGUCAGGACCUGCAAACAUUGCAUAAAUCUGUUAAACAAGUAUGAAAAUCACAUAGAUGUAAUGGCUACCACAUUGAGAUUCUUGAAAGAAUGACAAAUGCAAUGACAGAGAAGAGUCACACAGCCUUGGAUAGAAACAAUAUCAAUCAACUCCCAAAAUAACAUGUUCCUCAUUAAGAUGAAUUCCAUUUGUUCUUUUAAUGGCUUUUAGCAACCAAAUGUUUCCAGUGUCUCAAUGUGCAUCUGGCACUACAUUUAAUUAAGACGACACAAAUACAACCUUUUGCAAAGGAUAAACAGAGAAAAAAUGAAAGAGAACAAAUAUAGAGCACACAUGUCAAAGAUUGAGAGAAAUUCAAGAAGUAUGUGGGGUGGAAUGCUUCAGCCUCAAUAGAAGUGCCGAUUUGCAUUACCACCCUUGAUUUAAAAAUAUCAUUGUACUCUCCCACUCUUGACAAUUAAGUGAAUAUUUAAGCUUGUCACUCUUGAUUAAAUCUUGUUACCUGGUGAAACUCCACAAAUAUUCUUAAGACAAGACUCCAGCAUAUUUUCUUCAUGAGACACAAUGACAUAAUUUUCCCAUUUAUUGCAUCUCUCUCUUGGAGUUUUUAAUAUCCUGCACAAGUAACUGUUGGGUUUUUACAGCCUUUUUCAAUACUAACAUCUCAACUUCAUGCACUUGAGAACCAAUAACCACACUGAUGGAAGAACACCUUAAAGCCCUUAUAUCCUUCUACAUAAAUUUUUGUGAAGUUCUUGAAAUAUUCACCUGCUAUCCACUCACAUACCUAUAUAAUUAAAAAUAAAUAAAUAAGCAAAAAAAUAAAUCAUUAAGUUUCUAGAUACCUCAAAUUGCAACACAUGGUUUUGCCAUUAUUUGGAUCAGAGCUUGAAUUUUCACACAAUGUCCGUGGUGGAGGCUAUUACCAUGAUAAAAUGACUAAUAAAAGAGAUGAAGCUAUUAACAGUCUUGCCGAAUUGGAGACCUGAAUGAAUUGAGUCUAAACCAACAGAUAUUGAAAUGUAAAGAAGAUUAAGGAUGCCUAAUGCCAAAUCAUAGUCCUUGGAACAAUCAGGCCAAAUCAGCUAUAAGCCGGGUUGCAAACUCCUAAUCCUAGAGUAUCAAUACAGGAAGAUUACAAUCAGGUGUUAAAUGAUGCAGGCAUGAUGAUGAUAAGCCACGAAGGGUUGACAAGAAGAAAAAAUACAUCAAAAGGCUUUACCCACAGUCAAAAAAAAAUAUCAAGUUUGCAUUUCAAUAAACUUUUUGCAACACAAUAUAGACAGGUGAGGACGAUAGACAAGGUCUUGGCCAUUCCAGAAUGGAGGCUUUGGGCUGAAACUCAGAGAGAGAAAGAAUAGCUCCUACCUGUUUGGGGUAGGUGUUGCAUGCUAAUAUAGGCUAAAGAUGAAGCAACAGUUGAUGCAAUCUUUGACUAUAUUGAAAGAAUCACCUCGUCCAUGUUGAAGAAAACUCACAAUAGUCAUGUGUGAGUGUUUAGCUAGGUUGGCAAUUCUGGACAAAAUUCCUAAGUGUCUCUUAACUCGAGUGUCUGAAUCCUUCCUCAAACUAUUUCCAUAAUGAAGAUCAAGAUGUUGAAUUUGCUAAGAGACCAACGUAUGUAUGUAGUUGAGGUUGUAGAUGGAUAAAAUUGAAUCAAAAAAGUUUUUCAAAUUGUUGUUUUUCUUAAAAUAUUUUUUUAAGGAGUUAGGGAGGCUUGGGAAGCAUUUUUUUUUUUUUUACUAAGUAAUUAAAUGCCCUAUUCCAUAAUUGAUCCAGAUUUGGGUCAAAACGAUCCAAGUUGUUUUUUCAUAAUGUUAUCUUAACCGUUGGAUCAAGGGCUUCUUUCACUGAAAAACCUAAAAAUCAUUUCUUGUAAAAAAUAGAAACACCUGCAGUUGUUCCCCUCUUGAGCUUUCUUUUCUUAACAAAUUAGGGCGUUUGAUCGUUGAGAAAAUCCCUUUUUCAUCUUAAUUUCCAAAUAGAUUUUCAUUGGAUUUUCUUAAAAAAUGGGUUAAGUCUUCCCAUUCAUUCAUCUCUUAAUUUCUUAUCUAUUUGGAUUUGGGUGAAAACCCAUUUUUUGCUUGAUUAAGCUUCAAGAAAAGACAAAAUAAAGCUUGGUGAGGACUCCAAGUAUGUUCCGAAAGAUGAAGACAUGCGACAAAAGUGAGAAGGUGUUGGUCAAGUAGUCCGUGAAGGCAUAGUGGACUUGAGUUAGGUAAAUCAUUGUAUACAUUGAUUGUUAUUCAUAGAGGAAUUUUUAUCGUUGGUAUGCCUGUGGUUUUUGAUCUCUUAGGAUAUUUUCCACGUAAAAUCUAGUGUCAUUCUCUCUUGCUCUAAUUCUACUCUUUGAUUUAUCUCCAAUUUAUGAUAUUCUCUGUUACUAAAGCAUGUUUGUUGAAAGAAUGAAAUAUGACCAGAAAUUGGUGUAAUUUCUUGAAUAAUUUUUCUGUUCUAAUUGUUAAUGAUAUCAAGCAGUAGACGUAUUAGGGAGAUAAUCGUUCUUAUGAAUUAGUGUUAGGGAGUGUUGAAACAUUUGCAUGUGACUUGCAUUUAUAAAUUGUUGGGAGGGUGUUGUUGCAUUCAUGCUUGCUUGUGAUUUUUAUCCUUUGUUGAAUAGUUGUUGGAAGAGAGGAAUAUAAAUUGUAACGAUUCAAAGGAAAAUAUAAUAUAUGUUGGACCUUUUUGAAUUUGUUCAAAAAAACAUGUAUUCACCCCUUGUCAACCCCCCUGCUUCCCUCCCUCUUCUCUAGGUGCAGUUCAUCAUUGAGAUUCACAUUCAUCAUGAAAACAAAGCUCCUAAUAAAUAGAUAGACAUUAUUACAAGAAACUGCAUCACAUAUUCUACAUACCAUGACCAAAGGUUUUAAUAAUUUGAGAAUCCACAAACAGAUUAUAGAAUGACACAAAAAGUUACGCAUACAAUUUUACUCAGAUCCAAAAUUCAGAUAAGGUAAUUUCCGAGAAAAAGGAAAGGUCAAGCAUAAAUGCCAUAGUAAGAAAUAUGAACUGAGAUAUCUGGUAGCCUCUGCACAUCUCAUAAUGCACUCUUUGAUUGUAGGAACUUUCUAAUGCAUGUAUAAUCCUCAUUAAAUUCUAAUUAUCAUGUGAUUUCACUUUAAUUCAAGACCGUUCCAACAUGCAUGGACAUAGAAAAAUAAGCCAUUACGAUAUAAAUAUACCAUCAUACGCUACAUUUCUACUUUCAGUGACAAAUAGAAAAUAACUAAAGCAUCAAGCACUAUACCGGCAAACAAUUCAAAAUGCCAGUUGACAAACAUUACACUAUAAGAUGUUUCAUAAAAUACAAUAUUUAAACCCAAAGACUACAUGGUUAAACAACUGGUGAAGGAAUGAAAGCAUUAAUUCUCAAACAAUAAAAGGUCACUCACUCUCAGUUUCAGCAAGCACUAUACUCUGAAUUUCCGAUCGAUGAGGGCACCGAUUAACUAAGGAUGAGUCCAUAACCUUCAAAAAAAAGAAGCCAGAGCAUAUAUAACAAGAUUGACAUGUAACCCAACAAAUAUAGCCCUCUUAUAUGUCACUCUGAAUCAAAUUCUUCUUCCACAAAAUGGAAAGUGCCCCCCGCUUCAAUUCAUGAGAUAUAUACCUGUGCGCUUACAGGAAUCAAGAGGCUUUCUUUUCCUUUGUUGACCAAAGAAUCUUCCAUUGAUAUCUAUGAAUAAAAAACAAAGGAAUUAUACAUUAGCAGGCAAUUAACUGACCAGAAUAGCCCAAAUUAAAGCUUUGUCGGGUGUUUGAGAGAAUUUGCAAGCAAUUAGCUUUUUGAGCACUUGCCCAACAAAUUUUGCCACUUUCUCCAGAAAUUACUCCAAAUGACAACACGCACUCGAUAGGAAAUCACCUAAAACCGCUUCACUAGUUAGCAAAAUCCAUUCCCCCUCUCCCCCCCUCCCCGUUCUUAACAAACUACAAACUAAUUUCCCCUAUGGCACAAGCUGCUGAACUAUAGCAAAUUUAAAUUAUGGUCCCUCCAUUGAUUAGAGAAGUGCCACGUUUACAGUGUGUUUGGAAGAAAAGAAAAACUGUAAGAAAACAUCUUCAGCCUUAUAUCCACUCUAUCAUAGAGUGAAUCAACCAACUCUAUUAUAUAUUUCCAAUACCUGAACACUGUAAAUGGAGCAUCCAGAGGCGAUGUAAACCCUGCAAGAAGAACCGCCGCCAUCAACCUGAGCAAUAAAAAGGAAGAAUAAGAAGAAGACUGAAAUUAGGAGAGAGUGAACGAGAUGAAGAGAAUUAGGGUUAGGGAAAUAAGGAAGUACAUGAAGAGCGAGGCGAGUAGACUGAAGGUUUGCAGCAGAGGGAUUUUCCAGAAGAGAUGGUGCCACCACUGCUUUUCUCAGGCUCUUAGCUUCCAACAUUUUUCCUUUUUCACCACUGGUUUCAACCUUCCGUCUAUGUUUUUUUGAAGUGUUAUUUGAUGAUAGGAUGCAUAGUGUAAAGUGUAAACGUAUCUUGUAGAAGUAUGGGAAAAUCCCCUCCCUUGUUUGAGCCAAUAAUGAGUUUUUCUUUUUAAUUUACAAAGAAUAAACCCGAACUUUCCAAAUCAGACCCGUCAUUGAAUUGAAAAAAUUACUUAUUCAAUAAUUAGAUUGAUAAUUAAAAUGAUAAUAUUAUAAAUAUAUAAUUUAUAUAUUAUAUAAAAUUAAUUAAAAAUAUCUAAUUAAAAUUUUUAAUAAUAUUUAUAUAUAUAUAUGACUUAUCAAAUUGAAUCAUAAAAAUAAAUAUAUAAUAUAUUAAUAUUUUAAAUUUUAUUACAUAGAACAUAUAUAAUAUGUCUAUCUCAUAUUUAUGAUUUAAUAAUUAUUAUAAAAAUAAAAAUAAAUGUAAAUAUAUGUAUUUAUUUAAUGAUUUUAUAUGAUAAAAAUUUAGAAACAAAACAUAUUUUUAUAUAUUUUAUUUUAUAACAUUAUCACAGGCCUAUUGCAUAGCUUAGUGGUCAAGGGACUUGGGACCUUGGUUUUGAACUAUGAACGUCUAUGGCUCAAGUAUAAUGCAUAUUUCUUUUCUUCUUUGAUCAAUCCCACAUCGAUAGGUGAUGAAAUAAUUGUGGCUGACAAUUACCUUGUGACCAUAAAAAGUGGUAAGUUAGUUGGGUCGAAGGGUAGUUAAUGACAUUAGGUCAAGUAUGUAAAAGCCCACUACGAUUUUGGACAAAAACAAUCGCAUGAUACCGAAAUCAUUUCUUUAAAGCUUCUUUAUGAAUACACGUGAGGAACACGUGAUCCAAAAUUAUAUAAAUUGGGACACUAAAAGUCAUGGGAACUAAUUUUUUAGAAAACAUAUUUUAAUUAUUUUAUAUUAUUUUUAAUUGUUUUAAAAAAUAAUUAUAUAAAUAUAUAUAAUGAUUAAAAAUAAAACACUAGAUAUAUAAAAAUUAUUUUUAAAACAUAUUUAAAAAUAUUAAAAAUAAAUUAAAAAUAUUUUAAGUUUUCAAACAGGCUUUUGUUUUACAAAAAUCAUAAAACGAUUUUCAAAAAUUGUUCUCAAAAACUAUUUUUCAAAAUAAUUUCGAAAAUAGUUUUCAAACAGGCUAUAAAUCUGUCAUAAAAUUAGAAAUUUUGUAUAAAUAUGAUGAAAGAUUGUUGAGAAAAAAAAAAUUAUCUAUAUAUAUAUAUAUAUAUAUAUAUGAAACGCUUAGAAAUAAACCAAAAUAUAUGAAAUUUGUAAUCCAAACUAAAAUAUAGUACAUUUUUUUUUGGUUGUUUUUGUUGUAGGUUAAUUGAGAAAGUUGAAUCUCUAAAUUCUUUAGUAAAUAUAAACGGGAAAAAGGUUUGUUUGUGCAACAUGCAUGUAAUAAAAAGAUCCAUUUGUUUGUUUGAUUUGAUAUAAGUUGAAUAUCUAUUUUUUAUUUUCAAUAAUAAAACAUGUAGUGUAUUUUUAAAUGAAAAAAAGUGUUUGUAUUUUUUAUUGAUAUGAAAAAAAUAAUAUAUGAAUACUUAGAUUAAAUGUGUAUUUUUACAUUGGAGAAGAAUGCAGUACCCCAUGUUGACAUAAGAAGAUGGUCUCAUAUGAUCUCAUUGGUUAAUAUACAUGCCAAAAAAUGUUGUCUUCCAUGUAAGUCGUUUCAUAUAGGGUUAAUUUCAUUAACCUCUUCAAAGGUUUUAGUUAAAUACAUUUAAUCCUUAUAGGUUUGAAAUUUCAUCAUAUACCUUUUUUAUUUUGAGUGAAAGAGGAGGUAAGUGAAAAUAAGAAAUGAGAAGGAUAUGGAAAGUUUUUAACGAAAUUUCAAAUCGGAUAAAUUUAUUUAGCCGAAACAUUGAAGAAGGUGAAUGAGAUUAACCCUUUUGUAUAUUUUAUACCCCAUGUGCAAUUAAUUUUAAAUAUUUCAAAUGGUUAGUAUAACUUACCUUAAUUAAUAAUUAAAGGUUUAAACAUUUAUGGCUUCAAUUACUUAAGUUAUAUUUAUAUUUGGGUUAUUUGAUAAAAAGGGUCAUUGAAAACCCAAUUUUGGAAAUCUAACUCUUCACCAUUUUUUGACCUCAUUUUGACAAAAAUACCCUUAUUAUUUUCUUGUAAAAAUAAUCAUUUCUUUUAAACAUAUUAUAAAUACUUGAAAUAGUCAAGUACAUUUAUGUCAAAAAUGGAUUACUUUUCAAACGAAAACAUGGGAAAUGAUAAAUUCACAAAUAUAUGGAGUAUUUCAUCCCUUUUAACCAAUUAUUUCCUUAUAUUUUUCUUUUUCCACAAGUAUAUUAGUUUGAUUAUCAACUACUUUCAUGCAUACAUUGCUUUGAGAAAUAUAUGAUAUAAUGUUGAAUAUAGCAAUUAGCAUGGGGAAGAUGACAUUUAAAGCUUAUAAGAUGGAAGUUAGAGUCAAGAAGUGCACUAAAAAAAUUUGUGGUAUUUUAAAAAAAUUAUGAUGUAUUCAAACAUUUGUAAGGAGGAUGAUUAGUAUGUUGGAAAAUUUUUAUAUGGGUUAACAUUAAUUGAAUAAUUUGCAUUUGGAAAAAACGGGUUAAUGGAUAGUCUAUUAUAUAAUGAGCCCAAUUAAUUAAUGAUCAUAUUUGGAUUGAGUUUUGCAUCUUUUGAGUAGAAGCUCAGUUGAGUGGCAAGUGUAGGCUAUAGGUCUCAUUGAAGCCUUAUGGGAGGGCCCAAUGAGAACCCAAUAUUGAGUUAUGCUAAGUCCUCUCUCUAAUCUAGAUAAAUGGUUUUUUUGUUUUCCCAUAGAGCUACCAUAGUUGUUAUCAAGAUCAUAGAGAGGAAGACUUGAUUGCAACAAUCAGUCACUUGUUUUUUUUUUGUGAUGGCUUAAACAAGUAUGUUUUUUAUAGUGAUUUUCUAUUGUUAGUAUCAUUUAAUCAUGUAUGAUUAAUUUAUGUGAUUAUGUAAAUAUUCUACAUGUGGUAUCAGAGCCAGAUUUACAUGAUUUAGGAUCUACAAUUGGAAAUCGAAAAUAAAAAUUUUAAUUUCUUAUUUUAUUUUAUUUUUGGAGCUGAAUCUGUGAUCCAUGACUGUGUAUGGUUUUUUGGUUUCUUUUGAUUUUGAAACUUUAGGCCUUUUGUUCUUUUUGUCACAAGCUUCAAAUUGAUAUAUUAUAUGUGCAAUUUCAUUAUUUAAAUUGGGAGUAAUUAAGUUUUUAAAUUUUCGGAAUUUUCUUGUUUAAAGAUUCAAGAAAAAUUUUAUUUGUUCAAAUUAUUGUGUUUUACUCAAAUUAAACUCUUAGAUUUUGUUGUUUACAUAUAUUAUAGUUGAUAUGUAGCAUCAAUUUUGGUUUUUUUUGGCUCAAUUUGGUGAAAAUUAAAAAUUCGAAAAUAUGGGUAUGAACCCUAGAAAAUUUGUUUAUAUUUUUUAAAAAUUGAGAGAGAUUGAGAAGUUUUUUGUUUAAUUAAUUGUUGUAGAGAGAUUUCUUAUAUUAUUAAGGUAAAAAUACAUGUAAAAUGAGGCCGAAAUAGGUGUUAAAAUAGAAUUUUUCGAUCUUCGCUAUGGAGGUAUAAAAAUCGAAUUUUGUUAAUUAAUUAUGGAGAUCUUUAAGUUGUUUUUUUAUUUAUUUUUUAUUUUUUUAUUUAUGAUUAAAUGACUUAGAAUUGUUAGAAACAACCUAAAGUUUAAAACCCCUUGAGAUUCCGAUCGAAAAAUAUUAUUGUUUCAAUUGUUUGUAAGUCGGGUAGCAACUAGGUCAUUUAAUUCGAAUUACAGAUUUUUUGACCCACUGCUGGAGGUUGAAGAUAACUUCCAGCACAUGCCACAUGUGCCGUAAGUUCCUCACUCGCGGGUCAAGUGUGUGAAGCGCGUGUAACCUCAUUUGGUGUCCGUUUUGAGUUCCGUUUUUCUUGUGCGCUCGUUUUUUUGUCAUCUAUUUUUCUAGAUAUAUUAUUUUAUUUUUUGGGGGUAAAAAAUAUUUAUUAAAUAAUUUUUAUUUAUUUAUGUGAUUUAAUUAGCUAAAAAUUAUUCUUUGGUAGAAUUUUAUGUUGAGAAUUUACCAGAAAUUAUGCUAAUAUAUAUGGAAUAAGAGUGUAGUACUCACUCUUUCUAGAUUGAAACUUUUUCAAACAUACUCUCCUACUUAGUCUAAAUCACAUAAACUAGUUAAAUAAUUAGUUUAAAGUGUAAUAAAAAAAAUUGUUGUUCAAAUUCUUGCAACUAUAAUUGAUCAUUGAUCAUUGAAAGUACAUUUUGUGAUGUAUUUCAUCUUGUUUGAUCGUAUGCAUAUAUAUCACUAAUAUACACUAUUGUUGUUGGGCAAUAUUGUUUUUUAAUUUACCUAAUUUUGGAACGUUGCAUGUGAAUUGUUGAGGUUAUUUCACCAAAGUGAUUUAACCAUAAAAAUUUGCAAGUUUAUGAGUUCCUAUUUUGAUAGGGAAAAUUUUAGAUUAAUUUGUACAAUCGCCUGCCCAAAGGGGGUUAUUGUGCAAAUUAAUUUAACAACAUGAGGAUAUUGAAUGAAAUAAAUAAUUUGAUAAAUUUGUUUGCCCAAAGGAAAUAAAUUUUAAUGAAUUAUUUAUUGAUCUUCAUGCUUAAAGAAUAGUUGUUUAUUAUGGACUCUGCCCAAAGGGGAGUUUAUGAUAAUACAAUUGAUUCUUGUAUUGUAUUGCUUAUGCUUGUUUAAGCAUUUUACCUAUUGCCCAUAAUUGAUCUAGUUGCAAAUUUUUGUCAAUCAGUUUCCUUUGCUAUGAACAACAAUAAUGCUACAAUUGAAAUUCUAAGUGGGUCGAACUAUAAGAGAUGAAGAUCAGACAUAGAGUUUGUUUUAAGAAUGAUGGACUUGGACAUGGCUCUACGUGAAGAUGAACCUCCUAAGCCUACUAAUGAAAGCACUGAAGCUAUGAGAGCUCAUUAUGCAAAAUGGGAAAGACCAAACUGUUUGAGUCUCAUUUCAAUUAAGAGAUCCAUUGCUAAGCAUCUCCUUGGAGGAAUACCUGAGAGUAACAAUGCUAAGGAAUUUCUCGUUACUAUGGGAAAUAAAUACCAGACAUCUGACAAUGUCGAAGCUGGAUAUUUUAUGGAUGAAUUGAUGAAUAUGAGGUAUAAUGAUAUGAAAGGGGUUCGUGAGUAUAUCCUAAAAAUGGUGCAUCUUCAGACUAGAUUGAAAGCACUAGACAUUCCCAUUCCUGAUAAGUUUAUUAUUCAUCAAGCCCUCAAUACUCUACCAUCUUCUUUCAACCAAAUCAAUACUGCAUACAACACUCUGAAUCAGUUUUGGGGUGUGAAUGACCUGAUCAUUAAGUGUAUGGCUGGGGAAGAAAAGCUAAAAAGAGAAAAGAAUGAAUCUGUUUAUCUCAUUGCUCUUGGAAAACUGAAUAAUCAGAAGAGAGUUGAAAAUGCUAGAAAACCCAACUUCCACAAUCAUAAGAAAAGCAAGAAUUUCAAGAAAAGUGGGAGUGAGAAGCAGAAGAAUGGAAAUGGAAAUGCCAAGAACACAGACCUUAAGUGCUAUCACUACAACAAAAAGGGUCACAAGAGGGUUGAUUGCUUUAAGUUUAAGAAUUGGCUAGAGAAUAAAAAGAAGGAAUAAGGGGAUAAGAAAUCUGAGGAAGCCAACUGAAAAAGAGUCAAAGCUUAAAGUUGGCAGUGACAUUAGGAUUGAUGUUAAACAUAUUGGGAUUGUUGUUUUAGAAUUAAAUUCUGGUUUUCAGCUUGUUUUGGACAAUGUCUUUUAUGUACCUUCGUUUAGAAGGAAUUUAAUUUCCAUUUCAGUACUUGACAAAGCUGGAUAUAGUUUCACUUUUGCAAAUAAAAGAGUUGAGGUGAUUUAUGACUCUAAAGUGAUUGGCAAUUGUGUUUUGUCUAACGGGCUUUAUAGAUUGUCGUUGUGAUCUGCUUGGUCUUACAAUGUUCAAUACAGUGUUGCUAAAAGACAUUUAACUAAGGAAAGAUCUUCAUUGUUAUGGCAUAAGCGUUUGGGGCACAUUUCUAAAGAACGAGUAGAAAACUUAAUUAGUUCUGGGAUUCUUUCUCGCCUUGAUUCUGAUAACUUAGAAAUUUGUGUUGAAUGUGUGAAAGGAAAAUUGACAAAGACUAAGAAAAAGGGUGAAACUCGUAGUCAAUAUUUGUUGGAGAUUGUUCAUACAGACAUUAGUGGGCUUUACUCCACUACCUUGUGUGGCAACAAGUACUUCAUUACAUUCAUUGAUGAUUUAUCCUGAUAUGGCUAUGUAUAUUUGAUCAAAGAAAAGGUAGAUGCUCUUGAAAUGUUCAAAGUCUUCUGAACUAAAGUUGAGAAACAACUAGGGAAAGUCAUCAAGAUUGUAAGAUUUGAUUGAAGUGGUGAGUAUUAUGGGAAACAUGGUGAUGUUGGACAACAAAAGGGACUUUUUGCAAGGUACUUACAAGAUAAUGGUAUUGUUGCUUAGUAUACUAUGCCUGAUAGUCCUGAACAGAAUGGCGUGGUAGAAAGGCGCAACCACACUCUUAUGGAAAUGAAGAGGAGCAUGAUGAGUAAAUCAAAUUUGCCAGAAUACUUAUGAGGUGAAGCCAUUAAAACAACAACCUACAUUCUGAACCGUGUUCCUAGUAAGUUUGUGCCUAAAACACCAUUUGAACUAUGGACAAGCAGAAAACCUAGUUUGAAUCAUUUUAAAGUAUGGGGAUGUUCAACUGAGUGAAAAUCUAUGAUCCUUCUUUAAAGAAGACAGAUUCGAGAACUAUUAGGUGUUACUUUAUUGGGUAUCCUAGCCACUCAAAAUGAUAUAAGUUUUAUUGUUCGACUCAUGUCACUAGAGUUGUUGAGUCUCAAGUGGCAAAGUUUUUAGAGUUGGAUGUUGUUUAUAGUAUACCCUCUCAAUCCAAUGAAAGAGUGGAACCCAUGGAUGUUAUUUCUUUACCUUUACCAGUCUCAGACGUCAACCUUGAUGUUGAAGCUUUUGAUUCUAGGAUUCAGCAAGGAGUUUACUGUCAAUUUCCUCAUUGUUGAAAUAACCCCUAUUGUAGAUGAGAUUCCUCCUAUGGAAAUGAGGAGAUUACAAAGAACUAGAAGGCCUGCAUUUUCUAACGAUUAUUAUGUUUACCUCGAAGAAGGAGAGUAUGACAUUAGAGAAGAAGUGGACCCUACUACUUAUUGUGAAGCUCUCAAUAGUGAUAAGACAAUUGAAUGGCUGAUUGCCAUGAGAGAUGAGAUGCAGUCUAUGUCAAAUAAUAAUGUUUGGGAACUUGUUGAUCUUCCCAAAGGAUAUAAACCCAUUGGAUGCAAAUGGGUAUUCAAGACUAAAAGAGACAACAAAGGAAAUGUUGAAAGAUACAAGGCUUGGUUGGUUGCUAAAGGGUAUACACAGCGAGAGGGCAUUGAUUUCACAGAGACUUUCUCACCAGUCUCUACCAAAGAUUCCUUUAGGCUAAUUAUGGCAUUGGUAGCUCAUUUUGACUUAGAGCUUCAUCAAAUGGAUGUCAAGACAUCUUUUCUCAAUGGUGAUUUGAGUGAGGAGGUCUACAUGUCACAACCUAAAGGAUUUGAGGCAAAUGGGAAAAAGAACAUGGUAUGCAGAUUAAAAAGGUCAAUUUAUGGUCUCAAGCAAGCUUCUCAUCAGUGGUACUUGAAAUUUGACAAAAUUGUGACGUCUUUUGGUUUUAUAGAGAACAAGUUUGAUCAGUGCGUUUACAUGAAAGUCAAUGGGAGCAAGUACAUUUUCAUAGUUCUCUAUAUUGAUGACAUUCUACUUGCUAGUAGCGAUGUGAAUCUCUUGAAUGAUACCAAGCGUAUUUUGUCUACUAAUUUUAACAUGAAGGAUCUCAGAGAAGCAUAUUUUGUGUUGGGUAUUGAGAUUUAUCAUGAUAGAUCUUGAAACCUCCUUGGUCUAUCUCAGAGAGCCUAUAUCAAUCGUGUGCUUAAAAGAUUCAAUAUGCAGACAUGCAAAGUUGGUGAUGUACUUGUUUUGAAGGGAUAUAAACUCAGUAAUGAACAAUGUCCAAAGAAUGAUUUGGAAAAGGAUGCCAUGAAGACUAUUCCUUAUGCUAGUGUUGUUGGUAGCUUGAUGUAUGCACAAGUAUGUACAAGACUUGAUAUCGCCUUCAUUGUUAAUGUUCUUGGUAGAUAUUUGUCGAAUUGUAGACCCUCCAUUUUGUCCUCUUAGCACAUAUCCUAUUAGGUAUUUGUUUGAUACUUUACAACAAUUCCCUAGUGGUCCAUUACUACUCGUGUAGCCUAUCUUUUCUCAGCCACCUUGGAGACUUUAGUUGAUGGAUUUAUCUAACUCCAUUGUAACUCUUGGCAACCCUAAUUUAGACUUAGACCCACUUAUGCACCUUAGGUCCACUUAGGUACACUUGGCCCAUUAGCCACCACUUUAGGCCCACUUAGGCACCUUAAACCCACUUAAGCACCCUAAACCCAUUUAGAUCAUUUUUUGCAUGUUUGCAUGGUUGGUAUGGAUUUCAUAUUUUGUAUGGCUUGCAUGAUUUACAUGGCUCGUUUAUUAUAAAGUUGCAUGACUUGAGUUUUCAUUAUUAUAUUUUUAUUUUAUUUAUUAUAUUGUCUAUUUCCCCAUUUAUUUUAUUAUUCCUAUUAUUUUGUCAUUUUUCCGUAAUACUUGUACUGACUUAUCUAUUUUUUAAUUUAAUAAUUUUGUUUAAAUGUUUUAUUAUUAUUAUUAUUGUUGUUGUUGUUGUUUUUGUUGUUGUUAUUAUUAUUAUUAUUAUUAUUAAUUUUACUCAUAUUUAUCAUUAUAAUUAUUAUUAUUAUUUAUUGAAUCUAUUAACUUUGAAAUUUUGUAAGGAAAUAUGGAAGGUGCAUGGUCACAUUGAGAUUGAGAUUGGGAAAAUGGGAUUUCCUUGGAUAUAGAGAUUGCAUGAGAGGAAGGCUUACAAGAUGACUGCAUCAAAUACAUAUUUGAGAUGGAGCUAGAAGACAUAGAGGGGCCUGCAAAUUAAUGAUGUUGAAAAUGAUGGUGCGGGUGACCGUUUGAUUGAGUACUUUUCCACCGCUUAACAAAAUGAGUGUUAUUGCUUACCUUGUAAGUUAUUUGUCCCGUGGAAAGUUUUUGACAACCUCAUUUGUUGCUAAUAUAUUGGAAAGGCUGGUGGUUUGGUGUUUGGAAUAUUGCAAAAUCCAUUAUGGUGACAUAAAUCCUAAACCUUGUCGAGUUUUUUAUUUUUUAUUUUUUUAUUCUGGAUGUCAGGUCAUCAUGUAUGUGCUUUGCUUCCGAAUGUGGUCAAUGAUGAAUGUUCCUCAUCUCAUAUCAUAGCUUUUCAUUUUGCCUUUGGAGACAAUCUUGAAGCAUCCAUAGUGGAGGAAUUCCUUUGCCAGGCAAAAACAACUCAGUUAUUCACCGUGUUAGAGACCUUUAUUUUUAGUGACCUGUUGGAGUCGAAAUUUUUCCAAGGCUUGUUCCUACCAUGUUGGGAUUGUAUAAGAAAGACCUAGAUAUUGUUUUUCUGGCAAUAGAGGUUUGCAUUAAUAGUGACAGCAAAGAGCAGUCAUAUUUCCCUGUGGGACUGAAGGAAGUUUACCAAAGUGGUUUGGAAUAGAAAAAGGGAAAGUGUAGCAUGUAUGAUUAUAGGAAGGAGGGUUGUGAGAAGUAAGAAAGAGAAAAUUCUGAGCGUAAUGGAGAGGACGCUUAUGGGAAGGUACCCGUUUAGUGAGGAUAGAGAGGAGGAAGAAUCUGAAGAGAAAGAAGAAUUGAUUAUGGGAGAAAAAAAGUGAUUUGGAAGAAAAAAAGGAGGAGAAUUGGUAGCAGACUUGUUUGGGGAGAAUUUUGGAGAGAAUGGCAACUUGAAGUCAAGCAAUCAAAUUAGAGACCGUCCAGAUGCUGAAGUUGAAUGAUCAAGAAUUCCUUGGAGAAUGCAGUUGUGUUCUGUCAGAGAUAUUGACUAAACAAGGCCAGAACUUAACCCUAGAUUUUCAUAACAUAAAUGGGAACAGGGGUUUGAAAAACCUAGGAAAACUCACUGUCCAUGCAGAGGAAACAAUUGCUUCAAGGAAUGCUAUUGAUGUUAUAUUCCAUUGUUCACAUUUGGAAAACAAAAACUUGUUUUCUAAAAGUGACCAUUUUCUAAGAAUAUCUAGGAUUGUUGAACAUGGAGGUUCUGUUUCAAUUUGCAAGACAGAAGUGGUUGAUAACAACUUGAAUCCAAUAUGGAGGCCUCUACGUCUAACAAUGAAUCAAUUUGUUAGCAAGGAUAACCCAUUAGUUAUCGAGUGCUUUCAUUUCAAUACUAGUGGGAAUCAUGUACUGAUCGGUGAACUUCAGAAAUCAGUGGCAGACCUGGAAAAACUUCAUAAAAAAAAAACAAAAAAAAAACUAGUGCCAGUUUCAUCUUACCCUCUUCUGUUCAGCAUAGUCAUGAGAAAGUUCUGAAGGACCAACUAUUUGUUGAUCAAUUUUGUGAGAAGUAGCUAUACAGUUUUAUUGAUUAUGUUUCUAGUGGAUUUGAACUUAAUUUUAUGGUUGCUGUCGAUUUUACUGCUUCAAAUGGAAAUCCUCGAACUCCAGAUUCUUUGCACUACAUUGAUCCUUCUAGCCGGUUCAAUGCUUACCAACAUGCUAUAAUGGACGUCGGAGAGGUCAUACAAUUUUAUGAUUUUGAUAGGUGCUUUCCUGCAUGGGGAUUUAGGGGAAGGAUAAUGGAUGGUACCAUAUCACAUUGUUUUAACAUGAAUGGAAGUGCAAGUGGUGUUGAGGUUGAAAGGGUUCAAGGGAUCAUGGCUACCUAUGCAAGUGCACUGAACCAUGUUGCUCUGACGGGACUGACCUUAUUUGGACAAGUGAUCAACAAUGUAGUUGAAAUUGCUGGCCAGUCCCUCUACUAUAAUAGCUGUAAAUAUUUUGUUUUGCUUAUCAUAACGGAUGGAGUGCUUACAGAUCUCCAAGACACAAAAGAUGCUUUGGUCAGGGCAUCUGAUUUGCCUUUAUCGAUUCUGAUAGUUGGAAUGGGAGGAGCACAUUUUUAAUAAAUGGAGAUCCUUGAUGCUGAUAACGAUUGUCGGUUAUAGAGUUCCGCAGGAAGUGUAGCAACUUGAGAUAUUGUACAGUUUGUUCCCAUGAGGGAAGUGCGUAGUGGGCAAACUUCUGUAGUCGAAGCUCUAUUAGAAAAACUACCUAGGCGCGCAAUUCCUGACUUACAUGAGAAACAAAGAUAUUAAACCCAAUGUAGUCAACAUAGCUCAAACCUCCGCUUCCCAUGCCACCAUCUAGUAAGGGUUGUCUCCCAUUCAUCACACCAAGGUUCCGAGGCAUUGUAAAUACCGAAACUAGGCUAAAAAUACACACAUACGAGAAGGCCAUCACUCAUAUAUAGAGGAUUAUUACAAGCCAUUCGGUGGAAGAACAACCACCUUUCUCCAUGUUACGUAGCCACGGACAACCCACCCAAAAGACCACUCACACAACCAUAUGAAAAGAACCAUAUGGAAUACCACCAACCUAAUGGAGAAGACAUGCUACUAAUGAGGGGACAACAUGCUGCCAUAAGCCCAGUCCACUCCACGCUUUCAAGAUGGCCGUCACAUACAGCCACGCACUAAGAGAUGAUUUUCUGAAACACGCACAACAGGCACGCAUUCGGGAUGGUAUCAACGACACGAGAUAGGUGAGUUCCAUAUUUUUUUUUUUUAAAUCGGAUUUAGUUUAGUUUUAAUUUAAUUUAAUUUUAUUUAUUUUUUUAAAUUUGGACGUGUUUAUGAUUUUAAUUCAUUUGUUUGAUUAAUUAUGUUAGAUAAAUUUCAUGUUUUUUCUUUUAAACUUCCAAUUUAGUUUAAUUUUAGUUUAUUUUUUAAUUCAGAUAUAUUUGAAAUUUUGAUUCUUAAGAUUAAUUAAUCCUACUAGAUAUCAUGUUUUUUUUUUUAAUUCCGGUUUAGUUUGGUUACAAUUUAUUCUCUUAAUAUAAUGGUCUUUGUGAUGUUAAUUCAUUAUUUUAAAUAAUCCUAUUAGAUAAAGUUUACAUUUUUUAGUUCUCAAUUAAUUUAAUUUUAACCUAUCUUUUAGUUUAAGUGUGUUAGUGAUUUUAAUUCAUUAGUUUAAAUAAACCUAUUAGAUAAAUUAAGUUCAUGUCUUUAAUUCCAAAUAGUUUAAUCUUAAUUUAUUCUUUAGUUUAGACGUGUUGGUGAUUUUGAUCCAAUAGUUCAAUUAAUCAUGUUAGAUAAAGUUUAUGUUUCUAAUUCCAAUUUAGUUCAAUUUUAAGUUAUCUUUUCAGUCUAGAUGUGUUUGUGUGAUCUUAUGUUAGUUAUUGAUUUGUUAUUCUCAAUACAGGUGUUUCAAUUCUUAAUGGUUAUCUCGUUAGCUUAUUUGAUCUAAGUUUUACUAGUUUAUUGCUUUGGUAGUCCUUUUUCAAAUUCACUUUUUGGAGGUCAUCGGAAAAUAGUUAAAAUUGGCCUCCAUUCUCACCACUUCAAUUUUUUCGAUUGUCAAAAAUUCUACUUAGUGAUUUCGUUUUUUGUUGUUUUGUUUGGUAUUUUGUCUCAUACAUUUUGUUGUUGUUGUUUUUGUUUUGUUUUUUUUUUUUUUUUUACAAAUUAAUUUAUUUUAUUUUAAAAUAAAAUACUUUUCUCAAAACGUUUCUCAUAAAAAUCUAUUUUAAAAAUUCAUUUAUAGUCCUUAGAAUCCAAAUAUCAUGUUCUUAAAAUAACAUGCAACCAUUUUUUUGAUUGGAUGACAUCUUUCUCAGUUUUCAAAUGAAAAUUUUGGUUUUGAAUAAAAAACGAAUCAAAGCUUGUGGUCCCUAAUAAAUGGGAUGAUUCUAGGCUAGAUUUGUAUAUACCAAUUGGGGAAUUGGAGAAACCCCUACAUAAGAAUUUUUUUCAAAACUCUUCAUUGCUACCAGUUUUUACUCAGCCACUGACCCUUUAGAUUUAAAAUUUGUUUUAGCAACUUAGAAAUGUUUUUUAAAAAUUUUCCAAAACUUGUAUGACUUUCCCCACUUCUUGAUCUUGAAUUUAAAGUUUCGUUUGAUUAGAAAACCAUUCUGGAAUAGAAGAUAUAAAUGAGUCUUUAGGGGGGCUCCGUUUUCACCCAGUUCUGGACACCCGAGAUUUUUUUGAAAAAAAUAAAAUACCAUAAGACUUUUUUAAUUUGAUUAAAUAUUUUUUUUCCUCAAUUAUAAGCUUCUUAAAAUUGAUAUUAGACACAUAAAAUAUUGAAAAAUAUGCCUUUUUGAGGGAGAUAUGAUUUUUCAAAGUCAUACCUACUAUGCAUGAUGAAAUAUGGACAUUUGAUUAGUUGGAGUGUUUUAAAAAUAUUUUUGAGUACUCUCUGACCCUACAUUUAUUUUUCCUGUGAUAUAGACACUUUGAAAUGUGUGUGAUUUUUUGUAUGAUUUUAUGUGAUCACUUAUUAUUUUAAAAAAAAUUCAUUUAUGCAUGUCACUAUUUUUUUUACCUAAUCUGGACCUUUUGGAAUUUUCGGGUGUCUUUGCUGCAAUUUGUCAUUUGAAUGAGUGUUUGGCUUUGGGUAUCUUGUUUUAGAUGUGUAUUUGUUUCUUGAAAUUUUUUUGUGAUUAAAUUCCACUCCAAGACGUUUUUUAGAAAUUGUUUUCUGAUGCUUUCUUUACUAAUUACAUGCUGAUGAUCUUGUAUUUUGCCUAAAUUUGUUAUUUAUUUUUAGGGUCAUUUGACUUAUCUUGGCUUAGUUUUGGUUUUAGUACUGUAUAUUAGACACUAUGAAAAUGUUACAUAAUUUAUACUUGUCCUAACCACUCUAGCAUUUUUGGAGGAAUCAUAUAGAAUAUAUAUGCUAUUCAGGUACGCUCUCUAUCACUCACUUUUUGGAAUUCUAUGAACAUGUAUACUAUUGAAGACUAUAUUUAUGUUUGAUAUGAUCCUUAGGUGCUUAGGUGUAUGCUUGAUUCUCUAUGAUUAAAUACACGCCGUGUGUUAUAUUUCUAUACUAACUCUGAUGUUUUAUGAUAGUGCUUGAGAAGCGGUUCGGGUACGCAUUCUAACUCUCUUUUAUUGUGAUUUGAUCUUGUUUGGCAUGCUAUUUUUAAAAAUCACCUUAGUCUACCUAGGUACCUUCAAUUAAUCAAUUAAUUGUCAUAUUUCCCUCAACUUAGUCAGUAAAGACCUUUGUAGGGCUUGGAAGGAUGCUACCUUUUAGAGGUACCUUCCCAAUAGGUAACUUGAUCCCCGAACCUAGACUCGGGUUUUUCAAAGACACGCUUCUCCAAAAAACCAUGGAGUUAUUUUUUAAGGUUUUAUUUCUUGUUUUAUUUUCCUUUUAAAAUAAAAUAAAAUAAGUGGCAACUUCGUCUUUUCCAAAACUAAAAUUUUUCAUCAAAUAAAAAGCGAGUCUUACUGAUCAAGUGAGAGCGCACGUGAGAAAUGCGGGUCCACACGAAUCCUGGACAUGAUCAUUGGGUUGCUGCAAAGAAAGUCAUGAGAUAUCUACAAAGAACGAAGGAUUUUAUACUUGUGUAUAGGAGGGUGGAUAAUCUCGAGGUAGUUGGAUACUCAGAUUCUGAUUUUGGCGAUUGUUCUGACGAUCCCAAAUCUACUUCAGGAUACAUUUUUAUGUUAGCUGGUGAAGCCAUUUCAUGGAAAAGUGUCAAACAGAGCCGAGUUGCAUCCUUGACCAUGUAUCCUGAGUUUGUAGCUUGUUAUGGUGCAUCAUCUCAAGCUGUUUGGCUAAGAAAUCUGAUUUCAGAGUUGCAAGUUGUUGAUUCCAUAUUUCGACCCAUUGUGAUUUAUUGUGACAAUAAUGCAACUGUGUUAUACUCCAAUAACAAUAAGAUCAGUACGGGUUCUAAGCAUAUGAAAAUCAAGUACCUUACAGUCAAGGACUUAGUGAAAAAAGGAAAUAUUAUGAUUGAGCACAUAAGAAUUGGGUCCAUGCUAGCUGAUCCUCUAACCAAAGGUUUAAAGCCCAUAACGUUCAAGGAACAUGUUGUAAAUAUGAGUGUCAUUAAGUCUUUUGAAUCUUUGGUUUAGUGGGAGCUUUUGUGAUUUCCCUUAUUUCAAUUAUUGUUUUGUGUAAACAUUGAUCAUUAUUGUUAUGCGACUUGCAAAAUUAAAAUCUUUUUAUUAUGAUAAUCAUUACUAAGUAUUAUAUUAUAGCAUGUCGUAAUUGAAUUACAUACAACAUGGUAUCUUAAGAUAUUGAACCUUAAGAAUUAUAGUUGUAUACUAUUGAAUGUCACAAAUAACACUAUUUUGAGAUCUUAUGGUGCAUUGUUGGUGACAUAUGACUUGUUAAAGUCAAACAAUUUCAUAUUGUUUAGAAAUUGCAACAAUUUCAUUUUUUUUUAGAAAUUGCAAUUACAAUUUCAUUUUGCUGGUAAAUUGUAAUGAGGACUGAUAAGAAACAAUGCAUAUAGAUGAUGAUCACAUGUUGGCAUUGAUUUCUUACUACACUACUGGGUUUACGAUCCAUGUCGAUAUGGUUAUAAAUAUUCGUGACUAUGGGCAUUAUGUUUGUUGAGAUUAACAUAUAGACCAUCAUAGUCCAAUAUUAAGACCAUGUUGGACCGGAUAAGUUUAUCAAGAUGCUACUUAUAGACUAUCAUUUCUUUAAAAAAAGUGUGGCCACACAAAAUAAACUUUUCUGUACUUAACCCGAGAGUCUUAUUUUCAAAAUGAAUUUAAUGAAUCCUCAAAAAAUAAUUAAUGUAGCCUAAGUGGGAGAAUGUUGAAAUUUUUUAUAUGGGCUAACAUUAAUUGAAUAAUUUGUAUUUGGAAAAAAACGGGUUAAUGGAUAGUCUAUUAUAUAAUGAGCCCAAUUAACUAGUGAUCAUAUUUGGAUUGAGUUUUACAUCUUUUGAGUAGAAGCUUAGUUGAGUGGCAAGUGUGGGCUAUGGGUCUCAUUGAAGCCCAUUAUGGGAGGGCCCAAUGAGAACCCAAUAUUGAGUUAUGUUAAGUCCCAUCUCUAAUCUAGAUAAAGGGUCUUUUUGUUUUCCCAUAGAGCCACCAUAGCUGUUAUCAAGAUCAUAGAGAAGAAGACUUGAUUGUAACAAUUAAUCACUUGUUUUUUUGUGAUGGCUCAAACAAGUAUGUUCUUUAUAGUGAUUUUCUAUUGUUAGUAUCCUUUAAUCAUGCAUGAUUAAUUUAUGUGAUUAUAUAAAUAUUCUACAUAGUACACAUACGAGGAUCAAUUCAUUGAAAAUAUCCAUAAUCACCAUUACCCCCAUUUGAAAAAAAGACCAGAUCGAAAGAAAAAAAUUAGAGAGAGGUGUUGCUAAUCUUGUUGUUUUCCUAUAAUAUAUAAAACCUCCUUUCUAGAUUUGCAUUUGUCUAAGAGGUGUUUUGUUGACAAAUCUUUCCACAAUGAUAAUGGAUAGCUUAUAAUUUUGUUUAACAUAAGAAAUGAAAAAGUGUAGAAGAUAUGACAAAGUUGAGAAAUGUACACUAGUAUUGAUUUUGGGGGGCAAUUAUACUACUUUCUAGCCAAAUUAGUUAAGGGCAAUGUAAGGAAAUUAAAAAAAUUAAGGGGAUAUGUCAUAUCAACAAUAAGAAGAUCUAUCAUUAGUUGAAUAGAUGACAUGUGGACAAAGAAGCUAUAGGUGAGGCAUAUAUAUAGUUUAAGGGGUUAAAAGGUGCAAAAAUUAGUUUUAGGGUCCAAGUAGGAAGAGGAGUAAGUAUAUAUAUCUAUAUCACAUAUAAAAGUACGAAAUGUUUAAACAUUUUUUUUUUCCUUUUGAAAAUAACCUUAUCAUUUUUAUUAUGUACACUUAUAUCCUAUCAUUAUGAUAUGUAAUUAAUUUGUAAUAUCCUAUCAUUAUGAUAUGUAAUUAAUUUGGAUAAUGUUUGUAGACAACUUAUAAAUUAGUUUAGAUAAUGUUUCUCUUUUAUAAAAAUUAUUAUUAUUAUUAUUAUUUAAAAAAAAGUUUCUUUGAGAUAAUGAUUAUUUUGACCAACUUAAUUAUAUAUGUUUAAAAGUUGAUCUAGAUAAUGAUUAUCUUUUAAAAUCUUAUCAUAAAUUUAUUUUUUAUUCUUAAUUUAUUCAAUAAAAUAGAUAUUUAAAUUAAAAUGAAAUAAAUGCAAAAAUUGGUUUGAAUUAAUUUGUCUUUUUGAACCCAAAUUUAAAACGGAAAUUGUUUUUUAAUAUGUAUUGAAUUCAUAUAAUAAUAAUAAUAAUAAUAAUAAUAAUAAUAUAUUAUUGUUUUAAUGGAUAUUUGAAGAUGAUAUAAGUUUUUCAUAGAAAAAUUUAAUAAAAUUUUCAUGUAUCAUGUAUUUAUUAUAUAUAUAUAUUCAUUCAAAGUAUUCGGAUAAUGUUUUUUUCAAAGACAAGCUACUCUCUAAAAAAAUUAUCGUAAUUUAAUUACAAUAAUUUUAAUCUCUUGAUAAAACAACUUGGAUUGAAUAAUAAUCUUCUUCUUUUUUUUUUUUAAAUAAUAAUUUAUGUUUUUAAAAUAAAAAAUAUAAUAUGAUAAAAAAAAAGGAUUAAUAGAGAAAAUGACUUUUGAAUUCCAAAUUAAAUAUUUUUUAGUUAUAAUUUAAUUUAUGUAUAUAAUAUUUUAUGCCCCACUAUUAAACUUUAUUGAUCAUAUUAAAAUUUUAUACACACACACACACACACACACACACAUAUAUAUAUAUAUAUAUAUAUAUAUAUAUAUAUGAUUUUUUUUAUCCAUAUUAAACAAUUUUUAUAUUUAUUUUUGUUUUAAAAUCCUCUUUUUUAAAAAUAUAAUAAUUUAUGUUUUUAAAAUAAAAAUAUAAUAACAUAAAAAAAGAUUAAUAGAAAAAAUGACUUUUCAAUUCCAAAUUAAAUCUAUAUUAGUUAUAAUUUAAUUUAUUUAUAUAAUAUUUUAUGCUUGACUAUUAAACUUUAUUGAUCAUAUUAAAAUUUUAUACAUAUAUAUAUAUAUAUAUAUGAUUUUUUUAUCCAUAUUAAACAAUUUUUAUAUUUAUUUUUGUUUUAAAAUCCUCUUUUUAAAAAAUAUAAUAAUUUAUGUUUUUAAAAUAAAAAAUAUAAUAACAUAAAAAAAGAUUAAUAGAAAAAAUGACUUUUAAAUUCCAAAUUAAAUCUAUAUUAGUUAUAAUUUAAUUUAUUUAUAUAAUAUUUUAUGCCUGACUAUUAAACUUUAUUGAUCAUAUUAAAAUUUUAUACAUAUAUAUAUGAUUUUUUUUUAUCCAUAUUAAACAUUUUUUAUAUUUAUCUUUUGUUUUAAAUAUAAUUAAUUAUUAAAUAAAUUUAAAUUUAAGCGGAUGCAUGAACUGCUACAUAUUCGAUCAUAGUGGGCUCAUUCAUGCACCCAAUCGCCUUUAAAUUGGCUUCUUUGAAGUUAGUCGUUGUUAUCUAUUUCUCAUAUUUUCUUCAGGUAGGGCAAUAGAGUUGAACGUGAUCUAUUACAGAAAUUUCACUAGGUCAUCUCUCUGCAUUUUAGGAAAUGAAGAAUCCUUGCGCUUGUCGCAAUCUUCAGUGUCUUCCAAUUGAAAUAUUGGUUGAGAUCGUGAUUCGCAUUGCAAAAAAUCGUCAACAAACUUUUUUAAUGCCAAAAAAAGGUAUACAUCAAGCCUUUAAAUUAUUUCUAUUUGUACAUAGAUAUAUAACUAUAUUAGAAAUAAAGAUUAAUCAUCAUAUCUAAAUUUGUAGUUGUAGAGAAUUACAUGAGGCAUCAAAGGAGAAAGAAAUCAUGCGAUGAAUCUCGUUAGAAAAAUUCCCUGCCAGCCAAUGGUUUGAAGCUAGAAGUCAGGUUGCUCAAUUCUUAAAAAGUUGUAGAGAUGUUGGAAAUCUAGAGGCAUUAUACAAGCAAAGAAUAGUAAGCUUUUAUUUUAGAAGAUUUGGUUAUCAUGUUUGAAUAAAUAUUUAUGUCUUAUUUGUUAUGAACAUCUUUGAAAAUGAAUUUUUUUUUAAUAGUUAGAGUUUUUUUAGCUAUGAGAAAGUAGAAUCGGGUGUUGCUCUUUUCAAGAAAGCAAUUACAAUGAACCAUAUGGGAGCAAUGUAUGUGUAUAGAAUCGUUUUGCUAUGCAAAGAGAGCAAUUCGAAUGAAAACGAAGGGUUAUAUCUUUUAGAUGUGGUUAGGAAAUUGACCUAGUUGGAGGAAUGCAGAGCAAGAGCGAAGUCUUUCAUAUUGACAAUGUGGGUUACAAAUCACAGUCUUAAAUAUGAAGAACUUAAUAUCUAUUGUAUAAAAAUAUGUUGUCAAAAAAUAGGAGUUGUCGUUGACAAAGAUUGGAACAACACUUAUUUUGGAGAAGCUGAAGGUGAAAAACAUUACCAAACUUGUAUGGCCGCCAAUGAAGUCUCCACAUUUUGUAAAAUAUUUAAAUAAAUUAUAAUAUUGUUUAAUUAUGGUUGGUUUGGUUUUGAUACACAACACUUUCCCAUCAUUUCCAAUUUUUUUUUUUUUGUUCGUUCUAUUCAGAAUAUUGUAUAUUAAUAAUCAUUUCUAUUAUGUACGCUUAUAUCAUAUCAUUAUUAUGUAUAAGUAAUUUGAAUAAUGUUUCUAGAGAACUUAUAAUUAGUUUAGAUAAUGUUUCUCUUUUAUAGAAAUUAUCAUUAUUUUUUUUAUAAAAAAAAUUACUUGGUUGAGAUUAUAAUCCUCUUUCAAAAAAAUAUGAUAAUUUAAGUUUGAAAUAUAUAUAUAUAAUAAGAUAAAAAAAAGGUAAAUACAAAAAAUGACUUUUGAAAUCAAAAUUAAAUCUUUCUUAGUCAUAAUAAUUAAUUUAAUUUACUUAUAUAAUAUUUUAUGUUUGACUAUUAAACUUGAUUCAUUAUAUUAAAAUUUUACAUACAUAUAUAUGAUACUCAAAAUUUAAUAAAUCAUUGCACCUAGAAGAAUUUAAACCAAGUUAUGUUCUUAAAACCAAAAUCAAAUACCUAGGGCAAAUAUAGAAUGAGAAAACUAGAGCUACAACCUAGCAACUUAUCUUAAUUUUCAAGAAUGAUAGAAAAUAAUAUAUUUAUAAGAUUUGUAGGCUAAUCAGUUGGAAAGUAGUCCUCCUCGGUUAACUUCAUCAUGAGAUAAUGUAUUAGUUGGGAACCAACGCCUCAUUGGUUAGCUCCAUCAUUAGAUAAUGUAUUAGUGCAUGCCUCCUCUAUUAACUCUAUCAUUAGAUAAUGUUGCAUUUAAUUUUGUUACAAAUCAUAUUUUUUUACAAUGAAUUUAUAAUAAAUUCACAUUCAUGUUUCGCUCCAUAGUUUUCCAAUGGAUAUUGAAGGGUUAAAAAACAACCAUAGUAAUUCAUAUCUAUUUGAUAUAAAUAAGAUUAAUACAUUAAUAAUCAAUUCAUUAAUUUUAUAUUUAAAAUAUAAAUUUUAUAUUUUCAAAUAUUUUUAUAUUUAUAUUUCAAAAUUAUAUCAUUUUUUCAUACAAUUUUAUAAUAUAUUUUAUAUUUUAUAAAAUAUAAUUUAAAAAUUUAUAUUUUAUAAUAACUAUCUUGUAUUAAUAAAUUAAUAAUAAAUACAUAUGCAUUUAUAAUACCUAUUUUUAAUAAAAAAAUUUGGACAAUUAUUUUUAAAGCAACUCAUUGAAAGAAAAUAAAAAUAAUUUAAAAUAACUAAAUUAUGUUUUAAUAUUAUUAGAAAAUACUAUAUUUUUACGAUAGAUUUUAGAAAAUAAUUUCUAUUAAAAAAAUUUACAAACAUUUUUUCGGUUUGGAAAGUAGUAUAUAUAUAUAUAUAUAUUCAAUAAUUUCAAAAAAGGUUAAACAUAAAUGUCUUAAUGUAAAAUUACAUUCAUCUCUACCUCAUAUCAAUAUAAAAAGUUGAUAAUUUUUUUUCCCAACAGAAUGUUCCCAUUUACAUUAGUUUUGAUUCAUAAAAAUAACAUGAAAAGAAAAAAAAAAAACUCAAACUUUAAUAAAUCACAGUACGUAGAAGAAUUUAAACCAAGUUAUGUCCUUCAUCUGUGUGAAUUUAUUAAUUCAUUUUUUAAUUAUUUUAAGAAGUGAAAAUAAUGGAUAUAAAUAAUAGAAAAACAAAAGGUAAAUGGCAAGAAAGGCAAACAAAGGCUUGAGAGAGAAAUAAAACUAAUUAUUUGAUUCCCCAUCUUCACUGAUUGUACAAUAGCAACAUAUAUAGGAAGGCUUGGAACAAUCGAGAAGAGUUCAGCUCAUCCAGAAAAUGAAAAAUAACAAAAUAAAAAAAUUCCACUAACUUGUAACAACCUAACAAACUCUGCAUAUUUCUUUGUUCAACAAGGAAGGCAAGUUUUCACAGUAAUCAAUUUUAAUACUCCCCCUCAAGAUGGAAUGUAUAUGUUAUACAUUCCCAUCUUGUCUAUGAGAGAAUUGAAUUGAUCAGGAAAGAGAGGUUUGGUAAGUAUAUAAGCCAAUUGAUGUUGUGAAGCAACAUGCAGAGUUUUGAGCAUACCUGUUUGAAUCUUCUCUCUUACAAUAUGACAAUCUAUCUCUAUGUGUUUAGUACGCUCAUGGAAGACCGGGUUUGCAGCAAUGUGUAGAGCAGCUUGGUUGUCACAGUACAACAAAGCAGGUUGUGUGUGUGGAACUCCUAAGUCUUUGAGUAAGGCAAUCAACCAUGUUAGCUCACAAGUCACAUGAGCCAUUGCUCGAUACUCUGCUUCAGCUGAGGAUCUUGAAACUGUCCUUUGCUUUUUUUAUUUCCAUGAUAUUAAAGAAUCUCCAAGAAAUAUACAAAAUCCAGUGACUGAUUUUCUAGAAUCUGGGCAUGCUGCCCAAUCAGAAUCUGAGAAGGCCUUUAAUUGAAGAGAUGAGGAAGCUGAGAAGAAAAUACCUUUGCCUGGUGAUCCUUUGAUAUAUUGAAGAAUCCUGUAGACUGCUUGCAAAUGUGGUCUCCUCGAUUGACUUAGGAAUUGGCUCAACUUGUUCACCGAGUAAGUUAGGUCUAGCCUGGUGAUAGUAAGGUAUAUAAGCUUCCCUAUGAGCCUUCUGUACAUGUUGGGAUCUGUUAGCAGCUCUCCAUCAUCUUGAGAAAGUUGCAUAUUCGGUUGCAUUGGAGUUUGGGCAGGUUUGCAUCCUAAGUAGCCUGUUUCAGAUAAGAGUUCCAGAGCAUAUUUUCUCUGGUUUAUUAGGAUCCCUUUAGCUGAUCUAGCUACUUCAAGUCUAAGAAAAUACUUGAGAUUUCCUAGAUCCUUUAAUUUGAAGCUUUUGUUGAGAGAAUUCUUCAAAUUAUUAGCAGCAAUCUUGUUGUUACUAGCAACUAUUAUGUCAUCAACAUACACUAACAAAGCAAUAAAAUCAUUUCCUGUUGUCUUGAUAAAUAGAGAAUAAUCUGAAUGAGAUUGCUGAAAGCCUUCGGAGAUUAAAACACCAGAGAAUUUUGCAAACCACUGCCUAGAUGCUUGUCUCAAGCCAUAGAUGGAUUUGUGUAACUUACAAACUGUGUUGGAAGGUAAUAAAGGCUCCCCCUCACGGUGAUAACCAGGAGGAAGAUGCAUGAAAACUUCUUCAGACAGAUCACCGUGCAAAAAUGCAUUAUUGACAUCAAGGUGAGUCAAAUGCCAAUUGUAAAUAGAAGCAAGAGAGAGUAAUACCUUGAUAGUGACCAUCUUGGCAACAGGUGAAAAAGUAUCAAAAAAAUCAACACCUUCUUGCUGUGUGAACCCUUUGGCAACAAGUCGUGCUUUGUACCUUUCAAUGGAACCAUCAUCAUGAUAUUUAACAGGAUAAAUCCAUUUGCAACCAACUGCUGUUUUUCCAGGGGGUAGAGUGCACAAAGACCAGGUAUUAUUGGACUCUAAAGCUUGCAGUUCAGCUCGCAUAGCAUGCUGCCACUCGGGUACAACGAGUGCCUCAGCAUAUGCUGUUGGUUCUGUGAUGGUGGAAAUGAAAAUAGAAAAUGCACGAAAAGAAGGGGAAAGUUUAUUGUAGGAGAUGACAUCGGAUAAGGGGUAAGGAGUGGAGUUGGAUAUAUCGAAAUGAGGAGUAGAAGAAGCUAAAUGACAGUGAUAAUCAGAGAGAUAUUUGGGUGGUUGGGAUACUCUAGAAGAUCUGGUGGUUGUGUGGGAGGUGGUAUGAGGUGAAAUGUCAUUGGAGGAAGAAUCAGGGCUGUUAGGAUGUGAAGUCAAAUUAUCAAAAGAAGGGGAAGGGGUAGAAACUGGUACAACAGGCAGUACCUUUUCAUAAAAGAAAUCUGAUGCAACAGAGUUAUUAUUCUGAGAUAACUUGAAAGGAAACACAGAUUCUUGGAAGAUAACAUUCCGGGAGACAGAUAUUCGGUUGGUCUCUAAGUCUAGAAUUUUGUAACCUUUGUAACCAAAAGGAUAUCUUAAAAAGACACAAGGUAAGGCUCGAUGAGAGAAUUUGUGACGGGUGCUAGGAAAAGUUGAACUAUAACAAAGACAUCCGAAAGAUUUGAGAUGGGAGUAAGAUGGUGAUUUAUGAUGAAGUAGCUCAAAAGGAGUUUUGUUGUUCAGUAAUGGCGAUGGAAUUCAAUUUAUAAGGUAAACCGAAGUAAGCACACAAUCCCCCCAAUAUCCUAUAGGUAUGUUGGAUUGGAAAUAUAAGGCCCGAGCUACGUUUAGGAUGUGUUGGUGUUUACGCUCAACAACCGAGUUUUGUUGAGGAGUUUCAACACAAGAGAAAAAAUGGAGCACACCAAGUUGGGUAAAGAGAUUGGAUAGGUUUAAUUCAGGGGCAUUGUCACUACGAAUUGCUUUAAUUGUGAGACCAAACUGGGUUUUAACCAUGGAGAAAAAUUGUGGAAAAAUGGUCUUGACAUCAGAUUUAGCACGUAGAAGAUGAACCCAUGUAUUCCUUGUACAAUCAUCAACGAUUGUCAAAAAAUAACGAAAUCCAUCAUGUGUGGGAAUAUGAAAUGGACCCCACAUAUCACAGUGUAUGAGAUCAAAGGGAGAAGGAGAUAAAUUAUUAUGGCAAUCAAAUGGCAAACAUUUCUGUUUUGCCAGAGGGCAGAUUGAACAAGAAAGAUUGGUAUUGCCAUUACUUUGCAACUGUAAAUGAGGUUUCAAUACACUGAGUUUGACAUUGGAUGGGUGGCCUAAUCUGAAAUGUCUCAAUUUGUUUACAUGAUGAUUACUACCAAAAAGUGCUAUUUUGUAGACCUAAUUAUAAUGGUUUUAAGCACCUUUGAGUAGUAAUCAUAUUCAUUUAACCCAAUUAAUUCAUUAAGGUCCUUAGUAAUUGGUUUUAACCAUUUUGUGGCAAGUUUACAUGUUUUUAUCAGCUUAUGAAUCAAUUCAAGCAUGCCAAAUGAUGGAGGAGCGACUUGGACAAGUUAUGGCAAAGCUUUUGGAAGCUCAAAUUCAUGAAGAACCAAGCUUUGGAGCUCCAUAGCCCUUUGCCAAAGUCGUUCAAAGUAUGCAAGGAAAUAACAAUGGAAAAGAGGAAAAGCAAGCAAAGUGAAGAGAAGUAAAGAGGACAGCAGCUGCAGUCUUCUUUCGCACUUUUGGAGCACUUUCCGAAGUCUAGUUUUUACAUGCUAUAUACCAUUUCAAAUCUUUGGAAGUCAAGAAUCCAACGCUUCAAACCGUGUACGAUUUGGAGCUGAAAUGAGGAAGCUAUGGCCUUCAGAAGCCAACUGCUCCAGGUUGUGCGAAAAUUUCGCACGACACAAGGUGUUAUGCGAAAUUCGCAUAACACCUUCAAAAUUCGCAUAACCCAUGUGUGGUGCGAAUUUUCCUCUGUUUUUGCCGACUCCACUUUAGAUAUUUUCCUUUGUAUUUUUUGAUGUAAUUUCCUUUCUUAUCCUUGUAACUAACCAAUCACAAGCUUUUGCUUUUGUAAAGACUAUAUAAGGGGUGGAAAUCACCUCUUGGAAUACAUAUAGAACAUAGGUUACGUUUUACACUUAGAAUAUAUACAGAGCUCUCUCGUCUCUCUUUUCUCUUUACUAUUUUAUUUUCUUGGAAUCCAAACAGCCUUUGAGGGCUUUUCCUCAGAGGAUGAUUGGCUAAAACUUUUAGUUUCUCAAAGUAUGGAUGUUAUGUGAUGACUUGGAUGCAAUCCCAUGGAAAUUUCUCGCACCCGGAAGGUAAGGUAGUUGUUUUUCAUUAAAGGUUCAUUAAUGCAAAUUUUUGUUUUUAUUUCCUUUGGACAACUUCCAACGGCCAAUACUUGAUAAGCUUUUGGAUUUCUAUCCAUUAGUUAUCUCCUACGAGCUAUUGGAAGGUGAGGUUUUCAAUUCCAAGUUUUGCAUUAAUCCGUUAGAACCAAUUUCAAUGGCCAUUGAAAGGUGAGUUUAUCAUCUGGAAUGACUUUGAGUUGCCAAUAUUUGGUAAGCUUUUGGCUUUAGACCAUUAGUUAUCUCUUAUGAGCCAUUCAAAGGAAGUCUAAGGUGAAUAACCAUUGAUGAAAUUCACUACCAUCUGUUUUGCCAUUUUAAAGGAUUAAAACUUGAUUUGCUAAAUCCAUACCGGUUUGGGAAGCAAGCAUCACCAUAGUUGCAACCCCAACGCGAGGAGCCUAUCCUGAGAUUUCCAAUUUGCAUAAGAGCCAGAGCAUAGCUAUCCUAUCUUUGAGAAACUUGUUUUUACACCCUUUCAUUUUAGUCUUUAAUGUUAGCUUAGAUUAGUUUAAAUCUUUCUAAAACAUUUACAUCUUCUUUUAAAGCUAACAUCCAUAAGAAAAUCACCUAUUUUCCUAAUUUGAAUAUCACUAGUGUUUGCGAAAACCCUUCCAGUGAACGAUCCUAGAACCACUAUGCUAUAGUAGCUUGACUACUUUAGUAAUAGUAUUUAAGGUAUAAAUUUUGUUGAUACGCCUUUAAAGCUAAGCUACCAUGAGUCGAAUCACAUGAGCAGAAGUGUUGUUAUCAACAACGAAUACAGAGGAAAUAGAACUAAAAACAGAGCUAUCUAAGAGGUAAAGGUUGCCUUAACGUCUACCCAUCCCAAUCAGCUUCCCCUGUGAAUGGUCCUGAAUGAAGCAAAAACGAGCAGUAAAAUCAAAGGAAAAACAAUUGGUUUGAGUUAAGGCACUAAUGGAGAUAAGAUUAAAUUGAAAUGUUGGAAUGUAGAGAACAUGUUCAAGCAUGAGAUGAGGUGACAGAUGAAUGGUGCCUAUUCCAGUGAUUGGUAUUUUUGUACCAGUGGGUAAAGUGACAGUGUUGGAAGAAAAUGAAUGAAUAGAGUGAAACAUGGAGGAAUUAGUGCAAACAUGGUGGGUUGCCCCUGAAUCUAAAAUCCAAAUGCUAGGGUUGAGAGUGGAUGAUGAAGGAGAAAGAGAAAGGAUACCAGUGAAGUUGGAAAUGGAUUGCUGAAGCGGGUUGCUAUCACCGAAUGAGGCAGAGGAGCCACUCGAGCUAUGCAAACUCAAGAGAGCCAAUAACUGAUUGUGCUGGUCAUGAGUGAGAGGCGGUGGAGAUGCAGAGGCGGUGGAGCCAUCUGUGAGAGUCAAUUGAUUCGUGUGAAGACUAUUGGGUAGCAUCUGAUUUGGGCGAGAACCAUUGGGCCUAAAGUUGGGCCUAUUUCUGAAUCCAGGUGGAUACCCAUGUAUUUUGUAGCACCGAUCAACUGUGUGACCCAAGAUGUUGCAAUGGGUACAGAGUGGGCGAUCCUUUCUUGAUCGAGAGGAAUUAGUAGGAGAAGAAGCUCUGGAUGCCGCUUGAAAUCUGGAGGAAACAGGAGAAGUGAAUGCCGGAGAGUUGGAGGUGGUAAGAGAUUGUUGCCGUUUUUCUUGAACAACCAAGAAGAAAACUUUAUUCAGCGGAGGAGUCGGUUCCAUCAACAGGAUUUGAGCUCGAAUCGGAGCGAAGGAUUCGUUCAAACCCAGCAUAAAUUGCAUCACAGAUUCUUGUUGUUGAUCCUCCAUAUAAACACGCAUGCCACCGCAAUUGCAAACUGGUAUCGCCUUGAAUUCUCAAAGCUCAUCCCACAAGGAUUUCAGUCGAGUAUAGUAGGUAUUGACAUCAGCCGAUCCCUGAGUGUGAGCAAGAAUUUUUUGCUUGAGUUCAAAAAUUCGAGGACCACUGCCCUGAUGAAAUCAUUUGUAUAGAUCAUUCCAUAUUUCAAUGGCUGUUUCAUGAUAGAGGAUGCUCUCUGCAAUUUCUUUGCAAACCGAGUUAGAGAGCCAAGAUAUGACCAUGCUGUUGCAGCGAGACCAAGGACCAGCAAGGAGAUCUGUUGCAGCAGGACGUGAGAUGGUUCCAUCGAUAAACCCAAGUUUGUUCUUAGCAUUUAGAGCUGUAACCAUUGAUCGGCGCUAAGAAUGACAGUUUGAACCAAAUCCAGCAAGUGAAAGAGAAACCAGAUAGAGACUUGGAUGAUCACCAUUGUGAAGAAAAUAGGGACUACGAUGAUCUUCCAUGGGAGACUGAAAAAGAUGUUGAGGAGGUUUGCCCUUAGCCAUGCUCAGAAGGAAGGAAAAACGGAAGGAAUGUGCUCUGAUACCAUAAUAGAAAAACAAAAGGUAAAUGGCAAGAAAGGCAAACAAAGGCCUAAGAGAGAAAUAAAACUAGUGUAAUUAUAUUAAAGAAUUACAUCAAAUUAAUUUAAAGUUUGAAUCUUUGAUUGAUAAAAUUUGAACCAGAAUAAAAUACCUAGGGUGAAUAUAGAAUGAGAAAACCGAUAACCUAGCAACUUAUAUUAAUUUUCAAAAAUGAUAAAAACUAUUCAAUAAUAUAUUUAUUGGAUUUGUAGCCUAAUAACUUGAGAACCAGCAUGCCUCCUCGAUGAACUCCAUGUUACCUUUAAUUUCAUGAUGAAUAAAAAGUAGUCAAUAUUAUACUAAUCAGAUUUGUAGGCUAAUGAGUUGGGAACCAGCACGCUUCCUUGGUGAACUCCAUGUUGCCUUUAAUUUUGUGAUGAAUAAGCCUAAUGACUUGAGAACCGACAUGUUUCCUUGGUGAACUCCAUGUUGCCUUUAAUUUCGUGAUGAAUAAAAAUUAUUCAAUAUUAUAUUUAUCAGAUUUGUAGCCUAAUGAGUUGAGAACCAACAUGCUUCCUCGGUGAACUCCAUGUUGCCUUUAAUUUCAUGAUGAAUCAUUAUAGCAAGUGUCUCUUCACAUAAUAAUAAAUUCAUAUUCAUAUAUUUCAUUUUGGGUAAUGAACUUAUCAUCUACCGUUUGUUAUUUUCUUAUUUUCAAGUUUUUUUUUUAGCAUAUAUUAGUUUUUACCUUAUCUAUCUUUUUAUUUUUAGAUUUCAAAGAUAAAAAAUAUAACCAAUUCUGGUUGAUGAAAUUAUUUUCCGCUCAUUUUAAACAUAUCAAGGUAUUUAUUUGUUGAUAAUAUCUAUUCUUUUAUCAUGUAUUACUUUCAUUACUUUUGAUUGAUAAUUAACAAACAAAAUGUUUUUUAUUUUUAUUUAUUUUGGAUAAUUCAUUGAUUGUUUGUUAGUAACAUUAGAUUAGUUCUUAAAUAGGAUAUUUAAAAAAAAUUAUAAGUUACCUUAACAAGAUUACUUAUACAUGUACACAAAUAUUUUUAUUAAACUAUAAUUUUUUGAAAAAUUUCAAACUGCAUGAUAUUUUUUUAAAAUUUAAUAAAAUUUUUACAACAAUAGUAUUAUCUUUCAUAAUAUUGCCUUUGGUGAAAAUGAAAACAAUUAUUUAAAAUAUAACCUUAAUAGAAUUGGCCAAAUUCGAUUAAAAAUUAUUUUAAAUUCAGAAACUUUUCUAAAAUCAAAUCAUUUGAUAAAAUUAAAAUAUUCAUUUUUGAGGCAAAGAAAUUGUAAAAUAUAUCCUUAACUUCUCUUUGGAUAAAAUGGGUGUAUCUAUGUCGCCAAGAUAAAAUCUUCUCAAAAAACUAAAUUUAAAUAACUAGAUUUUUUAUUUAGUCAUCAAAUAUUUUGCCUUUCAUAGAGAUUAUAAAUAAGCAUUUUGUAAUCAAUUUUUCUAUUAUCUUUUAUUGAUUAAUAAUAAAUAAAUAAACAUUUUGUAGUCAAUUUUUUUGUUAUCUUUUAUUGGUUAAUUGUAUUAUUAUUAUUAUACGUAAGCCUAUUUUAAUGUAAUAACUUUGAUCGAAGAUAAAACCAGUUCUAUGGAUUAUAUUAAAUAAAAAAGAUGAUAAUGUUAAAAAAUUUAUUUUAGGAUACAAGCCAUGAAUGUUUUUUUUUUCUUACCUAUCUAUCAUUUUAAAAAUUUUGACAACAUAUAAAUCAAACUUUUAAGAGAUUGAUAUUUUAUACAAAUCUUACUAGAAUUAUCUUUACUAUAUAUAAAAGAUUGAAGUAGUUGUUUACUUUUUCCUAUAGAAUUGUCUUCCCAUUUUGCUUAUGUAUGCUUGCAUCCUAUAACUAUUUUAUUUGAUUCAUUCAACUUAUAUUUUUCUGUUUCCAAAUUAAGUCUAAGAAUUUAUUUAAAUAAUGUCUCUCUUAAAAGUAUUUAAAUUAAUAUUAAAAUAUAAUAAAAUGAUGCAUUUUUUGAAAAAAAAUUUUGUUUGAUUUAUUAUGUUUUUUUUUUUUUGGUAGAUGACUACAAGAAACAAAUAUUUAAACUAUAAUAUGAAUCCAAGGCAUACCAUGAUGGACACAUAAGUACCAUGAAUAAAAUGAGACUAGACCUUAGAACACAUCGUACUCCUCUUACUAAUGAACAAUUAAUCAAAGGCCUCAUGCAAUCUCUACCUAACCAUUGGGAUUGUGCAAGAUUUGACAUGAGAGAUAAAAUAAAAGCUGGAUUUGUGAAGAACUUCUUUGAUGUAGCUUGUGAGCUUGAAUUGUUAGAGGAACGAUGUCUUUUGAUGUAUACCAAAUGAACUGUUGUGUUAUUGAUUCAUCCAAAUCUUCGUAGUGCAAGACACAUGGGUCAUUGUUCACGAGAGAGGGGAUUGUGGUUGGGAAGGAUCAGCCUUAGAGAAGUCUGAGAACAAAUGGUGUUGUCCAUCGGAGAUCUUAGAGAAUACAAAGUGACAAAAAGAGUUUAAAAUAAUGACUUGUAUUACAAAUUUUUAUAGUUUUAUAUGUUGUCAUUUUAACCACACAAUGUUUAAACAAUUAAUAGUUUGAAAAUGAGAUUUUUUAUUUUAUUUAUUUUUUACGCUUUCUAUUAUCUGUCGUUUACUCAAAUGGGUUGAAACAAAAUAAUUGAUCAAACAUUUUGUCUUUAAUAGUAAUGUGGUAGUUUUCUACUACAUUUUUCUCUCCAUAAAAAAAUAUUACAUAAAUCUAUUUCUUUCUUUGAAAUUUUGAUUGACACGAUGCUUAACUAAUUUGCUGCUUCAAAAAAUAUAGUCGAUUAUCAAUCUUUAUUUUAAAUGUAGUUCAUAUGAUAAUAAUUUUUUUUGGUAAUAAUAAUAAUUAUUGUUUCAUUAUAUUUGUUUUGCUUAGUGUUAUUAUUAUUAUACAUUAAAAAAUAAUUGAAAUUUUGCUUACCAGUUUGUGAUAUUUAUUUCCUAUGUAUCGUAUAAUUUAAUAUAUAAUUGGGAAUUCCCAUUAAGAAGUUGCACCUGUUUGUAGUAUUCCUUUUUUUUUUUUUGCCACGUUGUCUUUUUUGCUUCAAUUUUUAUUCAUUUAUUUAUUUAUUUUAUUUAUUAUUUAUUAUUAUUUUUAUAGCGUGAAAGAAAUGGGCCUCUAACAUCCAUGUUCUAGAAAUUGGGCCAUAGUCUUUUUAAAAAUUGUUUAGUUCAUGUUGAUUUGUUUUAGAGCAUAAUUUUGAGUUUUUCAUGGAUAAUAUUAUUUAUAUAUGUUGCUAUGUUCUAGAAAUAAUUGAAAAUCAAUUUUGAAUUUUAUAUUAAUUCUUAUAAAUUUUCUGGAUAAAAGAUCUAUGACCAUUUUGUAAUCAGUUGCCAUUAAAAACAUUAACUAAUUCACUUUAUAUGAACCAAGUUACACACUAUUGACAAUAAGAUCUAUUUUUUCUACUCAAAAUAACAAUGGCAUCAACACAAUGUAUGAAUAUGUUUAUCUUUUUGCAUGUUCCUGCAACUUUUACAUUGAUAAUAUCUUAUCAUUUUCAACGUUAUAUGGCAUCUACAUUACUAAAAAUGAUAGGCAUGUUUAUAGAUCAAGAACAAGCUCCAAAACGUAAUUAUGUAACGAGAAGGUAUGCUAGGUUAACAAAUGAACAAAGGGAAAAGCAUGUACAACAUGUGAUGCAAAAUUAAAAAAAAACCGUGAAACUAUCACUUGCAGUUCCUCAAUGCGUGAAAAUAUAGGUGUCCCAAUCACAACUUUUGGAAACGAAGAAUAUCCAUCUAUAGAGCAAUUUGAAAGUGUGUUAUAUUAGUGGAAAAAAUGUUGGAUUUUUAUAUGCACUUGUGCUUUUUCGCCAUAAACCUAACAACAGUGUUUUAAUAGGUAAGGUACGAAACCACAUUGUUUACUCACCAUUACAUGAAUUGAGUACAACACAUUCUUGUCCAUUUUGUGGUGCAAAACGAUUGCAACAUGAACCUUCUACCUUUUGUUGCUACAAUGGCAAAGUAGUUCUUUCUAUACCUCAAAUUCCAGAAGAUUUGUAUAUUUUAUAUACUUCUCACAAGUGAAGAAGCUGUAGAAUUUCGACGGCAUAUUCGAGCUUAUAAUAAUAUUUUCUCCUUUACAUCAUUUGGGUUAAAUUAGACAAAGAGCUUGCAAGCUCCAAAAAAAAGGAGUUUACACUUUUUGAGCUCAAGGUCAGAUAUACCAUCAACUUCUAGCUCUACAAGCAUAUCACAACUCUCUUGCCUUCUUCCAAUUAUACUUCUAUGACAUUGAUAAUGAAAUCCAGAAUAGAUUAUGCAUACUAUAAGAUGUGUCCCUUAAUGAGACAAUUGUUCAAAAUUUGAUGAAUAUACUACUACAAAAUCCAUAUGGUCAAUUUUUCCACAUACUAGAGCGUGCUCCAUUAGAUGUUUAUGAAAUCCGAAUUAAAAGUGAAAUUUCAUUGGAUAAAAGGGUUUACAAUUCUCCAUCAGUUGAUCAAGUGGCCGCCAUAUGGAUUGAAGGGAAUAAUUCUAAUCUAGCUCACGAACGUGAUAUUAUAGUUCAUGCCCAAUCCGGUGACAAACAUAAAGUUAAACACUACUAUGGUUGUUAUGAUCCUUUACAAUACCCUCUAUUGUUUCUUAAAUAAGAUGUUGGAUGACAUCAAAAUAUUCUGAAAGAGAUCUAUUGAACUAUAGUAAUGACAAUGCACAUAUAUUCAAAGAUUUGAGUAUACAAAAUUUUUCAUCAGCUAAAGAUGUUCUACAUUGAGAACAACAAGGUAGCACUUUAAAUCUCAUUUUAUUUAGAUAAACCCAAGAAUCUAUCUAAUAGAAACUAACCUUCAACUUAUUCAUUUUCCUUAUAGAUCUUAUUCAUGGAGGGAGGAGAAAAGUGUCUUAUCAACAAUAUUAUUGCUAAAGUUGUAAAUUAUAGAUGAUGGCUCAAUUUUAUUACUUUCUGGUAGACUUUUGCAACAAUAUGUAGUCGACAUGUAUAUCAAGCUUAAGACAACAUGGUUGGACUACUAUAGAAGGCAACAAUAAAAAAUUAGAGUAGAGUUGUACUAAUGCAUCAUUGAUAGAGUGCUAGCUAGAAAUAGUAGGGCAAGUCAAGUUGGGAAAAUGAUCGUGCUACCUACAUCAUUUGUAGGAGGCCUUACAGACACGCGUCGUAGAUAUUUAGAUGCUAUGUCUUUGGUCCAAUAGUUUGGAAAGCUAGACCCUUUUAUAACAAUGACAUGCAACCCAAAGUAGAAGGAAAUUCAAAAUGAAUCGAAUGAAAACCAAAUACCACAAGGUAGACCUGAUUAAUAUUUGUGUGUUUUCCUAGCAAAGAUACAGGAGUUAAAGGAGAAACUGUUUAAAAAACAUAUAUUUGGAAAUGUUGCAGCACAUUUUCACGUAAUAAAGUUCUAGAAAAGAGGUUUGCCUCAUGUACAUAUAUUGAUAAUCUUAAAGCCAGAAUAUAAGAUUCUCACUCUCGACCAAUAUGAACGAUUUAUUAUUGCUGAAAUCCCAAAUCCUAUAAGAUAUCCAGGUUUACAUGACAAGGUUGUUAAGCAUAUGAUGCAUGGCCCUUAUGGACCUUUAAGGAUUAAUAAUUCAUGCAUGCGUGAUGGGAAGUACAAAAAUAGGUACCCUCAUUUGUUCUGUUCGAAUUCGUAUCCAACCCAUAGAAGAAGAUAUGACAAAUGACAAGUAUUUGUGUGUAAUGCUGCUUUGGAUAAUUGUUGGGUUGUCCCCUACAAUCCCUAUCUUUUAAAAAGAUAUAACUAUCAUAUUAAUGUCAACAUCUAUUCUAGCAUUAAAGCAAUUAAAUAUCUUUACAAAUACAUAUACAAAGAGCAUGACAAAGUAGUUGUUCACAUUGCUGAAAGAAAUGAUGGCAUUAUAGUUGAUGAAAUGAAGGAGUUUUAAGAUACUCAAUGGGUUUCAACAAAAGAAGCUGUAUGGAGAAUUUUUGAGUUUGAGCUAAACGAGAUUCAUCCAGCAGUCAUCAAUUUGCAACUACAUCUUCCUAAUAAGCAAUCAAUUUGCUAUUGGGAAAACCAAAAUUUGGAACAUGUGAUUUAUUUUAGUCUCGCAUUAAGGACUAUGCUCACAAAAUUUUUCACUUUAUGCUCUCAAGAUGAUGAAGCAAGAAAUUUUUUGUAUAAAGAAUUUCCAGAGCAUUAUGUGUGGAAUAAGUAAAGUAAAUCCUCGACUAAAAGAAAGGCUAGAGAAGUUAUUGGUCAAGUAAAUGUAGCUAAUCCAUCGAAAGAUGAGAAAUAUUAUCUAAGACUUUUACUUAAUCACGUUAGAGGACCCAAAUCUUUUGAAAAUUUAUUAAGUUACAAUGGUCAUCAAUAUCUAUCAUUUAAGGAGGCUGCCCAAAAAAGAGGUCUGUUGGAAUCAGAUGACUCCAUUUCCAAAUGUUUUCAUGAAAUUGAAACAUUUCAAAUGCCAUUAGCAAUGAAAGAUCUUUUUUCAACAAUCUUGGUGUAUAGUCAACCAACUGAUGUAAGAAAAUUGCAGAAUACUCAUUUUGAAGCAAUAUCGGAGGAUUUUUGCACCCUUGAUUCACAAUCAAUUGAAUCUCAAAUGUUGAACACAUUGAAAAGUGUAAACUUUUUCCUUAAAAGCAUGGGGAAAAGUUGUGCUAAUUAUGACUUACCCAUGCUGGAUUUGAGUUUACCUGAUUUACUAAUCAUUCAUUGUAGAUAAAUUUAUGAUGAAAUUGAGAUAAAUAUUAUUUCUAAAGAUUUGAAUGCAUCAAUGAGAUUAAAUUCAAAACAACAACAUGCUUAUUCAACUAUCCUUGAUCAAGUAAGUUUUGGUUUGGGUAGUCUUUUUCAUUGAUGACCCAGGAAGGGCAGGAAAAACAUAUUUGUAUCGAGCAUUGUUGGCGGCGGUUGGAUUAAGAAGAAUGAUUGCUAUUGCAACAACAACUUUAAGCGUAGCUUCCUCCAUUAUGCCUGGUAGCCAAACAUUGCAUUCAAGAUUUAAAAUACCAAUUAAUCUUGAUGAAUCAAGUUUAUGUAACAUGAUUAAACAAAGCGGCAGUAUAGAGCUCCUAAAAAAGGCAAGUUUAAUAGUAUGGGAUGAAGCACCCAUGGCAGCUCAUUGGGCUAUUGAAGUGGUUGAUAGAAUUUUAAGGGACAUUAUGGAUAACCAAUUGGUGUUUUGGGGAAAUGUUAUUGUAUUUGGAAGAGAUUUUAGACAAGUACUCCCCAUGGUUCCUCAUGUUACAAAGGCAGAAACUAUGAAUGAAAGUUUAGUCAUGUCAUAUCUUUGGCCUAAAAUGGAAAAAUUAAGGUUGAUUAGAAACAUGAGAGCUCAGUUAGAUACCACAUUUAGUGAUUUUCUACUAUGGGUUGGAGAUGGUGAUGAGAGCUCAAAAUCAGGAUAUGAUAAAUAUACUUGAUCACAUGUUAGUUCAAUAUAAAAAUGGUGACGACCUUAAAGAGUGUUUGAUUAAUACAAUUUUUCCCUCAUUGAGAGAGAAUGCAAGCUCGUCAGAAUAUAUCAAGGAAUGCGCUAUUCUUACAACAACAAACGAAUUUGUUGAUAUGAUGAAUGAAAAGUUAAUUGCUAUGUUCCUAGGUGAAUCUAAAGCAUAUUAUAGUUUUGACUGAGUAGUUGAUGACACUUAACAAGUUUAUCAAGAAGAUUUCUUAAAUACAUUAACACCAAGUGGUCUGCCCUCACAUUAAUUGGUGUUGAAGACAAAAUGUCCCAUAAUGCGACUAAGGAAUUUAGAUCCAUCAAAUGGACUUUGUAAUGGAACAAGAAUGGUUAAUUUGCAAAGGUUUUGAGGCAAAUGUCAUACAUGUAGAAAUUACAAUGGGACAAAAUGCUGGAAGGCAAGUUCUAAUCCUAAGAAUACCUAUGUCUCCAGUAGAAAAUGAAGGCUACCCUUUCCAUUUCAAGCAUGCUCAAAUAUUAAUAUAGAUUCGACUUUGUUUUGCAAUGACUAUUAACAAAGCACAAGGCCAAACAAUACCUUUUGUUGGGGUGUCCUUACCUCAAAAUGUCUUCUCACAUGGACAAUUAUAUGUUGCUUUGUUGCAUGGAACUUCUUUCUCAACAACAAAAGUGUUUAUCAAAGAAACUGACCACAAAAGUACAAGAAGGACUUACACAAAAAAUGUGGUCUAUACAAAAGCUUCAGCUUUGUGUAGGUAUUGAAACUAUGGAUCUGUUUAGCUUUGUGCUUUACAAUUUUUCAAAAUGAUAUUUCUAAUAUACGUAUCAUAUUAUUCUAUUCUAAUUUUACUAACUUUCCAAUUUUGAUUAUUUUUUCCUUUUUUUUAAUGCAGUAUCCAAUUAUGAAGCAAAUAAUGAAGGUUUUAUCGCUAUAAGCACACUUCAACCUUUCAAUAGGGAUUGGACUAUUAAGGCAUGUGUACUUCAAUGUACAUGGAUCCAUACAGGCGUACAAAAAUUCUAAAGGCUUGAGCAAAAUAUGGAAGAUAAUAUUCAUGGAUGGUCAAGUUAGCUAAGCUAUGUAUCAAACUACUUUAUUAUUUUAACUUUUUUUUUAUUAUUAUAAUUUUACGCUCAAAAUCAAAUUAAUACAACUUUUUAAAAUUAAAGCUAAGUAAACUACACAAAGCUUUAAAAUGAGUAACCUAAUGCUAUAAUAAAAACAUUAUAUGAUUAUUUUUACAUUUUGUUAACAAUUAGUCAUUGGUUAAUAUAGUUAAAAAAAACUUUUAUUCCCAUAAACAUGUCUACAUAAUGUAUUAUUCUAUUGUGAUAUGAUAUAAUGUGGUACCAUGUUAUGUUGUAAAAUCACAUAGGUUAUUAUUAAUUUUUUUUACUAUAUCAAUACUUUAACUAAGACCGUAAUGUAAUAAAUAAAUAUGUCAAAAAUAUGUCCUACCAUAUUAAUAGAUCAUGUAUAAUAAUAAACUAAGAUUUCCCUAUUACAUGUAUUUUAUAUUUAUAUUUACACAAUUAUAAUUAUAAUUAAUUUGGAUUUGUCCAUAAAAACACUUGGUCACUAUCAUUAGUCAUGAUUAGUAUUAUUUAUUAUUGGAAUAUAGAGAACAUAGAUGAAUAUGGUGAAUACGAUUAUAUCAUUUUAGAUUAAAUGUUACGGAUGGGAAAGUAAAUUAAAAAAGGUGAACGAAUACUUAACUUACCAAAGCUUUACUCAUUGAUUAUAGAUAUGAAUUGGAAACCAAUUUAAAUUUUAAAAUAUCUUCUACAUUAGCUUUUAUGCAUCAAAGAAAGUAUCUACAAUAUAUAUAUAUAUAUUACCAAAUUAAUAAGAUUAUUUUUUUACAAAAAUUGAAAUUUAAUGUUCAGAUACAUAAUAUUCUUUUUAACCAUAAUUAUAUAAAUUAUAAAGAAAUAAUUUGGAACUAUUGGAUAACGAAAACCAAAAUACAAUUCAAUGAAGUCCAAAAUAAAUAUAUACAUAUAUAUAUAUAUAUGUAUGUAUGUAUGUAUGUAUGUAUGUAUGCAUGCAUGUAUCGUGGUGGUUUAAAUUUAAAACUUCCCCAGUGGUUUAUAUAAAUUGCUUUUAAAUUAUAAAUUGUCAUGCUUAUCCAUUAAAUAUGGAUUAGGAACAAACAAAUUCAUAGGUAACAAAAAUUACAUGGGCAGCUUUCAUUGAAAACAAGAUGGUCAUUGGUCGUGAAUGCUAGUUUAAAUUUCAAACUUACCCAAUGGUUAUAUAAAUUGAUUUUAAAUCAUAAAUUGUUAUGCUUAUCCAAAAAAUAUGGAUUAGGAGCAAAACAAAUUCAUAAGUAAAUAAAAAAAUAAAAAAAGGAUAGUUUUAAUUUAAAACAAGAUUGUCAUUGGUCCAAUUAUAUAACCUUCAAAUUAUGACCAUGAUCUUCUACGUAAAUCUUUUAAAAAAAAAUUACAAAUAAUUUUUUCAAAUAGGUUGUUAAUAUUUUAUGAGGUUUAUACUACAACAUUUCCAUUAUUCGAUUUAUUUAUACAUUAUUCGCAAUAUUCUUAAAGAAUCAAAACUGUUUUAUUUUUAUGUUUGGAUACUAUCUUACAUUCAAUAACUACCAUUAUUAUUCGUGGUACAAUAUAGGAAAUUGAUCAAACAUGAUUGUGGAAUGAAAAUGUUGUGAGCUAAACAAUUUAGCCAUAAAACAUUUAUAUAACUAUUAAUUUUAUUAUUAAGCACGUUAACACAUAAAUUUUGGUUACUAUUUUCCAGGAUACAAGAAUUUAAGCUGUGUUAUUUAAUGAUACGAUUGAUAUAUUUGAGAAAGAGAUUUUCAAAGAGAAGACAUACCUUAUUUCAAAUGGGUUGGUUAAAUAGGCUAAUACUAAUUUUUGGAAUGUACAUGACAAGAUAGAAUUGAUGUUAUCUACCCAUUCUAGAGUUGAGGAGGCUCAGAUUGAUAUUGAUACAUCAAAGGCUACUUAUAACUUCCUUCAACUUAGUGAAAUAGGAAAUUAUAUCGACACAGAUAUUCUUAUUGGUAUGUAUAUAUAUACUAUUUAAAAACUAUCAUUGUUUAGAUUUUUUAUUAUGAAUUUAAAUAUCAUGCAGAAUUUAUUAUUAUAUAAAUAUUUUCCUUAAUUAUCUUACAGAUACAUUGGUUAUUAGUGUUGAUUCUCAUGUUCUAAAGUCAAAUGGAACCAAUGGUGACACUUUUAGGAGAAACAUUAUACUAACUCACUCAAUGACACCGUUAUGCUAACAUUAUGGGGAGAUCUUGCAACCAAUGAAGGACAAUUACUAGAGCAAUUGGUAGCUUCAAAACCAUUGAUAGUUUUAUCACAGGCAAAAGUGAUAGCAUAUAAAGGUAUGUAUGUAAAUUAUUUAACUUUAAUUUAAGUGUUUCUCCUAUUAUUAUUUAUAUCAAUUGCUAAAAAAUCAUCCUUAAAUAGGUUAAGUAUCUCUGUCUACAUUAUCAAUCCCACUAGUUCAUAUAAUCCAAACUUGGAGCAAGCUAACAAUUUAAAAGAAUGGUAUGUAUAAAUAUAUAUAUAUAUAUAUAUAUAUAAUUGUCUUAAUUUAUUUAAAAUUAUUCAAUUAUGAGAUCUCAUAUGAUUAGAUAUUAUAAUAUGUAGGUCGCAAUCUACCAUAGAGGUAAACAAAUCAAUGACCAAUACUCCAAGAAAGAUAAGAGCUACUAAACAUGCUACACUUGGGGAAUUGUUAGACAAACCUUCACCUGAAUUUGAAGUAUGUUGUCUUCCAACCAAAAUUUUUUUUGUUUCUUUAAAUAAAAUGAUUAAAUUUUAAAUGAUGCUUCUACAAAUGUUUUAGAAACGGUAUUAUUCAAUCAAAGCAACAGUCAUUGAUAUUCAAAAUAUGGAACAACCUGGGUAUAAUGCAUGCAAGUAAUGCAACAAAAAAGUCCUUAUGAGAAGUGAAAUUGGGGAAUGUGCAAAAUGUUGCAAUCCAACAGCAGACCACUAUCUAAGGUAUAUGUUAUUUAAACCAUCACCUAAUUUAUAAUCAUUGUCAUUCUAAAAGUAAAUGAACAAAUAUAACUAACCUUACAAACGAUAAUAUAAGUAUAUGCUUAGACUUCUCGUUGCUGAAGAGACCAAACAAGCAAUAGUCACAUUGUUUGAUGCAACUGAAAAGAUUAUUGGAUGUCUUGUAACUGAAUUUAUAACAAGUAACAAAGAGGUAUGUAUUUCUCUCUUCAAAUAAGAACUAUGAAAAUUUUAUCUUUAAUUUGUAAGUUAAUUUUUUAAAUAUAUAUUCUACAGCAUGGGAUGGACAACAAAUUUUACAAAGGAUUGAUUCAUUGUUAUGGGAAGUCAUAUAUUUUUGUCACAAGAAACAACCAAAUCAAUAGCAGUGGUUAAACUUCAGGAAGUUUCAUUUCAGAAGAAGUUUAUAAUGAAGAUGAGUUCAACAACUCAACAUUACCUCCAUAAAAAAAAUUUAAGAUUUAGCAAGAAUAGUGUAAUCUUAUGAAACUUCUCCAAAUUUGAACAUAUUUCUUUUAUCUUCACAUGAUGUGUAAACAAUCUUAUAUUGCUGCCCUACAUAAUCUACAAACUUUUGCAAGGAGACAACUAAGUUAUUUAUUUCAAAGGAUGCAUCAAAACAAUGGUGAAUUACAAAACAUAUAGAUUAUGACAUAAAUAUGUUUGUUGUAGUUUUAUAUUGUAACUAUUUUUCUACAAGUAUACCAUCUUACAAUCAUAAUAAUAAAUAUCUAUUUAAAUAAUUUAUUUCAAAUUGUGACAAAUAACAAUUUCAAUUCAAAAAACAAAUAUAUGAUAUUUAAGAUAGGUUCAUAUCUAACUUAAUUACUAAAUUAUAAAAUAAAUAAAUAAAAUUUCAAGCAAUCUAAAACACCCUCUUAUAUUAAAAAAAAAUACAUAUUAUCAUAUAAAUAAUAUAUUUCAUAUAUCUAUAUAUCAUUAUUAUUUAUGAAUUAAUUAAAUUAUGGGUAUGUUAUAUAUAUAUAUAUAUACAUAUCUUAGAAUUUAAACCAAGUUAUGUCCUUAAUUUGUAUUAUUAAUCCAUUUUUAAUUAUUUUAUGAAGUGAAAAUGGGUGGAUAUAGAUAGAAUUAUAGUAAAAAAAUUAUAUCAAAUUAAUUUAAAUUUUGAAUCUUUGAUUGAUAAAAUUUGAAUCAGAAUCAAAUACCUAGAGCAAAUGUAGAAUGACAAAACCAAGCUAAUAGCCUAGAAACUUAUAUUAAUUUUCAAAAAUGAUAAAAACUAUUCAAUAAUAUGUUUAUCGGAUUUGCAGCCUAAUGACUUGAGAACCAACAUACCUCCNNNNNNNNNNNNNNNNNNNNNNNNNNNNNNNNNNNNNNNNNNNNNNNNNNNNNNNNNNNNNNNNNNNNNNNNNNNNNNNNNNNNNNNNNNNNNNNNNNNNGUAAAAACCUUAGCAUAGCUAAAGGAUUUAUAGGAAAAACUACUAAUGCUUUAAGUUAAAAUGUAUGAUGGAAUUCAAUGAUAUAGUAAAAACUUUUGGAAGUAAGGCAGUAAAUAUGAUAGAAGCAAAACCCGUAAAUAUAGAUUAUUUAUUAGGACGAGAGUGGGAAUUACCUCAAAUAAAUAAACCAGUAAUAAAAUAUCCAACAUCCAAUAGCUUAUAUGAAAACCAAGAUGGAAGUGCAAGUAUAACCUUUGGAAAUUAUAAAACUAUAAAUGUAGAAGUAGAGUCAAAUAGUGAGAUAGAAACUGUAAAUGUUAUACAAGAAGAUAUUUUACUAAACAUUGAGACAGUAGAAAACCUAUACAAAAACUCGGAGUUAGUAAAUAAAAUGUUAGAGGAAUUUAGUAAUCCAACAUUACUAGACGAACAAGUGGAUCAAGAAAACUUUGUUAAUAUAAUGUGUAAAAACUAUACAGAUGACCAAAUAAUAGAACAACUCUAUAAAACCAAUUUAAUCAAAAAACUUAUAGAUAUAGAAAUGAUAAAUCAAUUUACUAUUCAACCAAAAGUUAACAAAAACAUAGAAAUAAUCUCAAACGAAUCAAUAAAUACAAUAAAUGAAGAAAAUGAAUUUGUAAAUGUAAAAAGUGAAAUAGUAAAAUAUAAUAAGUCGUAUGGCAAGCCAAAAGAACCUCAAUCGAAAACUAAAAUAGAACCUCAAUGUCGUCAUUGCUGACAUCAUCCUUCCAUUGCAUUUUGUAGAUUACGAUAACUUUCAUCGUCCAGGUUGUCCCAAAAUAAUGCGUCAUCGCUGAGGUAGGAAGAUGGUUCUGGUAUAUCUAGACUGAGUUCGGUUAUAAAAUCCUGUUCUUUAGAAGUAAUAAAAGGUUUUGGAACAAUAAUGUGUUCUAAAGGUUUUACUCUCCGUAUAGACAUGGUUUUUGUUUCACCAAUGAGAUGAAAUAAUUUAUUCUGAGUUGGUCUAAGAUCAUAGAUUUGAAAAGCUCUGAAGCGAGUAAAAAAUUCUGGAAAUUCAUUUGAACGGGUCAUUUCCCAUUCUGGUUCUUGUUGAGGGAUGAGUGGUUCUUUAUUAUGUUUUAUAUAUGCAUGAUGAUAGGGUGGUACUACUGAUCCAUCGGUUUGAAAUAAAGGUGGAAUGGUUUCAAAAGAAAUAUCUAUAUGUUUUUCGGUUUUAAAAAGAUAAGUUAAAAUAUCUUUCAAUUUUUUUGGGAAAUUUUCAGGGAUUUGAGAUAUAUGGUUCAUAAAAACAUUUUUUAAAAUUCCCUGAUCCAUGAGCUGCGGUACUAAAUCAAAAUUUUCUCUAUUUAUAACAUACAUAUUUACAUAAGCUAAAUAUAUAACAAAGAAAAAUUCAGGGUCAUGAUAUGCCAUAUACCCUGUUUUUAUCCCGGCAUUUUUGGUUCUAAAAUGUUUAUACAAAAGUUCUUGAUUUUUAAAUACUUUGUUAUAUUGAGUUUGUAGGAAAAAGGUUUUGACUAAAGAGUAGUUAUCAACUCCAAUUAUGUUUUUAACAAUAAGCUUUUCAUAUUGUUCAGUCAGAAGAGCUGAUUUCUUAAUUAAACUAAUUAUUUCAGGUUGACUGUUCGAACAGCCGGUUUGAUUGGUUGACACUAUACUGGUUUUCAAAUCUUCUAUCAGUUUUUCUUGAUUUUCUUGGAUUUUGAGGUUUUGGAAUUUUUGGGUUUCUAAAGCAAUCAGUUGGUUUUGAAGGUUUCGUAAAUGUUGGGCUAAAGCUGACACUGUUUUUCCAUAAGCGUAUUCUAAAUAUUGGUUCGGAAAACUCUGUGGUUUUAGAGACCAAAAAUUAUCUACAAUAACCUUAUGUUUUUCAAAAGGGUUUUGAGAAAAAUAAAGAGUUAAACCUCAUAUUUGGAUUCAACACUUCGUUCAGACAUAUGGUUUCAUAUUGAAAGGUUCUAUCUUUCGUAGGUUUUCUUUGAGUCAUGUUCCUGUAAUCAUGAAAUCAAUCAUUAGUAUUAUUAACAUUAUUAAUUAUUUGUCUACUUAACCAGUCUGCUAAUAUAUUAUCUUUUCCUUUAAUAUGUUCAAAUUUAGGUUUGAAACCAAUUAAAGAGUUUUGAAACUUUAUCCAUCUUUUGGUGGACAGUUUUGAAGAAUUUUUGUUUUCAAAGAAUUUUUUAAUAUUCUCACAAUCGGUUUUUAAAGUAAAUUGUUCUUGGUUCAAAAAUAAUUGAAAUUUUUCUAAGACUAAUAUUAUUGCUUCAAUUUCUAAAUCUGUAGAACUAAGGUUCUUUUGAUAAUCAUUAAAAGUUCCACUACAAUAUCUACAAAGUUUUUCUUCUCCUAUAUUAGUUACUGCUAAAAGUAUACCUCCCCAUCCUGUUUGACUAGCAUCAGUUUGAACUAUUUUAUAUUCAUUUUCUAAGGGUAAAUGUAAGGUUGGGAGAUGUUUCACAAGUUCUUUUAUUUUCUGUAUAAGUUUAAUAACUUCUUGGUUAAAAUAUCUCUGCCUUGUGUUUUUUGUUUUACUAUAAAGGGGUCCAGCUAAUCUACUAAGGUUUUUAAUAUAUGGCCUAACAUAAUUUAAUAAUCCUAAAAAACUUUGAAGGGUUUUUAAAGUCUUCGAGUUUAUUUGGAAAAUUAUUUAUUUUUUGUACUAUAUGUUUUUGUAAUUUUAUUUGUCCAUCCUCUAAUUCUAAUCCUAAAUAUUCUAUUUGAGUCUUAAAUAAUUUCAAUUUCUUUUUACUUACUAUUAAUCCAUGACUAAUUAGUUUUUCAAAAAUCAAUUCUAAAUGCUUUAUGUGUUCCUGAAGAGUAUAUGAAAAAACAAGAAUAUCAUCAAUAUAUACAAGAACAAAAGAAUAUUUUCCAAAAAUAUUAUCCAUCAUUCGUUGGAAUAUCUAAUGAGCAUUUUUUAGUCCAAAUGGCAUUACAUUCCAUUCAUAUAAUCCACAAGGACAUGAAAACAUUGUCCAUGGUUUACUAUCCUCUUCUAAUCUAAUUUGCCAAAAUCCACUUUUACAGUCUAACUGAGAAAAAUAUUUACAUCCUUGAAUAGAAUUAAUUAAAGAAUCUUUGUUUGGAAUUUUAUAGGCAUCAUCAUAUGUAUUAUCAUUCAAUCUUUUAUAAUUAAUAACCAUCCUAGCUUUUCCUCGUUUGUUUUCAUUAUGGUUUCUAACUAAAAAAAGCUGAGGAUCUAUGGGGACUGAAACAUGGUUUUAUGAGGUUAUUCUGUAACAGUUCUUCUAUUUGAAUUUUGAAUUCCUUUGUAUCUAUAAGAUUACAUGCUAUAUCUGCCGUUUUUAUUAUUAAAUCUAGGUUUUUAAUUGGUAUUUUACAGGUCGUCUUAUUUCUAUUCCAAUGUUUUUGUGGGUCUUCUCCUAUAAUUCUUAUUUUUUCUGCUUCUAAUAUAAGGUUUUUUUAAUCUGUUUGCAUUUCUUAAUUGUUCUGAGUAGUCAUUAAUUAUGCUAUCCUUUUGUGCCUCUACUUUGUUAAUUUGAUGAGAUGUUACAUUAUGAUUUUUAUUUAACACAUUUUCCAUGUUUGUAUAAACAAUUGUUGUGGUUUUAGGAUGAAAACUAACUUGGCUAUUUUGUAUUGUUAUCCCUCCUUGUAAAGAAUGUACAAAAUUUAAACCUAAAAUAAAGGAUAUAAACUUAUAGUAGGUAUAAGAUAAGUUUGGGGCAACACUAAGGUCAUGUUAUUAAUUAUAAUUCGUACGUUUGAAAUAUACUUGGUUAGUAUUAGUUUUUGUUGAUUAUAUUGGAUUAACUCUACUGGUUGAACUAAUGUUUGUUAAUCUUCUUGAGGUACUAAGGUUUCAAAUAAAAGGUUUUUACUGGCUCUGGUAUCUAACAUUGCGUCUACCUUUAAUUCUAUGGUUUUUAAUUUAAUUGUUGUUGGAAAAAUAAUAGAUUUAACUUUAUUUGCCAUAUUUACUUGUUCUAUUGUUUGUAUGGUUAUUUUUUCAGGAUUUAUUGGUUCUUUUACAGGACUUUUUAGUUCUUCUGUUUCCUUAGGUUUUGAACAACUAUCUUCUUCUUCUUUUGAAAUUUUUCCUUUGAUUAUUAUUUGUAAAUCUUUCCAUAUAUUAUAAGGUUUUAUUUUACUUUCUAAAGAUUGUACAAGGUUUUCUAAAUUUAAAGGGGUUUUCUUAGCUUGUUUUUCCUCUUUUUCAAUAAUCAUACAAAUUUCUUCUUCUUCAUUUUCACUAUCUUCUAUACUAUAUACACUUGAAUUUUCACUUUCAAAGUCUAAUUCACUGAUAAGUUCUUCUUCUUCACUAUCUAGUUGAUACUCAUUUAUUAGGUUUAUUUUUACUUGGGUUUUUCUAUUUCGUUCAUUUAAUGGUUUUUUAAGUUCAGGACAUUCAGGUCUUAUAUGGCCUUCCUGACCACACAAAUAACAUUUACACUAUCUUUUUCUCUCUGAGGUUCUUUUUCUUUUUAUCCAAAACUUUCCAGGUUUUUUAUAUCUUGUCUGAUAUGGUCGUUUUUUAUAAAAGGUUCUUGACUUUCUUCUUAAAAAUUUAUUAUAGCUCUUAGGUUUUCUAAACUUAUAUUCUCUGCAUCCUAUAUCUAGGUUUUCUCCUAUAUGUAAUUUUCGACAAAGUUGUUGAUUUAUGUCUUGUUUCUUUAUUUGACUUCUUUCUCCUAUGCUUACACAUUCUCUUUCUAACCAAUUUUUUACAAAUUCUAUUCUAGCACCUAUAUAAGGAGAGUUUUUAUAUUCGGAGGUUGUAAAUUCAUUCCAUAGUCUAAGUCCUACGGGUCCUUGUAUUUUUAAUAUAUAUUUAUUUAAAUAUUCAGGGGUUCUGUCUACUCUAGCAAGGAUUGCAUAUUUCCUAAAUUUUUGUUCGUAUUCCCUUAUAUAUGAGAGGUUACAUAAUUUCAAUUGUUCUAACUUAUGAAGGUAUAUUGCAGGUUCUUUUACAUCUUCUUGUGUUGUUCCCAAAAAAUAAAGUUUUAUGAGAUUUAUAAAUACAAAUAUGCUAAAAUUAUUUCUAACUUCUUGAAAAUAACUGUUGUUUUCUUGUUCCAUGUUUCUAAAAAAUUGUAAUACAGUUCCUCUAAGGGUGCUUUUACAAAAUUCAUAAAUUUCUUGUUGGUUUUCAAAGGAUACUACCACACCUGCUGAAUUUAAAGAUUGCUCCUAAUUUUCUAUGGUUUUUCUGAGAUCUUGCGCACUAUCUAUAUCUAAUAUUGUUCCAUAUUCAUAUACUGGUUGCAAAGAACUAGAAGGUUCUAUUUUAGUUUUCCAUUGAGGUCCUUUUGGCUUGCCAUACGGCUUAUUAUAUUUUACUAUUUCACUUUUUACAUUUACAAAUUCUUUUUUUUUUUCAUUUAUUGUAUUUGUUGAUCAGUUUGAGAUUAUUUCUAUGUUUUCGUUAACUUUUGGUUGAAUAGUAAAUUGAUUUAUCAUUUCUAUAUCUAUAAGUUUUUUUAUUAAAUUGGUUUUAUAGAGUUGUUCUAUUAUUUGGUCAUCUGUAUAGUUUUUACACAUUAUAUUAACAAAGUUUUCUUGAUCCACUUGUUCGUCUAGUAAUGUUGGAUUACUAAAUUCCUCUAACAUUUUAUUUACUAACUCUGAGUUUUUGUAUAGGUUUUCUACUAUCUCAAUGUUUAGUAAAAUAUCUUCUUGUAUAACAUUUACAGUUUCUAUCUCACUAUCUGACUCUACCUCUACAUUUACAGUUUUAUAAUUUCCAAAGGUUAUACUUGCACUUCCAUCUUAGUUUUCAUAUAAGCUACUGGAUGUUGGAUAUUUUAUUACUGGUUUAUUUAUUUGAAGUAAUUCCCACUCUCGUCCUAAUAAAUAGUUUAUAUUUAUGGGUGCUUCUAUCAUAUUUACUGCCUUACUUCCAAAAGUUUUUACUAUAUCAUUGAAUUCUAAAGCAUUAGUAGUUUUUCCUAUAAAUCCUAUAGCUAUGCUAAGGUUUUUACUUCCUAAUUCCAUAUCAUAACCUUUAGUAUUUACAGUUAUUUUUAUUUUUUCUGUGAAUUCCUUAAGAUCUAUACAAAAUUGAGGUAUACAGCCAAUAACUGCGUAAUUUUGGUUCAUAUUAACUUCUGUACUAGCUAAAAGAGCUCGUCCUACUGUAUUGUUUAUAGUAUCUAAAAGGUUAAUAUUUAUAAGUGCUCCAAUUUCUUACGAUGAAGUCCUAUUAUUCCUAUUAAAAUUAUUCUUAAGUGCAUAUAUGUAUUGGUUUUAUUUUUUAAUAAUUUGUGUUUUGUUUCCGGAGACACUAAGUCUAAAUAUACAAUAUUUCCUAUUGAACUUAUAGUAUGUUGAUUUAAAAAUCUAGUUAUUUUAGAAUUUUGAACUAAUUGUUUUUUGUAAGGUGUUACUUCCUUUACUGCAUUUUUAAAUUUUUCUUCAAUAAAUUCUUUUACAUUAUCUCUAAGGUUUAUUGCUUCUACUAUUUCCAUGGUUUUAUUGCUAGAUUUUUUGGUUCAAAAGGAUUUAUUUUUCUUUCUAUUUUAAUUAUUGGUUUUUCUCCUAAAUUAAAGUUUUCAAAUUGUUUUAAAAGGUUAUUUAAUUUUUGUUCCUUUGAUAAUACUAUAUUUCUUUGUUCUAAAAGUUUAUCUAAUAAAUUAGUAUUAAUGUAUCUUUCGAUUUUUUUUAAUAGAUACUGAAGGGUUUAAAAAAAAUGAUUCAAUUUUAAAUAUAUGACUUUCAUUUAUUUACAUGAUAUUAAUAUUGAACCUAAAUAACUAUCUCCUACUUUAAGUCCUUUGAUAUUAUAUAUAUAUAACCAUAAUUCUUGUAGAACAAUCAUAACCCUAAUUCCAUAAUUAUGCAAGUCAAGCCAUAAUUUUGCACAAAUCAUAAUAGCCAAGGAUUUUAGAACAAUAUGAUUUUCACAAUUCUAUUAUUGAGAGAAAAAAAAACAAAAAAACAUAUCUUUAAUCCGUAGGGAACUUUUGAAGAGACCAAACAAUGAGCAUAAUAGAAACUGUGUUUCUCUCUAUUAACCCUUUCACCCUUAGGUUUUCUCUUAUGCAUAUUAUUGAUGGAACAUAACACUUAUUUAUAGGGUGGAGUGAGGACCAGUUUCCUUAUAGAAUUAGAAAUGCAUUUUCCAUCAAAUUGCCUUUAAUUUAGGAAAGUAACUUCUCAAAAACUAACCAACAAAAUUUUAACUUUAUUAUUUAUUAAACCAUAAUACUUAAUUUGAUAUUUAAAUAAAUAUCACAUAAUAAUUUACAUGUGGGCCACAUAAAAUUCUUACAUUCUCCCACUUGGCCCAUGUGAUAUACUUUCACUUCAUGGUUUAAUAAAUAAAACAUAAUGCACAAAAUAUCAAGCUAAAACAUUCUUACAUUGAUCACAUUAUACAUCAUAGUUAAGUAAAAACUAAUGAGAGUCAUGGCGGUUAUACAUCACUAUUUCGAUAUAGUCCUUUCCAUGUACUUCACAAUUAGCUCCUACUUAACAUGACCUGUAAAUGAGAAGUACAAUAAUAGUCCACAAUAAUGCCUUUGUCAAAGACUUUCCUUUUCACAUUAAUUUGUAUGCAAUUAUGUAUACAAAACAGAUAUAAAAAAAUUUCAGAAACAUAUAAUCGAGCUCUAGAGUGUUCAAUAAAUAAUCAUCAUCUUGAGACCAAUACCAUAAUAUGCCUAAGACUCAUAAUUUCUACAUGGUAAUCAAUGUCUUAGUAGCAUUUUUUUCAUCAUUAGGUCCUCAACCAUAAGUUGUAUGCAUAAUCAAUUAAUUUAACACUCUUGUUUCUGCAUUAUCUCAUAUACAACAAAAACUUUAACCCUAUGUCCUUGAUGAUCAUAAAAUAUUUGUUGUUGAAAGAGAAGUGAUAGCAGAAUCUAUUAUUUUUAGCAACUUGGCAAUAAAGCCGACAAAUCCAAGUUCUAAAAUAAUAUUCCGCAACCAUAAUUCAUAAUUUGUGACACAUUAUGCCACAAUACAUACUUUGAUAGAAGAUUGUCAUACCUUUACAUGAUAUUUUUCCUUUGCAUAAUCUUCAAUUAAUAGGAACAAAUAACAAAAGUAGACUUUCAACUAUACAUUAUUCCGCAUAAUCUAAAAGUAAAUAGAAAACAUGCAACAUUAAGGUUCCUCUCUCAUAACACUUCCAAUCCAUCAAUAUCUCAAAACCCUUUAAAUAUUUAUUGUAUGAGACAAUCUAACAAUUCAUGUAACUUUACAUAGGAUAUAUUAUGCCAUCACAUAGCAUUGUCUUUAUAUGUAUAUAUAUAUAUAUAUUGUACCAUAAAAUUUUGAGAUUUUAUUUCAUAACUUAAUGCAAUAAAUAGAAAUCUAGUAAUGAUUAGCAAGACAUCAUCAAUAUAAAAAAUAAGGUUUUUCCCACUAAUCUUUGGAUAUAUUCACUAAAUGAUAGUGGUUUUCUUAAAUCCAAAGAACAUUAUGAUAUCAUAGAGUUUAAGAUAUCAUGGAGGAAUAUUAAAAUUUGUCUAUCAACUUUAAUUGACUUUCAGUGAUAGUUUUAAUUGACAACCACAAGUUUAUCCCUUAAACUUACUCAAUCAUUAAAAUAUGAGUCAUUUAAUAAAAAUAUGAUAUUCUCCCACUUGGCUCACAUUUUACAUUAAUCGAGAAACAAACUUGAAGUAUCAAAUAAAACUAAAAGUCAAACAUUUCAUGCUAAACUUCUAACUUGAAAAAUCUUUAUGUAGUUAUAAUACCACAUGGUUGAUACUUGGAAUAACGAAUCUUUCUCCUUAUAAGAUUAUUUAUUUGUUUAUUUAUUUUUAAUGUCAUUCCUAAUAAUAAGAGGUCCAAUUAACUUCAUUUAAGAGUGAUUGAUCAUUUAGUUGCUACUUACUAACUUUAACCUUCGUUAAUUGUAAGCAACAUUUUAGAAGUUAUAAAGUUAAAGACAACUUUAUUAUAACUCCUUAGGUAACCAUAUUUCAUAGUACUGAUCACUUCCACUAAUAUAAACAUUCUUAAUGAACCACGACAUUAUUAGUUUCACAAAUCACUCAUAAUACUUUGGUUUGGAUUAUAAAUCUUAUACUUUCAGGGUAGUGAGAGAAACUUGACAUACUCCUAACCGAGUAGCAUUGAAUUACAAUUAUACUUGAUAUAACAUAAAUAUCAAGUGCAUAAAGGGUUUAAUAGCAAUUGUAACAUUUACCACCUUAAAACAUAAUUGUCUAACUUCUUACUUUGAUUCUAUUUGUUUUUUAAUCUCAUUAAAAGAAAAACUUUAAUGAAAUAUGAUUUUAAUCAUACAAAAUAACAAAACUUAGCUGUUCUUUUAAAUCAUAUUUUACAAUUUUAGCAAUCCUUCAACUAUUCAUAAUUUUCCAAUAAAGUGAUACUCAACAUUUUGAGUUUCCUUUUAUGAUUCUUGAUAAUUUCACAAGAAUCAUCUCUUUAAUUGGUUCAUUCAUAAUUCUUGAAGACUUUAAUCAUUGACCUCUUAUAAGUUUCAUAAAUCUUCAAGGGGAAUGAAUUUUCAUUAAGUAGUCUUAUUUCCUUUUAAAGAAAUAUGAUAACCAAUUCAAUCAUAUCACACUCAUUCUUAAUAGUGUUUUUGAUAGAUUUGAAGUGAUUUAUACUAAACAAGAUUGCAUAAUAUGAAAAUUCAUCAAUUAUUUCCAAGAUCUUUAGUCUUGCAGUCAUAUCAUGUUGAAAUGCUUAUUUAUUACAUAUCAUCAAAAUUCAUGAUGAUAUUAAUCAGUCCUCAAUCAUGGAUAUUCUUUGAAAUGCUCAUUUAUUACAUAUCAUCAAAAUUCAUGAUGAUAUUAAUCAGUCCUCAAUCAUGGAUAUUCUUUAUUUAGAGGAACGAUAAUAAACUUAAUAUUGCAAAAUAAUUAGCAAAUUUGAGGACAACACUAUAACAUAAAAUAUCAUGCUUUCAUGAUUAAACUUGGUAAGUUAUAAGCAAAAAUACAAUCAGAUUCAAACAACUAACUUAGAAAAACAAUACAUAUAUACUACAAUUCUCCUUUAGGUAGAUAUUACAAUAUAUAAUAACUUUAUGAUGCUUUUAAUAUAUACUUUAAUGGAUAAAUUCAUAGCCCAUAUUGUUAAAAUACAUUUGCAAUCUUUGGAUGUACAAAUAUAAUCUAACUAAAGCAUAUGAUUUAUCCCAUUAUAUUCAUCAUUCAUAAAGUGGUUAGGUAAAUCCUUAAAUAUCUUUCAAUAUACUCACUCAACAAGUACUUAAAUAUGUUGCAAGCAUAAGUAAUGAGUAAUUGAAUAACGUAAGUAUAUAUUACUCAAUAUAAAACUCAUGAAACUUUCAAGUUCGGUCACUUUGGUGACUAACAAACUUUACAUUUAUGAAUUUCAAAAUUUUGUAAUAAACACCAUUUACAUCUUUAAAGGAUGUUCAUCAACUUUCUAGUAUGGUCGCUUUGGUGACUAACACACCAUAAAUAAUAUGAACUCCCACUUGAUAAUAUAAUUAUCAUAAAAACAUUACUUUGUAAUAAAUCAAUAUUUAAAUAUUAUUAUAAACAUUAUAUAAUAGUUAAACAUAUAAGUUUAGUGGAAAAUCAUAAUAUCACAACAAUCAUAGUCAAAAUUGUCAAACAUGAUGAGAGAACUUAAUUGUCAAACAUGAUGAGAAAACUUAAUGAGACUUUGUAAAUAGAGCAAAUAUCAAAGGCUUUCUAUACAUCAAUAAUAAUACAAAAUUAUAAACAUGCAAGGCAUGAUACUAUAACAAGAAUAUGAGAUUAUAUGAGAAAUUGUCACAUAAUUAGCUCUAUUUACAUUUAUGUGAAUUCUACCUCAAAAUCUCAUAAGUGUCAAUUUGCAUUACAUUGACAAUAAUAUCCAUAAUGUAUAAUUCAUAUAAAUAAUCACCCAUAAUAAGAUCUUCAGCCAAAUGGUCUUUAACCCAUAACAGUUCAUUCUUAUAUCACCUUAUACAUAAUAGGUAAUCAAUAAUAUUAUACAAUUUGAUAGACACAAAGCUUUAAGGUUUGGCCACUUUGGUGAUUAACAAACUGUUCAUAAGCGAAUUUCAAAUUGUAUAAUAUAAAUAAUUAUUAUAUCAUUUGAUAUCCAAGACAUUAAAGUUUGACCACUUUGGUGACUGCAAACAAACAUAAUAUGAAUAUCAAACUAAAAAACAUCUCAAUCAUGUUAAACCUUCAUAAUACUAUUAUGGAAGCAUAAAGGACAAUUUGCUAAAAAUCACUUAUGAUCCCAAGUUGUACAAUAUGCAAUUUCUUUAUAAAAUGAUCAAGUUUAGCAUAAAGCCAUAAAGAAUUCAAUUUAUUCAAAUUGUGCAUUAAUAGAAAUAAACACUUAUGUGGCAAGAAAUAAUAAUUGACAUAAAAUUGUAAUUCAUAUAAUAACUUGAAGCCACCAUAAUUGAUUUCGGGAAGAAAUCAAACACAAAAAUAUCAACAAAAUAUUUUGAUUACAAUGGAAAAAUACAAUUAGUAAAUGUAAUUCUCUCAUCAAAAUUUUAUAUCAUAAAAGAGACAUAAAACAAUCUUUAAAGGAAAAUCAUAAAUUCUUGAACCAUGGCUCUAAUACCACAUGUUAGGUUUUCUUUAUUUGUGCAAAAGAAUAAUAACCACAAUUCCUGCAAAACAAUCAUAACCCUAAUUCCAUAAUUAUGCAAAUCAAGCCUUAAUUUUGCAAAAAUCAUAAUAUCCAAGGAUUUUAGAACAAUAUGAUUUUCACAAUUCUAUUAUUGAGAGAAAAACACAAAACAUACCUUUAAUUUGUAGGUAACUUUUGAAGAGACCAAACAAUGGGCAUAAUAGAAACUGUGUUUCUCUUCCUUAACCCCUUCACCCUUAGGUUUUCUCUUAUGCGUAUUAUUGAUGGAAUAUAACACAUAUUUAUAGGGUAGAGAGAGGACCGGUUUUCUUAUAGAAUUAGAAGUGCACUUUCCAUCAAAGUGCCUUUAAUUUAGGAAACUAACUUCUUGAAAACUGACCAAUAGGAUUUUAUCUUUAUUAUUUAUUAAACCUUAUUUAAUUUGAUAUUUAAAUAAAUAUCACAUAAUAAUUUACACAUGGGCCGCAUAAAAUUCUUACAUAUAUAUUUCAAAACAACUUCCCAUGAAAUUUGAUACUAAAUUGCCAUUUCAUCUAGGGUAAUGAACUUAUUUGAUAAUAUUUAUCAUUUUUCAUUUUCUUAUUCUCAAGUUUUUUUAUCAUAUAUUGGUUUUUACCUUAUUUAUGUUUCUAUUUUCAUAUUUCAAAGAUAAAAAAUGAUGACCCAUUCUGGUUAAAAAAAUUAUUUUUCGCUCAUUUUAAACAUAUCAAAGUAUUUAUUUGUUGAUAAUAUCUAUUCUUUUAUUAUGUAUUACUUUCAUGACUUCUGAUUGAUAAUUAACAAACAAAAUGUUAGUUUUUCAUUUUUUUUAAUUAUUUUGGAUAAUUCAUUGAUUAUUUGUUAGUAUCAUUAGAUUAGUUUUUAAAUAAUAUAUUUUUUUAAAGUUAUAAAUUACCUUAAGAAUAUUACUUAUACAUGUACACAUAUAUUUUUAUUAAACUAUGAUUUUUUAAAAAAAAAAAUUCAAACUACAUGAUAAUUUUUUAAUAUUUAAUAAAAAAUUUACAAUGAUAGUAUUAUCUUUCAUAAUAUUGUCUUUCAUGAAAAUGAAAACAAUUAUUCAAAAUAUAAUCUUAAUAAAAUUGGCCAAAUUCGAUUAAAAAAUAUUUUAAAUUCAAAAACUUUUCUGGAAUCAAAUCAUUCGAUAAAAUCAAAAUCUUCAAUUUUGAGGCGAAGAAAUUGUAAAAUAUAUACUUAACUUCUCUUUGGAUAAAAUGAGUGUAUCUAUACUGCCAAGAUAAAAUCUUCUUAAAAAACUAAAUUUAAAUUAAUAGAUUUUUUUAUUUACUUAUCAAGUAUUUUGCUUUUCAAAGAGAUUAUAAAUAAGCAUUUUGUAAUCAAUUUUUCUUUUAUCUUUUACUAGUUGAUUCUUCUAUUAUUAUUAUUAUUAUUAUUAUUAUUAUUAUUAUGAUAUGUAAGCCUAUUUUAAUAUAAUAACUUUGAUCUAAGAUAAAACCAGUUUUGUGGAUUAUAUUAAAUUAAAAAUAUGAUAAUGUUAAAAAAUUAUUUUAGGAUACAAGUCGUGCAUGCUUUUUUUUUUCUUGCCUAUCUAUAAUUUUAAAAUUUUGGACAACAUAUAAAACAAACUUUUAAGAGUUUGAUUUUAUAUAUAUAUAUAUAUAUAUAUAAAUAAAUAUUACUACAAUUAUCGUUACUAUAUAUAAAAGAUUGAAGUAGUUGUUUACUUUUUCCUAUAGAAUUGUGUUCCCAUCUUGCUUAAAUACACUUGCAUCCUAUAACUAUUUUAUUUGAUUCAUUCAACUUAUAUUUUUCUUUUUCCAAAUUAAAUCUAAGAAUUUAUUUAAAUAACGUCUCUCUUAGAAGUGUUAAAAUUAAUAUUAAAAUAUAAUGAAAUGGUGCAUUUUUUGAAAUAAUUUAUACAUGUACACAAAGAUUUUUAUUAAACUACUUUUCUUUUAAAAUUUUCAAACUACAUGAUAUUUUUUUAAUAUUCAAUAAAAAAUUUACAACAAUAGCAUUAUCUUUCACAAUGUUGACUUCUAUAUAUAUUAAAAAGUUAAUUUAAAUUUAACAGUUGUCAAAACUUGAGGAUAUUCAAGUUCAUGACCUCCAACAAACCAUGUGUCUACACCAACUAAACUAAACCAUGCUCCCUUUGCUUUUUACAAUCUUGUGUGGUGUAAGAAAUUUGGGAAAGUGAGGCUAUGUUUGGAAGCAACUUUAACAAUAGGAAAUAAAGGAUAGUUUCUAUAGUUCUUAGAAAUAUAAAAUAAUAUGUUUUUUGAUAAAGUAUUUUUAUUUUAUUCUAUUUUUAUUUAAUUUUUAAAGAUUAUUUCACGAAAAUAAUUAUAAACUAAUAAUUGAAAAUCAAACAUUUUACAUAAGAACAUGCACAUGUAUAACUAGAUAUCUGUGUAUGAAACCCUAGAAAUAUAAACAUUUAAAAAACCCAAUACAAAAUAAUUGAAUAAAACAAUUCAAUGAAAUAGUAAAUAUUUAAUGAAAUUAGCUUUUGUCAACAAAAUAACAUAUAAUUUAAAUAAUUUUGUCAUGCGAUAACCCACCACAAAAAAAUACGAUUUCAUCUCGGGUAAUAAACUUAUCUAUUUCACUUAUGUUUAGAAUCAAGAGAUAGAAAAUGAUAGAAAAUAUUUUAUAAUAACUAAUGUUGGAAUUCUUAUUGUAUUGUUUGAGUUUAUCUACUUAAGCCUCUCGCCAUGUCAUCUAUGUUCAACAUAAUAAAUUACAAUCAUCUUUCUAUUUAUUUAUACUUCGCUUCAACAUUUCCAAUUUCCAAAUUGGUUUUCAUGUAAUAAAAGGACAUUUAUCAUUAAUGACUAAUAACAAAGUAUUACAUCUUACACAUAAUAUUCAAAUAUUAAGUUUUGAAUUUAUACUAUAAUUACUAACAUAACCAAACUAAUCUUAGUUGAAGCUACAACUUUAUUGUCCAGAAUGGGGUGUCAAAGCUUAAGGAACACCAACAAUUGAUGUAGUCUACAACCAACUCAUUUUUCCAUUGCUUAGUAUUAGUAAGCUCCAUCAUGCUUAUAGUUCGUUCGAUACUAUAGAAACGGUUAAGGAAUUCGUGUUCCAUUUGGUCCCAACUAUCGAUACACUCACGCAUAAGGUUUAUAUACCAAUUGAAAGCAUUCCCUUAGAGGUAGCAGACGAAUUGUUGGAUUAACAAGUCACCAUUUGUACUUGCAUUGUUACAAGUUUCAAUGAAAUAGGCAACAUGUUGUUUUGGAUUUCCCUUCCCAUCAAAUGAUUGAAACUUUGAAGGUUGAUAACCUAUAGGCAUACAUAGGUUAUCAAUCCUCUUAGUGUAAGGUUUAGAGUACAUGAGUGUACUCUGUGAGGGUCCACCAUACUACGCUUUAAUGGUGUUAGUUAUCAUGUCUUAAAGUUCCUGGACAGAUAAUGACGCCACCGAGGCAGAUUCUAUCAUUUGUUUCCCAACUUGCAUUAUCCUAGAUGAACGCGGUGCAUCGUUAAGAGGAGAUGUAACAUUCGAAAAGUGGUUGAGUCCUUGGAUUGACUCAUUUGUAUUUUGUACUUGUGUCUCGACCUUGUUUAUGAGGGAGACUAUUUGCAUAUCCUUUUCCUCAACCGUCGUGGUAAGUUUGGCGAUGACGAGAGUCGUCUCUGCCAAUUGUCCCUCUACAGACGUAGUGCCUGUUGCCAUUAUCGGCAUGGUCAUCGAGAAGGGAGAAGUAAAAUAGUCGAAACAAUUGAAGUAGUUUUCCUUCUUUGACAUUCCAUUUAGUGAUUUGGAGUGUGAGUCGAUGCUGGAAUGCAUCGAUAACAGAGUAAGGAGACUUAUCCCUAAAGUCCUUUAGUGCUGAAGGGAGUUUUCCCCUGCUAUGAGGAUUACCCUUGAAAAGGCCAAAGUAAUGAAUGGUUGGUGCUCAUCACGUGUCUUUAUUGGUUUUAACAAAUAAAUAGGUUCACUUGUUUGUUUUGUUGAAACUGAAGAUGUUGAUUUCACUUUGCUACAAGUCAUGGGGGUUGUAGCGAUGUUAUGUGUCGAUUACGCAAUGAUGAUCUUUUCACUGCCCUUGUUGACAUGCACAACUUGAGUUCUUUUGGAUGCCAUCAACGUAAUAAUGAUCAAUCUUCUAAUGAAAGAAAUGAGAGGCAGAAAGGUCCCAUCGGGUGUGCCAAAAAUUUGUACGCACAAAUUUCAUGAAGUCCUAGAAUUUAAGCAAAAUAAUAGGAAAAUAAUGCAAACAAAAUAUUUAUUAAAAUUAAAAUAUUGUGGGGUACAAUCUCAAAUAUAAUAUUCUUUACAAAAUAACAUCUUCCCUCUAAUUUUUUUUGCCUUGAUCACAAUUUGGAAGACGAUGGUGAUGUUUUCUUGAUUUCAAAGAUCAAUUGAGGGCCACAAGUGUUAGCCCCUUAGACCCUUGACUUAACCAUGGAGGAAUAGGCCUCAUGGGUAGGCCUUGCACCCAUGAAAGCCUAGGAUGAAAGCAGGGAAAUCCUAGAAGUUUGGUGGUUCAAGCUCCAAGAGCCAUAUGAAGAGGUCGCGGGUGAGCCAGACACGCACUGUGCGCACAUCGUGGGCGAGCCAAACGUGCACCACGCUCGAGCCAGACUCGCACCGCGCGAGCACCAUGGGCGAGCCAGACGCACACCGCGAGCGGGCUAGACACGCACCGCAAGCGGGCUAGACACGCACCGCGUGUGCACUAGAUGGGCAUUGCGCACGCACCUGACUUAAGCGGUGCAAAUGAAGGCUGACUUGGAAUUUUAAUUUAUAAUUAAAAUUAUAUUCCAUUAUGCCUCCUCAGACAUAUUGAUGUCUCCUCAAGAAACAAUAAAAACGACUCGUAUUGCUCUUUAAGGGGGGGAGUAAGUGACUCAAAGGGAGGAGCCACCAAGAGAAGCCUUGACUGCACCAAGGGGGCACCAUGGCACGGCCUUGGGUGUGCUAAAGACACACGACGCGACUCGAGCACGCACACAUGGGCUCCACGACAUGUGUGUUGUGCACCCCGUGGCCGCAACGGCACAGGGCUUGGUGCGGCCUACCCCCUCCCCGCUUAGGCACGAGGGCGCCUAAGCCUUGUGCGGUGAGCCGGUUGAUGAAACCAUGGGUGCAAUGCCAUGGUCUGAUGGCUCCAAUAGCUGACUCACACCGAGAUGCCUACGCACAACACAGGGGCGCAAUGCCCUGUGCACCAAGAAGGACUAGCCAUAGGCGCAAUGCCAUGGCUCGUUGCUGGGAAGCUAGGAAGCAAGCAACAAGCCCACGCCAUGGGCACCUAGACAUGGCACGGGCUCAUACACCAGUGUGAGGAAGGCAUACUGAUGCACCAGACGCUUGGUCAGAUGGGUGGUGCACGCUGCCUGGCUUAGAGGGUCUUGAUCAAAGACAUGCUGAUGGGCACCCGGUCACAAGAGGCACCUUACGGGGAGGGGUCGGCUUGUUAGGGGGACUUACCAGCAGCUUGGCGAGCAAGACCUGAGGAGAUGGCAGUGCAGCUAGCUAGUGGCAGCUAGCUCAGACAACCAGUGACCAAGUCAAGCCGUCAUUGACCUACAGUUGGCUGAAGGAUGAUGGUUGGUGCAAGUGGGUGGCAUGUGCAGGUCACUAUCUGGGUGGUGGGUGGUUAUGCAGGACAGUUCUGGCCAAUUGCAUGACCACCAAAGUUUGCUCCAAGAUUUGAAUUAGGGAAUUCAAAUUUGUAACUGCAGAUUGAGUCAUUUAAAAAGGGCUCCUGCAGCCUUGAAACAGAGUAUGAGAGUUUGGGGAAAGGGUUCCUUCUCAUAUGCCUUGGGUGAGUGCAUUGUACUCUGGUUCAAAAAGCAAUUUUGUCUUGUAAGAGUGAUUAAUACAAGUUGGGAAAAGAUUCCCGUAACCUCGUGUGUCCCUAUUGCUUUGUUAUUUCUGUAUUCUACUCUGUUCUUCUAAACGCUGGGAAGGGAAGAUUGGCUAAGGAAGGAUCCUUAGCACCGCACACUCGUGAAAAAUUAAGUGAGAUAACCAGGGGUGUGACAACAUCCGUGAUUGAGAUAAAUGCAAUUGGUCUAGUAGUUAUACAUACACAUCACAUGAUUAGCUAGCCAUCUGGAUACAGUGGUUGCCUAAAUACUAUUUUCUUAUACAUAUAUAUUCAUUUUGCAUCCAUGUCUUUGAUAACCCAAUUAAAGUAGCAUUGAAGGUGCACAUGUGAAUGACUCAACUAGUGACAACAAAAACAAAUAAAAGAAAAAACCAAGUACAAGGCUAUGGUAGAUAAAUUUGGAAAGUGGGGUGAUUGUUGACCAAAUAGAAUUAUGGUUUGUGAAGACGGAGGCGAACUGGAAGUCCCUUAGCAGGCAUGCGCAUGGGGUCAAUUAUUAUCUUCUCAUCAGGAAGCAAUUUAUCCCAUUUGAACCUUUUAACCACGUUAUGCAUGAAGACAAGUAUUUCCAAGCGGGCGUACUCUUUACCAGGGCACAUCCUAGGUCCACCACCAAAGGGAACGAAUGUGUAAGGAGCAGGCCCAGCUCCUUCAAAUCUUGUAGGGUCAAAUUUUUCAGGUUCAGGGAAGCAUUUUGGGCUUUUGUGGGUUGAGCUUGUGCUCCAGUACAACUACAAAUAAUUAAAAAAAAACUCCUGUUAAUUAACUUGCAUGUGGUUGAUGACAGUGUGUUGGAAUAAAAAAUAUAAGUUAUAUGAGUUAUGGAAUAAUAUAAUAUUAUACCUUCCAACCCUUAGGAAUGGAGAAACCAUUGAACACGAAGUCAGUGAUUGCUUCUCGGAAAGCUCCUUGGAGUGGGGGUGCAAGUCUCAUCACUUCACAAGCAACAUUCCAUGAAUAUCUCAUCUUUUGAACAUCAUCCCAGUUCAAUAAUUCACCUGGUGCUUUUGAAUUGGCAAUUUCCAUUUGCUCUAUUCACAAACAUGGACCCAAAGAAAAAAGUUAGAAACUAAUGUUCUUUUGGUCGGUGACUAGGAUAGCCAAAAAGUAAAAUAAGGCUAAAUAAUGGAAUAAUCAACGGGUGUGGCUAUUGGAAUUUACUUGAUGACAUUACAACAAAUAUGAUGUUUUGCAACAAUUGUUUUUGUGGCAAAAAGUUAGAUUUUCAUAGCAAAUAUGUUUUUGCCACAAAAAACAUCCGUCACAAGAUUGUCACAACAAGUCCGUCACUAAAAAGUUUUACCAACGAAUAAAAAAAUUUAUUUCUAAAAGUAACUUUUAGCGAUGAAUAAUAUUUGUGAAAAAAAUAAACUAUUCAUGGCAAAAAAAAAAAAAACUCUCAUGAGGACAGUUUUGUGGCAAAAUGUCUCUUUUAACGACGAAUGUUAUUUUGUGGCAAAAAGACUCUUUUAACAAUGAAUGUUAUUUUGUGACAAUAUAAUAUCUUUAGUGACAAAUUUAUGUUUGUGGUAAAAAUAUUAUGAUAAUAUUUUAUUUUUCAUUUUUCAUUUUUUAUUUUACUCAUGACCCUUUACUUUAUCACCACUCUUUAAAGAGACUUUCACCAUAUCUUCUAUAAAUCAAUUGAUGUGUAAAACGUAAUAAUCGACUUCUUAUUAGGUUCAAUGUUAUUUCUAUCUUUAUACUUGUCUCAAAUUACGAUUAUUUUUCAUACUCUUAUCAAUGAACUUGCAAAAACUUGAAAAAGAAAAUAAUAAUUUUCAAAACAAAAUUUAUGAAUUAUCAAUAAUUAUUUGCAUAAUUAUUCUUAAAAAAAAAAUUCAAAUAUAGAAUUUUUUUUAAAAAUAAAUAAAAGAAAAUUGAAAAUUAAAUAAAUAAAAAAUAAAAAAAUUUAAAAAAUUACAUAGUUAUUUAAACUAAAAUAUAAUAGAAACCAAGACUCUUAGUAAAGGAAUCGUUGAAAAAAAAAUAUGUAUAUAAUAGUUAUGUAAAUAAAAAUAAAUAAAAGCCAAAAAGAAAUUGUCUUUAUUAAGGCUGAGAAUCUAAUUUUUUAUUUUCUUAAUAUAAUUUUAUUUGAUUCAUUAUAUUUUUAAUUAAUAAGUAAAAAAAUUUCCAUUAAAAUUUUAAAAUAAAAUUAUGGCUUUAAAAUUAUAUACUUUUAUUAAAUAUUUAGAAAUUUCAUUUAUAGAUUCAAAAUUAUAAUUGUUAAACUCAGAUAAAAAUAUCAAAUGAUUGUUUUUUUCUUUCACUUUUUAUUAACAUCAAACUUUUUGUGCUUUAAUAAAAAAAACCUAUUUUAUAAUAAAUAACUAUUUUGUAUGAUAUUUUUAUGAAAUAUUAAAUAUAAUAUGAUUUUGAAAUAUUAAAUAUAAUAUAUUAUUAAUUUAAUAGUUCUAUUUAAUAUUUAAUUUAUUAUAUACCAUAAAUUAGUUUGUGGAAAAAAAUUGAAAUUUGUAAGUCAUUCCUUAUAUAUUUUUUUAUUAUAAAUAAUUUCAUACUAAAAGAGAAAAGUUUGUAGCACAAUGUCACAUACUAUGUGGUAAUUAUUUUUACCAUAGUUUUAAAGACGAAAUGUAAAUUCAUGGCCAAAAGUGAUAUUUUACUGUAAAUAAUUUUGAGACAAAAAGUUGAAUUAUUUCCUCCAUAUUUUUAGCAACAAAAAAGUAAUUUCAUAGCAAUAAGUAAUAUUUUACCAUGAAUAAUUUUAUAGUAAAAAGAUGAGUUCGUGAUAAAAUGUCAUAGCAAAAUAAUUUAAUUUAUAGCUGAAAGUGACAUUUUCCUACAAAAUUUAAUUUAUAGCAAAAUAAUUUAAAGCGUAUUUGUUGAAGUGUCACGAUGAGGAUUGUUCUCCCACAGCGAUCACUAUCACCUUUUUAUUUCUUAACAAAUAGAAAGCAAACUAAUUGGAAAAGUUAGUCAUGGAGAAAAUACUUUUGUAAAUAAUUUUAUUACUGUUAUUAUUAUUUGUUAUAUACAUGAAAAAUAUUGCAUGUUGCAUGCGUAAAAGAGAACAUUAAAUAAAAUAAUAUAAAGAGAAAAUAUUGCAGGUCCAUGCGUAAAAGAGAUUUACCUUCGUAGACUUUCUCGUACAUAUGAGGCAGCUCAGCCAUGUACUUAACAAUGAAUGUAAUGGCAGAACUGGCCGUAUCAUGGCCACCAAUCAACAAGCCAAGGAUUUUAUCAGCAAUAUUAAUUUCGUUCAUGUGGCGUCCAUCUUCAUCUGUGGCCAGAAGCAGGUCGGACAAUAUAUCUUGAGUUGGUGAGGCUUUUCCCUCGGCCAGAUCGAUCUUCCUUUGCUUGAUGAUGGCUCUAAGCUCCUUUCUGAUGAAGUUGGAGGCCUUGAUAGCGCGGUGGAAAGGUGUCCCAGGCAAGUCAAUCGGGACGGUGAUGAGUCCUGAGGCCAAGACAUGGAAGGGCUUUUCAAAUUUAGCGAUGUGGUCAGGAUCUUCUAUGCUCAUAAAGAGGCGGCAAGCUAGCCAGAAAGUGAACCUCUUGGACAGUGGAAACACAAUGACUUCAUCUCUGUUGUCCCAGCUAUCAGCAAAGUGCCUCUGCGCAAUGUGAUCCAUGAUGCCGAUGUAACGUUGCAAGGCUUCAGGCUUAAGGAACCGAGGGAGCAACUUCCUCAUCUUCUUGGCCUCCUCUUUGGAUGAGGUUUGGGUGGAGGAGGGGAAGACCUUGUCCACGGAGCUAGGCCACCACGCAUGAACAAGCUUGUUUUCGUUGGAGAACAAAAACUUGUUGCCCGCAGCGCCAGCAAAGACGGCAGCAGGCUCUCCGAGGAGGGAGGUCUUGAAGACUUCAGAGGAGUAUUUGGAGAUGCGAUCGAAGAUGAAUUUUUCCGGGUGGCCUUUCCAGCCGGUGGAGAGGAAUUCAAGGCUUUCACCAACCAUAGGCCAACCAAUCCUGCCAGGGGGGAGGUUGGGGCCAGUGAAGUGGGAUCUGUGCUUGUAGAAGAGGAACUGAAGUCCGAUGGAGACUGAGAGCACACAGAUGAGGAGCAGGGAGAGGAAGAACACCUCCAUUGUUGAUGAUAUUGCCCACAGCCUCUCCCAAAACCGUAGAGAAACAAAAGAAAACAAGAGAAGAGAGACCUUGUUUGAAGAGAAAUGGGCUAGGUGGGAUGGCAUUUUAUAAAGAAGUGGGGGAUGGCAUCACAAAAAGAAAAAAAAAAACAAGUCGAAGAAGCUAAGUUGGCCUAUUAAAGGUGGUAUCAUCUGCGUAUUGCGUGUUUAACGUUUCUAAAACAGCCCUGGCCAAUCUCAAAGCUGUUAAUAAGACCUAAUGCGCUGAGAUAUCUUGUAGCCUCAACCAACUCCUAGCUGUGUCAUUAAUGAUGACAAAUAAACUAACCGAGAACAAACAAGAGAAAACAAGAGAAGAGAGACCUUGUUUGAAGAGAAAUGGGCUAGGUGGGAUGGCAUUUUAUAAAGAAGUGGGGGAUGGCAUCACAAAAAGAAAAAAAAAAACAAGUCGAAGAAGCUAAGUUGGCCUAUUAAAGGUGGUAUCAUCUGCGUAUUGCGUGUUUAACGUUUCUAAAACAGCCCUGGCCAAUCUCAAAGCUGUUAAUAAGACCUAAUGCGCUGAGAUAUCUUGUAGCCUCAACCAAAUCCUAGCUGUGUCAUUAAUGAUGACAAAUAAACUAACCGAGAACAAACACACUCAGGUUUGUUUUCCCAUUUUUACCCAAAGCUUUUGUCCAUUUGAGGGUAAGGAUGAAAAUAUCGGUAAUCACGGUGUGAUCCCGCAUUUUCACAUGCAUUCUCACUCGAUAGUGAGACUUGCUUUUUAUUUGUGAAAACUAAUUUUUUUUAAAUAAUGGAGUUGCCACUUACUUUUGUUUUAUUUUUUAAAGGAGAAAACAAAAUAAGAAAGAAAAACAUUAAAUGUGACUCCUGAAAGAAAAGACAAGCAUGUGAAAACCAAAUUAGGUCCAAAGUCAGGUUACUUAUUAGGAAGAUACGGUGAAGAACCGUAGCACUCCUCUAAGCCCUAAAAGGUAGGUCUUUACUAAGUAAGUCGAGAUAAUUAUGAUGAUUAACUGAUUAAUUCAUAGAUACUAUGAACUAAAUAAACACAUCAACACAAUUCAUCAAUUUAAUAAAGAAAGACGUAUCUGAUUUACAUUCCAAGCACUUCCAAAAAACAUAAAAGUUAAAUAACAAGUAAUAGCAUCACAUUGUAUUCUAAGCAAUCAUAUAUUCCGUAACAAGUUGAAUUUAAUGUCAUACAAUCUCAACACAACAAGCAAACGUUAAUAGAUAAUGUUCAACCACAAACUUUAAUUUAAAUAAAUGGUGAAGAAAAGGUUUGCGUACAUGGUUCAAUAUUUUAAAGUGCUUUCAUAAAAAUGAGAUUAAUUCACAAAUAAUAAUAAUGAGUUUAAAAAGGAAUAAAAAAAACUAAGUCUAUAUACAUAUACAUAGCAAGUCUCAAAUCAAGGAAGGUUCACAAGCAUGUUCAAAAGUAAAUAAACUAUUAAAAGCAAAUGAAUUAUCAUUAAUAGGGUAUAAUAUUGAUUCAUAAAGUAAACUAUAAAUAAAUAUCAAAAAGUGUUAUCUCAUAAAAAUAAAAAUUAGGUAGCAUCUUUAACAUGUCUAGAUUAAUAUCCAAUAGGUCAAAUUAAUUAAUUUUAUUCUAACUAAUGUUAAAUUUAUUCUGGAUUACAUCACAGAAAAAUCGGCAAAUGACCAGAACAGAGGACUUUACAAAAAAAAUCUAAAAAAAAUAUCUAGAAGUUAAAUUUUAUCAUGAGAAUUUAAAUAAAUAAAAAAACAUCUCCUAUAUGUCUAGUUUAUCAUUCAAGUGAUCAAAUUAAUUAACUAGUCCAUAUUUAGAACCAAAUUUCGUAAUGAUAUUAAUAGAUCCAGAACAGGGCAUCUUUUUAAGGUAUUCAACAAUUGAUUUUUUUCAUUAACUUAGAGAUAUCCUAAAACCAUAAAAUAAAAUAAAAAUUGAAAAACCUAGCUCAAUAUGUCUAUUUUAAAUGAAAAAUAAUCACCGGGCAAUAUCACAUUCAUAACAUAUUUAAAAAUAAAUAAACCUCUCUCAGCUCCAGGAGAGCACUUGUACAAUGGGUGCAAGACGAAAAUAUUAUAACUCUCAUUUUUGGAAUUUUUUAUGAAUAUUUUAUAUGUCAAAAGUUAAAUUUAAGAAGUCUAGAUUAAGGGAAAAAUUUUAAAAUUACCCAUUUCAAGUUUGCUUCCUCGUAUAUACAACUGACACACUUUUCACUUGUCAUUUCUUUUUAAGUUCAUUUUUUUAUAAGUUAAAUUCAUAACCGAAAAUAUUUCCACUAAGUAUAAGCAAACCCCAUGUUAACGCCACAUCUAUUCCAUGUUAGUGCUAACACAUCUAUCCUAUGUUAGCACUAACACAUUUGUCCCGCAUUUCCUUCAACAUGGAUAGUUCGUAUAGUAUUUUACACGAAUGUUUGUGUUACUCAAUGCACGAUCUUGUCAUGUCCACUUCAAAUGUGGUAUUUUUAGAAAGUAUGUUUUAAUUUUUUAUAAUUGUUUUAAAAAUAAUGGAACAAAUAUGAAAAUAAUUAAAAUUAAGAUUGUACACAAGAAUUUUAUUUUUAAAAAUUAGAAAUAUAGAAAAUAAGUUGAAAAUAUUUUAAAAUUUCAAACAUAUUUUUAUUUUAAAAAAUAUUAUAAAACUGUUCUCAAAAACUAUUUUUGAAAAAUAAUUUUAAAAACAUUACAAAUAAUUCAUAAAUAAUUGAUUAAUUUGUCUCUCCAUGUACACAAAUUCAAGAGCUUUACAAUCAAAUUAAUAAUUCAAACAAAUAUUUUGAAAUAUCAAAUUAAUUUAGUUUCAUAAAUAAAAGUUCAUAUAUAGAUUUUAUUGCUUAACGUUGUUGUAGAUAGGAUAGGAUGAAUAUUGCUAAUGAUGUGGUGGAGAGGGUAAGAUUGGAUAAAGGGAAGUGGGAAGUGGGAAGUGGGAAGAGGAAGGUCCGACAAGGAAGCCCAUUAAAUGCAGCGGUGGACAGCCACAUGUGUGUUCCCAAACAAAAUUAAAUGAUUUGAAUUUUGGCAAUCGCCAUCAUCAUCCCACCUCACCCCCACACUCUGUUACUCUGAACCCUUACUCGACCCCACUCCCUCACUCUCACUCUCUCACCAGUCACCACACCCUUCUUUGUAGCAGUGACUGAACAAAUGUGCAAGGUGAAACUCAAAUAAUGAUAAAGAAGAUAAUAAAGAUGGAGAAGAUAAUAAUAGAAUCAAGAACUAAAGAAAAUUUUCGGCAGCUUACCUGUGAACACACACACCACAAUUAAUCCUACUGUUAACAAAAGAUACAAAAGACUUCUUUAAGUAUCUAUAAAAUUCUCAAAUUCUAACACUCCUCCUUGAGAAUUUUCUUAGAGACUCCAAGCCUUGAUCUUAGCUCUUCGAACUUGGCUUUGGAAAGUGCCUUAGUUAAUAUGUCAGCAAUCUGAUUUUCUGAGCAACAAUGCACCAUAUUGACUUCACCAUUCUUCUCAGCUUCUCUAAUUGCAUGAAACUUCACAUUUAUGUGUUUGGUUCUUCCAUGCUGCACAGGGUUUUUUGCAAUAGCAAUGGCUGACUUGUUGUCAAACCAAAUUACAGUAGCAUCUGCUUGGUUUUGCCCCAGAUCAGUCAGCAGUUUCCUUAGCCAAAUAGCUUGGUUUGCAGCUGCUACUGCAGAAAUAUACUCAGCUUCUGCUGAGGAUUGAGCCACAACCUCUUGAUUUUUUUAAUUCCAUGAAAAAACUCCACUACCAAAUGAGAAAGCAUAACCAGAAGUGCUUUUGGAAUCAUCUAAACUUCCUGCCCAGUCACUGUCUGCAUAUCCUUGGAGUUCUUUACUUUCUUUCUUAACAAACCACAAACCAUAGUCAAAAGUACCUUUAAUGUACCUUAGAACUCUCUUAGCUACCCCAAAAUGAAUUUUACUAGGUGAGUUCAUAAACCUUGAGAGUAGGCUUGCUGAGAACAUUAAAUCUAGCCUUGUAGCAGAUAAGUAGAGCAGACUACCUAUUAGGCUUCUGUAAAUAGAGGCAUCUGCUUUGAUGUUAACUUCAUUCUUUGAUAAUUUCUCAUUCACAACCAAAGGAGUUGCUACAGAUUUGGAUCUUUCCAUAUGAAACUUCUUCAAAACCUUCAGAGCAUACUUCUGUUGUGAGAUGAAGAUUCCAGCUUCACAUUGGUGAAUUUCCAUGCCCAAAAAAUAUUUCAUCUCACCCAAAUUGGACAUUUCAAACUCACUUUCCAUCUGCACCAUGAAUUGCUUCAAGAUUUUUGAAUUACAACCUGUAACCAGCAGGUCAUCUACAUACAAAGAGACAAUAAGCUGAACUUCUUCUUGAACCUUCAACACAUAUAGAGUGGCUUCACUUUCACUUCUUUUAAAUCCUUGCUGCAGCAGAUAGGCAUCAAUUCUACUAUACCAAGCUCUUAGUGCUUGUUUCAAGCCAUAGAGAGCUUUGUGGAGCUUGUAAACUUUAUCUUCACAACCUGAAACUUGAAAUCCUUCUGGUUGCUCAACAUAAAUAUCUUCUUCAAGCACACCAUUUAGAAAGGCAGACUUCACAUCAAGAUGAUGAAUUUUCCAGCCCAUCUUUGCUGCUAAAGCCACCAGAAGCCUUAUAGUAUCAUGCCUAGCCACUGGAGCAAAAGUAUUUGAAAAAUCAACACCAUACUCUUGAGAAUAGCCCUUUACAACCAAUCUGGCCUUAAGUUUGUUUACAGAACCAUCUGAGUUAUAUUUGAUUCUGAAAACCCACUUAACUCCAAUUAUCUUUUGAUUUUUGGGUCUAUCAACCAGCUCCCAAGUUCCAUUUUUCUUUAUCAUUUUUAGCUCCUCCUCCAUUGCAACUUUCCACCAUUUUCUUUAGCAGCUUCAUCAUAACAUGUAGGCUCNNNNNNNNNNNNNNNNNNNNNNNNNNNNNNNNNNNNNNNNNNNNNNNNNNNNNNNNNNNNNNNNNNNNNNNNNNNNNNNNNNNNNNNNNNNNNNNNNNNNNNNNNNNNNNNNNNNNNNNNNNNNNNNNNNNNNNNNNNNNNNNNNNNNNNNNNNNNNNNNNNNNNNNNNNNNNNNNNNNNNNNNNNNNNNNNNNNNNNNNNNNNNNNNNNNNNNNCAGUUUCUUCUGGAAUUUGGGGAAUGGUUACCCCAAUUUGAUCAACAUCUUCUACUUCUAUCUCAUUUUUCUCCCAGUUCCAUACUACUGCUUCAUCAACUUUGAUGUCCCUGCUAACCAUUAUUUUUUUUGUUUUCAAAUUGAAAACUCUAUAGCCCUUAGAGGUUGAGCUAUAUCCCAGGAAGAUUCCCAUUUCAGCUUUGUAGUCCAACUUGUCUCUUUUCACAUCUGGCACAUGAGUGUAACACAAACUCCCAAAUACUUUCAAGUGCUCCACAGCUGGUUUAACUCCAUACCAAGCCUCAAAUGAAGUUUCAUUCUUCACAGCUUUGGUUGGAAGUCUGUUCAACAAAUACAUAGCUGUGUUAACAGCUUCUGCCCAGAAACACUUGGGCAUUUUCUUUUCAAAUAGCAGACACCUUGUCAUCUCCAUAAUGGUUCUAUUCUUCCUCUCACUCACUCCAUUUUGUUGAGGGGAGUAAGUGACAGUCAACUGAUGUACAAUUCCAGCUUCAACACAAAACCUGUCAAACUUGUCUGAUGUAUAUUCAGUCCCAUUAUCCGAUCUUAUUACCUUAAUGCUGCAAUUUGCUUGAUUUUCUACCAAGGCCUUGAAAUUCUGAAACACACCAGCCACUUCUGAUUUUUGCUUCAUAAAGAAAACCCAACACAUCCUUGUUUUAUCAUCUAUGAACAGGAUGAAAUACAUGUUUCUAUUCAACGAGGGUGUCUUCAUUGGUCCACACACAUCAGUAUGGAUCAAUUGCAACCUUUCUGAAGCUCUCCAGGCCUUGUUUACAGGAAACAACAAUCUACUUUGCUUCCCAAAUUGACAGACUUGACACACUUUUUUUUCAUCACAAAUGACGGGUAGGCCUUGUGUUAAGCCUUUCUAAUGCAAGUGUUUAAGUGCAGCAUAAUGAAAAUGGCCAAAUCUCUUAUGCCACAACACAGACUCAUCAACAACAGUGGUAUAGGCAUGCAAAUUAGUCUCUUUCCACUUAAUUGGAAAGCUUUUGUCUCUCAUUUUUACAGUCAUCAACUUACAACCAACAUUAUCAACAAUGGUGCAGGACAUUUUUUGAAAAUGCAAAGAAUAAUUCUUCUCUAGCAUUUGACCCACACUUAAUAAGCUUUGACUAAUUUCAAGCACAAACAACACAUCUGAGAUAUAUUUAAUACCUGUUGGAGUCUCAACAGCAACAACUCCCUUGCCCUUGACAUCAACCAAAUCUCCAUUUCCAAUCUUCACUUUCGACUUAUAUGACUGAUCCAACUCCUUGAAACAACUCAACUCAGGAGUCAUGUGGUUUGUACAACCACUGUUAAUAAGCCAAGUUUCUGUACAACUGCUCGUUGCAUGACUUGUAACAAUAAACAAUUGCUCUUGUUGCUGCUGAUUUUCAGCCAUUUGUGCUUGUUGUCCUUGCUCCCCUUGCUGAUCAUUUUUAUUCUUGCAUACCUUCUCUACAUGACCAAAUUGCUUGCAUGAUCUGCAUUAUACACUUGGCCUAUACCAACAAAAAUUCUAUGAAUGACUCUGUUUCUUGCAGUGAGGACAUGGAGGAUAUCUCUUCUUGCCACCACUUUUCCUUCCUUGGCCCUCAUUCUUUUAUUUAUCUUUCUUCUCACCAGAUUGCUUUUUCUCUCUGCCUUGAGAAGCUUUUCUUUUUUGCAGUGCAAGAAAAGCUUCUUCAUUGCUUUCUUCCUGUCUCAUUAAUCUCCUCUGUUCUUGAGCUUGAAAAGCAUGAACAAGCUCAGCCAAGGAAAUUUUGGUUAAAUCCUUUGAGUCUUCAAGUGAAGAGAUCUUGGACUCAAAUCUUUCAGGCAAGCUCACUAGAACUUUCUCUACAACCCUUUGGUCUGUUAGAUCCUCACCAAGAAGCCAGAUUUUGUUAACAACUUCCAUGAGCCUGUCUACAUAUUCUUUGAUGAACUCAUUGUCUUUCAUCCUCAAAACUUCAAAUUGCCUCUUCAGAUUCAGAAUCUGCAUUUGCCUAGUUCUGUCACUCCCCAAAUACAUCUCCUUAAGCUUGUCCCACGCCUCUUUUGGUGUUUCGCAAGCCAUAAUCCUUGUGAAAAUUGGUUCUGAGACAGCAGCAUGGAUGUAAGAUAAAGCUCUUGGAGCUUUAGCUUCUUCUUCUUCAUGAGCCCUGAUUUGAUUGAGGGUUGGAUUGUUUCCCAAAGGUUGUACUUGCCUUUCAGUUUCAACCCACUGCCACAAACCAAGACCUCUCAAGUAAGCUUUCAUCUUAACAGCCCAAACUUGAUAGUUUUCACCAUUGAAAACUGGGGUUGAAAGAGUAGACGUAUUGCUGGAAGCCAUGAGAGUUUUUUGAGAAAGCCUUGCUGGUGGUUUUUUUUUUUUUCACUCACAGGUCCUAUUAAGAUCUUUUUGGGGCUCUGAUACCAUGUGAACACACACACCACAAUUAAUCCUACUGUUAACAAAAGAUACAAAAGACUUCUUUAAGUAUCUAUAAAAUUCUCAAAUUCUAACAUUACCUCUAAAACUUCUCCGAAUCUGAUGUUAUCUUCAAGCUCUUCAAGUUCUUGGUGUGAAACUCCAGCAUGCAGCUACUAUAUCUUCAAUACGCUGCUGCAUCUCCAUCGAAUUGCAUUAUUCAGGGCUGCAACAUAUUAAUUCUCCAUUGACAGCCACAUGAUUCUCCUCACGGAUGCCUCAUUCUACCAUGAAUCAUUAUCUCGAUUUAUUCAAUCAUGGGAAUCACUUUUCUAUCUACUAACUCAUAGCGCUCUUUAAGAUACCAAUUCAUUCUCACUCAUUCAACAUCCAUGGCUGCCAUUGUCAUGCAUCAUUUCACUUUCUAAUUCAACUGUAAAUUCAACUCAUUACAUACCACCGAAACCCACAUGAAUGCAUUGAAAUUCAGCCACCAAAAAUCUCCAUUAAACGGCCACUUUAUUCACUUAUUUCAAUUGAACAGUUCAGCCACAAAAUUCAUUAGAAUUUCAGCAUGCCUUCUCCAUUAAAUCCACACUGAAUAUACCAUUAGACUUUCAUAAAAAAUUCAGCAAAUCUGUAACUUCCUCAGAUCUUUAAGAACUAAUGCAUAAACGAGAUGAGAAACUCUUCCAUUACGUCUGAGAAAAGCUGAUGGUAAUGCAUAAUGAUCGUGCCGGAGCUGGCAAGUGGUGGUUUGAUAGAGAUGCACAUUUAUCUUAAAGUGAAGAUGUGAUGCACCAAAUGAGAUGCAGAGCUUCUAAACUGUCCGUGCGCUAGUCCAGAGAUGAAGGGGCGGUACGAUAAUGGAGUUACGAAGCUUCCCAAACUAACUGUGCAUUGAUUCACUGAUGAGGAUGCAAAGCGACAAUGGAGAAGAUGUCAACAUCGGUCUGAAGGUGCAGAGAACUCCGUCGAAGUGAUGAAACCGGUGCUCUUAUUGUAGUCGUAGAGACGGGAUGCUAAUGAAAUUGACAAAGAUACCAGAACUAUAUGCGUGUGAUGCGCUGAUGAAGAGAAAGACUAUUGGCACGUAUUGCAGGUUGCUGUGAUGUAGUGUCGAUCUGGAGAUGAAGAUGACGAACACUGAUUUCCAUGAGAGGAUCCCCAAAUCUUCUGAGCAUGAUAAUCGUGAAUAGAAAGAAGACUCCAGAAUCCUCUCUAUCUUCCCUAACUCCAGAAGAAAAGUGCUCGAUUGUUAUCAUCUCCCUAACCAAAAAUGAAACCCUCAAAAAUCCUAAAACAUUCCUCUGUCAUGCUUCUUUUAUUCCUCCUAAGAUCGGUAAGCUUUUCUCCUCCUUUUUGCUACUCACGACUUGCCUCCUAUUCCACUGCAACAUGAUCUGAUGCGGUCUCUUAGAAUUGAUCAUGAUGAUUCUUCCCCUUUUUUUUUUCUUUUUUCAGGUCAGUGUUGUAAUCUUCCCCUCCAAAAAUCCAGAUGAUCUUCUCUUUGCAAAACCCAAAACUCACCUCUCUAUUUCUUUCUUUUCCCGCCAAAAUGUCCCCUCCAAAAGGUCUCUUCUCCCAAGAUAGAAACUGAAGCAUUUCUUCUUUCCAAUUCUCCUCCAUGUGAUCUCCCCACCUCUAACUGACUAGUCUCCAAAUUCUUUUGACCAUAUGCACCAACAAUACAAAAUUAAAAAGAACUAUAAAAAAAUAAAUAAAUGAACAAAUAAAAUAAUCUUACGUCAACCAAAAAUUAAAGUUCAAAUUCAUGAAACUAAAAAUCAAAAUAUUAGCCACAUGCAAUCAAACAUAAAAAAAUGUCAAUUUCAUGCAAAUCAAUAUCAAAUCCUAGAACCAUGCAAUAGAAAAACAAACCUAAACCUAAAUGCAUUAGAAAUCAAUCGAAGUCAAGCCAAACAAAGCCCUAUGCUAAAAAAACUAGAGAUAACUAAUCAUCACGCUAAGGAUCUCCAAAAAGUCCCCCAAUGUAUCUCUAAAGAAAAUCCAAAGGUAGUGACCGAAAAAAUCACUAUGGGCCACUAGUGAGGACUCAAAAAUAACUCAAACUAGGACCCUAAGAUCACAAACAAGUAAUAGAGGAUGAAUGAUGGUUGACUUGAGCAUCAUGUACCAAGAUGACAAAAUAGAGGGUCUACACACGGAGAUAUCGGUACUUCAAUUUUAUGGUUAUAUCGGAGAUAUGUCGAUGCAUAGUUUGGAAAAAAUUUCAAAAAACCUAAAAUUCAUCAAAACUCAUGGAAAUGUAAGAAAAAUCUCAUAAAAAUGUAAUUAGAGGAUAAUUAACAUUUUAAAGUUGUUUUGUUGAAUAAUUUGAUAUAUAUAUAUAUAAUUUAAUUUAUCAUAUUUGAUAAUAAUAUUGUAUGCAUCGAUAAAAAAUAUAUAAAUUUUAUAAGUGUACAUUCAUUAUUAAAUUACAUCAAAUAUUAUCCAAUAAUAAUAUUAUGAUAUUUGAUUAUAAUAUGUUUAAUUUUAAAAUAUAUUUAAUAUUAAAAAUAUGAUACAUUUAAUUCAGUUAUAUUAAAUGAUAUAAAAUAAAUGAUGAUAUACGUAUAAUUUUUUAAUAUUUAAUUAAUAUAUUAAUAAUAUUAAAAACACUAUGAAAAAAGUUAGGGAGAAUUGUGUUUAGGGCCAAAUUGGGUCCAAAAAUUAACAUUUGGUCCAUAUAACUUCCAUAAUUGAUGGAAAUGAUAUAAGAUGUUAAAAGACAAAUAUAUCCUUCAAAUUUCUAUAUAUUACAUUUUAAGGAUAUAAAAUAGUGAUGGACUAAAAUACCCGAUAACCUUUCACAUAAGCUUUUUUUGUCUUUAUUGCACCACUAUUCAUGCAACCAUAAUAAUUAUAUUUUAACAAUUUGGAUUUUUCAUUGUUUUUAUUUUUUUAUAAAUAAUUGAAAAUAAGCAUUAUUUUCUAUUUUAAAUUAUAAAUAAAGAAAAAUUAUGUUCAAAAACUAUUUUAAAAAAUACUUUGUAAAAAAAUGGUAAUAUGAUUUAUAUUUUAUAUAUAUUUCUUUUUGAAAAAACAUUUAAUUAAAAAAUAAAAACUAUUUUUAAAAAUAAAAAUUGAAAACCUUGUUUAGUACUAUUUUUUAUAUGAAAAUAAUAAAAAUAAUUAAAUUUCAUUCAUUGAUUAUCCAUUUUAAUUUUUUUCCAUUAGUUAUUUUAAUAAUAAAAUAAAAAAUAUAGUAUGUUUACAAUUAAACAAAGAAAUUGAUCAAUUAUGUGUUUUUUGUGGGACUAUCUUUUACAUGAAAAAUAAUUAAAUAACUAAAUUAUAUAUAUUUAUUACUCUUUUUAAGUUUAUUUUCUUUAUUUAUUUUUUGUCUAAUAUAAAAAUUUAAUAUAUCCAUAAUUAACAAAGUAAUAAAUCAAUUGUGCACAUUUUAAUCUAUUAAAAUAAAUUACUUUCUAAUUUAAAUAAAUAAAAUCAAAUAAGUAAAUAAAUUUGGGUUAUUUCUAUUUUUUAACAUAUCUUAUAUUAAUAUUUUUUAUGGUUAAAUAAAUUUUUUUUCUUUAAUUCCAAAAAUAAAAUGAAAUAAAUAAAUAAAUUUGGUAUUUUCUAACUGAUCUUAUAUUCAUAUUUCUUAUGGUUAAAUAAAGAUUUUAUUCUUUUUUCUUUAUUUCAAAAAAUAAAAGGAAAUAAAUAAAUAAACUUGGCUUAAAUAAUAGCUUUUAAGUAAUUUUUUGUCUUAUUUUUAAUUACAUUUUGCAUUGAAAAUAAAAUAAAAUAACGUUUUAUUUGUUUUAAUUAUUUUAAAUGUCAAACUAUUGGGAACAUAGUUUACACACUCGUGUAGAUAUAAUUUAUACAUAUAUAUGAAAAUUUAUACUAUUAUACAAUGUUAUUACACUAAUUAUACAAGGGGUGUACAAAACUGUACAUUUUGAACAAUUUUUUUUUUUUCUUUCUUGUCAUCUAAGGAUUAUAUGUUCUCCUACCACAAAUUCUUUUAUUUCAUGUACUUUAUUUAACUCGCAUGUAACAAUUCAAAUACUUACCUUAAUAAUGAUAUUUAGACAAAAAAUUUGUUUUUACGUUUUAUAUCAUUUUUUAAAUCAAACCAUUAGAAACAUGGUUCAUACAUCAUAUGUGGCACAUAAUGUAUGCAUAUGAAUAAAAUUUGCACCAUUGUACAAGGGUGUUAUACUAACUGUACAAGGUAAAUAUUCAAUUGGACAAGACAAAUAUUCUAACUGUACAAGACAAACAGUCUAACUAUACAAGGGGUAUACAAGGCUAUUCUUUGUGAAAGAUUUUAAUUAAUUUUGGACAACUUUUUUUUUGUCUUGCCAUCUAAGUACUGCACACUCUUAAGGUACACAUUACUCUAUUACACACUCAUUUUAUACACUUUAUUUAACUCUCACAUGAUAAUUCGAAUACUUAUCCUCCUAAUGAUGUUUGAGAAAAAAUUUUGUUUUUCCAUCUUCCACUAUUUUUUGAAACAAGCCAAUGAAAACAUAGUUAACCUACCUAUGGUUACACAUUGAGUAGGGGGUAUAUAGAAUUUGAGCCACUAUACAAGGUAUUUACAUUAAGUGUACAUGACAAAUAUAUUAACUGUACAAGGGUGUACAAGACUAUUAUUUGUGAAGGGUAAGUGAUUCUCAAAAAUUUGUUUGUUUAUUUUCCUUAAUCGAUGAUAAAUGACAUUCCUUACACACAUUGGUUAAGCAUACAUUCAUCUCAUGUACUUUAUCUAACUUGUAUAUAGUCAUUUGAAUAGGUACCUCACUUAUGAUGAUUGUAAAACAAAAUUAUACAACAAUUUUUCUUCUUUUUUAAAACUAAACCAAUGCAAACAUGGUUAAUCGACCUAUUGUCAGAUAUUCAUGAGAUGAUGUAUGAAAUUUGAGUUAUUGUACAAGGGUAUUACACUAACUGUACAAUACAACUUUACUAAUUGUACAAGGGUGUACAAUACUAUUUUUUGUUAAGGAUUUCAAGUGAUUUUGAAAAACUUUCCCAUUUUUUUCCACUCAAAGAUUUUUUUCCCCACUCAAAUUCUCUCACUCAAGAAUUGUUUCAAAUUUUAUUUUUAAAUUUCAUUAUCAAAAUUUUGUAAUUGCAUAUUUUGUUUUUAUGGUUUUAGCAAUGUUCUUUCUUUCCAUUUUUUUUUUUUUUUUUUUGUGAAAUUUUAUCCAAAUGAAUCUAUAUUUAAAAUUAUAAUCAUAUUUAUCAAUUUUUUUUACUAAGAUUAUCUUUAAUUCUUUUAAUAUAUUUAUACUCAUUUAUUUAAAAAAUGAAAAACUAAUUUUUAUUUUUAUUUUUAAACAUGUUCUAUUACCUUUCAAGUAAAAAAUUAGAUAAGUUUGAAAGUCAAUAAAAAAAUUAAAUGUCACUUUCAAUAAUUUUUAUAUAAAAAUUUUAUAUAAUAUAUUUUAUUUGAAAUUUAAUUUCUAAAGUUUAACUAAAAUAUUGUAUUAACAUUUUUCUUGUUGUGAGUUAAAAUACUUUGCAUUAGUCUAUCCAGAUAAUAAAAAUUAUUAAUAUAAUCUUAGAACUUAUAUCUUAGUUAUUUUUUUCAAUAAAUUUAUCUUUUUAAAAAUUUUAAAAUAAAAACAUUAAAAUUAAAAAGCUAAAAGGAUAUAUAUAUAUAUAUAAUAAAGUGAAGUGAUAGUCAAUUUUUAAAUUUUUUAAAAUAUGGUUAAUGUAGAAAAUAUAAAAAAAUAAUUAAAAAUAAGAGAAAAAUAUAAAUGAAAGGGUAAUAUAAAUUUAAAAUAAAAAUGAAAAUUAAACUAAAAGAUAAAUACAAAAAGAUAAAAAAUAUUUGGAUGAAAAAUCCCAAAAUUUUUAUCAUUGCUUAUAAUAAGAGCAAAAAGAUUCAAUAUCUUUAAAAAUGAAAAACAAAAAAACAUUAUUGCUUUUUAUUUGACAUAAAAUAGAAAUAUAGAUUGAAAGAAAAAGAAAAAAAAAAGUUAAAAAUGAGUAAUACUUAAUAGGGAAUAGAAAAUGGAGAAAAACACAAAAAAAAAAAAUUGAAAUUCACACUCACUUAUGUCUAUAUAAGGGUUAAGGGUAUUUUAGAGAUUAAUGAAAUACAAUAUCCUUCAUCUUAAUUUUCAUACUUUGUUUGGGUUUUGGGCUUAAAUAUGCAUGAUAUAUGGAUCAAAUGUUAAUUUUUGAGAUCAGCUGGGUCCAAAACACAAUUCUCCCAAAAAGUUAUCAUGAUAAUUUUUAUAUUUCUAGUAAUUAAUUAAAUGAAAAUUUUUUCAUUUAAUGAUGCAAUAUAUUUAUUAAGGGAAAGCUUGCCUAAGUGGCUGGCAAGGUUUAUUUCAAACUUUCUGUUUGGGGUUCAAGUCCUUUCAACUGCACAAAAUUAAGGUAAUUUUGAGUUGAUUGUUGACUGCCCAACCCGUGUGCAGCCCGCGCCUAGCAAACUUGUGUUGCAGUCAGCCUACAGGCACAUGCAGCGUUUUUCGGGGGAAAUUUCACCGAAAAAAUGGCAACAAUCGGAGAUAUUUGAAACUCGUUGAUUUUUUCUGAAAAAUCGCCCUUUCAAUUUUUCGUUUACCCGUUUCAUUUCGCCAGUCACCAAUACACAAAAUUUUACUAAAAUUUCAUCGAAAUUAUCCAAAAUUUUCUUUUCUGUUUGAGGGCAUGCCCAAAACCCCAACAACAUCAUGGUUGUAGAUUUUUUCAAUAUCCACUGCGUCCACAACUCAAAAUUAUUUUCUUUGAAAUGGUAGGCCAAAUAAAAAGAAAGUUAAUGCUCACGUUCCAAUACCCUAAACUUGCCUCAUUUCAUCUGGUUACCAUUGUGGGGCUACUAUUAUAUAAAUUUGUUGCAAUCACUUUUAUUCACCCUAUCUAUCACAUAAUUCUGUCAAUUUAAAAAUUUAUCAAUAAACUCUAUUAUCUUUAUAUUUAAAUAAUUCUAUUUUCAAUGUCGAAAAAUUUAUUUUGCAAACAUUUAGUGAUUUUUAUUCCAUCAUGUAAUUAAUUUAAUAAUUUCAAUAAUUUUCAUUAUAGAAUUUUAGUAGAAAAAGUUAAAAAUAUUGUAAAAGAAUCACCAUAUAAAAAAAGGAAAAAAAUAAAAAGAGUUAUAAUAUAUUUCAUACUCCUUAUAAAAAGAGAACAGAAUCCUCAUGAUCAAUUGUUACAAUUUUUUGUUUUUUUUUUAUUUUUUUUCUUUUUCUUGGAAUUCUUUAGGGAAAAAAAAUAGCAAGUAGACAUGUAAGAACUAUUAUCAUAAAAUUGACUAAACAACUUGCUUGUUGACUCUUACAAUAAUAAGCAUCCAUCAAGUAUAAGAGCUCUAAUCAUAUUUCAACUCCAAUUUUUGCCAUAUAAUUAUGAUUUCUAAAUUUUAACAAGCUUAAUAGAAUCUUGUUCCCAAAAAUAUUUUACUGAAACGAAAAAAGGGCAGCACCUUUAUUUUAUAAACAUUAUGAAACAUCGUUGUCUAGUAGAAUAACACCCAUAAGGGGUGAAGGGAAAAAUUAUAAUAUAAAAAUUGAAGAGUUAUUUACCAUAAUUAAUACAUGAGAUAUUAGAGAUAAAUAAAAUAUCCAAAAUCAAAUCAAUAUGUAACAAACACAAGGAAUUUUUUAUGUGAAAAACCCCACACUAAUUAUGGAGAUAAAAAACCACGGAGUCUAAAUUAUGGAAUAAAUUGAUUUAGAUUGAUUUACACCUUUGAGGGUCGGAAUCAAUAUUCUUCCCUAGACAUGAAAAACCAUCUUAUAUUAAGAUAGAUCAACAAGAUCAGUUCUUGAGUCAGGUCUAGUUGAAAACAUUUCAUUAAUCAAAGUUCCCUAGAGAACAACACUCCCUAUGGUACCAAUAUUGAAGAUAGAAACUCUCAUUACUGCCCUUGGGAAGCAACAACCCAAAUUCAUACAACUUUAGUAUCAAGCAUAAUGAUCCAAAAUAUGUGAGGGUUUUACUACCAAUUUCCGGGUAAGGAUACAAGCUACAUAAGUAAUAUGUCAUCUAGGCUUUCAAAUGCAAGACUAGAUGGCAGGCCUUGAGAGAAGUUUCAGACUAUAGGAAAUUUGAUGAAAUAUAGUCGUGUAAUAUUUAUAUCUAAACAUGCUAUUAAAAAAAAACAUUAAAUAGCAAUUAGAUCAUAAACGGAAUUAUAAACUGAUCGGAAAACAUACCUCCCGCCAUUGCCUUUCUAUAGGUUAAAAUGGGUUUUGUUAUUUUCGGGUUUCAGGUGCUUCUAAACCUUCACAAUCUCCACUUAGAUGGUGUUUUGAAAACUAAAAAGAGAUUGCAGGCUUAGGGUACCCUCCCGUUAGUGUUCUGCCUCGUUUUAAAAGACUCUCUCCAUCACUGAGUCUACUUGGAACGUGCACAAAACAUGGGGUAGUGAUGCAAACGUGGUUUGGAGCAUGAAUCCUCAUUCCUAAAUUGAUGGAAUGAUGUGGACCACAUUCCGAAUCACGCCUUUGGUUUAUUACCGAAGAUGCAAGAGAAAUUAAAAUCCCAACAUUCUCCCACUUGGUCCAUAUAUUCCAUCAUUCAUCAUAGCAAGAAACAAAACACAUGAAUCAUGGCAAUAGGUCCUUUAAUAUCGAGUAUUAUCUUCCAUGUAUCACAAUGCAUCAUGUUUCUUAAACACUAGCCCAUAUGGCUUAAUGAAUAAACCCUAUGUUUAUUCUAGGUCCAAACAUUAAUGAUAUUUCUCAAUAAAUGAAUAAAAGUGUACACAAAGAAAAUCAAAUGAGAAAACAUCACAAAUAGAGUUUCAUUGAAAAUAAAAUUCGUUCUUACAAUGAAAAUCACACAAAGGAACCAAGUCCCAAUCUAUCUACAUGAUCCUUAAAUUUCAACGAUAGCAUGUCUUUAGUCAAAGGAUCAGCAAUCAUCAAUUCAGUGUUAACGUGUUCAAUAACCAUUGUUUUCUCUUUAACACGUUCUCUUAGGGCUAAAUACUUGAUGUCGAUGUGCUUGUUUCGACUGCUACUUUUAUUGUUCUUAGCCAUAAAAACUGCAAUUGAAUUGUCACAAUAUAUCUUCAAUGACCUAGAAAUUGAAUCCACAACUCUAAGCCUAGAAAUAAAACUCUUUAACCAUACACCAUGCGAGGUAGCCUCAAAACAAGACACGAACUCAGCCUUCAUAGUGAAAGUUGCAAUCAAAGUUUGCUUUGCACUUCUCCAAGAAACAACUCCACUGACUAGCAUAAAGACAUAUCCUGAAGUUGAUUUUCGCGAAUCAAUGCAGCCAGCGUAGUUUGAAUUAGAGUAGCCAAUCACUUCCAAAUUAUCAGUUUGUCUAUACAUAAGCAUGUAGUCUUUGGUCCCCUGAAGGUAUCUCAUCACCUUCUUUGCAGCUUUCCAAUGGUCCAUACCUGGAUUACUCUAAUAUCUCCUUAACAUCCCAACAGCAAAUGUAAUGUCAGGUCUUGUGCAGACCUGAACAUACAUCAAGCUUCCAACUGCAUAAGCAUAAGGAAUGUUCUUCAUUUGUUGCCGCUCAAGAUCAUUCUUCGGGCACUGGUCCAAAUUGAACCUAUCGCCCUUCACAAUAGGAGCUAUACUUGGUGAACAAUCUUUCAUCCAAAAUCUUUCUAAAACCUUGUUGAUAUAGGUCUCUUGAGACAAACCUAAAAGGCCUCGAAAUCUGUCUCUCUAUAUCUUAAUGCUAAUGACAUAAGUCGCAUCACCCAUAUCCUUCAUAUCAAAGUUUUUAGAUAGAAACUGUUUCACCUCAUGUAGCAAACUCUUAUCAUUGGUUGCAAGUAAAAUGUCAUCCACAUACAGAACAAGGAAACAUAUCUUACUCCCACUGACUUUCUGAUAUAUACAUUGAUCCAUAAUGUUCUCCACGAAACCAAAUGAAGUGAUAACAUCAUGAAACUUCAAAUACCACUGACGGGAUGCUUGUUUCAAUCCAUAUAUGGAUUUCUUAAGCUUGCAUACCAAAUGCUCACCACCACUAGAGGAAAAUCCUUUUGGUUGUUUCAUGUAAACCUCUUCCUCUAGAUUUCCAUUGAGAAAUGUCGUUUUCACAUCCAUUUGUUGCAACUCUAAGUCAAAACGUGCAACUAAUGUUAUAAUGACACGAAGAGAAUCUUUCUUAGAUACAGGAGAAAAAGUCUCCUUGUAGUCAAUUCCUUCAUUUUGAGUGAAUCCUUUAGCAAUGAGUCUCGCUUUAUAUCUUUCAAUGUUGCCCAAUGAAUCUUUCUUUGUCUUGAAGACCCAUUUACAUUCAAUGGCUUUUGCACCAUCAGGCAACUCAACAAGAUUCCAAACUCCAUUAGAUGCCAUAGAAUUCAUCUCAUCUUUCAUAGCAUCAUACCAUAAAUUAGACUCUUUGCAACCUAUGGCUUAUGAAAACAUUUCAGGAUCAUUUUCAGCUCCAAUGUCAUAGUCCAAUUCUUGCAGAUACACAACAUAAUCACUAGCUAUUGCUGGUUUUCUCACUCUUGUAGAUCUCCUUAAUAUUGAAUCAACAUUUUCCUGAGGAUCACGUUGCUCAAUGGGCUGUUCAACAAUUUUUGGCAAAUCUUGAACAACUUGAUCUACUGGAUUGACAUUAGCAAUUUGUGGAGCUUCAAUGAUUGGUUUUCUAUCACCCGUUUGAACUUGAGGGGCAUUCUGAAUGACAAUCAAUCUAUCACUUGAAGUGGAUAGUUGAGCAUCUAUAUGAUCUUUUUCAGAAAAAAUGUCCUGAAAUCGAUUGCUCCCACUAAUCAAGUCAUUUUCAAGAAACUUAGCAUUUCUUGACUCCACAAUUCUAGUGCUAUGAGAUGGACAGUAAAAUCUAUACCCGUUAGACCUUUCGGCAUAUCCAAUGAAAUAUGCACUAAUGGUCCUUGGGUCUAGUUUCUUCUCUUAUGGGUUGUAAACUCUUACUCCAAACGGGCAUCCCCAAACGCGUAUAUGUCGCAAACUCGGUUUCCAACCUUUCCAUAAUUCAAAUGGCGUCUUGGGGAUAACCUUUGUUGGAACUCGGUUCAAUAUAUACACUGUCGUUUUAAGAGCUUCAGUCCACAAGGAUUCAGGAAGCUUGGAGUUGCUACACAUACUCCUAACCAUGUCCAUUAAUGUUCGGUUUCUUCUUUUAGCCACACCGUUCUGGUCUGGGGAACCAAGCAUGGUGUAUUGAGCAACUAUCCCAUGCUCUUGAAGAAACUUCGCAAAGGGACCAGGUGUUUGUCCAUCCUCGGUGUAUCUACCAUAAUAUUCUCCACCUCUAUCCAUUCUCACAAUCUUUAUUUACUUUUCGCAUUGUUUUUCUACUUCAGCCUUAAAAACUUUAAAGGCACCCAAUGCUUCAUUCUUGUUAUAAAGCAAGUAGAUAUACAUGUAUCAUGAGUAAUCGUCUAUGAAGGAGAUGAAGUAUUUCGAACCAUACGCGUCCAUGUCUGGACAACAAAUAUCUGAAUGUAUGAUCUCUAAUAUGUCUGUGCUCUUCUUGGCACCCUUCUUAGACUUGUUGGUCUACUUUCCCUUAAUGUAGUCCACACAAGUGUGAAAAUCAAUAAAAUCUAAAGUACUUAGUACUCCGUCAUUUACUAAUCUCUUAAUUCUCUGUAUGGAGAUAUGUCCCAAUCUUCGAUGCCACAAUAUAGAGGAAUCUUCAUUCAUAACACAUCGUUUUGUGCCAAUGUGAACAUGCAUAGUAUUAUUAGUGGUAUCAUAUUGCAAAUUGAUAGAGAAAAGACCAUUAGACAAUGUACCAUUUCCAACAAGAUUAGAUUUAUAAAACAAACUGAAAGAUGUCUCAUAAAAACUAAAGGAAUAACCCAAAGGUACAAUUCUUGAAACUGAAAUCAAAUUCCUAGAGAAACUUGGAACAUAAAAUGUCUUUUCUAAAUUUAAAAUAAAACCACUACUUAAAACUAAACUGCAUGUUCCAACAGCCUCCACAUGUGAACGCAUCUUGUUUCCUGAAUAAAUGCAUUGCUCACUUGGCAUUGGCUUCCUUAGGUUUUGUAUACCCUGCAAGGUAUUCGAAACAUGGAUUGUAGAACCAGAAUCAAUCCACCAUGUGUUAUAAUUAACAUCAACCAUAUUAGAUUCAUAACAAAUAAAUGAGAUUGGUUUACCUUUCUUCUCAAGCCAUUUCUGGAAUUUGGUGCACCUAUUGACCUUCUUUAUUCCACCUUGGGGCGGUAUUUUACCUUUCCCUUUCUUUUUGGCAUGAUUCUGAUCCUUUCAUUCCAUUGUCAUUAAUGCAUUCUCACCCAAUUCCAUUUUCAACCUUCCCUCCCCUUGAACACACAUGGUCAGAAGCUCAUUAAUUGACCACUUAUCUUUGUGUGUGUUGUAGGAGAUUUUGAAGUGUCCAUAUUGUUGUGGAAGAGUGUUUAAAAUGAAGUGCACAAGGAAGGAGUCAGACAUUUCAACCUUAAGUGUUUUCAAUUGUGCUGCAAUAUCCCUCAUUUGCAUUAUGUGCUCUCGCACACCACUCACAUUGGUGAGCCUUAAAGAUGAAAACUUCAUUAUCAGGGUGCUGGCAAGUGCCUUAUCUGAAGUCACAAAUUGUUCAUUAAUAGCCUUCAGUAAUGCCUUGACAUUGUCAUGCUGAUCCACAGAACCACGAAUACCAUUAGAGAUUUUGGUCUUUAUGAACAUCAGACUAAGGCGAUUUGAUCGCUCUCAUUGUUCAUAAAGAGCCUUUUCUGCUGUAGUGUUGGUGUCAAUAAUGGUUGGUUUUUCUUUCCUAAUAGCAUAAUCAAUGUCCAUGCACCCCAAAUGAAGGAGAAUUCUCUCCUUCCAAACCUUAUAGUUAUCACCUUUCAAUUCGGGAAUGUCACAUUUUUAUAUUAGAGAAAUCCGUAGGUUGCAUGACUGCACAAAAAUUAAACAUACACGCUUAUAAUUCAAAUUUGAGACUAAUAAACAAAUAUCAUGUUUUACCAAUGUAACUCAUGUUCAAAAAUUAUGAAUCUAGUGACAUAAAACUUACCUGUGGGCUAAAGUUCUAAUUCAAUUAGAUCCAUGUAAAACCUUAUGAUAAAACUAUCAAAUUAUGUUUCAUUUCCUAAUUCCUGUGGGUAAUUAAGAAAUAUAAUUUGAUAUUCCACCCUAAUUAAUUAUACAAAUUUAAUAAAAAAUUCAUGUGGGAUAAAAUUUUAUUAUAUCAAAUAUAAUUAAUUACCCAUAAUGUCAUUUUCCUAUAUGUGAUCCUAAAAUAAUUAAUAUAUAAUUUUGCAUAAUUAAAGAUGUUGUGGCUACUCCUUAAUUAAUUAAAAUUAUAUGGAUCACUUGACAUUUAAUUAAUUCACAAGAAAAAUUAUAUAAAUUGCAUGAAACCAUAAACAAUUUUUACACAAAACUCAAUAUCAAUGUGCAAAAUUUUUGAAAUUGUAUAAAUUAUAAGCACAUUAAUAUCUAAAAUUAAAACCAUAAAAGCCUUUAAGAAUGAAUUUAAUGUGCAAAUUAUUUAAUUUAAUGUAGUAUGCACAAUAAACCAUUAAAAAUAAAAAAUAUGCAUUCAACUAGCAAAAAUAAAUAAUCUAUCACAUAAAAUAUCCAUAAAUUAACAUAUUUUAAAAACACUAAAUUUUAUGAUUUUUUUUUAUUAUUAUUACAAUUCACUAAAUCCAGAUGCGGGACAAGGAAAUUCGUGUCAUACAAGUCUUGAGGCAAAGGCUUUGUUGAAGGAAAGAAAUACCAACUAAAUCAACCUCUUUAUAAAAAAAGAAUAAGUUUAUAGGUUGCUGCCAGGAGGACUCGAACUUGUGCAAUCAAUGAAGGUAGACAAGGCUAUGACCAACUGGGCUAGUGCCCAUUUUUUUAUUACUUGUUUACUUAUUUAAGUGUUAUUGAUAGUCAAAACAAUAACCCCCUGUAGUCGUCCCCUACCUUCAACCGGGUCUGUUUGACCCAUCUGCAACCCGAAAUGAAACCCGACGGUUUCCAGGCAUUCCAGACACCAAAUUGAUGAUUUAAAACACCGAAAUAUUAGAAAUCUCAUCUCCUAAUGAUUUCUAACAAUAUUUUUCAUCAAAAACUUCUAAAACCAAAACCUCCAAAAUACCAAAACUCACUUGAUUGAAAAAUGCAUAUUGUAAAAUGAACAAGACAAAGGCAUACAAGGCUCUGAUACCAACUGUAAUCUUUAUAUCUAAACAUGCUAUAAAAAAAACAUUAAAUAGCAAUUAGAUCAUAAACGGAAUUAUAAACUGAUCGGAAAAUAUACCUCCCGCCAUUGCCAUUCUACAUAUUAAAAUGGGUUUUGCUAUUUUUCAGGUUUCAGGUGUUUCUAAACCUUCACAAUCUCCACUUAGAUGGUGUUUUGAAAAUUGAAAAGAGAUUGUAGGCUUAGGGUACCCUCCCGUUAGUGUUCUGCCUCGUUUUAAAAGACUUACUUCAUCACUAAGUCUACCUGGAACAUGCACAGAACAUGGGGUAGUGAUGCGAACAUGGUUUGGAGUAUGAAUCCUCGUUCCUAAAUUGAUGGAAUGAUGUGGACCAAAUUCCGAAUCACGUCUUCGGUUUAUUACCGAAGAUGCAGGAGAAAUUAAAAUCCCAACAAGUCGGUGUUAAGAGAAAAUUGAAAGUGGUGAUUUAGGUGGUGUUUGUUUUUUUGUUGAAUAGAAAAGUCAAAAUAUUUGGCUUUUUCUAUUCAACUAAAAGUAACAUAUUGAUACCAACUAAUAUAACUAAAGUGAACUUAUUAUCAAUGGUGGAGUUUAAUUAUAUUGGUUGAUAUCAAUAGGUUACUUUUAGUUGAAUAAAAAAAAGUCAAAUAUUUUGAAUUUUUCUAUUUAGCCAAAAAAACAAACACCAUCUUAGUUAGUCUUUAUUUAUGUGCUCACCCCAAAGUAACUAUUGAACUAUUUAAUUAUGGUAUAUGAAUGACGAAAACCACAAUAUAUUAAGCCAAUUCAUGGGAUUUAAGUUAUGAGGCUAAUACUCUUUGCACAUUGAAAGCAUAUAAAGUACGUACAAGCUUUUUGUAAGAGAAACUUAUACAUAUUUCCUAAAAUGAAUCUUGGAUAUACAGGUAAGAUAUUUUCUAAAACAACUCUUAGGUUGUGUUACUUAAAUAACUCUUUUGUUUUUGUUUCAUUUUUCUAGGAGUAUAUUUUUAGUCAUCAGUCAUUAAGAUAUUUUUAUUUUUUGUUUUCAAUUACGGGUUAAAGUUUGUUUUUUGGUUGACCUUAUAGACUUCAUAAUAUCACAAUUGUUUAAGUUUCUUUGUUUUCAUUUGCAUCACAAAGAAAUAGACAUCUACAAGCCAUGGUCCAUUUGUUUGUUGAUUUUGUGGUUCUUACCUAUUUUUUGAAAUCUUUGUGUCCCUCAAACUAGAAAUUAGAUGUUCUCACUUUACUCCAAUUUCAAGUUCAUGUUAAAUUUUGGCAUCAUCAGUAUUUAUUUAUAACAAUGUGUGUCUUUUAGCUUGUGAUGCUACCUAGAAUAGUUUUUUUUUUUUCCCACUUUUUUUUGGAUGGGAUGAUGACUCUAAAGAACUUGGGAAUAUGGUUAUAAAAGUAGAGGCUUAGUGUUUGUGCAUGAAAUAAGGAUGAUGUGAGUCAUAUAUUAAGGCCUGUAAUAGUUAGCUAGAGUUUACAUGCUUUUAUUAAUUCAAUACGUGCAAGCAAGUGUGGAUAUUUGAGGAAUAGAGUGUGUUGAUUCAAAUAUGUAUGUUCAUAUAUUCUUUAUAAGUUAAAUGUUAUUGGAAUAAAUUAAAUUUUAUUUAUUUUUUUAUGUUUUUUUCUUUGAAUUCUUUGUUUAAAUAUGAUAUUUACAUUCACUAUUUUUAUAUUACAUUAGUAGUACAACAUGUGCACUGCACGUGAGCAUUGUUUGAGUAAUGUUGAUUUCAUAAUUUAUUAAUCUCUUAUUAACAUGCUACUUCCAUUUUUUUUAUAAUUAUAUAAAUAAUUUUUUUUAAUCAAAUUCAUUAAAUAUUAUUAAUUUAAUAUUUUUUUUAAAAAAUUAUUUUUCCUUUUGAAUUUAUUAUAUUGGAUAAAAUUGAAACUUACGUAUAAAUUUAUUUUUAUAGCCAUUCAGAAAUUUUUACCUAUCAUUACUUCAAAUAAAUUCUUUUAAAUCAAAAUUUAUUUAUAAUCCUCCAAUAUUUUCUACCUAUCAUUAUUUCAAAAUAAAUUCUUGUAAGUCAAAAUUUAUUUAUAAUCAUCUAGAAUUUUCUACCAUCAUUACUGCAAAUAAAUUCUUUUAACUCAAAAUUUAUUUAUAAUAAUCUAGAAUUUUUCAUCUAUCAUUACUUCAAAUAAAUUCUUUUAGCUUAAAAUUUAUUUAUAGUCAUUCAAUAUUUUUUACCUAUCAUUAUUUUCACUAAAAAAUUAUUUAUAGUCAUCCAAAAUUUUCUACCUAUCAUUACUUCAAAUAAAUUAUUUUCACUCAAAAUUUAUUAAGGUUAUGUUAAAUUGUAGAAAAAGAUUUCAACUUUUUCCUUUUGGUUUCCUUAUUGAUAAUUUUAUGAUAAAGAUAAAUUGUAGAAGAAGAUUCUAACUUUUUCUUUUCUAGUUUCCUUCGUGAUAAAUUUAUGAUAAAGAUAAAUAUGUUUUCUUUUAUGUUGCCUUUUCUUUUAUGUUAAUACUUUUUCUCCUUUCAUUUAAUUCUAAGUUUUACUCUAUCAAUUUUAAAAUAUAUAUAUAUAUAUAUAUAUAUAUAUAUAUAUAUAUAUAUAUAUAUAUAUAUAUAUAUAUAUAUAUAUAUAUAUAUAUAUAUAUAUAUAUACAUUUAGAAUCUUCUAUGAUUUAUGAUACACACACCUAUAAAUGAUAAAUAUAUAUAUAUAUAUAUAUAUAUAUAUAUAUGAUAGAGAGAUAAAGAUAAGAAGUUGGGAAGAUAAUUAGAUAGAAAGUUAUUCAUGUCAUUUUUAUAUAUUUAUAUAUUAUUUUAAUUAAUUUUUAACAUAUAUACUAUAUUAAAAUUAGGAACAAAUUGUAAAACUUUUUUACCUAAAAAGUCUUUUCUAAAAAAAGUAAUUUCCAUUUAUAUUAAACAAAAUUUCAUUAAGUAUGAAAAUAUUUUUUCUUUCUCCCAUCACAAUAGUUACUUGUAUAGACUUUGUCCAUAAAAGGAAAAGUAUCUUGCACUUCUUUUUCUUCCUAAAAUACCCCCCGCUCAUUUAUUUAAUACCAUAAGACUAUUCGAUUAAGAGUAAUACUUUUAACACACUUUAGUAUUACUUUUUUCAUAAAGAGUAAUAAUUUUUUUUAUACCCUUUUUUUCUUAUGGUUGUGUUGAUCAAUGUGCAAUUUCAAUAUGCAAAUAUUUUAAUUUUUAAUAAAAUUAAUAUAAAUGAUUAUAUAUAAUUUUUUAUGAGUAGUACUUUUAACACACUUUAGUGUUACUUUUUUCAUAAAAAAUGGUACUUUUUUAUACCAUUUUUUCUUAUGGUUGUAUUGAUCAAUGUGCAAUUUUAGUAUACAAAUAUUUUAAUUUUUAAUAAAAUUAAUAUGAAUGAUUAUAUACAAUUUUUUAUGAAAAAUAUAUUUUAUUUGUUACUUUAUAUAAAUUAAAAAAUUAAAAAAUUUAAUACAACAAAAUGUUAGCCUCUUGUGAAACUAGACAUCUGUUGGUAUACCAUCUUCCUCAUUAUUACCCAAUACUUUAGCAGGGUGAUGGGCAUCACAUUAAGGGCAGCACCUUUAUCCACAAGCACUCUUGAAAUUGGGCAACCGUCCAUGUGCACAGUGAUGGAGAGGUGCUUGAUCAUUUUCUCACUUGGCUUCUUUCCUCCUAUUUACAAUAGAGUUGACUUCGUUCCUUUUCCAACCAGCAUUAGAGUAACAGCUAGUCAAGCUAGUAUCAAACCAAAAGUCUCAGUAAUUCUUUCUGAGGAACCUAUCGAGCAAAAUGAGAAAAAUGAGCUAACAGUCAAUCCUUAGGAGUUCCAGCUCCAGGAAUGGUGGAGGAUUCGGGGUGCGAAUACUAGUCAAGAUCGAGAUUGAGAGCCCGAUAUGGAUCGAGAUAGGAAGCAUGAGCAAGAGAGAAAAGCCCAAGGAGGAAAAAAAAAGCAGGAUUCCGAAAGAGAAAACGGCGCUGCUUCCACUCUUUCCCGCAGGUAAAACACCAGGAAAUUUGCCGUAGUAGGCCGAGCUUUACCAUAUCGCCAGACUCGAUCACAAGCAGGGGAGGUUCUAUUGAUCUAUCUACGUAAAGGGAGCUCAUUCAAUAACGCGGCAUAAAACCGCACCGAUCUACGAGAGAAGCUGAUGGAUGAGUAGGCUUCCCUUUUCGGUUCACAGAAUGUGAUCUGGGACACGAUGGGAGUUUGCGUGCCUCGGUAGGAAAGAGAUCACCGGAGUAUAGCACAAGAUCACCUUUUCUUGUUGUCAUGGGGUCGACCUGUGAACAAGGCAGUGAAGGCUCGCGAAGUAGACAGCAAGCAACAGCUUCUCAACCCCCUAACCUUUCUAUGUUAUUAGUAAAGCGCUAGCGCGCCCCUUUCUCUAAUAAUAAGGGCAUUAAGCUAAAGCUGGCGAAAAGUUUUUUUUUUCUUUAAUUAAAAAUAUUAAACAUUUUAGCAAAGAAAAAAAAUUAAAACCGGGGUCCUAAAUCUCUAUAUUUGUUCAUCAUAUAUUUAAUUUUAUAUUAAAUUUGUUCUCACUAAAUAUUUAUUAUAUAUUAUUAUUUUAUGUUUAAAAUGUUCACAAAUAAUUAAAUCCUAAAUAUGAAAACUCAAAUACUAAAAAAUUGAAAAGGCAACCUAAAGACAACACAUUUAAAAAAAUAAAAAAUAAAUAAAAACAAAAAGAAGAUAGAGAUAUUAUGGAAAGGAAAAAGUAAAAAAAAAAAUGAUAUGUAUGAUUGAUUGCCAAGUAUCAAAUUUAAAAAAAAAAAACAAUAAUAAUGACAAGCUCUUUGACUUGUCAUGUCAAAGUAAAAAAAAAAAAGAAACUUAUGGUAGUUGCCAGCUUAUGCAAGGAGGCUUAGAGGGCAAUUUUGGAAUAUUGAUAAUUUUCACUAUUUGAAUACAUGUUUUGAGGGUUAUUUUCCCCAAAAUAAGUAUCGUUUGAAAGUCAAAAAGUCACUUUCUAAAAAACCCAUGGUAAUAUAGGAAGGACAAAAGAAAGGACAGCAAAAAUAAUGACCCUUCUAUUAAUUUAUUUUACUUAUAAUGGGAAAUCUACGUGUUGAAAACAAAACAAUGCAAAGUCCAUGUUAUCCUAAAAGUAACAUUGGUGGAGUCUUAAACAAUAUGUAGAUUAUCCAAAUCAUGGUUAUUUUUAACAUAUCCAUAAGAAGCAAUGCAAAAAUAGCAACAAUUGUCCAAAAACAUAAAAAGUAGACCAUCAGACCAAAUAUACCUUGAGACACAAUACCAGUUUCUGAUAAGGCCUUCCAAUUUCUAAACAAAGUUACAAGCAUAAGUUAUAAAUCUCUACUUCUUUCAGGGUCUGAAGAUUUUUCUUUGAAUCAAUUCACAGUACUAUUUGACAAAAUUUGAUGAUUGGUUUUGAAGUUCUUGAAAACUUUGAUUUAUUUAAUUAUUUAUAUAAAAUAAAAUAUUAGUAAAAAAAACAACUAGCAUGAACUAGAAUUUUGGUUCUUUUGAGAUUCAUCACCAUCCACAGUUGUUUCAGAGUAACUGGUUUGGAAAUACUUACUGGUCCUAGUGCAGAAUUGUUGGUCUAUCAUUAUUUUUUAUCGGUAGUUGUCAAUUGGCAUAAUUGUUGAAGCAAUCGCAUUCAUUUCCUCCUUUGCCGAGGGUUUUAUAUAAGGAAAAAAAUUAUAAAUAUGUUGUUCCCAUGCCUUGUCAAUUAAAAGUUCAUUUUAUCAUUUUUUUUUUUUUGGUAAAAACUAUUUUUAGUUUUAUAAUUAAAACUAGAAAAUCAAAUUUUGAUUUACUUAGAAUUAAAACUUAGUUUUCUGGUUUUAUUUAAAAAAAUCAAUAAUUAAAAUAAUUUUUAGUGAGUUUGUGCAAUUAUUUUUAAUAUUUAAGUUAAGAUUAAGCUAAGUUUAUCUUUUUCAAUCUAAAAUCCAUUUUGGGUAGUGUAUCCAUGGAGCCAAUCAUGUCAAACUUGAUAUAAUAUUUAUUAUCAUAUAUAAUAAUAUUUUAUUUAUUUUUCCUCAAAAUAUAUAUUUUUUAUUAUUAUCAUUAUGAAAUGUUAUCUCCAUUAAAUUUCGAUACAAAAAUAAAAACAAGUUUCAAUUAAGCAUUAUGGUAAUUGGUUUCAACCUAACUCUACCAUACUUAACUCGUUGCUAACUCAAUCAAUCCAACUAACUCGAAGUUGGAAUAAUAAGGUUGGUUUAGACUUAGGUUGAGUACCUCAUAUUAGACUACACUUUGGUUAAAUUUUUCUUAAUUUAUUAGGCUUUGACAACACGAGACAACUUCUUGAGCUAUAACCCUAAUUUUCAUAAUCUACUAAAUUGUUUCUCUUUUAAUAUUGUUAGCCCAAGGGUUCUCCUAAUCGUGUUUUGAUGAUAACAAAUCAUGGUUAAGUUACUAAUUGGUUUAAAUUAUAAAGAAUUUCAGGUGUUAUUUUGGAAAUUUAUCAAAGGACCUAAUGGAUGUAAGAUCAAGACAUUUGAAAAACCUUUUAAUCAUAGGAAACAUAUGUAAGAUAAAUGCAUGGGUGUACUUAGGAUUUUCAUAUCAUUUCAUGUAUCUUUAAAAACUCAGUUUAUGCAUUAAAGUUACAUUUUCAUCAAAAUCCGAGUUCUAUCAAAUGAACCUUAGGCAAAACGUUUCAAAAUUGGCAUAUUAUUUUACCUAAAGACUCUAAGUGCUAGAAGCAAAAAGACUAAAAAAAGAUAGGUUUUUGGGCUAAAAAUUGUGAACCGAUCGAGGCAUUAGCCAACCGGCUCAACCAGCUAAGGUACUGAUUGACCGAUUACUCCUUCCUAAUCGAGGUCCAAUCGAGAGAUGCAAAAAACCUUCUCUCUAUUCCAGUAGCCUUUCUUUCCUAGUCGAGAGAUAUGUCUUCUCGAUCGAGGUCCGGUCGAGGGUAACAGUCACCUGCCAAGCAUUUAAUGUUCCAACAGCUAGUGAACUGGUCGACCCCCAGCUCAACAGGUCGAGGUUGUUUUUUGGUUUUUUGGCUCCCAAGGUUAAAAACCUAUAAAUUGAGAGCUUCACUUCAUUUAUGAGUAAGAAAACACCCGCAUUUAUUUGUUUACCUACUUGUUCUUACCAUAAAAGCUCUCAUUCUUUUCUUGGUGCAUUAAAUCUCCAUUUGCAUAUGUGCACCUUUGUGAUUCAUCGUAGCCUUGAGUUGUAUUUGAACCAUUGUUGAGCUAGGUUGAGAAAUUCAAACUUAUUAAUUGAGUGUCAAAACCUUUAAGUGAGUAGAAACUUGAAGAGAUUGUGUAAGAGCCCAUUGGAGCCAAAAUCCAAGUGUAAAAAUUGAUUAGAAACUUGGUUAAAGCUUCAAGUAUAAGUGGAACUCUCACUUGGUUAGGAGCUUGAGGAGAGUUCAUGUAGGCAAAGAAGUGUUGAACCACUAUAAAUUUGAGUUUGCUUUCUAUAACCUUAUCUCUUUAUAUUUGUGAUUCUUAUGCUUAAUUUUUUGGGUUUAAAAAGAAAUUUUUUUUUAACUCCAAUUCACGUCCCCUCUUAGGUGUUUUUAUUUGUUUAGAUUAGCCCUUUAUUUUCUAAAAUAUGAUUAGUUAAACUUGGAUUAGCUGGAUCAUACUUAGGUUGGUAGGGUUGUAUGAUUUAAAAUUCAUCUAUAAUGGUUUAAAUAUAUAUAUAUAUAUAUAUAUAUAUACCAAAAUGUAAAUAAUAAACAAAACGAAUCAAAAUUUUAAGAUAAUAAAAUAAUAAAAUUAAAUUUACAAGAUGUAUUUAAGAAUUUUUUUUUUUUUUUUUUAGUUAAACCUUGAAAUUGCUCUAUAUACUAUUGUUCACAUAUUUGAAUUCAAUUCAAAGAAACAUUGAAGAGCAAAUCAAUGUUUUGUAACCGAAAUUGUCAAUUCUAAGCAUGAUUCACUAGAAAUGCUCCAUACCAUAGUGGUAGGGCCAACCAUCAUCAAACCAUUGAAACAUGUAUUCCCAUUUGUCCUAUCUAGGGUUCAUGAUUCAUCCAACUCAAAGCCAUGGAAUUUGUUACAAGUCCCUAACUAUGUUCCAUUGUGUAUGUGACUACAUGAGCUCAAGGAUCAAUCUCAUAGUAUGGAUUUCAAUAUUUGAUACUUUAUAGAAUACAAAGUUGGAGAAUAAAUAGAGAAGUGGAAAGAGAUAAAAUUUCAAAUGACAUACAUCCAUGGCAUUUAAGCAGGAAGAAAUAUGUAAAUAAGGAUCUAGAGAAGAAGGCAUUCUUUAUUCAUACUUAUGUCAAGCACUUCCUUUAGAGGAAGGUAAAAGAUUAGAAAACAAAAAAUGCACUACUCGAACUUCCUUCUUAUUGUUUGGUCCAUUGUUAAUAUCUAAGAACUGAUUAAAACAACUUUUUGUUAAAUAAACAUUUUUGUGGUACCAAUCAAAUAUCAAGCCUAUUCUUCAAGUGAUCACAUAUCAAGCAUAUUCAUUAUUGAUCCAUUAUGUUAUUUUGUAACUGCUCUAUGGGUUAAUCAUGAGCAACAAGGGAAACAAGGUAAGAAAAUCAUUUUCAAUCCUUUCAUAGAUUUGGUUGAUAUUCAUACCCAAAGGUGAAAUUGGGAUUUACCAAUUACCCAACUGGAAAAUUUGCAAAGAGAUUGAUGAAUUUCUUAAGGGAAAAAUAAACUUAGGGCAGGAUUGAAGUUUGGGGCAAUAAGGAUGGUAAAUUUUUCUUUUACCAUGUGCAUUGAAGAUCAAGUAAGGUACUUUUCUUGUAAUUUAAUCACCUAUCAUCUCUUCUCUAUUUUCAAUUUUGAAACUGAUUUCCAAUAUCUCCAAUAUUCAAUUUAAAAUUUUGUUUUUAAUUGCAUAUAGAACUAAGCAUGACAUUAUAUUUUGUUAGCGUGGUUUGUUGGUUCACCUUACGUAUAGUGGUUACUAAACUUAGAUACUACCUUAAUCAACCUUAGGUACUACAUUAGUCAACCUUAGGUACUACCAUACUAAACCUUAAUUUACUACCUCUGUGAACCUUAGGUACUUUCUUUGACAUUAUAUUGUACUAUGUUAGUCAAUUUGUUCACUUUAAGUGCUUACCGAACCUUAGGCACUAUCUUAAUUAACCUUAGAUAUUACCUUAGUAAACAUUAGGUACUACCUUAAUCAACCUUAGAUACUACCUUAGUACACCUUAGGUACUACCUUAGUGAAACUUGAGUACUACCAAAUACACCUUUGAAACUUCAUUUGUGAAUUGUAGUUACUCCAUUUGUGAACAUUAGGUAGUUCCUUUGUUAGCCUUAGGUACUCCAUUUGUCAACCAUAGGACCGAAAAGUGGCAUUCAAAAUAUGUAAUUAUUUUUUUUGACAUGAGAGAUAUUUCUUAGUGGCCCAAGCAUUGAGGAAAGACUACCAGGUGUACUAAUUAGUGGAAGUGGAAAAAUAGUUUUAUGACACAAAUAUGCAAUCUCUAUCUGACCAUUAGGAUUAUGCAAGAUUUGACAUGAGAGAUAAAACAAAAGUUGGAUCUAUGAAGAACUUUUUUGAUGUAGCUUGUGAGCUUGAAUUAUUAGAGAAACGACGUCUUUUGAUGUGUACAAAACGAAUUGUUGAGUUAUCAAUACAUCCAAAUCUUCGUAGUGCAAAACACAUGGGUCAUUGUUCAUGAGAGAAAGGAUUGUGGUUGGGAAAGAUCAGCCUUAGAGAAGUCCGAGAACAAAUGGUGUUUUCCAUUGGAGAUCUCAGAGAAUACAAAGUGAAAUAAAGAGUUCAAAAUAAUGACUUGUAUUGCAAAUCUUUAUAGUUUUAUAUGUUGUCAUUUUAACCACACAAUGUUUAAACAAUUGAUAGUUUGAAAAUGAGAUUUUUUUAUUUUUUUUAUUUUCUACACUUUUUGUUAUCUAUCAUUUACUCAAAUGGGUUGAAACAAAAUAAUUGAUCAAACAUUUUGUCUUUAACAGUAAUGUGGUAGUUUUCUACUACAUGUUUCUUUCUAUAAAAAAAUACUAUGUAAAUCUAUUUCUUUCUUUGAAAUUUCGAUUGACAUGAUGCUUCACUAAUUUGUUGCUUCAAAAAAAUAUAGUUGCUUGUCAAUCUUUAUUUUAAAUGUAGUUCAUAUAAUAACAAUUUUUUUAGAUAAUAAUAAUAAUUAUUGUUUCAUUAUAUUUUUUUCUUAGUGUUAUUACUAUUAUACAUUAAAAAAUAAUUGCAAUUUUGCUUACCAAAUUGUGAUAUUUAUUUCCUCUGUAUUGUAUAAUUUAAUAAUUAAUUGGGAAUUCGUAUUUAGAAACCGCACCUAUUUGUAGCAUUCCCCGUUUUUCUUUUGUCACUUUGUCUUUUUUGCUUUAAAUUGUUUUUUUUCUUACAACAUGAAAAAAAAAAUGGCCCUUUAAUAUCCAUGUUCUGGAAAUUGGGCCACAAUCCUUUUUAAAAUUGUUUGGUUCAUGCUAAUUUGUUUUAGAGCAUAAUUUUGAGUUUUUCAUGGAUAGUAUUAUUUCUGUAAAUUGCUAUGUUCUAGAAAUAAUUGAAAAUCAAUUUUGAAUUUUAUAUUAAUUCUUAUAAAUUUUCUAGAUAAAAGAUCUAUGACCAUUCUGGUAAUAAGUUGGCAUUAAAAACAUUAACUAAUUCACUUUAUAUGAACUAGGUUACACACUAUUUACAAGAUCUAUUUUUUCUACUCAAAAUAACAAUGGCAUCAACACAAGGUAUGGAUAUGUUUAUCUUUUUGCAUGUCCCUACAAUUUUUACAUUGAUAAUAUCUUAUCAUUUUCAAAGUUAUAUGGAAUCUACAUUACUAAAAAUGAUAGACAUGUUUAUAGAUCAAGAACAAGCUCCAAAACAUAAUUAUGCAACGAGAAGGUAUGCUAGGUUAACAAAUGAACAAAGAGAAAAGCAUGUACAACAUGUGAUGCAAAAUAAAUAAAAAAAGAGGCGUGAAACUUUCAUUUGCAAUUCCUCAAUGCAUGAAAAUAUAAGUGUCCUAAUCGCAACUUUUGGAAAUGAAGAAUAUCCAUCUAUAGGGCAAUAUAAAGGUAUGUUAUACUAGCGAAAAAAAUAUUGGAUUUUUAUACGCACUUGUGUUUUUUCGCUAUAAACCUAACAACAAUGUUUUAAUAGGUGAGAUACGAAAUCACAUUGUUUACUCACCAUUAUAUGAAUUGAGUAAAACACGUCCUUGUCCAUUUUGUGGUGCAAAAUGAUUGCAACAUGAACCUCCUACCUUUUAUUGCUACAAUGGCAAAGUAGUUCUUUUUGUACCUCAAAUUCUAGAAGAUUUUUAUAUUUUAUAUUCUUCUCAAAGUGAAGAAACUAUAGAAUUUCAAUGGCAUAUUCGAGCUUACAAUAGUAUUUUCUCCUUUACGUCAUUUGGGGUUAAAUUAGACAAAGAGCUUGCAAGCUCAAGAAAUGAAGUUUGCACUUUUCAAGCUCAAGGUCAGAUAUACCACCAACUUCCAGCUCUAUAACCAUCUCACAACUCUCCUGUCUUCUUCCAACUAUAAUUCUAUGACACUGAUAAUGAAAUCCAGAAUAGAUUAUGCAUACUACAAAAUAUGCCCCUUAAUGAGACAAUUGUUCUAAAGUUGAUGAAUAUACUACUACAAAAUUCAUAUGAUCAAUUAUUCCUCACUCUAGAGCGUGCUCCAUUAGAUGUUUAUGAAAUCCGAAUUAGAAAUGACAUUUUGUUGGAUCAAAAGGUUUACGAUUCUCCAUUAAUUGAUCAAGUGGUUUUCAUAUGGAUUGAAAAGAAUAAUUCUAAUCUAGCUCAUGAAUGUGAAAUUAUAGUUCAUGCCCAAUCCAGUGACAAACAUAGAGUUAAACACUACUAUGGUUGUUAUAAUCCUUUACAAUACCCUCUAUUGUUUCCUAAAGGAGAUGUUGGAUGGCAUCAAAAUAUUCUAAAAAGAGAUAUAUUAGACCAUAGUAAUGAUAAUGCACAUACAUUCGAAGAUUUAAGCAUACAAAAUUUUUCAUCAGUUGAAGAUGUUUUACAUCGAGAACAACAAGGUAGCACUUUAAAUCUCAUAUUUUAUUUAGAUAGACCCAAUAAUCUAUCUAAUAGCAACUAGCCUUCAACUUAUUCAUUUUCCUUAUAGAUCGUAUUUAUGGAGGAAAGAGAAAAGUGUCUUGUUGACAAUAUUAUUGCUAUAAGUUGCAAAUUAGAGAUGAUGGCUCAAUUCUAUUACUUUAUGGUAGACUUUUGCAACAAUAUGUGGUCAACAUGUAUAUCAAGCUUGAGAAAACAAGGUUGGACUACUAUAGAAGGCAGCAAUAAAAAAUUAAAGUAGAGUUAUACCAAAGCAUCGUUGAUAGUAUGCUAGCUGGAGAGAGUAGGGCAAGUCAAGUUGGGAAAAAAAUCGUGCUACCAACAUCAUUUGUAGGAGGCCCUAGAGACAUGUGUCGUAGAUAUCUGUAUCCUUUGUCUUUGGUCUAACGGUUUGGAAAGCCAGACCUUUUUAUAACGAUGACAUGCAACUUGGAGUAGAAGGAAAAUCAAAAUGAAUUGAACAUAAACCAAAUACCACAGGAUAGACCUGAUUUAUGUUUGUGUGUUUUCCAAGCAAAGAUACAGGAUCUAAAGGAGCAAUUGUUUAAAAAAUAUAUAUUUAGAAAUGUUGUAGCACAUGUUCACGUAAUAAAGUUCCAGAAAAAAUGCUUACCUCAUGCACAUAUAUUGAUAAUCUUAAAGCCAAAAUAUGAGAUUCUCACUCCCGACCAAUAUGAUCAAUUUGUCAGUGUUGAAAUCCCAAAUCCUAUAAGAUAUCUACAUUUACAUGAUAAGGUUGUUAAGCAUAUGAUGCAUGGCCCUUGUGGACCUUUAAGGAUUAAUAAUUCAUGCAUGCGUGAUGGGAAAUGCAAAAAUAGGUAUCAUCAUUCCUUCUAUUUGAAAACAAUGCAAAGUCAAGAUUCUUAUCCAAUUUAUAGAAGAAGAGAUGAAAAACGACAAGUAUUUGUGUGUAAUGCUACUUUGGAUAAUCGUUAGGUUAUCUCCUGCAAUCCCUAUCUUUUAACAAGAUAUAACUAUCAUAUUAAUGUCGAGAUUUGUUCCAGCAUUAAAGCAAUUAAAUAUCUUUACAAAUACAUAUACAAAAGACAUGACUAAGUAGUUGUUCACAUUGCUAAAAAAAAUGGUAGUAUAGUUGAUGAAAUUAUGGAGUUUCAAGAUACUCGAUGGGUUUCAACACAAGAAGUUGUAUGGAGAAUUUUUUUAGUUUGAGUUAAACGAGAUUCAUCUGGCAAUCAUCAAUUUGCAACUGUAUCUUCCUCAUAAACAAUCAAUUUUCUAUUAGGAAAACCAAAAUUUAGAACAUGUGAUUUAUUCUAAUCUCGCAUCAAAGACUAUGCUCACGGAAUUUCUCACUUUGUGCUCAUAAGACAAUAAAACAAGAAUUUUUUUGUAUAAACAAUUUCCAGAGCAUUAUGUAUGGAAUAGGCAAAGUAAAUUCUGGACUAAACGAAAUGCUAGAAAAGUUAUCGAUCAAGUAAAUGCAGCUAAUCCAUCAAAAGGUAAGAGAUAUUAUCUGAGACUUCUUUACUUAAUCAUAAUAAAGGGCUCGAAUCUUUAGAAGAUUUAUUAAGUUACAAUGGUCAUCAAUAUCCAUCAUUUAAGGAGGCUGCCCAAAAAAUAGGUUUGUUGGAAUUAGAUGACUCUAUUUUCAAAUGUUUACAUGAAGCUACAACAUUUCAAAUGGCAUUACUAGUGAAACGUGUUUUUUCAACAAUCUUGGUGUAUUGUCAACCAACUGAUGUAAGAAAGUUGUGGAAUACUCAUUUUGAAGCAAUGUUAGAGGAUUUUUGCACCCUUGAUUCGCAAUCAGUUGAAUCUCAAAUGUUGAACACAUUGAAAAAUGUAAACUUUUUCCUUUAAAGUAUGGGAAAAAGUUGUGUUGAUUAUGACUUACCCAUGCUAGAUUUGAGUUUUUCUGAUUUACCAAUCACUCAUAGUAGAGAAAUUUAUGAUGAAAUCAAGAUAAAUAUUAGUUUUGAAGAUUUGAAUGCAUCAAUGAGAUUUCAUCCAGAACAACAACACGCUUAUUCAAUUAUCCUUGAUCGAGUAAGUUCUGGUUUGGGUGAAGUCUUUUUCAUUGAUGGUCUAGGAUGGACAGGAAAAACAUAUCUAUAUCGAGCAUUGUUGGUGACGAUUAGAUCAAGAAGAAUGAUUGCUAUUGCAAAAAAAGUUUCAAGCAUAGCUUCCUCCGUUAUGCCUGGUGGUUGAACAUCGCGUUCAAGAUUGAAAAUACCAAUUAAUCUUAAUGAAUAAAGUUUAUGUAACAUAACUAAGCAAAACGGCACUACUGAGCUACUCAGAAAUGCAAGUCUAAUAGUAUGGGAUGAAGCACCCAUGGCAUUUUUUUAGGUUAUUAAAGUGGUUGAUAGAAAUUUAAGGGACAUUAUGGAUAACUAAUUGGUGUUUGGAGGAAAAAUUAUUGUAUUUGGAGGAGAUUUUAAACAAGUACUCCCAGUGGUUCCUCAUGCUACAAAGGCAGAAACCAUGAAUGCGAGUUUAAUCAUGUCAUACCUUUGGCCUAAAAUGGAAAAAUUAAGGUUGACUAGAAACAUGAGAGCUCAAUUAGAUACCACAUUUAGUGAUUUUCUACUACGGGUUGGAGAUGGUGAUGAGAACUCAACAAAUGAGGAUAUGAUAAAUACACCCAAUCACAUGUUAGUUCAAUAUAAACAUGGUGACGAACCUGAAAAGUGCAUGAUUAAUACAAUUUUUCCCUCAUUGAGAGAGCAUGCAAGCUCGUCGAAAUACGAAGUAAUCCUAGUUGGACUUAAUCUAGCAUUGGCUCUUAUCGCCACAAAAGUAGAAGGUAGAAGUGAUUCACAAAUAGUGGUUGGACAGAUUCAAAGAGAAUAUGAAGUAAUAGACGAGUACAUGGCUCGCUAUCUUGCCCUAGUGGAUGCUCAAAUGAAAAAGGUGGAAGGAUGGUUGAUUUGACGUGUACCUUGAGAGAAGAACGAAUGAGUGGAUGCACUAGCCGAGGUUGCUACCGCCUUGCCAAUACAAGAAACCACGAUGUUGCCAAUCUAUCUCCAAGUCUCUUUCUCAAUUUCUCAUGAAUAAGUAAAUGAUGUUGUCUAAAUGGAUAUAGGGUGGAUGGAAGACAUUGUGAAAUAUCUACACAUGGGAGAAGUCAUUAAGGAUAGGAGGGAAACUCAUAAAAUCCGAGUACAAGCCGCACAAUAUACUCUGAUAAACGAACAACUGUAUAGAUGAUCAUUUAGGGGACCUUAUCUCAAAUGCCUAAAUGAUAUGGAGGUGCAAUAUAUCCUAGCAAAAUUACACGAGGGUAUAUGUAGAAAUCAUCGGGCAAACGAACUCUGGCACAUCGAGCCUAUUCCCAAAGUUACUAUUGGCACACCAUGAAAAAAGAUGCAGAAAGCUACGUCAAAAAGUAUGACCAAUGUCAAAGAUAUCCUCCCAUACCCGAAAUACUGUUUUGAGUACCUUAAUUGGUUAUAAGUCCUUGAUCGUUUGUGUAAGGGGCAAUAGAUAUAGUUGGUCCGCUCCCAAUUGGUGCGACACAAAAAAAAAAAAUUGUUGCUUGUAGCAACAAAUUAUUUCAGCAAGUGGGUGGAAGCCGAAGCCUAUGUCAGCAUCAAGGAUAAAUAUGUUUUUAAAUUCGUUUAAAAGAAUAUUGUGUGCCAAUUUGGAAUUCCCCAAGCAAUUAUCAUAGAUAACGGGUCGCAAUUCUAUAGCAAUGUCUUCUAGACAUUUUGUUUAGAACUAAAGAUAAAAAAUCUUUGUUCAACUCCUAGAUAUCCUCAAAGUAACGGAUAGGCAUAGGCAACCAACAAGACGUCGCUAAAUUCGCUAAAGAAAAGGCUCGAAUGAGCAAAAGGAAAAUGGGUAGACGAGCUAUUAGGCGUUUUAUGGACUUAUCGAACCAAGAACAAGAAAUCCAUAAGGGCUACUAUUGGGCUUUGUGGAGCUUAGUUUUGUUUGAUCCGGUUUGAUGACCCAACCCGAAUAAUAUUGCAUGGCUUUUUAAUGAGAGAUUUACUGACGCUUGUUGGGCCCGUUUAGCCCAUUGUGGAACCACCUUUUGUAAUUAGGGUUUUUUAGUGUGGUGUUGUAUUUGGAGAUAGACAAAGAGAUUACACGAUGUAUUUGGAAUGGAUUUUCAUGUGAUUCCAGAGGAGUUGACUUGGUUAUAUUGGAUAGAUAUCAAUCUUUAGUGUUGAUCAUGUGAUGGUUUGAAAGCAUGAUGUUUGAAGUUGUGGUCGAAGAAUGGGUUGUCAUCAUUUCAUAAGCCUUUUUACCCGAUUAGCCUUAUACAUAGAGUUAGCCAUUGUUAGCCCUUUAAGCCUCAAACGAGCAUUAUAACCCUUUCCUUACAUUGUCUUGCCUACCUUUUACACCGAAACAAGGGCCCUUUAGUGUAUACAUACUUUAUUUAGGAGUCUCAUGAGUUUUAGACCAAUAGGCAUUCAUCAUGCUUCAUCCUAUCUCAUUGUUUGUGUCCUUCAUUCCAUCUUAUGUCUUUGUUGUCACAUUUCCUUCCAUGCCUUAAGUGAUGAUCUUUCACAUUUCAAAUGCAUAAAGGACAGUCAUAUCACUACCUCCAUUCUCAUGGAUAUUGGUUCAGAGAUCCUUAGUUGAGAGGGUCAUCUUGUUAGUGAGAAUUAGUCCUUACAUCAUUGUUUGAGAGUUUAUUCAUUUAAUUGUGUAUCUUCAUUAGAGCCCAUUUGUUGAUAUUUAAAGUAUGAACAGUUCAAAAAAAAAAGGUGCAUAUAUAUGUAUGUAUGCAAUGUCCUCCUUUGAGUAUAUAUAUGGUUAUUGAGAGUUACCCUAUUAAGUCCAUUUAUUGAAGAGAGUUCACAUGUGAGCUUUCUAAGGUCUUCAUUUCCUUAUGCCCAUCUUGUUAUGUAUUUUGUGUGUGAAAGACGAGUGGCCAUUUCCCAAGGACUCCCGACUUUUUUCCUCUCUAUCAUUUCAUACAUUGGUGAUUUGAUUCUUUUCUAUGUCUUGAUUUGAGUGGAUCAAUGCUCAUUUGCUUCCUUUUGAUCUCAUUGUUUUUCUCAUUCUAUCUCAUCUGCCUUAUCUUCAUUAUUCUUCGUUCAUAUUGAUUUACAUUCAUGUUUAAUAUCUUAUUCGCAUCAUUCUUAUACAUCUUGUUGACCAUUUGAUGUUUUUCCAUUACCUUAUUCUCGCUAGUAUGCUCAUGUUGGACAUCUUUAGGUUCAUAUCUUAUGAGAUUUUCUGUACAUAUUGAAUUUUAUACACGAGGGUAAGGGAUUUUCAUCAUUGGGUAUUUAAGCCUAGUUUCCUUUCAUUUCUUUUAUCCUAUUACCCUAACCUACGUUACAUCCUAUGUCUUAAGACCACCCUAAGGUCAUGAUUUCAUGUAUUAUAUUUGAUAGCUCACACAUGAAAGAUACUUUAGAUCAAUUGAAGAUCAAUUAGAGUAUGAUGGACCAGUAGUUGUGUUAUGACCUUACAUUAGGGCAUAGCCACCUUAGAGAGAUUUUAUUGGAUAUAAAGCCACUUUGUUUGAUACACUACACUGGGGCAUAGCCACCUUAGAGAGCUUUUAUUGGAUAUAUAGUUACUCUGAUUGAUGCACUACAUUGGAGCAUACCUCUCUCGAUUGGCAGUUGAAUUUUUCGAUGACCAUUACACUGGGGCAUAGCUCUUUCAACAAUGGACAAUUUGGAGACAUUAUUUUACAUAGGGACAUACCCCUCUCAAUCAAUGGUGGACUUCUCAUUUAUGGUCAUUCUCUCAAUGAUCAAAUUUUCCUUUCACAUUGAAGUAUAAGAUAUGGUUAGGUAAUUUCCUUUGAUGUGAUUAUAUAGGAGCAUAGCACUUUUAUUGGUAUUGAUUGAUUUUUUUUAGAUGAUUUAAUCAUGGAAUAGACACUUGUAAGAGCUUAUAAUGGAUUCUAGUCAUUUCAAAGAUUGCCCUACAUUAGGGCAUAACCCUCUCAUCAACGAUUGAUCUUAUAGACAUCAACUUAUAUUAGGAGAGCAUUUUUUGUUGAGACAUACCAUCUUGAUUGAUUUUCCUACAUUAGGACAUGCUUAUUCCUUGGAAAAGAUCAAAUACAUUUUUCAUGUUACAGUAUAAUGAGACUUUUUUUAGGAAUAGAAAUGUAUUUUAACUAGAUGAUAUAUGAUGGGUUGUAUUCCUCUCAUUAAUGGCUUGAUUUGGAGAUAACAGCUUAUACUCAGGCAUAGCCCGCUCAUUAGUGAUGAAUGUUUUAUAUGAUAGUUUAUAUCAGACAUAUACUUCAUAAAGGUUAUCUUAUAUGGGACAUGGUCAUUUUGUAUUUUCACUUGUGUUAGGUCAUGUUUCUCUCAUCAGGGAUUGAUUUUGGAGGUGUUUGUUCUAUUCAGAGCUUACCUAUUUUGAGAGGAUGUAUUCACACUAGGGCAUAGCCACCUUACUAGUUUUCGACAUUAAGACUUGAUCUUUUGUUCAUGAUUGCUAUUUUUGAUGGGUUAUAGAGAUGAUGAUACUUUAGUUCAAUUUUCUCAACAUAUCUGGUUCUAUUUGGAUACCCAUUUACCUAUGUUACACACCUAGACAUCCCACUUUUGAUACCAUUACACCCACAUCCAUCGUGUCAAAGUCUGACCAAUAUUGAGCCUACCUAUUUCGACAUUCAACAUAACUUUAUCAUGCUCUCUUGAUCAGAGGAGGAUGUAGACAAGUUUUAAGUUUUUUGGUCAAGAUUCCACAUGCUCUUAAACAUUAGGUUCAGUAUCUUCCAUGAUGACGAGGCCUGUUAAAUUGUCGAUGCAUUUAUGAUGAUGUUUAUCAUUAUAAUUGACAUGUCGUGUCUUGUCUUGCUUGCAUUUUAGACUUAUCCUAGUCAACUUUUGUUUUGUCCACUAUUGCAGUUUUGCUUUGUCAGCAUAGUUUCUAAGAUACAUGGUCUUAUUUGGACAUUCGUUGAUUAAGUCUAGAUAUUUUCAUUAUAUGAUUGUUGAGCAUAUCCUAGAGUGUCCCAUGUUUUGACAUUCUAUGUCUCAUGUUGGUCACUAUUGCAUAUUGGGGUAUAACCUCUUUUUGAGUUUAUUAGAUCUUCUGUUGAUUAUAUGGCCACUCGAUCCGCUUACUAAUACUUGUGAGUCGUUAUACUAGGGCAUACCCCAUUUUUCAUUGAGUUCAUUAUCCCACUCACCCUUUUUGUGGUUCUUUUGGGUGUUUUUGGUUGUAGACCACUUUUCUUGAUUCCUGUUUUUGCUUUAGGUGUUUUUUAUUGCAAAUCGCAAUACUUUCUCCUCUUUCUUGAGUUUGUUUAGGGUAUUCCCUCAUUCUUGAGCUUGUUUAGGGUACCCCACCUUCCUUGAGUUUUUUUCAGUGCAUUCCGGCUUCUUUGAGUUUGGUAAGGCAUUCUUCUUCCUUGAGAUUGUUUGUGGCAUCCCUUUUCUUAAAGAUUAUCACCUCCAUGGAUUUUCAUCUAUAAGCCUUUGAGAGUUUUCAUCACCAUAGAUUUCCAUCUAUGGGCAUUUGAGAUUAUCACCACAAUAGAUGUUCAUUUAUAGGCCUUUGAGAAUUUCACCACCAUAGAUUGACAUCCAUGAGCCUUUGAAAUUAUCACCACCAUAGAUUUUCAUCUAUGGACCUUUGAAAUUAUCAACAUCAUAAAUUUUCAUCUAUGGGUCUUUGAAAUUAUCACCACUAUAGAUUUUCAUCUAUAAGUCUUCCAGAUUAUCACCUAUAAGUCUUCCAAAUUAUCACCAUGGAUUUUCAUCUAUGGGCCUUUGAGAUCAUCACCACCAUAGAUUUUCAACAAUGGGCAUUUGAGAGUUUCACCACCAAAGAUUGGCAUCUAUGGGUCUUUUCAACGCAUGAGAGGUUUGAUUCGGAGUUGCGGAUCGCAUCUCCUUUUCCAUAGAUUUGGCCUUCAAAGCCAUUAUUUUUCAAUUUAGUGUUCAAAGUCCACAACCCAAAGUUGUUCAUUGCAUCUAUAGCCCUAAGUUGUUCAUUGCAUAUACAUUCUCGUACAUUGUCGACCUUCUUAAGCAGAGUUAUUUCUACCCCUAGUAUAUCAUCCAAAUUUUUAAGUUUAUCACAUCAUGUGCUAGGACAAAAAAUUUUGUCCUUCUUAGUUCUUCAUUAUAAUUCAUUUCGUUCAUCUCAUUACUUAUGUUUCCACUCAUAUGCCUUACACUCAUGGUCAUUAAUGAAAAGGGGCAUAUUUAUAGACACUCCAUUUUGUCCUCUUGGCACAUGUUAUCUAGUAUUUGUCUUCCUUCAUCUUACAAUCCCUUGCUGUACACUUAAUUUUUGAAGUCCUAACUGUUUUUUCAAAUCUUAUUACAUUAUUGAUUUUAGAUCACUUUGUUACACUUUAUCUCAAGUUCAACUCACUUAGUUGCACCUUAAGUCUAGCUCACUUAGUGGCACCUUAAGUCCAGUUCACUUAGUUACACUUUAACUCAGUUUCAACUCACAUAGUUACAUCUUAAGUCUAGUUCACUUAGUUACACCUUAAGUCCAAUUCACUGAAUUACACUUUAGCUCAGUUUCAACUCACAUAGUUACAUCUUAAGUCUAGAUCACUUAGUUGCACCUUAGAUUCAGCUCACUUAGUUACACUUUAACUUAAGUUCAGCUCACUUAGUUAAACCUUAGCUUUAGUUUACUUAGUUACACCUUAACUUAGCUCAAUUAGUUGCACAUUUACUUAACUUACUUAUUUGCACCUCAAGUUCAACUCACGUAGUUGCACCUCAAGUUCAAUUCACUUAGUGACACCUAAACUUAGUUCAUUGAGUGCCACUUUAGUUUAGCUCACUUAAUUACACUUUAGCUUAAUUCACGUAGUUACACCUUAGGUUUAGUUCACUUACUCUAAUUCACUAAGUUGCAUUUUAAGAAAAUUCUUAGUUGUAUUUUAGUUUGAGUUUACUUUAGGAUAGUUCAUCUAAAUGCAUAUUUAGUUCAUUCUAUUUAGGUGCACUUUAGGAUAAUUCAUCUAAAUGCAUUUUAGAAAGUCUUAUAGGUGCACUUUAAGAUAGUUUCGUGUCACCUUGCAUGGCAUGUACAUGGAGAUUGAGAUUGGUUUUUGAGAUUUUGAUAACACUCUUGUAAGAUAUACAUGGCAUUGGCUUAGAAAGUUUAAGAUAUGGAAGGAUUUUUUUAGUGUAUGCACAACCACAUGGAGAAGGGGAUAAGGAAAGAUUUGUUUUUUUUCAUGAGAUUGAGUUUAAGGCUCUUUAGUAUGCAUGGUUGAGAGGUUAUGGAAGGUACACUCUUGGAAAUAAGGGAGAUCAUGGUAUAUUGAGUUGGAUUGAUAUAGACGGCCACAUGGAGAAGUGGAUUAGGAAAGCAAAGAUUUUUUUUGGAAAGAUUUGGAAGAUAAGAGCAUCACAACAAGGAAGGUUGAGUAUGGAGAGGAUCCUUUUGGAAGUGGGACUUCCUUGGUACACGACAUGGGAUUUUCCUUUGAAAGUGCAGCCACCAUAUUGAAGAAUUUAAAAUUGAGAGGAUUCUCUAAGACGAUAAAUGACAUCAUGAGACUUUGAGAGGAAAUAGGACUCUUUUAGAGAUUUUAAAUUAAGGUGAGAUUCUUUGAGGACGACUACCAUUAAGAGUUUGAUAUUGUAGGGAUUCUUGAUAUUACUAUUUUGAAAACUUUAUAUUAAAAUGGUUGCCACGUAUUAUUGAGGGAAAUUAUUCAUCGUUUUGGAGACUUUAAAAUCAAGAUGACUUUUUUUUAAAGGUGACCAACCAUCAUAGGAAUUUCUUUGAUUUGGAAGAUGCAUAAGGGAAGUAGAUAGAGGAUACACGAAUUUUAGGAAAAGAAAGGCUGCCAUAGGAAAGAAAGGGAUUCACAUGCAUAGGAUCUUGGAAGGAGUCCACGCGUUGCAUAUAAAGAUAUUAGAAGUUUAAGGAAAGAAAAGGAAGUUAUAAGAAAGGUGGGUUGCCACUUAUUAGAAGAUAGAGUCCACGGCUUAAAGGACUUUUGGAUAAGCAAGAUUCUUUGAGAUUAAGGAUCAUGGCUUGUGUUGGUGCAUGACUAACAAUCUGAGUAUCUGGCUAGCCUUUGAUUAACAUAGACGACGAAUGCGCUUGUAAAAAGGAGUGUCCAGAUGGGUUUUUUGGGCGCACCCCUCUGAAACUUAAGUUAGGCGAGGAAGACUUGAGCAAAAGAUCACUGAAAAAAUGGUAGCCUACUUUCCUUUUAGUGAUUCAUGGCUAUUUAUCCUUGCCCAAAAGUAACGCCUUUUCUGUGUUUUUAUUGUGUCUUUGAUUGUACAUUUAACGCCAAUGAUUAUCGGCUCAUAAUGGCGUUUGAGUCUUGAAGUUUAGUGUUUAUGCUUAGUAACGGUUGUGACAUUCAAUGUACUUAAUGUUUGUCUUAUGUAAUACUUGUCAAGCAAGAAUGCAUAGUGCCUGCAUAAUUUGUGUCUGUCUAUACCUAGGGAGGACAAACAAUAUUAUACAGCAAGCGCAAAAUAGAAGCCACAUUAGACAAAGGCAAGCAUCCCACAAUGCCCCCUAAUUCUUGGAACCUGGUUCAGCUAGGUUCUAGAUGGCCAUGAAGAAGAAUUUUGUUAUUGUUACAGUUUGAAUUUUUGGCGCUAAGGAGACAUGCGUUCACUAUACACAUCACGAGGGGUCACAUCAUUAAGGCAACUUGUCAGCGGCUUCUUAACAUUAAGAUCAUGUCGUUUGGUUUUAUGGUUUAUGCUGUUUAGAGUUGCCACUUAGCUUACCCUAUGAAGGGUUGUACUUCAACUUUUAGCUUAUUUUGAACAUAUAUUUUCAAAAUAUCAUGCUUUAUUAAUAAUAUUUCUUUAGAUUUGCUACAUUUCAUGGUCGUAGUAGUUGUGUUCUAUCUAUAGUUUAUAGAUGAUAUGCCCUAGAACCUUCCGCUUUAGUUACAUAUAUAGGCCUUCCUAAUUAGCCUAAUGUUUGUCAACUCCUAUUUCUACCGUAUUUUUGAAGACUCGUCUCAAUACCAAAUCUCCUGGAUGGAAGACUCGUCAUGCUCUAUUGUUAUACUGAGCGAUCACCCUCUAGUGAUAUGAUGUUUUUUUAAUUGUGGCUACUUCCCAUUCUCCAUCCACCCAAUUCAAAUGUCUUUCCAAAUCACUAUUAUCCUUCCCUACCUCCCAAACAAAUGUUUUUGCUAUAGGCAUUCUGACUUCAAUCGAGAUAAUUGCUUCCAUCUUGUAUGUCAGGUCAAAUGGGGUAGCUGUAGGGAAUUAAAUCGAAUUCCUAACCCGUGAGAAACAAAAAAAAAUAAAGAAAACACACGCCAAAGAAAAACAAUCACACACACAAGACAGUAUUUACGUGGUUCGAUAAUUUGCCUACGUUCACGGAGUUGCAGGGAUAUCACUAUUAUCAGGGAAGAAUACAGAGUACAACCACAACGGCUACAAUAUUUUCUCUCUAUAUAUAACAUGGCAACAACACCACACUAAAAAACCCUAAUUACAAAAGGUGGUUCCACAAUGGGCUAAACGGGCCCAACAGGCCUCAGUAAAUCUCCCAUUAAAAAGCCAUACAAUAUUAUUCGGGUCGGGUCAUCAAACCGGAUCAAACAAAACUAGACUCCACAAAGCCCAACUGUAGACCCUCAAUUUUGUCCCUUUAGCACAUGUCUUUAAAAUUCAUUUUCAAUGCUCCACAAUAGUUCCUUGGUGGCCCAUGGCUACUCAUACCACUUACCUUUUUCUGAGUCACCUCGGAGAUUUUGGUUGAGGGAUUAUUUGAUCCCUUAUUGUGACCCUUGGCAGCCCUAACUUAGACUUAGGCUUUUCUUGUUUUUUUAGGAUAGCUUUUAGAUACACUUGGCCCAUUAGGCACUACCCUAGGCCCACUUAGUCUCACCUUAGGCCCGUUUAGGCACACUAGGCCUACGAAGACUUUUAUUUUAUUUUAUUUUAUUUUAUUUUAUUUUAUUUUAUUUUAUUUUAUUUAUUUAUUUAUUUAUUUUGUUUUUAAUUUUAAUUUUAUGAUUAUCAUUCACUUUUUAUUGGUUAUCUUCCUCUUUAUAUUAUUUUCCUUAACUUAUUUAUUUAUUUAUUAUUUUUACCAUUUUUUAAUUUAUUUACUUAUUUAUCUAUACAUGCAAUUAUUUAACUUCAAAAAUUUCAUGUUUUUGCAAGGAAACUUACCAUUGGAGUUUAAGGAAGAUGGGACUCUCAUUGGAAGGUUUUGGAGGGGAAUUUGAAAUUGGGAAGAUUGCUUUUGAUUGGAGGAUUUAAAAAAAGAAGAGAAGAAGAAAGGAAGGAGGAGAAUUUUCCUUUUUGGAAACAAAUUUAAGUCUUGAGGGGUGAUAUAUAUAGGUGAGAAAAGGAAAAGAAGAGAGAUUUUUCUUGGGGGGCAGAGCACACGGAAUUUUGGAAAAAAGCAAGGGACUUCGAACGGAGAUUGGGCUGUCAUUUAAUCAUCAAGAGAGGAUUUUCUCUUUCACUUCAAAGGUUAGUUUUCUAUAUAGUACUUUUAUUUAGCCUAGAUUUUUUUUUUUUUUUUUUUUUUUUUUGGAAAUUUUAGUUUUUGAUUAAUUCUUUGUGUUAAAGUUUAUAUUUUUUUCUUUUUAAAUCCCCAAUUAGUUUAAUUCUAAUCUAUCUUUUAGUUUAAGUUUGUUAAUGAUUUUAAUUCUUAAGUUUAAAUAAUCAUAUUGAAUAAAGUUUGUAUUUUUAAUCCCAAUUAGUUUGAUUUCAAUUCGUUUUUAAUUUAAAUGCAUUAGUUGAUCUUAAUUCUUUGUUUUAAAUAAUCACGUUAAAUAAAGUUUGUAUUUUUAAUCCCAAUUAAUUCGAUUUCAAUUCGUUUUUUAGUUUAAAUGUAUUUUGUUGAUCUUAAUUCUUUAGUUUAAAUAAUCAUAUCGAAUAAAGUUUGUAUUUUUAAUCUCAAUUAGUUUCAUUUUAAUUUGUUUUUUUAGUUUAAAUGUAUUUUGUUGAUCUUAAUUCUUGACUUUAAAUAAUCACGUUAAAUAAAGUUUAUGUUUUUAAUCUCAAUUAGUUUGAUUCCAAUUCGUUUUUAGUUUAAAUACAUUUUAUUGAUCUUAAUUCUUAAGUUUAAAUAAUCAUAUCGAAUAAAGUUUGUAUUUUUAAUCCCAAUUAGUUUGAUUUUAACUUGUUUUUUAGUUUAAAUGUAUUUUAUUGAUCUUAAUUCUUAAGUUUAAAUAAUCAUAUCGAAUAAAGUUUGUAUUUUUAAUCCCAAUUAGUUUGAUUUUAACUUGUUUUUUAGUUUAAAUGUAUUUUGUUGAUUUUAAUUCUUAAGUUUAAAUAAUUGUAUUGAAUAAAGUUUGUAUUUUUAAUCCCAAUUAGUUUGAUUUCAAUUCAUUUUUAAUCUAAAUGCAUUAGUCGAUUUUAAUUCUUAAGUUUAAAUAAUUGUAUUGAAUAAAGUUUGUAUUUUUAAUCCCAAUUAGUUUGAUUUCAAUUCAUUUUUAAUUUAAAUGCAUUAGUUGAUCUUAAUUCUUUGUUUUAAAUAAUCACGUUAAAUAAAGUUUGUAUUUUUAAUCCCAAUUAGUUUGAUUUCAAUUCGUUUUUAGUUUAAAUAUAUUUUGUUGAUCUUAAUUCUUGACUUUUAAUAAUCAGUUUAAAUAAUCAUAUCGAAUAAAUUUUGUAUUUUUAAUCCCAAUUAAUUUGAUUUUAAUUUGUUUUUAGUUUAAAUGUAUUUUGUUGAUUUUAAUUCUUUACUUUAAAUAAUCACGUUAAAUAAAGUUUGUGUUUUUAAUCUCAAUUAGUUUGAUUUCAAUUCGUUUUUAGUUUAAAUGCAUUAGUUGAUCUUAAUUCUUAAGUUUAAAUAAUUAUGUUAGAUAAAGUUCAUGUUUUUAAUCCCAAAAUAGUUUAUUUUUAAUUUAUUUGUUAGUUUAAAUAUGUAUGUGAUUUUAAUUUAUUAGUUUAAAUAAUCAUGUUAGAUAAAGUUUAUAUUUUUUUAAUUCUAAAUUAGUUCAGUUUUAACCUAUCUUUUAGUUUAAGUAUAUUUGUGAUUUUAAUUCAUUAGUUUAAAUAAUCUUGUUAGAUAAAGCUCAUAUUUGAAAUUCCGAUUUAGUUUAGCUUUUAUUUAUUUUUAAUUUGGAUGUGUUUGUAAUUGUAAUUUAGUAGUUUAAUUAAUCUUAUUAAAUAAAGUUCAUGUUUUUAAUUACAAUUUAAUUUAGUUUUAAUUUGUUCUUCACUUGUAUGUGUUUGUGAUUUGAAUACAUUAGUUUAAUUAAUCCCGUUAGAUAAAGUUUAAUCUUGAUUUAAUUUAUUUUUUUAGUCUAGAGGCAUUUAUGUGUUUAGUUAAUCUUAUGUUAAUUAUGGAUUGUUAUUCUCAAUUUAUGCGCUUCUUGAAUCCUUGUUGCUAAUUCUUGAUGGAUAUUUCAUUAGCUUACUUGAUCUAAAUAUUAAUAAUUUAUUGCUUUGAUAGUUUCCUUUUUGUUCAAAGGCCAUUGGAAAAUCAUGAAGAUUGACCUCUACCAUCACCAUUAUCAUUUUUGUUAAUUACUAAAAAAAUUUUACUUUGAGGUUUCAUUUUUGUUUUGUUGGGUAUUUUAUUUCUUAUAUUUUAUUUUUUCCAAAUUAAUUCCUUUUAUUUUAAAAUAAAAUACUUUUCUCAAAAAAAUCAUUUUAAAAAUCUAUUUCAAAAACUCAUUUAGAGUCCUCAGGAUCAAAAUCUUUUUUUUUUAUUUAUUUAAAAAUAAUAUGCAACCAUAUCUUGUUCGGUUUGCAUCCUUCUCGGUUUUCAACAAAAAUUUUGGUUUUGAACAAAAACACGAAUCAAAGCUUGUGGUCCCAAAUAAUGGGAUGAUUCUGGGCUAAAUUCGUGUAUAUCAAUUGGGGAAUUGGUGAAACCCCUACAUAAGAAAAUCUUUUCAAAAAUUAUUUUUGUUGCCAUUUUUGUCACUUGUUGAAAUUAUGUCUAUCUUUUUUAGGAAUUGUAUAUAAGAUGUGUGUGAUAAUUAAUGUUUUCAUAUACUUUGAUAAUUUUUGUUAUGCUAAUUAGAUAACAAGCAUGCUAGGGUUUCUUUAUUUUAUUAUUAUCUAAUCCCUCAUGUCUUAUGGGAGCGCAUUGUAAGUUAUUUAUGCUAUCCAGGUACGCCCCCCCCCCCCCCCCCUAUCGCCUACUUUCUAAAUUUUGUAAACAAUCGUGUCACUAUGAAGUAUGCAUAUGUUUGAUAAUCCUUAGGUGUUUAGAUGUAUGUUUGAUUCACUAUGAUUAAAUACAUGUUGUGUGUUAUACUUCUAUACUAACUCUGAUGUUUUAUGAUAGCGCUUGAGAAGCGGUCCGGGUACGCAUCCUAACCUUUCUUUUAUGGCAAUUUGAUCUUGUUUAGCAUGCAAAUUUUUUGAAAUCACCUAGCCUACUUAGGUAUCCAUAAUUAACCGAUUAAUUGCCAUAUUCCCCUUAACUUAAUUAGUAGAGACCUCUUUAGGGCUUAGAGGGGUGCUACCUCCUAGAGGUACCUUCCCAAUAAGUAACCUGAUCCCCGGACCAAGACUUGGGUUUUCAAAGACACACUUUUCCAAAAAUUAUGGAGUCAUUUUUUUUAGGGUUUUAUUUCUUGUUUUAUUUUCCCUUCAAAAAUAAAAAUAAAAUAAGUGGCGACUCCAACUUUUUUUCAAAAAAUCAAAUUUUCACAAAUAAAUAAAAAGCGAGUCUCGCCAAUUGAGUGGGGACGCACGUGAAAAAUGCGGGUCCACACCAACAAAUCUCCCACUUGGAGACUAGCUCAAUCACCAACAUCAAACCGCUAUCCUCCAAGAAACAAUCACUCGUCCCUGUAACUCAUUCUCCUAUCCUCAAGCUAGAAGACUAAUUGAAGCUGCACACAGCUUCAACUUCUCAAUAGUAACACCCUUAGUCAACAUGUCUGUCGGGUUCUUAGAUCCACAAAUCUUCUCAUAUUACCAGUUUAUUUUCAACAAGAUAACGGAUAAAGUGAUAUUUUGUUUGUAUAUGCUUCAACUUUGAAUGAAAAGCCGAAUUUUUGGCAAGAAAAAUUGCACUCUGACUAUCACUGUGUAGAAUGUCCAUCUCCUGCUUCUUACCCAAUUCAUCUAAGAAACCAUAUAGCCAAAUCAUCUCUUUUUCAACUUCAGUUGCUACAACAUACUCAACUUCUGUAGUAGACAAAGUAACGAUCUUCUGUAGAUUUGAAGUCCAUGAUAUAGUUGUACCACCUAGAGUAAAAACAAACCCAGUAGUACUCUUUCUACUAUCAAUAUCACCAGCAAAAUCAGCAUCUACAUAACCCCGCAGUUUCAAAUUUGCACCUGUGAAGCAAAGACAUGUAUCUAAUGAACCCUUCAGAUAUCUUAGAAUCCACUUGACUGCCUCUCAAUGCUGCUUUCCAAGCCUACUCAUGAAUCUACUCACAACUCCCACUGCAUGUGCAAUGUCUGGCCUUGUACACACCAUAACAUACAUCAAGCUGCCAAUAGCUGAAACAUAGGGCACCUUGCUCAUAUGGUCCCUUUCUUCUUCUGUCUUUGGUGAAUGUUCUUUACUUAGUUUGAAAUGACUACCCAAGGGUGUGCUCACUGGAUUAGCUUCAUUCAUGUUGAACCUGCUAAGAACUUUCUUCACAUACUCUAACUGUGAAAGCUUCAAUGUACCAUUAGCCUUGUCUCUAAUGAUUCUCAUACCAAGGAUUUGUUUUGCAGCUCCCAAAUCCUUUAUUGCAAACUGUUUGGACAAUUGCUUCUUCAGAUUAUUAAUUUUCUCAAUGUCAGGCCUUGCAAUAAGCAUAUCAUCCACAUACAACAAUAAUAUGAUGUAAGAAUUAUCAAAAGACUUAACAUAGCAACAGUGAUCAGCUUCACAUCUCUUGAACCCAAUUCUAUGCAUAAAAUUGUCAAACUUCUUAUACCACUGUCUAGGAGCUUGUUUAAGGUCAUACAAGCUCUUUCUCAGUUUACAUACUAGAUUCUCUUAUCCCUGAACAAUGAACCCUUCUGGCUGAAUCAUGUAAAGGUCUUCCUCCAAGUCACCAUGAAGGAAUGUUGUCUUCACAUCUAAUUGCUCAAGAUGUAAGUUUUCUGCAGCCACCAUUCCAAGUACAAGUCUAAUUGUUGACAUCUUCACAACUGGAGAAAAUAUCUGUGUAGUCAAUGCCCUCCUUCUGCUGGAACCUUUUAACAACUAAUCUAGUUUUGUAACAUUUGCUACCAUCAUGCUCGUUCUUUAUUCUGUAUACCCACUUGUUGUGCAAAGCCUUCUUUCCUAUUGGCAAUUCAGUCAGUUCCCAUGUCUGAUUCCCUAAUAGGGAAUCCAUCUCAUCCUUCAUGGCUAACUCCCACUUGCUUGAAUUUUCAUCUUGCAAGGCUUCAUCAUAACACUCUGGCUCACCACCAUCAGUUAAUAGGAGAUAAUUUAAAACAGGUGAAUAACGCUGCGGAGGUCUAAUGUUCUUAGAAGAUCUGCAAACUUCAGCUACAGGUGUACUCAAAUCUACCUAUGAAUUUACAUUCUCCUCAUCUUCUUCACCCCCUUUUUGGACAGUACUUUCAGUCAAUUCAUCUAAGUUGACAAACUCAAAUUUCUUUUGAUCUAUCUCUGUAACAUCUGACACUACAGUUGACCUGUCCUUGUACAUAACAUGUUCAUUAAAUAUCAAAUUUCUACUUUUGAUGAUUUUCCUGUUUUGUUCAUCCCAAAACCUAUAGCCAAAUUUCUCAUCACCAUAGCUAAUGAAAAAACAUAUUUUUGACUUUGCAUCAAGUUUACUACGAGCAUCAGAAUCAAUAUGAACAUAAGAAACACAACCAAAAACUUUUAAAUGUGAAAACUUCACCUCUUUACCGCUCCAAACCUCCUCAAGAAGUCUGAACUCCAUGGGAACUGAUGGUCCUCGGUUUAUCAAGUUAGCUGCAGUGCUAACAGCAUUAGCCCAAAAAGUUUUUGGUAGUCCAGCAUGCAACCUCAUACUUAUAGCACGCUCAUUGAGAGUUCUGUUCAUGCGCUCAGCCACACCAUUCUAUUGUGGUGUCCUAAGAAUGGUCUUCUCCAUCCUAAUUCCCUGUGCAGCACAAUACUCACUGAACCCUCCAUCUAUGUACUCUCCUCCAUUAUCUGAUCUCAAACAUUUUACUUUCAAACUUAUUUCUGUCUCAACCAUGGUCUUCCAUUUCUUAAAAGUUUCAAAUACAUCAGAUUUAUUUUUCAGAAAAUAAACUCAUACCUUUCUACUUGAAUCAUCAAUAAAAGUGAUGUAGUAUCUUGAACCUCCUAUGGAUGCAACUGGAAAAGGCCCCCACAAAUCAGUGUGUACUAGUUCUAAUUUUUCAGCCUUUGGUGUCCUGCUAGUUUUCAAGAAGCUCACCUUUUUUUGAUUUCCUAAGAUGCAACUUUCACACAUGUCAAAAUCAAUGGACUUCAAUUCUGGUAGUUUUCCUUUUGACAGCAACAUCUUCAUCCCUUUCUCGCUCAUGUGACCAAGUCUACGGUGCCAUAGGCUUGUAUCAGUACUUGCAUCAACAACUGCAAUUAUGUCUCUUGGACAUGAGGUCAUAUAUAGAGUACCAAUCUUCUUUCCACGAGCCAAUACCCUAGCUCCCUUUGUAACCUUCCAAGUACCAUCAAUAAAUAGUAUUGCAUGUCCUUUAUCAUCAAGUUGUCUAAUAGAAAUCAGAUUCCUCCUCAGGUCAGGAAUAUGUCGAACCUUCUCCAGUAACCAAAUAGACCCAUUGGGCAACGAUAUUCGGACGUCUCCCAAACCCACAACAUCCAAGGCUAAACCAUCAGCCAAAUACACCUUACCAAAAUCACCUGCAACAUAAUUUUGUAUGAUUUCUCGGUGUGGAGUGGUAUGAAACGAAGCUCUUGAAUUCAAAACCCAAUCAUCAAGUGGAUUGUCUACUGCAAGAAGUAAUGCAUCCUGUACCUCUUUUGUUACAGCAUUAGCAAAAUAUCUUUAUUCUUCUUCUUAAAGCUUUUACAUUGCCUUUUAGAGUGACCUGAUCUAGAUUUGCUUCUGUUCCGAUUAGAAUUUCUGGAAUUUGAUCUACCCCGAUUUGAAUUUCUGUCAUUACCUUUGCCUUUUGUCUCAAGGUUUAGGGCAAAACCAGAUCCUGAGAUUUCACCUACAUCUCUUCGAUGAAUCUCCUCAGCCAUAAUUAAAUCUCGUAUAUCAUUGUACUUAAGCUUUUCCUUUCCCGUAGAAUUGCUUACUGCCAUCCUCAUUGCCUCCCAACUGUUUGGCAAAGAAGCCAAGACGAUCAGAGCACGAAUCUCAUCAUCAAAAUCAAUUUCUACAGACGACAAUUGAUUUGUGAUUGUAUUAAAUUCAUUCAGAUGUUGUGCUACUGAUGCAUUCUCUGUCAUCUUCAAAUUGAACAAUUUCUUCAUCAGAUGCACCUUAUUGUUUGCGGAUGGCUUUUCAUACAUACCGAACAAAGCCUUCAUCAAAUUUGCUAUGGUCUUCUCCUUCACAACAUUAUGUGCAACAGACCUAGACAAAGUUAACCUAAUAACUCCUAGAACCUGUCUGUCAAGAAGCGCCCAUUCCUCAGCCUUCAUACUCUCAGGUUUUGUCCCUAAAAGAGGCAGAUGCAAUUUCCUCCCAUAGAGAUAAUCUUCAAUCUGCAUCAUCCAAUACGCAAAGUCUGUGUCAUCAAACUUUUCUAUUCCAGACGUCUUUCCUAUUUUCUCUGUCAUUGCUCCCACUCAAACCUAACCCUAGGCUCUGAUACCAGUUGAAGGGAAUUAAACCGAAUUCCCAACCCGUGAGAAACAAAAAAAAAUAGAAAAAACACACGCCAAAGAAAAACAAUCACACACACAAGACAGUAUUUACAUGGUUCGGUAAUUUACCUACGUCCACGAAGUUACAGGGAUAUCACUAUUAUCAGGAAAGAAUACAAAGUUCAACCACAGCGACUACAAUAUUUUCUCUCUAUAUAUAACAUGGCAACAACAUCACACUAAAAAACCCUAAUUACAAAAGGUGGUUCCACAAUGGGCUAAACGGGCCCAACAGGCCUCAGUAAAUCUCUUAUUAAAAAGUCAUGCAAUAUUAUUCGGGUUGGGUCGUCAAACCGGAUCAAACAAAACUAGGCUCCACAAAGCCCAACAGUAGCCCCUAUGGAUUUCUUAUUCUUGGUUCGAUAAGCGCAUAAAACGCCUAAUAGCUUGUCUACCCAUUUUCCUUUUACUCCUUCGAGCCUUUUCUUUAAUGAAUUUAGCGACUUCUUGUUGAUUACCUCUGCCUAUCCGUUACUUUGAGGAUAUCUAGGAGUUGAACAAAGAUUUUUUAUCUUUAGUUCUAAACAAAAUGUCUAGAAGACAUUGCUAUCGAAUUGCGACCCAUUAUCUAUGACAAUUGCUUGGGGAAUUCCAAAUUGGCACACAAUAUUCUUUCAAACGAAUUUAAAAACAUAUUUAUCCUUGAUGCUGGCAUAGGAUUCGGCUUCCACCCACUUGCUGAAAUAAUUUGUUGCUACAAGCAACAAUUUUUUAUUUUUUUUUUUUUUUUUUGUGUCGCACCAAUUGGGAGCGGACCAACUAUAUCUAUUGCCCCUUACACAAACGAUCAAGGACUUGUAACCAAUUAAGGUACUCAAAACAGUAUUUCGAGUAUGGGAGCAUAUCUUUGACAUUGGUCAUACUUCUUGACGUAGCUUUCUGCAUCUUUUUUCAUGGUGUGCCAAUAGUAACUUUGGGAAUAGGCUCGAUGUGCCAGAGUUUGUUUGCCCGAUGAUUUCUACAUGUACCCUCGUGUAAUUUUGCUAGGAUAUAUUGCACCUCCAUAUCAUUUAGGCAUUUGAGAUAAGGUCCCCUAAAUGAUCAUCUAUACAGUUGUUCGUUUAUCAGAGUAUAUUGUGCGGCUUGUACUCGGAUUUUAUGAGUUUCCCUCCUAUCCUUAAUGACUUCUCCCAUGUGUAGAUAUUUCACAAUGUCUUCCAUCUACCCCAUAUCCAUUUAGACAAUAUCAUUUACUUAUUCAUGAGAAAUUGAGAAAGAGACUUGGUGAUAGAUUGGCAACAUCGUGGUUUCUUGUAUUGGCAAGGCGGUAGCAACCUCGGCUAGUGCAUCCACUCAUCCAUUCUUCUCUCAAGGUACACGUCAAAUCAACCAUCCUUCCACCUUUUUCAUUUGAGCAUCCACUAGGGCAAGAUACCGAGCCAUGCACUCGUCUCUUACUUCAUAUUCUCUUUGAAUCUGUCCAACCACUAUUUGUGAAUCACUUCUACGUUCUACUUUUGUGGCGAUAAGAGCCAAUGCUAGAUUAAGUCCAAUUAGGAUUACUUCGUAUUUCGCCUCAUUAUUAGACAUUGAAAAGUCAAGCCACACAGCUUGCUCAAUUUGUUCUCCCAUGGGAGAUUGCAACAUUGUUCCCACCCCGGCCCCUAAUGUUCUUGAUGAUUAAUCGUCUACAUGGAAAAUCCACCAUUGAGUUUCACUUCCAGGCUUCAUCCAUUCUUAGGGUAGUUCAGCUAUGAAAUCAUCAAGUACUUGUCCCUUUAAGGACAACCAAGGUUUGUACCAUAUGUCGUAUUCACUUAACUCAAUUGUCCAUUUUAUCAUUCAUCCAGAUAGAUCCGACUUAUGCAAAAUGACUCGUAAUGAUAGAUUUGUCAAAACCGUUAUUUGGUGAGCUUGAAAAUAUGGACGAAGCUUUUUGGGAUGAUCCGCAAUGUAAGGGUCAUUUGUUCCUUGGGAAUAUAGUGUCUCUACGUCUACCAAAGCUUUGCUCACGUAGUAGAUGGGAUUUUGCUCACUGUGUUGAUUGUGCUAGAAUAGAACAACGCUAACAACGAAGUUUGAUACGACUAAAUACAUGCAAUGAUGAAAAUAUCGAUAAUUACGGAUAUAUCGGUACUUUGAUUUUACGAAUAUAUCGAAUAUUUCGGAGAUAUAUCGACGGAUAUUUUGGAAAUAAAUAUCGGUAAGCUUAAAAUUGUUAAAAACUCAUGAAAAUGUAAGAAAAAUCUCAUAAUAAUAUAAUUAAAAAUAUAAUAGACAUUUUAAAGUUAUUUUAUUGAAAUUUUUUAUAUAUGUAUAACAUGAUUUAUCAUAUUUAAUAAUAAUAUUGUAUACAUUGAUAAAAAUAUGAAUUUUAUAAGUGUACAUUUAUUAUUAAAUUACACCUAAUAUUAUCAUAUUUGAUUAUAAUAUAUCUAAUUUUAAAAUAUAUAUUAGUAUUAAAAUAUGAUCCAUUUAAUUCAAUUGUAUUAAACAAUAUAAAAUAAUAUAUAUAAUUUUUUAAUAUUUAAUUAAUUAUUAAUGAUAUUAAAAACAUUAUAAAGAAAAUUAUAUAAUUUUUAUAUUUUUGGUAAUUAAUUAAAAGACUUUGCAUUUAAUUAUAAAAUAAUUAUAAUUAAUUUGCUCUUUAAAAUAUUCUUAUAUUUUCUUUAUAUAAUGAGUUUAAGUAUAUAUAUAUUUGCUGCAUAUUAUAUGUUAGCCCAAGUGGUAAGCGGGUGAACCCCAAACCUUUUGGUUUGGGGUUCAAAUCCUCUCGGCAGCAAGCAAAUGGGAGUGCACUGUAGCGCAUAUGACUUUCGUUGACCCACGUUGACCAUGCGAUAUAUCGGGGAAAAAUCGUCGAUUUAUCGACAAAUCACCGAUAUAUCGCGAGAAAUAGGUUAUUUCUCGCGAUAAAUUCCGAAAUAUCGUCGAACCGAUAUUUCUCCAUGAAAUAUCAUGUCGAAACCCUUCGAUACACGAUAUUUCGGCGAUAUAUCGCCAAAAUAUCGCGACAUUUUCUUCCUUGAGUACAUGUACAACUCUUAUUUGGCCUCAAGGAUGCUCAAAAUUGGUGGUUCUAAGUGAUACUAUUUUAUGGCUUCAAAGGCAAGUGCACAUUCACUUGUCCAACCAAACACUUUUGUUCCCCACAUAAUGUUGAAAAAAUGGCAAAGUUUAUCAAUGAAGCAUGCUAUGAAUCAUCCCAAGGCAGUUAAAUGGUCGAUCUAGCGCUACACCUCCUUCUUGAUGUUAAGAGUAAGGGAUUCUAGCACUGCUUUGACUUGGGUUGGAUUCACUUCUAUGCCCUUCUACGUUGCUAUAAAUUCGAGGAACUUACUCUGAAUACGCAUUUGAGCGAACUGAGUUUCAUGUCAUGCUUGUGCAUUAAUUUGAAUGCUUCUUCCAAGUGAUGAAGGUGCUCGAAACAAUUUUUACUUUUGAUGACAAUGUCAUCAAUAUAGACUUCCACUAUGAGACCUAUUAAAGGCUUAAAAAUGCGAGUCAUCAACCAUUGAUAGGUAGCACAAGCAUUCUUCAACCCAAAUGGCAUGACUUUGUAAUAAUACAACCCUUGUGGAGUAAUGAAUGCCGAUUUUUCUAUCCUCACCCCUUUAUCCCCUCCAAAAUUGUGUAGACUCCUCCAAAAAUCCUAAUCAUGUCUAUCUUCCUUUCUUAAUGAGAAUUCCUCCCAAAAAAAACUCUUUCAUUUCCUUCUCAAAUUUUCCAAGUUGUGAUCCUCAAUCUCAAAUCAUCCUCCCUAUCCAAAAGUCCUCUUAGUUGUGGACGCUCUCCUGCAAUAAAUGGAGGCCUACCACCUUCCUUAAAACUACUUCAUCUUUCCUUAAACUCGCAAUCUCUAUAUAUGCAGCCCAUAGACUCCUUCUAAGAUCCUAUGUGUGUGAAUCCCUUUUUGUUCUAUGGCAACCCUUCUCUUCCUAAAAUUUGUGUAUCAUUUCUCUACUUCCCUUAUGUGUCUUUAAAUUCAAAGAAAGUCUUAUGGCAGCCACCUUCCAAAGAGAGUCCUCUUGAUUUUAAAGUCUCCAAAACCGUGAAUAAUUUCCAUCAAUAAUUCAUGGUAGCCCUCUUAAUCUAAAGUUUCUAAAAUAGUGAUCUAAAGAAUGUCCACAGUAUCAAACUCUCCAUGGUAGCCGUCCUCAAGAAAUCCCACCUCAAUCUAAAAUCUCCUCCUCUCAAAGUCUCACCAUGCCAUCUACCUCUUUAUAGAAUCCUCUCAAUUUUAAAUUCUUUCAUAUGGUGGUUGCACCCUCAAAGGAAAAUUCCAUGUCGUGAACUAUGUCUAAGAUGAAGUCUAUUACAAUACCAAUUAAAAAAAUACAGGAACCAAAUACACUUGACAUGGCACUUAACCAAUGUUUGAACCAAAUACAGGAACUUGACAUGACAGUUGAAUCAACAAGCAUGUAGAGAACUCAUUUCAAGCACUUUGAGAUAUAACAUACACUCAUUUUCUUUUUUUAAGAGCUCCAUUGUAUCAUGUAUUUCUUUCAACAUGUGCUUAGCCAUCAAAUAAGACGUGAAUGAAUAUAUCCUUAUUUAUCGCAUCGGUUUUUAUAAAUCAUUAUGAUCACAUUUUAUACCCUAGUAAAGGUUUUGUGUAUGUUAUUCUAAUAUGAUAUUUAUGAUUAUGAUUUGAUACAAAGUAAAAGGACGCCAUUGAAAAAACACUACCUCAAAGUUCAAAGGCACGAGACAAAAAGAAGACCAUCUAUUAUCACAUCCUAGUGUUAUGCUCAUCAUCGGCGACUUAUAUUUCACAUAAGGUAUUGUAAUAUAAAGGUGAGAAUACUUCUUAAAACAAGAUUUUGAAGCAUUUUUAAAAUAGAUGAAACAUGCUUAAUUCAAUAAACUAAAUGGGAGAAUGCAACAAGACACGCAAGUGAUAAACUAUACUAAUCCAUGCCAAAAUUUGGCCAAUGAGUAGAAAUCACACGCAAGUGAUAAACUAGUCAAGGAAGGCCCAAUAGGAGAGUUGGAACAUGCAUAAGAUGUUUCUUCUCAUGGUCAAUGAGUAGAAGAUGAUACAGACACUACACUUCUAGGUGAGGACGGCCCAUUUAGAUUUCUAUAUGAGAAUCUCAACGGUAGAUUCCAUCUUAUGACAUCCCAAAGAUAUUAAUUAUUAAUCAAGACAAUGUUUUAAUAUAAUUCUUACAUCUGUGAAAAUAACAAUAUUAAUAUAAAAAAAUAUUGAAACUUAUAAAUUAAAAUAUAGAUUUCUUAUAUUUCUAAAAAUCACAUUCUAUAAAAUUUAAGUUAUUAAAUUUUUUUUAUUACCACAUUUUAAUUAGAUUUUAAAACAUUUUCCAUAUAUGCUAUUAAAAAUUCUUAUAUUUUAUAUAAAAAUUAGUACUUUUUAUUAUCAUGAAACCAAUCAUAUCAAGUAACAAUUUUAAUACUAUAUACAUAUAACUUCUUAUAGAUUUUUCCAGCAUUUCCUAAAAUUUUCAUUUCAUCAAGACUGGUGUUCACAAUUUUUGAUAUUUUUACAAAAUAUCCCACAUCAAAUAAUAAUAUAGGAUUCCAAACUUUCAAAUCAUAUGCUACAACCAUAUUCUCAUCCCACCAACUCUUUUAACUUAACUUUCUUUGUGAAAAUGAAAAAUCACUUAUUCAGCGAUCUCAUUGCCCAACUCUUUUUCUGUUAACAAGAGAAACAAAGUUUAUAAUACAAGCAAGAAUCAAGUCUAUAGUUUUACCUAAUGGAUUAAGGAGUCACCAUUUGAAAAUCAAGUUUUUAUUUGGUUCAUGGUUAGAUGCUAGAUCCCAAAAUGUUAAUACGCAAGAAGCCCUCAGAUCUCAUACACGGUAAGGCUCAUGGUUUUCAUUAAAGGCCAGUCCACACCUUCAAAAUAAUAAUAAUAAUAAUAAUAAUUGUCAUAACACAGAGGCUGAUGAAGAAGGAGGAGAAGGGGGAGGCUAUUAAUGAAAACCAUAUAACCACACAUGAGUUUUCCAUCAUUGGGCAUUUGCUCACCACAAUGAAAAAGAUAACCACAAUUUCGGAUAUCCACCUGUGAUUCACUAGUGAUAUAAUGAGUUCAUCAAUCUAUACCAAUUGACCUUUUUAAAUAAACCCAUUCGAUGAUUCGAUUUCUUGAAAGGCAACAAGCUGAGGCAAAAAGCUUCUUGCUUAGCAGAUUGUCUGAAGUUCCAACUUGCAUAUAAACUCAUGCUCUUCAAAAAAGCAAACAUAGAUCUUUCUCAAAAGGCAAUAUUAAAAAACAAAGAAGUAAAAAUUCAGUGGGAGUGGUAAUGGCAUAUGAAAAUUUAAAACCAUAACUUUCAUCACAUGCUAAAACUGGGUUGAUCUAAAAGGAAAUGUAAGAGAAGUGAAGGACAAAAAAAAGAAAGAACCAGACAAUAACAUCUAUUGAUAGCCCUCAGAUCUCAUAGCUAUUAUUAGUCAUCGUCAGUUAUAACAAACUGAUUCUUAUUAAGAGCCUCCACAUCUUCAACCACAGUAGAAAAGAGAGAUAGAGAGAGAGAGAGAGAGAGAAAGAGAGAGGUGGUGGUGGUGAGGCUGAUGGUGAGGAUGAGAGUAAAGGCUCCUAAUAAAAAUCAAUUUAAACCCUCCACAAAAUAAGUUUUCCAUCAUCGGGCAGAUGUUCAUAUUGAUAUUAUUGUCGACUGAAAAAUCAGGAUACACCUAUAAUAAGAGAGGACUGCAUGCAAGAAAACAGUUCAUUUAUAAAAAAUAAAAAUAAAAAAACAGAAAGAAAGAUAAAAGAUGAAAUAAGAAAACCAAUUCAUAAACAAACAAAAUGUGUAAUUAUACUAAAACAAUUUGAGCUUAAAGCAGAAGUACAACAGGAAAAAUACAACAGCAGCUUAAACCUAUAAUCAGUUUGGGUGGGUCAGAUGUGUUCAGCUAAAUAAUGUUUCAAUGAUUAAAUGAAAUAGGACCAUAUGAAAAAUUAUGCAGUAUCUGCCCACCAAUAACCAAAAGAAAUAAACAAGGGCAAAUCCCAAAUAAAUAAAUUUUCAAAUCUCAAACCAUCAAUCUAAAUUAAGCUAUAGAAGUAAUAAUGCCAAGAAGAACAUCAACAGAAUACUAGAAAAAUCCAAGGAAUAAAUAAUGGAUAGGAUUAAAUGGAUGCAAUAUCCUCAAGAAAUGGACACCUGUAAAUACCACAAAAGCAAAUAGCUUACAAUUGGUCUAUAUCUUGUCAUAGCUGAGCACAUCUAUAAGAUAUACACACCACCAAAAUAACUUUAUUCUACUACAUAAUGUUGUUUAAUCAUAACAUCAACUUAUUCAAAUAUGCAAAAGGCAGUUAGUACAGUUCACCUGCUGAUCUUCAAGACUUAAACCAACCAGCACUGUACCCAUAUGAGAUAAGAAACACUCCAUUCACAUAAGCUUCCAGCACUAGUACCAUAGAAAAAUAAUACACAGUGCUAACUUCAACAUCACCCCCAUAGGCAUCGAAAUCUCAGAAAAUAACAAGACAAAACCAUUGGAUAUAACAAUAGUCUCCAAAACAAGUCUCAACUGGGCGAGUAUCAGUGAGAACUUCAUUCCCAAGAUUAAGAGCCAUUCAAAAUACUAGAAAAGCUCAAACUUCAUAUGAGACAAAAUGGGUUUUUUUUUUUUUUUUGCAAAUCAAGUUUCCAUUCGAAAAACAUAGAUAUGAAGAGUACAUUUACAUGGUUCUCAUUAACCUAAAAAGAUUGUCAACAGUUCAAUGUCUUAGAUGCCAUAUUACAAUAUAUAAACAAGUAAAGCCCUCAGAUCUCAUAGCUACCAAUAUUCAUAGAAGGUAAAGCUUGUAAUUUUCAUUAGAAGCCAAUCCACAACUUGAUAAUAAUAAGAAUGCUAACAGCAGUAGUAAGAAGAAGAAGAAGAAGAAGAAGAAGAAGAAGAUGAUGAUGAUGAUGAUGAGGGAGGCUCCUAGUGAAAACCACAGCAACCACACCAAAUAUGAGAAUUCCAUCAUAGGGCAGAUGGCCAAGAUUCAAAAGCUUUGUCAUCCAUGGUUUAUAGAAUGAAAUAGUCCAGAUAAUAAGAACAUAAAAGAGAGCAUAAUCACAAAGGAAGGAAUGGUAAGAAGAGGUCAGAAGAGCCAAAGAAGAAACGAGCAUAAAGACUCCCGCAGAAACCAUAAACAAAGCUGCUUCGGAAAAACACAUUCAGAAUUACAAGGAAGCAGAUUUCACAAUCAAUAGUAAUUGUAACAGAAGUUCUCAUUUGUUUAAAAGACAAUAAUAACACACGUUGUGCAUUAUGGGAUCAAAGAAAAGAUCAAGAAGCAACCCAUGUUAAGGACUUGCCUGACUUUUAGGGGAAAAAAAAAGGUGAUCAUAGGUACAACAAAGCACUUAAAACAGUGUAGACAAACUUGAUAACGCAACUUGGCCCCUCAAAUUUGUUGAAAAAUGGUGAGACUGAGGUUCCGACUAGUGCGUUUUUUAAUGAACCACACUGACCUCUCAAAAGGCUAUCUUAAUUAUAUAAUUCUGUGAAUAAAAAGGUCAAAACAUGCACAUAGUUAAAUUGAUCUCAAAUAAUAGCAGGAUAACAAAAUAAAGCACCCAUCACGUGUGUGACCCAUAGGAUGAAAAUCCGUUGCACCAAGUAAUUUCACUAGUCUUAACUCAGGUCGUAAGGGUAUAUUUCCAAUCAUUCAAAAAGUCAGCAACUUAAUUCAUGUAAUUGAAACUCCACCAGUAACCUAAUGACACCAAAAUAACAAUGUGAUAGUUGUCUGAUAUUUAAACCAAUCGAAAUCCAUUCUGAGGCAGUAGCAAUGAUAGAAGAAAACAUUUCAAUAGUUAUACCUAAACCCGAUUCAAAAACCAAAACACUUGAUCAAAUGAAACAAAAAAGAAAGGACGCAAUGGAUAGAAAAUCGCAAAAAAAAAAAAAAAACAUAGACAAAAAUAUACUAAAAAAGCCCUCAGAUCUCAUAGCUAUCAUAAGUCAUUGUUAGUAAAACAAACCGGUUUUUAUUAAGAGCCUUUCCACAUCUUUAUCCAUACUAAAGAGAAUGUGAAAGAUUGAGGGAGGAAGAGGAGAGAUAGAGAGAGAGAGAGAGAGAGAGAGAAAGCGAGAGAGAGAGAGAGAGAAGACAGAUUAAGAAGAAUAUGGCGAGGAUGAUAGUCAAGGCUCCUAACAAAAACGACUGCAACCCCCUCCAUAGAAUGAGUUUUCCAUCAUUGGGCAGAUGAAUUGAAAUAAUAACUAAUAAUCAGAACACCAGCCAUGAAUGCUUGUAAGAAACAAUUAUAAGUUUAAAAGAUUAAUUAAAAAAUUAAAAUAUAUAUAUAUCAUAAAAGAAAACAUAAUGAUCAAAACAAAUUGAAGACCACAAUAUUCUCCCUAUCUGAAGAUAAAUGAAACAAGACAUCAAGAUUUGUUUUCUUGGUUAAUAUUCAAAUAUGUUGACAAAACCAACAAAAACUCCAUACCAAAAAAGUAAUUGCAACAUUUAAAGGCAAAUGAUAUGAGAAGGGUGGUCAGAUACAGCUUUCUAGGCUAGCAUUUCCAUCAAUAUUACUCAGAGCCCAGUGCAUAUCAUCAUUCGUUCUAAAAAAUCAACAAAAGAAAGGAUAAAAAUGUCCAUUGAAUAAAACUCUAUUAUUCAAGAAAAAUCUUGCAACUGCAAGAUCCAUAAAAUCGACACCGCAUUUGAUGAAAAUCCUCAGAUCUCAUGCCUUUGAACAAACAAUCUAGGGUUUUGUACUCAAUCGCAUUCAUCAAAACCCUUUUCUAUAUAACACAGUAAUUCAUAAUAAAAACUAACAAACAACGUAGCCAUCCGACAGCUCCGCAGCCACCGUCGCAGGAGUCGUCAGCCCGGAGUGCGAGCAGAGGUAGAUGGGAUCAUGGGAAGAGGUAUAGAAUGACGUACGUAGGGUUUUAUCGCCCAUUUAUAGGCAGAGUUGAAUUCCUAAAAGAACCCUGGAUUUAGUCGUAAAUAUCUAGGUUCACCCGAUCUGGGCUUUUCUUUGGGUUUGGGCUUAUUUGAUAUAUCGAAAGUGAUGGGCCAGGCUAAGCUUUCGUGGGUUGUAUUAUGUUUAAAGGAUUGCAUGGGUUUGAGGUUGAUGGUUAACAAGCCCAAACUAAAGCCCAUGAAACAAAACCAUUUUUAUUUAAAAAAAGAAAACCUUAAUCCUUUUUUUUCCUUUUUUUUUCAGCUUUUUUAUAUGAUAAAUGACGAUUUUGUCUCCAUUACAUAUUUAAUCAUGUUAUAUUUUUAGGAUUUUUUUUUUUUAGUGAAUGCAACCACAAUCAAAAGAAUUUUUGAGAGUUUUAUCAUUGUACUACACAUUUUUCAUUUUAUUAAUGGAUUGUUUAGUGUUGGUGUACUCCGUAGACAUAGAGAUUACAUUGAUCAUCGAAUCACAUCAAAAUCUCGUAUUUUUCUUAAUUUUUGGUUGUGUGUGUGCAAUAAUUAAGGGGUAAAAGAACUUUCAUUAGCUUUUCCUUGCUAUUUUUGGGUAUAGAUUUAUUUUCAUUUCUAUCAAGAUUAAUUUCAUCCUUACAAUUAAAUAAUUGUAUUCAUUUUUAAAUAUCAAGCUAUUAAAAAAUCAAAGGUUUAUGAACAAAUUCCCUUUUCAAACUUCAUUUCAGUAGGGUAGUGAUGUGCUGAUGAGAAUGCGCAACCCACUAAUGAAUCCAUCUUAAGAUCCACAGUGGCAGUGUGUUAUCUCCUAAAAAGCCACUUUAGUGGCCACUGCCCACCCUACCAGUCCAUUUGCAAUCCAUUAUUUUACAAAACACUAUUGAUUUUCCUAGCAUCACUCCUCCUAGUGUAGUGCGCCACCAACCAUUUCCAUCUCUUCUUGCUCUGCAUUUCAUAAUAUUUGCAUCCAUUAGGCUGAUAACAGAGGCAACUUGUUGGGUGCAAAAGGUGGUGGUCCCAUGGCCCAUAUGAACAAAGGGUGAGUUCAUGGUUACUUGGGUGGAUUCCAUGGAGACCAGGUGGAUCCAUAAUCCCACAUCAGGUCACACUAGUUUAAUGUGAUCUCCCAUGUCCCACUGCUGAUUCUUGUCACACAUGCACACUACCAAGAAAAGGAUAAUGAAAACUUUGUUCAGGGAAUCCCAUUGAGUAUCUUGUUUUGUUUUAAGUUGUUUGAUUUGGUGAUGGUUUUGCAUAAAUGUCAAGUUCUGUUUUUAGGUAAGCUCAGUAUUUAGAGGCUGUGAUCACCCUCAUCAGUCCUCUCUCACCAUGGCCAUUGUUGGGCUGAGCCACCACCUAUGCUACAGAGAGGAUGGGCGUCUGUAUGAGCCACCAUGAGAAGCCAAGAAAGAAAUCUUCUGAGGUGCACUCAGGGCACUUCAAUUAGGCUGCCAAGCUGUGCUCACUACUCGAAAGUCUGUCAUUGAGGUUGAGCCCCAUGGCUCAGUCAGCUGCCUGCCGGGCACUACCAUGCCUUGUGAGAAAACCAAGCCAGAUGUGCUCAUAAGGAUCGCGAUCGGCCUGGUUUCUCAGGUCUGUUUCAAGUUAUGUAGCAUUCUGGUCCAAACCAUCUAUGCAGCUGAAGUUUGUAUAUAUGGCUUUUCAAGUUAUGAAAGUAUGGUGUUUGAGGGGUCCUUUUGUGUCAAGAAUUUGUUGUUACAUGUAGGUAGGUGGUGAGAACGAUUGUCCACCACAAGACGCUGUGGAUACAAAAACAGGGACCCUAUUCUUGUGUGUGUGGCAUGGCUGCCUACUUUUGUGCUAUCUAUAAAUAUAAAUCAUCUGGCCCUGGUAUUUAUCAACCAACUCACUUUCAUAGACCAUAGGGAUCAGCUACAACAAUUGGCAGUCAAAUUUCUAACAAGGAAAUGCUUAAAUGCUAGCCGGGAAAUGCCUAAAUUCCAGACUCAGCCAUAUAUAUGGCUGCCCUCUUUCCUAGUACUCUAACUUAAAUAUACUCAUUUGAUAAACCACCUUAAUGGAGAAGGUAAAGAUUUCAGGUCCUCUUACCCAAAAUUGGGUAGGCCUCCAAACCCGUAGUGUAGUUUAUCUUUCUCUACGCUUUCCCUCUUUAUGAGAUGUUUUCAAAGUUCGUACAUCAUGCCAUCGUCCAUAUAUCACCCGCAGGUUCAACCUUUUCCAAAGUUUAUUUCAGAUUGAUCUAACACGGACGUCACAAAGGCAAGAUGAUAAAUAUUUGAGGCAAAGGUUGAAAAGGAUGGAAGGAGAAAACCAAGAGCUGUGUAAAGAGCCAAAUGACCUCUGCCUCGCACGUUGUAUUGGGCCCUAAUGUAUUUGUAUCAUGAUGAAAGAAUAAGUGCUAGAGGCCCUAUCGCAGGCGGGCUUGUCGACCAAAAUCAGAAUAAGCACAAAAGCAGGUUAACCUUCACACCGUUUGGCAUCCACUCUACGGCACCCCGGUACUAAGUAUUUUUCACCUAUGACAAAUAAUUGACCAGUAGAUACAUUCCUCGGGACAAUAAUAGAACUCAUAAGUCAUAAUCAACAACAGGCAUAAAUAAUUGCUUCGCCAUCAGGAUGAGAAUAUGAAUCAAAACAAACAUUCGAGCCAGUAAACCAUGUUAUAUGAAAGGCAGACCAUGCUGGGGCAGGUUCUAAAUGUGGGGCUUGAGCAGAACUUGGAGACAUUGUCUAGCUGCACACUGGGCCAACCGUCUCUCUAUACUUCCACUUGUAGAUUUGAACCCUGUUAAACAAUAAGCCUCUUUGUCUUUCAUGGCAAUGGGCACAGAUUCAAGACAAACAAUUAGCCUAUCAGCUUCCAAACAUAAGAAGCCGGAUAUGUCAUCAUCAUCAUCAUAUCAAUCUUUUCUUAUGCUACCAGACUGAAUGUUUUGGAAGUCUAAACAGAUUCUUUAUAGGCAUAUUUUAAAAAAGGGAAAUUGAAGUUCAACAUCUGAAGGCAUUCACAAUGGCCAAAGCAAGCUAGCCCAAGAAAAAAGGAAAAGAUCCCUUUCCCCCUCCAAUGCGCACAGACAAUGUUCUGCACUCUUCAGCCUACAAUGAGAUAUAGAUGCAUUCAAGAAACCCCAUCCUAUGGAACUCUAGAAAAGAAAAUUCAUUACCAGCUAAGUGUUCUAUUCCUUACCAUGAUCUCCUUUUUUUUUUUUUUUCUUUUUCUGUUUUACUUCUAUUCACAUGCCAACUUAGUGUCGAAGCUGCUCAAGCAGAUAGCGAAAGCCUGAAAAGCAGACAGAGGAUAUCGAUAAUCCAUGGUAAACAUAUCCUUGCCAACUUUGCCAAACUGCAGAAUAAUCUUGUCAUGAUCAGAGGCUGGAGGCUGUGAUGGUGUUGGCGCACCAGCGGCCGGCUGUGUGGCAGCAAUCAGCUGGAAAUUCUUGACUGAGGCAACAGUUACCCUCCCCCGGAAGUUAAGGCACCAACAUUGCAGCUGCUCAUGCCAUCUGGGCGGCUUGUUUCGGAGAACCAGUGGUCUGUCCUUUCCCUCAUCCUCUUCAUCACGAGGCCCAAUAAUGUCUGAGAACCGGGAGCUGCUGAACUCGGUUGAGUUAUCAAUUGAUUUUGAGAAGGAGAUGCUACGGAACGAAUCUUCAAGGUUGCGAGGGAGGAGCUCAGCCUGGCCAGGCACAGUGCCACCCGGCUCAAGGGAUGAAGCAGGGAUUGAAUGCAUAGUGCAGUGCAUCCUUCGUGGCCCCCUGGUGCCUAAGACAUUCAGCUCAUAUGUGACCUGGGCAAUGUUGUAGCUGCCAGUUGGGACUUUAGGAGAAACCUUUUUCGAGUAGAACCUCCGGCUCGUUCGGCCAGGUGGGGAGAGUUGAGAACCAUUGUAUGGUGGCUGUGUAUCAUAAAUUAUGAACUUUGUGCCAAGGAAAUUUGACCUGAAACAAGGGGGAGGACAAACAAAUUUUGAGACAGAUAGAGAGUAAUUUAUGAACACAAACUAGAUUAUAGGCUUAAAACAAAAAUUGACCUGAAAUAAGGAAAAGAAGUGCAUUUCAUUCAAUUAAUAAGACGGAAAUGCAGUGAGUCCUAGAUACAAACUAGAUUAUAGACUUGAAAGCCCUCACUGGGUUAUGGUUAUAUACUCAGGAUAUACUGUACCAGCAGACAGAUCUUCUUUCCCCACUAUAGCAUGGUCCUUAAUGACCAAUAAUCUUAGUAGAAAGUAUCUUAUGUUCAUUACAUAAUUACUAUUCUUGAUUAGUAGAACUUAUCAUCGAUAUUUUGUGUAAAUGUAUAAGAAAUUAUUCUGAAAGGGUCCCUAGUUAUAACCUAUACAAGAGUUCUUGGUUUAUAAGUAAAUCCAUUCCUUCUAACUUGGGAUUUUUUGGUACAUGAAUAGUAAUGCACAGAGGUAAUUAAUUACAUCUGCAUGUUUAGUAAUUUGGUUCAAUGGCAGCAUUGCUAGGAUAAGAGACAGCCAUGAGAAAAGACACGACAAUGAUUUAACAGCUAGGACCAUAAGCAUUCAUGUAUCUUACAAGGAUAACAAUGAUUUACGGCCUUGGAUAGAACAGGUAAGUAGAAAAAAAUUCAUGUAGCCAACUAUAAGCAGCUAGGACUAAGUCUCCAUUUAGCUAAAAAAAUUGUUAUUUUGUGCAUUUGUUAUUAAAUGCUAUAUAAAUAUCAAAAGACACAUGAUUACCUCGAGAAAUAUUGAAGCCCUAAAACAAGUUCACACCUCAAUAAUUUUCAUAUUAGGAACACCAGAUGUUUGAAAUUUAAUCAACAUAUUCAAACAAAUUUGUAGUUCAAAUAUAAUAAAACUAAAAAAGGAAACAUAAAUCUUACUAUACAAUUAACACCACUUCAAUUCUGUAUAACAUAAAUGACAGGUAUAGGAUAUCAGUAUACUUUGUGCACCAACAAUAUGAUGAAUACUACAGACAAGUAUGGAAUUACAAGAACAAUGAUUUAUAUAAUAAAAAAAGACCUAACUGUUUCCUUAAAGAUUCUCAGGUAUAACAGUUGAUUUAGGAGUUUCCCAUACAUGGACUGAAAUUGAGACCUAUGCUGACAGUCUUUCACCUCAAGCUUUCUUAUGCCCAAACCCAAAUAAAUCAGAAUCUUUAGAGAUAAGGAAAGUGGACAGAAAAUUUUCAAAUCAGAACCUGGAUCCCUAGAAUGAUAUUGGAGGUGGAUUAAAGAGGACUAAUUCCAGCUACACCGUCCAAAUACGUCAUGUAGAACAGAGUGAUUUACAUGUUCUUAAGCAUUAGGAAUCCUAUUUUAUGCUUAAGAAUCAUAUCUUAGAAUCAUAAAUAGGAGGGACACACAAAAAUAUGGCAUAGUUCACAUGCCAUGAUAAAGUUGAUGGGCAUUUACUGAAUGUAAAAGAAUGGUAAGAAAAAUGGUGUAUUCAUCUACCUCAGCUUCCCAAUAUAAGUGCUGCUUGAUCUUGAUAUGUUAUCGGCAUCCAUGGAGAUUACAUAUUCUGUGCAAGUAGUUCUCCUGUUUCGUUUUGCAGACAGAAGAAAUUUCCCAUUUUCAACAAGCAAAGCUGCAAAUAUGGAACAAUAAAUCACAUAUCACAAAUAAUGGACAUUAGGAAAAGCAUUUAGUAAAGCAUUAUCUUUUUUUUAUAUAUAUAAGUAUUUAGUAAAGCAUUAUCUUAUACAGCUUAAAAGUAAGCUAGAACACUAAAACAAUUUGAUUUGUGCGUGAAAACAUAACUUAUUAUCUAGCCAUUUGCAGAAAAAUGGGAUGACUGAAAUUAAAUUAUAAAAAGAGAUAUUUUUUCUGUAAAAAGAGGAAAAUACUACCCUACUGUGACUAUGAUGUCAGAGGUAAUAAGGCUUAUAAGAACACUAAACUAAAAUUAGUUGAAAGCAUAGGAGCUGAAAUUCCAUUCCAUGCAGCACAAGUACAAAACCAAUUGCAGAAAAGAUUUGGUUGAUUCAACCACUCAAGGAAAAUGGUCUAAAAUCAUAGGAGCAUAAAUCUAUCACAUUCAGCAAAAGAGGCCAAGUUUAAGACAAGGUCAUGAUUGUUCAUCAAGGGGCAAUUUGGGAAGCCUAUACAAUUGGAAGCAAUGCACACACUUGUCAAGCAGGAUUUUCAAGGGAUUACUGUACCCCUUGCUUUUAUAUAUACAUGUAUGAAACAGAAAUUCAACAGAUUGACAUUAAUUAUGAGUUUCCAAAAAAUUAAAACCCUUAGGGUACCAUCAAAACCAUGGAAUUAAGAUUAGGCCUUCAGUGUCUACUAAUGCUAAAAAGGUACUAGCUUUACUAGUAGACAGAUGGAAUCGCAUAAGAGGCUGAAGGAGAGCAUAUAAGAAAUUGGCUUCUGAGCCUUCACUCUCAGAAGGAAGGUCUUAGAAAUAACAAAUUUCAGGUGGCUAACACAACAUUAUAAGGGCUGAUAAAUUAACGAUCAAAACUGGAAGCUCAGCCACAUGUGUAAUAUGAGCCAUAAAGAUUAAGGGCAGCACAAUUAGCAAUCCAACAUAAAAAUCACAACUAAAGCCUGAAAUCAUAAGUAUCCCUUCAUUGUGCCACUGGGCCUUCUGACUCAAAGUCUGCUAAUAAAAUCAAGAAACAUGCUAGCGCCACAAGUGACAGCUGGUUAUAUUAAUUUGUGAUCCACAUCAGCCCAACAAAAGUCAUGUCCCAUAAAAUCCGUAAAAGGAAUCAGCGGCAAACAAACCGUUGAGAGAGAAUCUUACCAGGGCUAAGGCAAAGGAAAAGGUGGUAAGUCAAGUUGGACUUGUCCCUCUUAAUGAAGCACUGAAUGGUUCCAUCCCGAGGCCCUGGCUGUAAACAACAAACAAACCAGAACUAGGUCAAUCAUAGCCCAUCCCCAAUAUAAUGGGAAAUUCUUUCUUUUCAACAAACACAUGAGCCUUUAAGUAAAUUUGCUCACAUAGAUUAUACUACGGAUAAAGAAAUCAAGUAACCGUUUAAGGAAUCAAAACUUACGUAACAACUUGGGAGAAACCAACUUAAAGCAAAACAAAGACCAUAAAAAAACAUGCCUGUUUCAGAGAGAUGGGGAAAGUAAGCUUCCCAGAGAACUCUGGACUUUUGACAAUUUCUUUACACAUUUCUCUCCAGGAUCUGCAAACAGCAGCGCAUGCAACAACAUGCUUGCGAGAUGGCCAUGUACUCUCGCUUGCCUCCAACCUCUUAAUCACAUCACGAAGUAGCUCAGGUGGAAGGCCAGCCCAACGACUGUUUUGGACCACAAGAGGCUGGUCCUGCAACUCAUGGACUGAGCCAUGGGAUUUCCCUCUAUGAUGGCCAGGAAGCCUAACAUCAAAACUCCGCCUUGAUAAGCUCCCAAACCCAUCCCUCACAUCACGAACAAUGCUGCGAAACGACAUUCACUCCAAUAUGGCUGAUAUUUCUGCCAAUCUUGUCACAUAAAUUAUAUUCCUCUUGAGUAAAAUAAUGACCACAAACAGUUACACUUGCAUACAACUGCAAAUCAAGCAAAGUUUAUUCAAAUUCCAGUUAGAAAGCUUAACAACCAAAAAAGAGAAGAGAGAGAAGAUAGAAGAAGAAAAGCACAAAGCAAGAAAAGGAGAUUCCCAGAAAAGAAAGCCUAGCAUGGACUUAAAGCAGCUCAAAAUACCUGACUUUUAUCAGGAACUUCUUCACAGUUUUUUGAAACCUGAUUUUUGAACCCAAAUGUGAAUGAUUCGAUAGUUUUACAAACUAAUUCAAAUGAACAAUACAAAGUCCAAAACAUAAUCAAAGGAAAAUCCAAAAGAAGUCCCGAAAUUCAAAAAAAAACUAAAUAAAUAAAUUAAAUAACUGAGUCAAACUAUACAUUUUCCGGAUUUUAGAAUUCUCGGAAGCAAAGCCAUCAAAGAGACAUCAUAAACACAAAAUAGGAUUUUUUUUUCCCCCUUUUCCCAGGAAAAACAACAAAUCAAUUAGCCAAGUAAAAAGUACACGAGAUAAUUUAAAUGGAGGGAAAAAAAACACACAUUUGAAGAUAUCUUGAUUUUCACUCACUUCAUGUUUAUUAUUGCCAUGAAGUUUCACACAAUAUAAUAUAUCCCAACUAACCCUAAAUAUAAACGUUUUCCUGCAAAUCUUAGUGGUGGAGAUGGAGAAUUAACACGUGGAGCUGGAAAAUCCAGGUUUGAAAACUCACCUGAGCAUCACAAGGUCGGAAUACCAAUACACCACUAUCAAAGAUCGAUUCUUUCACUUGGAAACCAUAGAUCCAUACAUACAACAGAUCAAUCAUGCAAAGAUUAAAUUUUUCUACAAAAACCCUGCACGAACAGAAACUUAGCCUCAGAAGCCAUGCAAACCCCAUGAAAUUUCCAAAAUAAGCCAAGCCCUUUUUUCCUCUAUAAUUAUUAUCAUGGAAAAGAAAAGGAAAAAAAAAAAAAAAAACAGAUACCAAAACCCGAAAUAAAAUUAAAAAAAGAAAAAAUACUUUCCCUCAUUUUUUUCCCGGAAAAGAAAAAUCAAGGAAAAUGAGAACAAAACCAUUUCUUUCCAGACAAGAAAAAGGAAAAAGGAAAAAAUAAAUAAAUAAAUAGGAGCUUGUGAUCAAAAUGUGGUGCUUACAACACCAAUAAAACUGCAUGAAAAACAUUUUUUUUUUCCAGAAACAGUCGAAGAAUCCAGAAAACGAACCUUAACAUCCAACCAUCACCCAAAAAAAGAGAGGGUGAGAAAGAGAGCUGAGAGAAGAAAGAAACAUAUACAGAGAAAGAGAGAG